This 252619-nucleotide long non-coding RNA is filed under the name Triticum aestivum (bread wheat). RNAcentral describes it as "long non-coding RNA (TAES_LNC012354)". Lineage: Eukaryota; Viridiplantae; Streptophyta; Magnoliopsida; Poales; Poaceae. The record is from RNAcentral.
UGGAACCAAACAUACAUAUUAUAUCCCAUUAGCAUAGUAGACCAGCAGAAAAAAGAAGAACAUAUCCAAAAAUAAAAAUAAAAAUAAAAAAUUACCUUGAGUAGAACAGCAUCCGCAGGUGGGACAUACUCAAACAUAUUUCCGGCGACGAAGGUCAAAAUGUCGCUGGCGGGAGCCGCGGCGACGACGUGUGGGAGGUCCAGAACGCUGCACUUGAGGUGCGGGAACGCUCUCGCCACGGCCGACGCGGUGGCGCCAUGGUUGCCGCCGAUGUCCACCAGCGAGCUUUUCACUUCCCUGAACGCUCCGCCGUGCUCCUUCAACAGGACCUUCAUGGCGAUGCGGCUGUCCGCGGCCAUGCCGUCGUUGAACAAGCCGCCAUCGACCUUGGUGGUGUCCCAGAACGUGCAGCCGUUGGCCAGCUGGACGAGCGAGUGCGACUGUGCCGACUCUCCCUCUUGGCCUUGGGUAAACCACUCGGGCAUUUUGAGGAGAGAGGUCCAGCAUAACGUGUUGACGAUGGUGCCCACCAUCGGGGACAGGUUGUGCGGUGAUCUCUCGACAAGGAGCCGGGAGACCCGCGUGAGCUUGUAAUACGCAGCGCCAUCACCGGCGUGGUCGUUGCUGCCUUUGCCUUGGACAAUGGAGAAUACCCCGGUGGUGGUGAGCACCCGCAUGACCCGCCGGAGGUUGGAGCGCUUCGUGGGGUGGAUCCCGGUGUCGGAGGCCAGCUCGGACAAGGUGGCGGCGCCGCCGCGGCGGUGGAUGGCGUCGGGGAUGCGCAGGUCCGUGGCGGCCUUGAGCGCCAGUGACUUGACGAAGGCGAGGCCGUGGUGGUAGAGCUCCAGCUGAGCUUGAAGUAACUCGUCGCUGCUCAUGGCGAGGUCUUGGUCUCGUUCGAUGUGCUGCGCGGCCGGCAUGGUGUAUGUGUAUGAUCGAUCGAGUGUGGUAUGCUAGCUGCUACCUGCUUCUUGCUUCUUCCUUACGUAGAGAAAACGUAGUACCUUCUUAUAGAUAUAGAUGCAUGCGCAUGGUUUCCUAGUAGCUAGCUUCCUUUUGCGGGUUUUUUCUUGUUCAGGGAAGCUUCCUUUUGCGGCUUGGUUUGAGGUUACUGCUUCUAGUUGUAGCCUCCUCCUAUCCUCGCUGUGUGGACGUAGUCUCCCAUUCACCUUAGUAAACAAUUUGGACCUCUCAUUGAGAAGAUUAUAUUUCCACAACAGUUUCUUUUCGUUAUUUCAUUUUUAUGGGGAUUCGUUAAAACCCACCCCUUGAUGCAUGUUCAAGACAAUAGCAUUUCUCAAGGGGCAAAACAAGAGAUGACCUACAAAAAAAAGAUCCUCGUUUGGACCCAUGGUUCUGAAGUCCGUGCACUUCGACCCUACCUAAUUGUUCACUCAAGCACCACAUCACCUUGUGGUCGGCGGGUUAGGAGUAGUAACUACCAUGUGUCCCCAGGGCGCUAGGUGUCCAGGUUUAGUAUAAUAUUGAUGCCAUCUUUCCAAGUGACGGUAUCUUGACAAGUGUUGCUCAGCACUGGUUUGGCUUGGCAGUGGCCAGGCAGCCCGCCCGGGAUCGAUCCCCGUUGGGGACGAUUGCUGGUGUCUCACCAGGGAUUGGCACCCGAAUAGCAUCCCUACACUUUCGUGCCACGCAAAGCAACGAACAAACAAAAACGAAAAUACUAGAAACUUGAGACUCUAGAAGAAUAGAAGAAGCAACGAACCAACAAAAACGAAAAUACUAGAAACUUGAGACUCUAGAAGAAUAGAAGAAGCAACGGAAGUAACCAGAUCUGGAUAAGUGGCGUAUGAAGAAACCUUGGAAUAGAAGAAGAACACUAGUGCAGAACCGGCCUUUAGUGCCGGUUCGUAACGGCCUUUAGUGCCGGUUCUACAACCGGCACUAAAGAGUGGGGACUAAAGGUCCCUCCUCCUUUAGUAUCGGUUUGUCAUGAACCGGCGCUAAAGUGCGAACACGUGGCACGAGCCAGGCCCGGGUGCGCGUAGGGGCUUUAGUACCGGUUGGUAAUACCAACCGGUACUAAAUGUUUGUGUUUUUUUUUAUUUUCCAUUACUUUUUUUGUUUGCUGGUAUUUCACGAUACUACAAAUUGUACACGUUAUGCAUAUAUAUAAAUAGAUUUUCUUGUACGUAUAGAACCGCAUAUAUAGGGUCGAGUGAACAAUUUGGUGAAGCCAUCGCACCAUCACUUGCUCACGCAACCGGGCCUCCUCUCGCAGCCGCUCCCGCUCAUAGCAGCCCGUCCUCAGUCUCAGGNNNNNNNNNNNNNNNNNNNNNNNNNNNNNNNNNNNNNNNNNNNNNNNNNNNNNNNNNNNNNNNNNNNNNNNNNNNNNNNNNNNNNNNNNNNNNNNNNNNNNNNNNNNNNNNNNNNNNNNNNNNNNNNNNNNNNNNNNNNNNNNNNNNNNNNNNNNNNNNNNNNNNNNNNNNNNNNNNNNNNNNNNNNNNNNNNNNNNNNNNNNNNNNNNNNNNNNNNNNNNNNNNNNNNNNNNNNNNNNNNNNNNNNNNNNNNNNNNNNNNNNNNNNNNNNNNNNNNNNNNNNNNNNNNNNNNNNNNNNNNNNNNNNNNNNNNNNNNNNNNNNNNNNNNNNNNNNNNNNNNNNNNNNNNNNNNNNNNNNNNNNNNNNNNNNNNNNNNNNNNNNNNNNNNNNNNNNNNNNNNNNNNNNNNNNNNNNNNNNNNNNNNNNNNNNNNNNNNNNNNNNNNNNNNNNNNNNNNNNNNNNNNNNNNNNNNNNNNNNNNNNNNNNNNNNNNNNNNNNNNNNNNNNNNNNNNNNNNNNNNNNNNNNNNNNNNNNNNNNNNNNNNNNNNNNNNNNNNNNNNNNNNNNNNNNNNNNNNNNNNNNNNNNNNNNNNNNNNNNNNNNNNNNNNNNNNNNNNNNNNNNNNNNNNNNNNNNNNNNNNNNNNNNNNNNNNNNNNNNAUAUAUAUAUAUAUAUAUAUAUAUAUAUAUAUAUAUAUCAUCGAAUGUCUCACAACCAACACCAUUAUUCACACAUACACAUGUAUACAUAUACAAUUUCUCCUACAUAUGUUGCCUUGGUGCCUCCGGAGCACGAUGACAAGUGGUUCAUGGGGGCGGUAGCGGGUAAUAGUAUUCUCCUUCGGGAUUUAUGACCUGGUCGAGCAAAAAUCCGGCUAUUUCCUCUUGAAGUGCUAGUAUGCGGUCCGAUGGUAGGAGCUUAUCCCGUCUCUGAACUGUUAAGAAGGAGAUCAAUAUGCAUGUGUGUUAGUUGUGUGACUAGAUAUCGAUAAUGGUGUGAAUAGUGUUCUGACAAACGUACCCAGUCCUGUCUAUCAGAUUUGCUCCUUUCGGACGUCAUCAUGCGAAUGUUCUCGCAAACGUAGAAUGCACACAAAUUAUUCCCCGACGCCUGCUUCAGGGCCUUUACGAGAAUGAAAUUGAAUCAGAUAAUGAUUAAUUAAUCAAGCAUGAUAAUUAAUUAAUGAUAUUGAAACAAGAAUUAAAGACAUGGUAGCUAGCUAGUACUACUUAAUUACUUACCUUUGGUCGAUGCCAAAACAACUUUUGUUUCCAUUCGCCUGGAGUCACCGCGAUGAACUUUGCCCAUGCCCUGCCCGCCAGGAAAGAAAAUUAAUAAAGGGGUUAUUAAAUAGUUCAUAUCAGAAAAUGACAAACUAAUAAUAGGCCGAGAUAUAUAUAGUUAAUAAUGAUUGAAAUUACCUGUUGACUAUCCCCUUCACGAUGGUGAAGUCACUUUCUUCUUUAGUUAGCGAGUCCGGUAAUUCAACUUUUCCUUCCUCAACUUUAAUGUCUAUCAAGACCCAGUGCCAACUGCAUGCGCACACAUUUGCAUGUCUUAAAUAAGCGGGCAUGUGCAUAAAAUUAAUCAACUACCGUAAACCGUAUACACUUAAUUAUUAAUAUCUAGCUAGAUAGUAAGCAAAAACAGAAUUUGUAGUACAAAACAGUGUGACUCACGGGAAAUUGUAAGGAAGUAGUAUAUCUUCAUUGCUAUUGAGGCGCUUCAAGAACUCUACCAUGCUUUCCUCUACACCUGCUUGAUAAAAUGGAUACUUCCAUAUGUCCUCAUUAAUGGUAUUUGGGUCAAUGAACCCAAUGCCAUAGCAUCCAAAUUUUUUCAUUUCAUACUUCUUCAUCCUGCAUAUAAUACCACAGAAAAGAAUAUAGUGAGGAUAAUUACAUGUAAUGAUUGAUCAAAAUUAUCACUACAUAAUUAGCUUGAGACUUAAAUUACAAAAAGAAAUCACUUACAGACAAUAGCAACUGACAUAGACUUGUCGAGUGCGUCUUGAUUGAAUAACUGAUAUAGUUCUGAAUACUCAAUGGACAGAGCUUUCUCAUGGUAAUAAUGCUCCUUCUUGACAUUCACCAUGAGGGACACUUGAUUGGAAAUCUUGGUCAUGUUCAUGUACCAUUGAUGCAAUUCAUACAUUCUCGUUGGGAGGUCCUUGACCUUGUCUGGAUGGACCAAAGGUUGGCCCCAGGCAUAUUUCCAUUUUAUUUCCGAUUCUUUAAGCGGAGACAUGGGCUCGAUUUCGAGGAGUUGUCCAACAGAGAUCUUGAGCAUUUCAGCCUGCAUUAUAUGCUCCUCCGUUAUUACCACAUCGCCCUGCUAGGGAACGCUAACGGUUUGCCCGCAAUAAUAUUUGGCGUGCAUACUCCUCUCAUGUGUUGUUGGCACAACAAGCGGGGGGAUCUCUUGCGCCGCCUGUUCUCCCAGCUGGGGAACAGUUUUCCCGCAUUUUUUGCCAGCUGCUUGUUGGCUCAAGUUCGAGCUCGCUUCCUUCCGUAGCCGUGCUCGAUGUAGCUUUCUGAUUUGACGCUGAUAGUUUGAGUCAACAGGCUUGGGAGCUGGUGCUCUAGCCAUAUGAAUGAAGUGGUCAAUCAUUUUCUCAGGCACUUUCUCCUUUGGCGGCGGUGCCGGUUUCGGUCCAAAAUGGGCAUCCACUUGGGCCUGCACUAUGGCUGCGUUUUGCUCCUCGGUCAUGUCGUAAGGCCUCUGAGGAAGAGGAGUGAGGCUUGGACCAUAUUUAUAUCGCUUGUCUCCGCCUGUACUUCCUGAACAACCUCGACUCGUACCGCUACGCACCAAAGCUGUGGCAUGUCUCUUCUGUGAUUGCUGAGACGGCGGAGACGGCUGACGUGGAGUUGGACCAGGAGAAGUGGGCUGACGAUGUGCCGGACUUGAAGCAGGAGGUGUGGCCUGACACGGUGCCGGACUUGAAACCGGAGAAGUGGCAUGACGUUGUGCCGGACUUGAAACCGGAGGAGUCAUCUCACGCGUUCGGGGACUUGGAGGUCGUGGCGGACUUCGAGGAGGAGUCGUCUCACGCGUUCGUGGACUUGGAGGAGCGGGAGUCUGUUGACUCGGUGGCGGACUUCGAGGACUCGGCAGACGACGCGGUGUCGGUGGACUUCGAAAGAUGAUGCAAUCAUUUCUCCAUAGGAUGAUACGAUGCAUGGCCUGUCCUAGUGUGCGCUCGUCUUCACCUCCAGGAAUGUCAAGCGUUAGCCCCGAAUAUGGGUCCACCACUUCAUCAACCAUGACACGAGCAUAGCCCUCUGGAAUCGGGAUGCAAUGGUAGGUUGCUUCGGGGGUAACUGGAAAAGCGACGCCGUCCGCCACCUUCAUGGAUAUGUUCUUCAUUUUGGAGUGUAGCUCACAGUUAGUGUUCUCUAUGAUGUCAUCCAUAGGGUAUGUAUCCAGCAGUGUGUCGCCCGGGGCAGAACCAACGCUGCUUCUCGGCAUGGAUGGGAUGGUGCUAUCCAAUGCUGGACGAUCAUCCGCUUGCUGCUGCCGCUGCUGAGACCCCCUUUCCUGGCUAAGUGAGUCGAUCUGCUGCUGCUGCUGAUGGAAUUUUAGUGCCAGGUCCGCGUGCCUUGCUUCUAGGCCUUGAAGACGUUCUGCGUCCUGCUUCCUCUGCUCCUCCUCCAGCUUCCUCUUCUUCUCCUCCUCCAUCUUCUUUCUUGCACGGGACCUGUAGUCGUCAUUCCAGUCCGAAAAGCCCUCAUACCAGGGAAUAACACCCAUGCCUCGUGUUCUUCCCGGGUGUUCAGGAUUUCCCAGGGCACACAUAAGCUCGUCGUUCUCUCUGUUGCGCGUGAACACCCCCGCUCGAGCUUCUUCUAUUGCGUCAAGUAUCUUUUGUUCGGCUCCUUUUAGACUUGCCUUCUUUGAAACGAGGCCUGUCUUUGGGUCCAACGCCCCCCCAUGCGCAUAGAACCAAGUUCUGCACCUGGGGGGCCAGCUCCUAGUAAUCGGAGUGACCCCUGCACCCUCCAUCUCUUGCUCAGACUUAUCCCACUUAGGCAAUCCCACUGCGUAGCCACCUGGACCCAGCCUAUGGAACUGCGUCUUUCUUGCGGCAUUUGCCUUGUUUUUCAUCGACCAUUCCUUAGAUAAUUCUGAAUCCUUGAAGGUCACGAAAUCGUCCCAGUGUUCUCUUUGCUUCUCUAGUGUUCCCUUGAAAUCUGGAGUCUUCCUUUCAUUAGCGAGGUAGUUGGCCCAUACAGUUUUCUUGUGGGUGUUGAAUGCAAUUGCCAUCUUCUUAAGAGCAGCGGCCUUGACUUUCUCCACAUCUGCUUUAGUGAAAUGAUCUGGUAGGGUGAAAUGUUCCAUUAGAGAUUUCACCAAGUCUUCUUUGGCUCUGCCAUCGACCCAAGUAACACCUAGACGUUUAGUUUUUGGCUCUUUCCAUUCUUGAAUGGAGAUCGGGAGUUUGUCCUUCACAAGAACUCCGCACUAAUGAGUCCACUUAUCCGCAACGUUCUUAGGCGUGAGGGGUUCGCCACUAAUUUUGGUGGAUUCGAUGUGGUCCUUUACACCAUCCUUCAACAAUCUGCCCGGGCCUCGCUUUGUCUUGCUGUAUGUAGAAGCAGAUUUGCUCGAUCCGGAGGGCUGAAAGAAGAAAGAUCGAUUCGUUAAUAUAUCUUCAAUAAAAAAACAUGUGAUGAUCACCAGGAUGCAUGCUUAUAUAAAUAUAUACCUCGCCGGAAGUCUUUGUUAUUUGAAGAUCAGCAUUGUCUGUGUCAUCACUAACAUUGUCUGUGUCAUCAUAAUCAUAGUUCAUGACUUCAUCAGCUCUGUCGUCGAGAUCGAAUAUCUUUCCGUCACCCUCUCCGGUAUUGUUCAAAUAUUGGGAGCCGUCAUCAUUCAAAUCAUCUAGCCUCUGAGGGCUGCGUAUGAUGUCGAACAAUUCCUCUUCUCUCUCUCUGCCGGUAUUGUCCGCCAUAGCUUUUACUUUACUAAUUAAUACAGAAGAAAUAUAAAACAAUUUAGUAUUCAAAUUACAAUGCAUGGCUGCAAUUAAUCAAUAAGGAAAAACUGAAUCUCGAAUACAUUGUCUCGAAUAUAUAAUCUCGAAUACAUCAUCGCCUUAACAUAUAUAAUCUCGAAUACAUCGUCUCGAAUAUCAUAUAUCGAAUACAUCACUGGCUAGGUACCUAAUAAAGAUCGAGUACUAUAGAAGAAUCUAGGGCGCCACUCGCGGUUCCUGGGGCGCGGGCGGUGCACACCCAAAGAGAAGGAACCAUCACAGGAUCAUAUCUCCGGUCAUCUGCCCAAAGAACCCGCCAAGUAGUGGAGAACCUGACGUCGUCCAUAGCAGCCAUGUACCGAUGGACCUGCUCAUCUUCCUCCCUGACACGGCGACGCACCACCUCCGGCGGGGCCGACUACCUCUGCACCGAAUGUGGCCCACGCGAACGCCACCAAAGAAGAUCAGGGUCGACGACGGGACCCGAGGUCGGGUUCCUCACCAAGCGGCGCGCCCCUCCAGGUAGCACCUCCCAGUGCCAGCCCGGCGGAGCCCAGUCCCGGACAUGGGUCCUCUGAAGCAUGACGUCGUCGCGAACGGGUCGACGGCGAGGAUGCGGGCCGGGCAUAUCGUCGAGAACAAAUACUAUAUGCCCGCAAAAAGUAACAUUUUUUAAAUGAUUGGAUUGUGAUAACUAAAAUUCUAUAUAUAUGCAAAUUCUAACAAUUUGACAUUAAUCUAAUUCAUCUAACUAAAACUAAUUCUAAAAUUUCCUGAUUAUAUAACUAACAUUUCUAUAACAUUUCUAAUUUUUAUAUAACUAAAAAAUAGAUAAAUUGCUAACAUUUUUAUAAAUAUUUCUAUAACUAAAAACAGAAAACAUUUAUAACAUUUCUAUAUAACUAACAUUUCUAAUAUUUAUAUAACUAAAAAACAGAAUAAUUUCCUAACAUUUCUAUAACUAAAAAACAGAAUUUUUUUAACAAAACAAACUAAUAAUGUGUGUGUGUGUAGUGUGUGUGUGUGUGUGUAGUGUGUGUGUGUGNNNNNNNNNNNNNNNNNNNNNNNNNNNNNNNNNNNNNNNNNNNNNNNNNNNNNNNNNNNNNNNNNNNNNNNNNNNNNNNNNNNNNNNNNNNNNNNNNNNNNNNNNNNNNNNNNNNNNNNNNNNNNNNNNNNNNNNNNNNNNNNNNNNNNNNNNNNNNNNNNNNNNNNNNNNNNNNNNNNNNNNNNNNNNNNNNNNNNNNNNNNNNNNNNNNNNNNNNNNNNNNNNNNNNNNNNNNNNNNNNNNNNNNNNNNNNNNNNNNNNNNNNNNNNNNNNNNNNNNNNNNNNNNNNNNNNNNNNNNNNNNNNNNNNNNNNNNNNNNNNNNNNNNNNNNNNNNNNNNNNNNNNNNNNNNNNNNNNNNNNNNNNNNNNNNNNNNNNNNNNNNNNNNNNNNNNNNNNNNNNNNNNNNNNNNNNNNNNNNNNNNNNNNNNNNNNNNNNNNNNNNNNNNNNNNNNNNNNNNNNNNNNNNNNNNNNNNNNNNNNNNNNNNNNNNNNNNNNNNNNNNNNNNNNNNNNNNNNNNNNNNNNNNNNNNNNNNNNNNNNNNNNNNNNNNNNNNNNNNNNNNNNNNNNNNNNNNNNNNNNNNNNNNNNNNNNGGGGACGGCGUCGAUCGGGGCAGGGCGGCGCGACGGAGAGAGGAAACAGAGGGAAGAAACAGAGGGAAACUGAAUUUUUUGAAGUGUUGUAUAUAUAUAGGAUGGACCUUUAGUAUCGGUUGGAGCCACCAACCGGUACUAAAGGUCUGUUUUGACCAGGCCAAGCGGCGGGAAGCGCACCCCCUUUAGUACCGGGUGGUGGCUCCAACCGGUACUAAAGACCCCCCCCCCCUUUAGUACCAGUUGGUGCCACGACCCGGUACUAAAGGGGUGCGCUGGCGCAGUGCGGUGCGGCAAGUUUAGUCCCACCUCGCUAGUCGAAGGGCUACCGCACUGGUUUAUAAGCCCAGUGCGGUAGCUCUCUCGAGCUCCUCUCCUAAGCAGGCCUACUAGGCCUACCAAUUCAUUGCUGCCAUGUGGGCCUACUGGGCCUUUGCGGGCCUGCAUCCUGGCCCAACAAAAGGUUGAGUUUCUAGUCGUAUGCAGGCUGCUUUGGCUCAGUAGGCGGGCUUUUUUAUUUUCUUAAUUUUUUUGCUUUUUUGUUUUAUUUAUUUUUGAGUUAUUUUUUGCUGUAUUUAGAGUUUCUUUGUGAAUAUUUUUGCUUUAGGUACAAAAAUUUAUAAACUUUGAUCUGUUAGUGCCGGUAGUUUUCAAAUUUGAAUAGUUUAAAUUUUGAAUUAUUUGAAAUUUGUGUGAACCACUAGUUUGUGAAUAACAUAACUUUGAAAAAAGAUUUUUUAGUGAUUCUUUUUUUCUUAUGUUUAAUAUUAGUGUGUUUUAUCAUUAUAUUCAAUUUGGUAAUGCUUAGGUUAUUUAAAAAAUGAAAUGCCUUUGUAACAUUUCAGUUUUCGUCGGAAACCCUGAUACUUCGAAAAAGAUUGUCCAUUUUGUACACGAAGUGUAUCCAGUUUUUGUCGUAACCCUCUCUACUUUUUUGCAUAUGCUAUUUGUAUGAAAUUAUGAUACCAUGCCAACUUUCAACCUUUUCUGAGUUCAUUUCAAAUGCUUUUCAAUUUCAGGGUCAUUUAGCUGGAAAAAAAAUCAGUAAAUGCAUGAAAAGAAUUUGUUUGCACAUAAAAUUUCUUCGCGUUUCAAAUGCCAAAACACAUAAUUAACUAACUAUUAUAGACAUUGCCUCCUGGGUGUGAAACAGAGAAGAAAGUGAUGAUAGUGAAGCCGAUCACAUCCCAGAUCUUUGGGUGUGAAACUUUUUCUUCUCGUUUGUCCCUUUGUGCCGUAGCCAUGGAAAAUCUUCAUCAUUUAACUGGAUGCUCGGGUCAAUAUUCACUGUGAGUGGAGCAAUUUCAUCAAACUUUUCAUAAUCUUCUGACAUGUCUGUCUUGUCAUCCACUCCCACGAUGUUUCUUUUUCCUGAAAGAACUAUGUGGCACUUUGGCUCGUUGUAUGAUCCAUUCGCUUCCUUAUCUUUUCUUUUUCUCGGCCUGGUAGACAUGUCUUUCACAUAGAAAACCUGUGCCACAUCAUUGGCUAGGACGAAUGGUUCGUCUGCAUACGCAAGAUUGUUGAGAUCCACUGUUGUCAUUCCGUACUGCGGGUCUUCCGUUACCCCGCCUCGUGUCAUAUUGACCCAUUUGCACCGAAACAAAGGGACCUUCAAAUCACCUGAUCCAUAGUUAAGUUCCCAUAUGUCCUCUAUGUAACCAUAAUAUGUUUCCUUUCCCGUGUUGGUUGUUGCAUCGAAGCGGACACCACUGUUUUGGUUGGUGCUCUUCUUAUCUUGGGCGAUCGUGUAAAAUGUAUUCCCAUUUAUCUGGUACCCUUUGAAAGUCAUUAUAUUCGAAGAUGGUAACUGGGACAGCGAGUACAGGUUAUUUUGAAUAUCACCAUCAUUCAGGGCACGUUUCUGCAACCAACCGGCGAAAGUCCUCGUUUGUUCACGUGUAAUCCAGUCCUCAAAAUUCUCCGGGUGUUUGGACUGUAGAAAAUUCUUGUGUUCCUCCAUAUACGGAGCCACCAAGGCGGAAUUCUGUAGAACUAUGUAUUGUGCUUCAGUGAGAGAAUGCCCGUCCAUACAUAUUAUUUGAUGCCCUCCUAGUGUGCCUUUUCCUUCCAGUCUGCCCUUAUGCCGCGAUUCAAGAACACCAAUCGGCUUAAGGUUAGGAAUAAAGUCAAUACAAAACUCAAUGACCUUCUCGUUUUCAUGGCCCUUCGAGAUGCUUCCUUCUGGCCUAGCACGGUUAUGAACAUAUUUCUUCAAGACUCCCAUGAACCUUUCAAAGGGGAACAUAUUGUGUAGAAAUACAGGACCCAAAACGUUAAUCUCUUCGCAAAGGUGAACUAGGACGUGCGUCAUGAUGUUGAAGAAGGAUGGUGGGAACACCAACUCGAAACUGAUAAGACAUUGCACCAAAUCAUUCUGUAACCUUGGUAUGAUUUCUGGAUUGAUUACCUUCUGAGAGAUUGCAUUGAGGAAUGCACAUAGCUUCACAAUGGCCAAUCGAACGUUUUCCGGUAGAAGCCCCCUCAAUGCAACCGGAAGGAGUUGCGUCAUAAUCACAUGGCAGUCAUGAGACUUUAGGUUCUGGAACUUUUUGUCUGCCAUAUUUAUUAUUCCCUUUAUAUUCGACGAGAAGCCAGACGGUACCUUCAUGCUGAGCAGGCAUUCGAAGAAGAUUUCCUUCUCUUCUUUGGUAAGAGCGUAGCUGGCCUGACCCUGAUGUAUGUCGUCUUUUCCGUGCAUAUGUUGCUGGUCCUCCCGUGCCUCUGGUGUAUCUUUUGUCUUCCCAUACACGCCCAAAAAGCCAAGCAGGGUCACGCAAAGAUUCUUCGUCUCAUGCAUCACGUUGAUUGCGGAGCGGACCUCUAGGUCUUUCCAAUAUGGCAGCUCCCAAAAUAUAGAUUUCUUCUUCCACAUGGGUGCGCGUCCGUCAGCGUCCUUUGGAACAGGUUGUCCGCCAGGACCCUUUCCAAAGAUUACCUUCAAAUCCUUGACCAUAUCAUGUACAUCAUCACCAGUACGGUGGCGAGGCUUCGUCCGGUGAUCCGCCUGACCUUUGAAAUGCUUGCCUUUCUUUCUUACGGGAUGCCUGCUCGGAAGAAAUCGAUGAUGUCCCAGGUACACAUUCUUCUUACAACUAUUCAAAUAUAUACUGUCGGUAUCAUCCAAACAGUGCGUGCAUCCGCGGUAUCCCUUGUUUGUCUGUCCUGAAAGGUUACUGAGAGCAGGCCAAUCAUUAAUGGUCACGAACAAUAACACCUUUAGGUCAAAUUCUUCCCCCAUGUGCUCAUCCCACGCACGUACAACUGUUCCAUUCCACAGUUGUAAGAGUUCUUCAACUAAUGGCCUUAGGUACACAUCAAUGUCGUUGCCGGGUUGCUUAGGGCCUUGGAUGAGCACUGGCAUCAUAAUGAACUUCCGCUUCAUGCACAACCAAGGAGGAAGGUUAUACAAACAUAGAGUCACAGGCCACGUGCUAUGGUUGCUGCUCUGCUCCCCAAAAGGAUUAAUGCCAUCUGCGCUUAGACCAAACCAUACGUUCCUUGGGUCACCUGCAAACUCCUCCCAGUACUUUCUCUCGAUUUUUCUCCACUGCGAACCGUCAGCGGGUACUCUCAACUUUCCAUCUUUCUUACGGUCUUCUGCGUGCCACCGCAUCGCCUUCGCAUGCUCUUUGUUUUGGAACAAACGUUUCAACCGUGGUAUUAUAGGAGCAUACCACAUCACCUUGGCAGGAAUCUUCUUACUGGGGUGCUCACCUUCGACAUCACCAGGGUCAACGCGACUGAUCUUAUAACACAAUGCACCGCAUACCGGGUAAGCAUUCAAAUCCUCGUACUCACCGCGGUAGAGGAUGCAAUCAUUAGGGCAUGCAUGUAUCUUUUGCACCUCUAACCCUAGAGGGCAGACAGCCUUCUUUGCUUCAUACGUACUCUCGGGCAAUUCGUUGUCCUUUGGAAGCAUAUUCUUUAUCAUUACCAACAACUUUCCAAAUCCCUUGUCAGAUACACCAUUCUUUGCCUUCCAUUGCAGCAAUUCAAGUGUGGUGACCAACUUUUUUUUGUCAGCUUCGCAAUUCGGGUACAACAAUUUCUUGUGAUCCUCUCACAUGCACUGCAACUUCGUCCUCUCCAGAUCACUUGCACAGUUUCUCUUUGCAUCGGCAAUGGCCCGACCUAGAUCAUCAGUGGGCUCAUCUGAUGCCUCUUCUUCAACUUCUUGCUACAUUGCCGGCUCAGCUUCUUCCCCCAUUGUUGUAUCAUUGUAUUCAGGGAACCCAUGGCCAGGAUAGCCGUCGUCGUCCUCUUCUUUUUCAUUGUCUUCCAUUAUAACCCCUAUUUCUCCGUGCUUGGUCCAAACAUUACAGUGGGGCAUGAAACCGGACUCAAAUAGGUGGACGUGAAUGGUUCUUGACGUAGAGUAACUGUGACCAUUCUUACAGCCAGCACAUGGACAAGGCAUAAAACCAUCCGCCUGCUUGUUUGCCUCAGCGGUAAGCAGAAAAGUAUGCACACCAUUAAUGAACUCGGGAGAGCAUCUGUCAUCAUAUAUCCAUUGUCGGCUCAUCUUCAUUACACAACACCGAAUAGACCAAAUUAAUACAAGUUCAUACAUAAAGUUCAUAUACAACACUUAAUUAAAUGCAACAUACAAAUUACUCUCUAGCUAAAGAAUUUAAAUGCAACAACAAAUGUGAUGAAGAUCGCAAUUAAGGUAACAAUUGAUCCAACAUCAUAAUGAUACCAAGCCACACUAUCAAUGGCAUAUUUUCUAAUCUUUCUAAUCUUCAACCUCAUUCGACGACAUCGGCAACAUGCAACUCCAAUUCCAUCUUCUCCACCUCAAUUCUUUUCAAUUUUUCUUUCAAAUACUCGUUUUCUCUUUCAACUAAAUUUAACCUCUCGACAAUAGGGUUGGUUGGAAUUUCCGAUUCACAUACCUCCUAGAUAAAAAUAUCUAUGUCAACUUGAUGGGCAUAAUUGGUCAUAAACAAGAAAUGCAACAACUAGUUUUAAAUGAGAAUAUACCACAUCCGAAUCAUAACAAGGACGAGGGCCGACGGGGACGGAUAUCAAAACCAUGGCACUAUGUAUAACAAACAACGUCUGGGUAAGAUAAUUAUACGAGUAACUAUAUAUCUAAAUCACACAAACAUCAAUUUGGUAAUGUAAAACAUUCAUGAACAAGAGCCUCACCACAAGGUGGUGCCGGCGACGGGACGGUGCAGGCGAUCGACGGUGGUUACGACGGAGAUUUAGCAGGCACUAAGUAAACCACACCUACAUAUGCAAACUAAGUGUUAUUUUUGACCUCAAAUUGCAUAUAAAUCAAAUACUAGCAAAUAUAAUUCCUCCCAAAUUAAUCACUAUACAAAGCAUUGCAAGAGCUAAUCUAGCAAUGAGAGUUGAAAGGACAAAGUUGCUAACCUUUGUGAUCAUUUGAAUGGAUGGGGGCCUUCAAAUCUUGACAAAUUUUGGGCAAAAUUUGUGAGGAGCUCGAGGAAGAGAGGGGAAGAACAGAGGAAGUGAGGGGAAAGGGGAAGAACAGAGUGGCUCGGGUGGACGAAGGGUUUAUGUAGGUCGACCUUUAGUACCGGUUCGUGCCACGAACCGGUACUAAAGGUGCUAGAGGGGCCCCAGACUGACAACACCCUGCCAACACUCUCUUUAGUACCGGUUCGUGGCACGAACCGGUACUAAAGGUUCGCCAUGAACCGGUACUAAUGAGAACGGCUGGCUAGCCGUUGGAACCGGCACUAUUGGACACAUUAGUGCCGGCUCAAAAUCAAACCGGCACUAAUGUGUCUCAUAUUAGGUCCGUUUUCUACUAGUGGAAGAUAUAGGAGGCUGAGCUUGGAAGACAAGAAGGAAACAAAAAGAUGGUUAGAAGAGUAGAAGAAGCAAGAUGGUAGAAGAGUAUAAGAAGCAAACAUGAGUGCCAAGUUAAAAAAGUUUGAGGAUAGAAGAGUAGAAGAAACAACGGAAGUGACUGGACCCGGACAAGUGGCAAGAAACCUUAGAAUUAGAAGAAAGAAAAUAUUGACGGGCUAUAUGAGCUUGGAAGACACCAAGGAAAAAUAUGGUACAUGAGUAGAAGAAGCAAUCAUUAGUGCCAAGUAAAGUCUAAGGAUAGUUGUUGGAAUAGCUCUAGUCUCUUAGAGAAAGUUAAGAAUAGUUGUGAUAAUAGUUGUAAUAACAUGGUAAGGAGUAGUAUUUUGUUAGAGGUAGUUUAGAAAGAGGUGGAAUUUAAGAUCUGUUCAAUAUGUCUUGCUGGUGUGGUGGAUGAAAAUACUAAGUCCGUAAUCCUGUUUAUCUCUGGUUUCAUUCCAGUAAUGGAAUUGGGAGCUAUGCUCCGUAAUUCAAAAAAUGAAGUGAUGGUAUCUUUUCAUAGUUGAACUUUUAUAAUGCCUUCCUUUCAAUUUGUGUCGUCUCAUAAAAGCCAUCUAGGAGCAUCCAAGAUACUUCAAAUGAGAAGCCGUUCCUAUUACCGAGGUGUGCCAAAUUUGCUGAUCAACUUAGACUAGCCAUAAAAGUAGUAACGUAGGUAAUAACAUAAAACUCAAUGCAAUGCCAACAAGAUAUCUUGAGUACAUGGCAUGUCAACGAAUGAGGAAGAGAAUCUUGUGAUAACUAGCUAUGUUACCAUAUAACAUCACAAACUCCAAAACAAGAUUAGUAUACAACCUAAUAAAUGGAACUUUGCAUGAUACUAGCCAUUAGUUACUACCCACUAUGAAGGUGGUAACAUAGACUAGAAACAUAGGCAUGACACUAGUCUAUGUCACUCCCCACAAUAACUAGUCUUAAUGAUAUGGGCCUUCGUCUAUUGGUCUGGGCUUGGUCAACGGAUGCCGAACUGCUCUACACCAAUGAUAAUAGCUUCGGUUGCAGAAUAUGGAAAGUUACCUAUUUGACAGAAGAAAUUAUGUGUUUGGCUAUUUUGUAGAAAGUGAUGUAUUCUCCAAAAAAUGAUGUAUUUUGUAGAAAAUGGAAAGUUAACCCGGUAAAUUUUUUAUUAAUUUUUUGUUUACACACGUACAAAAAAAGUAUGUGCAAAUCUAAAAGAAAAUAAAACAUAAAAAAGUCAAAUAAAGUUACAUGUCCAAUCAGAAAAAUUUACAUAAGCAUUCCGUUUAAUCCUAAAUAUUAUCCAUCUAAGAUCCUCUUUGAAGAAAGCCCUUGCUAUGAAAAGACUUGGUCUCUUAUAUUGUUACAUAUGUCAACAUUUCUGGUUUGCCCAAUAACCCAUGCACCAAGCCUGAUGAUUUCUAUGAAAAAACGUUCUUGAGUUUGCAGAAUGUCUUUUAGUUUACAUUCCUGUUUCCACAUAUAAGUUCCCGAUCCCAAAAAUUACAUUUUUUUCAUCCUUUCUAGCUGUUAUCACCCCUACAACAAUAGAAUACUUAUCAUAUACAUACAUAAUGCAUAUUUGAUCAUCUAUUAGACACAUAGGAACAUCUCAGGCACUAGCACUUGAUGGCCUUUUGUCAAAUACAGAAAAUCCAAAUCAUCACGUCGCAUCAAUCCAUGUCGCCUCUCCUCCUUGCCUCCAUGGCCAGCCAGGAGAGCCUUCACCGCACCACCAGUAAGCUCGACGGUAGCUAGCAAUCUCAAGGUUAUUCAAGGAGGUGUUGCCCCUUUCUUCCACUACUUUCUUUGGCUAGAAGAGCAUCAGCGCGAAGAAGAGACCUAGGACGCCGGGGAUUUGACCUAACAUGGUGUUCUCCAGGUAGUACAAGUUAAUGACAAGUACUCGCUCCGUUUCAAAAUAUAAGAUGUUUUAGCUUUGUGAAGUGAGUGUAUCUAGACUCUUUUGAUCUUUAGGUUCACUCUGAACUAUAAACUAAAGAUAUCUAGAUACAUUUGCUUCACAAAGCUAAAACAUCUUAUAUUUUGAAACGGAGGGAGUAGGUGUUGAAGGGGACGGCCAGAAUUGGGAGUGUAGGAAAGGAGCAUGUCGUUUCGUGUAGGAUGCGGUUGUGUCCAAGCCUGCUUCAAGAAUUGAAGUGUUCGUGGGGAGGCGUGACGAAAGGGAUCCAACGUUAUGUUAUUUGAUUAACACGUGUGGAGUUAAAUAAAGAAUGAUUAGUUUAAGGUUGAAGUAGUUUCUCCUAGUUGGUUUAUGAGGCGUAUGAAUUCAGCCGACGGUUCAGAUUAAACGACAAAGAUUAGUCCCAUAGAUCCAACAAGACAUAAUCAUUAGAAGAAACUGUAAUAAAACUAAUAGUAUCAGGAUAGGCCUAGGCCCAUCAAUUGCCAAAGCAACGCACAAAAUCCCGACGCAACUAUCUCCUGCGAGCACACCGCCGCCUCCACACCCACCAGCUACCACGCCGCCGCCUCCACAUCCAGUCAUCCACCAGCCACCACGCCCCCACCUCCAUCUAGCCCACGGCGACCGCCCAUUCCACUGUCGAGCACUCUGCCGCCAGCUUGACAGCGUUCGUUACCUCAUCAACAUCGGACGCCUCAUCUUUGGAAGGUUGUGUCACUCUGCUGAACCCCCUACUGUAAACCUAGCCUCCUUUGACGGCAGCCCAGACUAUGCCCUGUUCGAUUUAUGGUUUCACUUACAGGUACAUGAGUGGUACUACUAAUUCUAAUUUCCUAGACGACAUGAGCACCUAAUUAGAUGAGCCCUUAUCCAGCAGGAGACCCAGGAAAGCAUUCGUGAUGGAGAUUGGUCGUGCAACAUGAUGCUCUGGCUAUGCUUUGAAUUUCCUGCAUAUUUACCUUACUAACAAGCAUCACUGAAUGGAAAUUAGAAUCAUCAAAUUAUGUUAGUUAUGAAGCAUGUUGAUGUUUGAACAAUUUACCAAUGUCGGUGACACAACUAGUACACAUGAAAAGCCCAACAACCAUUGGUGUAUGUAGAUGAUAUGACCUUCAACCUUUUUAGUCUUUGUUCCAUUUACUGAAGUGUUGUAUCACUUAAUUCUGCGAAUCAUUUAUCAACCACACCAAGGUAUCCAUUUUAAUUAUUUGUGUCAGUACCAAAGUAAUUGUAUGAGAAUAAUUAUUUGUUUUCCAUGGAAAAUAAUUUUUCAUCUGUAUUGUUCUGCCAAUUGUAUUUCUAGUAUCCUAUGCAUAUUAUUUACUGUCUCUUUUUCUUUAUAUACCAUGCAGUUUGUGAUUUCAGAAAACAACCAAUCAAGUCUGUGAUACUCAUCUAUAUUCUGGUGAGUUAAAGAUCCAUAUGAAGUUUGUUGGGCAUCAUCUAAUCUUAUUAUGUGCCUUGUCUAGAGUUGAUUAGCUCUAGUUUUUAUAUUAGUAUUCUUAAUGCUGAAGUUUGUGUGUUCGAUUUGUUGGAAAACAGAUGAAUGCAACAACUGAUCAGGUUCAAGAAAGAUGAAGCAAGAAAUGUUGUUUCCCAGGCUCUAAAUCUGAAGCUUCCUUUUGAUGAGAUAGAUUUGAUGGAGGAGAACCUAGAGGUGGAGCUGAUCAGGAGGCAACUGGGUCUUCAGCAUGUUAGGUCCUGAUGAUAAGUCAAUUUUGACGUUAAAUGUGAACCUAUUUCUAAGACUUGUCAAUCACAAUUUUUUCUCAAGGACCAAAUUAGUUGCUGAAAUCUGCUGUUUUCCCAAAUCAUCUACUCUUCUGGGAGCUCUUUGUGAUAUCAUCGAUACUAGUACUUCUCAAGCAGAGCAAUAAUACUGAUAUAAAAAGGUACUUCUGCUUUCCAUUUGCACGAUACAUGAAGAAUAAUAAGAGGUAGAAAGUGCAAGUAACACUUGCAUGAUCAUGCAAGUCUUUGUGAGCACCUCCAUUUGUCCUAGGAAUGUCAUAAUUUUCUGAAGAGUAUUCACUUCGGAAAGCAGGAGCUAAAAACCUAUUUUAGCCUGUUUAUGCUAUCAGCAUUCUUGCUGAUGUCCAUGUUCUGCUCGAGGAUAUCAAAGAGCAGAAACAAAGAAUCAGGUAAAUUUUGAACCCCGUUGAAGAAUUGAUUGGAGGGAGCUAGCUCUUUAGCUCAGUAUGGGAUAUAGUGUUCACCAUUUGUUACUGCAAAUGAACCAAGUGGUUCACCUAUAUGUAAGCUUACGCGCACCUUUGGAAGGAGCGGCAGUCCCUCAUGGAGUGCGUAGACCUCUUGACCCCGUCCCUGUCGGUAAAGCUUAUUGGAAAUAUGAGCAAACUACUAUGAGUUUUAAUCCAAAUAAACAGAUGAUAAAUCAUGACAGCACUAGCAAAGAUUAAACUAAUCAUGUGAAAUAGCAUAGUAGAUGAACAAAUGACAUCUAGGGCACAUACUAGAAACAUGAAUUCUACCACGAUCUCGAAUAGGAAGGAUAGAAUCACAUACGGUGCAGCGGGUGCAGCACCGCCGGCGUUGACGUUGUCGCCCAUGUCAUUGAGGAUGAGGUUGCCGAGGUUGGGGAAGAAGUCGUCGUUCGCGAAGUCGUCGCUGCGAGCAGUCGCGCAAGUGCGCUCCCCAAAAACCUGAUCGCCCCUCUCCCAUACACGAUCAUGAGAGGCGGGGUUCCAGAGGCCUGCUGUCCCUUCUCCCGGUGCACGCCGAAAGGAGGGAUGGAGAAGACUAGCUUGGCGGCUCAAUGAUCUGGAACGGUGGUGAGAAACCAUACGAAGCGGCAACUACUACGGUAGACGUCUUCCUGACUAUAUAGUGCGGGCCGGGUAGGUCGUGGGAGUUAACCCCACGUCCGAGUUGUCACGAUCCAAAAGAAUCGGAAAUGGUUCAGUAAUUAACUCGUCCAUUGCUUAUUAAUUAAUGACUCAUUAAUUUUUCCCGAGCAGCAAAAAUAUAGACAACAUGCAUAGCUCUGUCCUCGGCUCGCCUCAAUCCUGCAACCCGCGGCGCGGUGCGGCGUCGGCUUCGAUCUCGACGUGGACUCCUGUCACCUCCGAUAACGGUAGCGCACUUGAGACAUGGAGUGGAUGAGAUGUCGAUGAGGCGGGUGUCGACGAAAUCUUUGGCACAAGGGGACGAGAUCCUCCGCGGUCCACCCGACGAUGGGGGUGAUGCUGGUGCAGGGGCUGGCGUGACCAGCAUAUCCGUACCCAACGUGAUCGGAGUACGGAGUCGAACGGACCCGACGAUGUUGAUGUGGAAGCGGAGGCUCCCAAAAGUCAAAUCGAUACCCUUGUGGAGGGUGCUGAACACGGCGCGUUGCGCCAGGGUGUGUGGCACGAACUCGAGGGAGCCGAAGAAGAUCUGCUCCGCAAGAGUCGACGAACUGCCAUUCGUUGAGAUGAGGAUCGGAGACUCCAUGGGUCCAGUAGACGAAAUUCCCACAUACGGCGCCAAUCAACGAGGGAGUACCUCGGCAAUGCCCAUGGUUGUGGACUUAGGGUUUUGAUGAAUCAUGUCUACCGGUGGAAUCGACGAUCUAAACGUGAGGUGUGAAACACAAGACACAGAUUUACCCAGCUUCAGGCCCUUUUAAAGGAAACCCUACGUGUUGCUUGUCGGAUCUUUAUAUUGAUGGAGUGUACAAAGUCGUUGAGAUCGGAGACUAGGGUUAGCCCUUGCGCAUGGCCAAGGCUAGAUCAAUCGUGAUGGUGGUUGUGAGGUUUGUGUGCGUUAUUGUUGUGUCGACCCCGUACCCCUCUCCCAGCCUUUAUAGACUAGGCUGGGUCCCGAGUUCGUAUCAGGAUCAGUUUACAUCAUGGUAAGGGGGUUUCCCUAUCUACUUACAAUAGCACUUCCUUACGGAUCACGUCAUGUCCGUGGGCUUCCUGGGCUCCAAGCGUGGCGAUGACCUGGACCUCGAGUCCUUCCAGCCCGCAGGCCUCCUGUUAUGCGAUACCAGGUAUCCUUAUGGUGGGCACCCGCAAUGUCAUGCCCACAACAAUCAUCCAAAUUAUCAUGCCUAUCUUAAUGGCUAUAAAGACAGAGCUUUUGGGAGACAACCCAUUAUAUUUUUUUCUUUCAGUUUAUUUUUGUUUCUUUGAGUCUUGGAAGUUAUUACCUCUAUAAUAACCUCUCCUUAUCCUUCUUGUUUCAUUUUUGUGCCAAGAAUAGCCACUAAUGGGAGGAAAGUGAGAUUUGGGGAAGUUGCUGUCCCGAAACUGAUUUUGUGCUGUCACCAAAAAAAUUAAUUCUCUCAGCCAGAACGUCGGAUUGAUAUGAAAUGUUUUAUGCUCAUGCCCCAGGUUGUUACCCAACUUGUUCUAUGGUGCUCUCCGUGUCGCGCAAGCGUGAGGGAUCCCCGCUGUAGGGUUUGCAAUAUGUUCAUGAUUUGCUUAUGGUGGAUGGCGUUAGUGACAUAAGCACAGACCUGAGUAAGUAGGUUGUUUGCGUAUGGGAUAAAGGGGACUUAAUACUUUAAUGCUAUGGUUGGGUUUUACCUUAAUGAUCUUUAGUAGUUGCGGAUGCUUGCUAGAGUUCCAAUCAUAAGUGCAUAUGAUCCAAGUAGAGAAAGUAUGUUAGCUUAUGCCUCUCCCUCAAAUAGAAUUGCAAUAGUGAUUACCGGUCUAGUAACGUAGUCAAUUGCUUAGGGACAAUUCCACAACUCCUACCACCACUUUUCCACACUCGCUAUAUUUACUUUAUUGCUUCUUUAUCUAAACAGCCCCUACUUUUUAUUUACGUGCUCUUUAUUAUCUUGCAAACCUAUCCCAACAACACCUACAAAGUGCUUCUAGUUUCAUACUUGUUCUAGGUAAAGCGAACACUAAGCGUGCGUAGAGUCGUAUCAGUGGCAGAUAGGGCUUGAGAGAGUAUUGGUUCUACCUUUAGCUUCUCGUUGGGUUCGACACUCUUACUUAUCAAAAGAGGCUACAAUUAUCCCGUAUACUUGCGGGUCAUCAAGAUCUUUUUCUGGCGCCGUUGCCGGGGAGUCAUAGCGUGGGGUGAAUAUUCUCGUGUGUGCUUGUUUGCUUUAUCACUAAGUAAUUUUUAUUUGCUGUUCUUAGUUGCUCUAUAUCUUUAGUUAUGGAUAUGGAACACGAAAUACCAAAAACAUUAGGUGUACUUCAUACUCAUGGAGAUGGGGAACCUCCUAAAACCCUCGAUGCUCGUUAUGUGAAAGACAUUAUGUACUACUUUAAUAAUCCUGAGAAACCCCCAUUCAAUUAUGUUAUGGGUGACACGUUGGAUCAACGUAAAUACUUUAGGGAUUAUCGCUUGACACAAAAAGGGAAACUAUUAUGGGAUAAAAUUAAUAUGUUGCCUUGGUAUGCUCUGGAUUUAUGCUUGAGAUAUGAUAUUACUUUUUGCUCUAGGAUGAAGGCUCCACACCUUCCCUUUUCAUGCAAAUUUAAUGAUAAUGAAACCUUAGCUUCUUAUGCUAGAAGUAUAUAUGAUUACUAUGAUGUUGAACAAAUUGAAGAAUUUGUUGCUUUUAAGGCUACUUAUGAAAUUGAAUCUUUGUUUGAAAAGUAUGAAGCUUUAGAUGAUGAUGUUUAUAGGCUUGAAAAUUAUGCUAUAUUGAAAUAUUGCUAUGAAAAUUAUGAAUACAAUUACAAUAUUAAUGCAUUUGUUGAGAAAGUCUCCGCUGUCCAAGAAGAGACUAAUAUUUUGCAGGAAGUUAUGGAAGAAGAAAUUGAUGAAACUGUGAGCCCAUUGGAUGAAAAAGAUGAUGAGGAGAGCGAAGAACAAAAGGAGGAAGAGCGGAUUGAUCAGCCGUGCCCACCUUCUACGGAGAGUAACUCUUCAACUCAUACAUUGUUUAAUUCCCCUUCGUGCUUACCGAAGGAUGACUGCUAUGAUGAUUGCUAUGAUCCCAUUGAUUCUCUUGAAAUAUCCAUUUUUGAUGAUACUUGCUAUGCUUGUGGCCAAGAUGCCAAUAUGAAUUAUUCUUAUGGAGAUGAACUUGCUAUAGUUCCUUAUGUUAAACAUGAAAUUGUUGCUAUUCCACCCACACAUGAUAGUCCUAUUAUCUUUUUGAAUUCUCCCGACUACACUAUAUCGAAGAAGUUUGUUCUUAUUAAGGAUUAUAUUGAUGGGCUUCCUUUUACCAUUACACAUGAUAAUUUUUAUGAAUGUGAUAUGCAUGUGCUUGCUGCUCCUACUUGCAAUUAUUAUGAGAGAGGAACUAUAUCUCCACCUCUCUAUGUUUCCAAUAUGAUAAAAUUGCAAGAAACUGCUUAUACUAUGUGUUGGCCUUUACUAUGUGUGCAUGAAUUGUUUUUUAUGACAUGCCUAUGCAUAGAAAGAGAGGUAGACUUUGUUUUUGCAUGAUAUAUGUUACUUUGUGCUCACUAAUAAAUUACAAAUCAUUGUUAAUUAAAAUUGGCUUUGAUAUACCUUGGGAUCCGGGUGGAUUCAUUACUUGAGCACUAUAUGCCUAGCUUAAUGGCUUUAAAGAAAGUGCUGCCAGGGAGACAACUCGGAAGUUUUAGAGAGUCAUUUAUUUCUGUUGAGUGCUUUUAUAUAGUUUAAAAACAAACAAUAAAUAAAGAGGGGAACCUAAAAACUUUUCAAAAAGGAAAGUGAAAGUGAGAGAGACAAGCAUUGUUGAAGUGGGAGAGCUCCUUGAACUUUGUUCAUGCUCACAGAAACUUUGUGAAUCUUGAUUACAGAAACUUUUCAUCAAAAAUAAUUAUCCCCUUGUACAAUUCCAUUGUAUUAUAAAAAUAAUGUGACAAGGUUUGCCUUUAGGAUGUUUACAAUGCUUGUUGGUUUGUACGGUGCAGGACAGAAACUUUGGCUGUAGUGCUCGAUUUUACAUUUUUUGCCGAAAUGGUUCUUAUUCCUUUUGCACUGUCUUUCUGUACAACUUGUUUAUUUUUCCUAAUUUUGGUAGAAUUUUUGGGUACAGAAGUAUGGUGAAUGUUCAGAUUGCUACAGACUGUUCUAUUUUUGACAGAUUCUGUUUUUGAUGCAUAGUUUGCUUGUUUUGAUGAAUCUAUCAAUUUAUAUCAGUGGAUUAAGCCAUGGAAAAGGUAUAUUAUAGUAGACACAAUGAAAAAACAAAAUAUGAAUUGGUUUGCAACAGUACUUAGAGUGGUGAUUUUCUUUAUUAUACUAACGGAUCUUACCGAGUUUUCUGUUGAAGUGUUGUGUGGAUGAAGUGUCUAAUCGAGGAGGUCUCAAUAUGAGGAAAAGGAAGAGAGGCACGAGCUCAAGCUUGGGUAUGCCCGAGGCACACCAAGUAAAUAUUCAAGGAGACUCAAGCGUCUAAGCUUGGGGAUGCCCCGGAAGAUAUUCCCUCUUUCUUCAACAAGUAUCGGUAUGUUUUCGGAUUCGUUUCGUUCAUGCGAUAUGUGCAAGUCUUGGAGCGUCUUUUGCAUUUAGUUUUCAUUUUUAUUUUAUGCACCAUGCUGGUAUGAGAUAGUCCUUGGUUGAUUUAUAAAAUUCUCAUUGCACUUCACUUAAAUCUUUUGAGUGUGGCUUUAUAGAAUGCUUCAUGUGCUUCACUUAUAUCAUUUGAAGUUUGGAUUGCCUGUUUCUCUUUACAUAGAAAACCGCCAUUUGUAGAAUGCUCUUUUUGCUUCACUUAUAUUUGUUAGAGCGUGGACAUAUCUUUUGUAGAAAGAAUUAAACUCUCUUGCUUCACUUUAUCUAUUUAGAGAGAUGACAGGAAUUGGUCAUUCACAUGGUUAGUCAUAAAAUCCUACAUAAACUUGUAGAUCGCUGAAUAUGAUAUGUUCGAUUCCUUGCAAUAGUUUUGCGAUAUAAAGGUGGUGAUAUUAGAGUCAUGCUAGCGGGUGGUUGUGGAUUGUAGAGAAACUUGUGUUGAGGUUUGCAAGUCCCGUAGCAUGCACGUAUGGUAACCGUUGUGUGACAAAUUUGAAGCAUGGGGUGUUUCUUUGAUUGUCUUCCUUAUGAGUGGCAGUCGGGGACAAGCGAUGGUCUUUUCCUACCAAUCUAUCCCCCUAGGGGCAUGCAUAGUAGUACUUUGCUUCGAGGGCUAAUAAAUUUUUUGCAAUAAGUAUAUGAGUUCUUUAUGACUAAUGUGAGUCCAUGGAUUAUACGCACUUUUACCUUUCCAUCAUUGCUAGCUUGUUCGGUACCGUGCAUUGCCCUUUCUCACCUCGAGAGUUGGUGCAAACUUCGCCGGUGCAUCCAAACCCCGUGAUAUGAUACGCUCUAUCACACAUAAGCCUCAUUAUAUCUUCCUCAAAACAGCCACCAUACCUACCUAUCAUGGCAUUUCCAUAGCCAUUCCGAGAUAUAUUGCCAUGCAACUUCCAUCAUCAUCACAUACAUGACUUGAGCAUUUAUUGUCAUAUUGCUUUGCAUGAUCGUAAGAUAGCUAGCAUGAUGUUUUUAUGGCUUGUCCGCUUUUUGAUGUCAUUGCUACGCUAGAUCAUUGCACAUCCCGGUACACCGCCGGAGGCAUUCAUAUAGAGUCAUAUCUUUGUUAUAGUAUCGAGUUGUAAUAUCGAGUUGUAAGUAAAUAAAAGUGUGAUGAUCAUCAUUAUAGAGCAUUUCCCCAUAAAAAAGAAAAAUGAAAGGCCAAAGAAGCCUAAAUAAGAAAGGGGGCCAAAGAAGCCCACCCAAAAAGAAAAAAAAAGAAAAAAAAGAAAGAAAAAAGAAAAAGAAAAGGGGCAAUGUUAUUAUUCUUUUACCACACUUGUGCUUCAGAUUAGCAGCAUGUUCUUCAUAUAGAGAGUCUCAUAUGUUGUCACUUUUAUUUACUAGUGGGAAUUUUCAUUAUAGAACUUGGCUUGUAUAUUCCAAUGAUGGGCUUCCUCAAAUACCCUAGGUCUUCAUGAGCAAGCAAGUUGGAUGCACACCCACUUAGUUUUCAGUUUGAGCUUUCAUACACUUAUAGCUCCUAGUGCAUCUGUUGCAUGGCAAUCCCUACUCCUCGCAUUGACAUCAAUUGAUGGGCAUCUCCAUAGCCCGUUGAUUAGCCACGUCGAUGUGAGACUUUCCCUUUUUGUCUUCUGCAUAUAAACCUCCACCAUUAUAUUCUAUUCCACCUAUAGUGCUAUAUCCAUGGCUUGCGCUCAUGUAUUGCGUGAGGGUUGAAAAAGCUGAAGCGCAUUAAAAAGUAUGAACCAAUUGCUUAGCUUUUGAUCGGGGUUGUGCAUGAUGGGAGCAUUUCGUGUGACGAAAAUGAAGCAUGGCCAAACUAUAUGAUUUUGUAGGGAUAAGCUUGCUUUGGCCUUGUUGUUUUGAAAAGACAUGAUUGCUUUAUUAGUACGCUCGAAGAAUUAUUGUUUUUAUGUCAAUUGAUAGACUAUUGCUUUGAAUCACUCGUAUCUAAAUAUUCAUGCCAUGAUUAGACAUAUGAUCAAGAUUAUGCUAGGUAGCAUUCCACAUCAAAAAUUAUCUCUUUUAUCAUUUACCUACUCGAGGACAAGAGGAAUUAAGCUUGGGGAUGCUGAUACGUCUCCGUCGUAUCUAUAAUUUUUGAUUAUUCCAUGCCAAUAUUCUUGAACUUUCAUAUACUUUUGGCAACUUUUUAUACUAUUUUUGGGACUAACAUAUUGAUCCAGUGCCCAGUUCCAGUUCCUGUUUGUUGCAUGUUUUAUGUUUUGCAGAAGACCAAUAUCAAACGGAGUCCAAACGGGAUAAAAAUGGACAGAGAAUUAUUUUGGAAUAUUUGGGAUUUUCCGGAGGAAGAAUCAACGCGAAACAGUGUCUGAGGUGGCCAGGAGAUAGGGGGGCGCCCUCCCCCAUGGGCGCACCUGGCACUCUCCUGGGCCACCCGUAAGGCGGUUGACGCUCUUCUUUUGCUGCAAUAAAUCUAAUUUUAUGAGAAAAAUCUGGGCGAAAGAUUCACCCCAAUCGGAGUUACGGAUCUUAAGAUAUAAAACAAACGGUGAAGGGGCAGAAUCUGAGAACGCAGAAACAGAGAGAUAAAUCCAAUCUCGGAGGGGCUCUCGCCCCUCCCAAGCCAUGGGAGCCAAGGACCAGAGGGGAAACCCUUCUCCCAUCUAGGGAGGAGGUCAAGGAAGAAGAAGAAGAAGAAGAAGAAGGGGGGCUCUCACCCCUUGCUUCCGGUGGCGCCGGAACGCCCCGGGGGCCAUCAUCAUCACUGUGAUCUUCUCCAACGCCUCCGCCAUCUUCAUCAACAUCUCCAUCACCUUCCCCCAUCUAUAUUCAGCGGUCCACUCUCCCGCAACCCACUGUACGCUCUACUUGAACAUGGUGCUUUAUGCUUCAUAUUAUUAUCCAAUGAUGUGUUGCCAUCCUAUUAUGUCUAAGUAGAUUUCCAAUGUCCUAUCGGUGAUUGAUGAAUUGCUAUGAUUGGUUUGAGUUGCAUGCUUUAUUAUUGGUGUUGUCCUAUGGUGCUCUCUAUGUCGUGCAAGCGUGAGGGAUCCCUGCUGUAGGGUUUGCAAUAUGUUCAUGAUUUGCUUAUGGUGGGUGGCGUGAGUGACAGAAGCACAGCCCCGAGUAAGUAGGUUGUUUGCAUAUGGGAUAAAGGGGACUUGAUACUUUAAUGCUAUGGUUGGGUUUUACCUUAAUGAUAUUUAGUAGUUGCGGAUGCUUGCUAGAGUUCCAAUCAUAAGUGCAUAUGAUCCAAGUAGAGAAAGUAUGUUAGCUUAUGCCUCUCCCUCAAAUAGAAUUGCAAUAGUGAUUACCGGUCUAGUAACGUAGUCAAUUGCUUAGGGACAAUUCCACAACUCCUACCACCACUUUUCCACACUCGCUAUAUUUACUUUAUUGCUUCUUUAUCUAAACAGCCCCUACUUUUUAUUUACGUGUUCUUUAUUAUCUUGCAAACCUAUCCCAACAACACCUGCAAAGUGCUUCUAGUUUCAUACUUGUUCUAGGUAAAGUGAACACUAAGCAUGCGUAGAGUCGUAUCAGUGGCAGAUAGGGCUUGAGAGAGUAUUUAUUCUACCUUUAGCUCCUCGUUGGGUUCGACACUCUUACUUAUCGAAAGAGGCUACAAUUAUCCCGUAUACUUGCGGGUCAUCACCUAGCGGUGUGAAAUAAAUGGGAAACUUGUAAGUUCAUGGAGUUUGUAUAUGAGUUAGAGAAACGCCUGGGCGGCCAACCCAAGCCAUGCAUAAUUCAUGGUGGAAAUUUACAACAUAACCAUAGUGAGCAUUCUAUGGAGCAUCUUCAAUAAAAAAAACUACGCCCAUGGUAAUAAAAGGAUUGCUGAGAUGCUCAUUGUCUGUUGCCUUGUCAUUUUGGUAUGGGAUAGCUCUUGUGUCAUGGGGCAAGGGGUACACCGUUGGCAUGAACUUACAAUGACAAGAACUUAUUUGGGACCUAAGUUGAGUAGCAUGAGGUUUAGGUAAUCGUAUUCAAGGGGCAUGAGGCUUUCAAUUUGUGAUAUUUCAAGCAUACAACUCAUAUUUUCCCUCACUUUAACCUUAACCAUUCAAGAUGCGUAUGAUAGGGGCAAUGAGAGCUCAAAUCUAAUGAGGACCAUAAUUUUUGGAUGCUUUAUAAAACUUAUUAAUCCCUACUUACCUCUAUGAAGGGCCUUUCUUUUACUUUUUUGUUGAGUCUUCAUCUUCUAUCUUUAUGCUCCAACUAAGAGAGCAUAGUUGUCAUUCUGAGUAUAAUGUGCAUUGUCCCAAAACUUGUUGAUUGAUUCAUGAUUAUGGUAUUGCUUAUUUUCAAAUUAUUUGUAUCUAGUCACCCUUUUGAACUUUGAAGGUGUCCUAUGCAUUUAUGUUUUGCUACUCCAUGAAGGACAGGCUGAAUACCACUUUGCUAUGUUUUCUCUAUGUGCGAAACAAACAAAUGUCUUUCAAAGCAUUAUUCAUGAUCUUUUGUUUAUGUUGCCUUUCAUGUUGUAACAUAGUUGCUAUGUUCUAUUGUUAGAAAUAUAUCUUUCAUACCUAUGUUUAGAGUACUUUGAUCCCAUCUUAGAAUGUUUUACAAUGAUCAUGAUCAAGAUUCUAUUGGCUGCAUGUCACCUCAAAAACUCUUUUUGUUAUCACUUACCUACUCGAGGACGAGCAGGAGUUAAGCUUGGGGAUGAUGAUAUGUUGCAAACAUAUCUAUAAUUUUUGAUGCUCCAUGCUUGUUUUACACCAAUUACUUUAUGUUUUUUUUACACUUUGUGGCAUUUUUAUGUAUUUUCUGGAACUAACCUAUUGACAAGAUGCCACAAUGCCAGUUCCCUAUUUUCUGCUGUUUUUGUGUUUUGGAGAAAUUAGUAAAGAAAUAUUCCCGGAAUUGGACGAAACAAACGCCAAAGUUCCUAUUUUUCUCGACAUGACACGGAGUCCAAAGCAGAGACGGAGGAGGGCACUGAAAGUGCAUUAUAUCGACUAGAGGAGGGGGGUGAAUAGGCGAUUUUUAUGAAUUCUUCACUGAGGAAUUUGUCGGUGAGGAAAUUCUUUGGCGAAGAACUACUUGCAGCGGAAUCAGUACUCAGAAGUAAGCGUAACAGAAUACAGGCAUGGUCAUCAUGAUGAAAUGAAGACACGCACAGAGUACAGAAAGCUUAAACACAGGAUAACACAAGAUGAAGACAAACAGACUGAAGAAAUUGAACUGAGGAAAUUGAGAAAGUCUUCAGUCAAAGUCUUCAAACACGGAUAUGAACAAUCACUCAACACAGUAAUGAGUAAAUGAAAGAGUUGAGGGAAUAGAACCAGGAAGGUUGGUGAAGACAAUGAUUUGGUAGACUAUUUCCAACUGCUGUCUCAGUUGUACGUCUGGUUGGAGCGGCUGAGUAUUUAAACUCGAGGGCACACAGUCCCGGACACCCAGUCGCUGAGCACGCAGCUCAGGACACCAAGUCCUCACCGUAUUCUCCUUGAACUAAGGUCACAUAGACCUUGUCCAAUCACUGGUGGUAAGUCUUCAGGCGAAAUCCAAACCUUCACAAACUCGGUCAAUCGGCGAUCCACAAUUCCUCCUUAUGCUCUAGACCAUGACGCCUAACCAUCUGGAAGAAGCACAGUCUUCAAAGAUAACAAGCGUCGGAUCCACGCAGGAUCAAUCUCUUCAGUGAUGCUCAAUCACUUUGGGUUUGUAGGUGUUUGGGUUUGGGUUUUUUCCUCGAUGAUUUUCGCUCAAAGUCUUCGGAUGAUGGGAUGCUCUCAAGUGUCAGUUUCUCUCGGAGCAGCCGACCAGCUAGUGGUUGUAGGGGGCGGCUAUUUAUAGACUAGGGAGCAGCCCGACAUGAUAAGACAUAAAUGCCCUUGUCCGAUAUGACCGUUAGGUGGAUAAGAUAUUUUGGGAGAGCUGGCGCGCAGCACAACACUGGUCGGAAAUUUGAAUCUCAAAUUCUUCAGGGCUAUCAUGUUCCUCACUUUGUAGGCAAUCCGCACUGGCGAAUUCCUAACUCCUCAGUCAGAAAAAAUUCCUCAGCGACUAGAAGAACUGCGUCUCUGUCACUAAAGAAAUGACUGAACUGUAUGAGAUUUCCAAAGGCUUCACUCGAAGGGAUUGGUACGUGUAGGAUUUUGAGUUGAGCAUCACAUGGAAAUUUUUCCUUAGUAUUUCCUAGACCCCCUUUAACAGUACGGUGUUUCCUAUGACUCAAGAAAGAGAAAAACAAAACUAUGAAAAUGAAAGUCUUCAAGCUUCAUAUUCCUCGCAUGAAUAUCAAUUCUUCACGGACACACCAAUUUCUUCAAUUUCGAAGUCUUCAUGAAAGUCUUCAGGAAUACCAAAAUCUUCAGUCAAAGAUAUUCAUUUUUAGGGGUCGACUUUCUCUGUAAAUAUCAAACCCCUCAUAGACUUAUAGACCUGUGUAUACUCAUAAACACAUUAGUCCCUUAACCUAUAAGUCUUCAAUACACCAAAAUCACUAAGGGGUACUAGAUGCACUUACAAUCUCCCACUUUUUGGUGAUUGAUGACAAUAUAGGUUAAGUUUUCAAUGGGGAUAAACAUAUGAACUAUAAGUACUGAUAUUGAGGAAUUUGAUGGCAAGAUAUAGAAGAACUCCCCCUGAAGAUGUGCAUAGUGAGGAAUUUUCUUUUGAAGCAAUGCACACUUGAAGAGUUUAAUCAUGGAGAUCUCCCCCUAUAUCUUGUAAUUCAUACACGCAUUUGGCAUAUAAUAUGAAGAAUUUGAAAUGCAUGAUGAAAUAUGGUGCCUGAUGAAAUUCAGCAUGCGUGCAAUAAUAUUAAUGAGGAACAAGCAUGCAGAAUAACGCAUCAAGAGUAUCAGAGCACAAUGCAUCAAAAGUAUCAGAGCACCAUCGGGUUUAAGAUUACAACUCGAUCCAAUAAAGUUUCAGAAGAACGAGAGUUGUAACUUAGCAAAAACGCCCAUAUAAUACACCUGCUUGAAGACUAACUCAAAUUUCUCCCCCUUUGUCAUCGAAUGACCAAAAGGUUUGAAACUGAGGACUAACGCCCCUGAAGAAUAUCAAGUUGAUGGAGGAGCGUCAGCAUUGUCAGGGUCGGUUGUCGUAGUAGGGCCUACCGAAGUGUCGUCCAAGUCUUCAUUUUCAUCAGUGUCACGCGAUGAAGAAUAGGAGCUGGCCACCAAGGAAGGAACCUUGACCUUCUUGAAUUUCUUCGGUGGAGGUGCAGACCAGUCAAAUUCGUCCUUGAGACCCAUUCUCUUCAGAUCCUCUGCGCUAUAGACAUGAGAUAGAACAGCCCAGGUACGGUUGAAGGUUCCAUGGAGGUAGUAGUGGUUUUUCUUCACUACAUUGUGUGUUGAGGUCAUGUUGUGAAGAAUUGAACCAAACUGACGCUUGACCCAUUUAUGAUUGCGAUCAACUUUCUGAUGAAGACUGAGGAGUAAUUCACGAUCAGUCAUCACCCUGGGUGCUGUGGCUUGAGGAAUUUGCUUGGCAGAGGUGUUGGCGGCAGAGUCAUGUGUGGCAGAGUCAUCAUUGGUGGAGUAGGAUGCAGCCUUGCGAAAUUGACCAUCCAAUGGACGAAUGCCUUCAUCUAUCACAACAGUUGCCUUGCCUUUGUCAUCAGCUAAGGAAAAUGUUCGUGUGAGGACCUCAAUUGGAGGCAAGUAGCUGUCGUGGUUUAGAGUAUCAUCCUUGUAAUUGAGUGAAGACCUUGUCCUGAUGAACCUCAUAAUCCAUGGUGCAUAAGGCUUCAGCUCAAAUGCUCACAUAGCAAUAUUCACCAGAGUCAUCAUGAAGAAAUCAUGGAAGUUGACGGGAACGCCAUUAAUGAUAUUGAAAAGCAUAUUCUUCAUGAUGCCAACGACUUCUUCAUCAUUUGAGUCGUGGCCUUUGAUAGGACUCAUUGUCUUCGUCAGAAUGCGAUAGAAAGUCCGUGGCACAUACAGUCAUUCCUUGACGAGGAAUUUGGUUAGAGGGGCCUGCCCUGGCUUCAAAGGCUUCAUCAGCACUUGCAUGUAAUGAUUUUUAAGCUCAGGUUUGUUGUAGAUGCAACGAGCACCUUCAAGGGGAGGACUGAGUGGGAGGGCACGAAGCAAUUCAGUUGCUGGUGCCUUGUAGUGAGUAUUGUCUGACAUCCAGUCCAACACCCAUGAGUUCACAUCUUUAGAAUUUCCUAUGAUGUGCAGCGUUGCAUAGAAUUGAAGAAUGAGUUCUUCAUUCCAAACACAGAUGUCAGUGCAGAAAUUCAGCAAUCCAGCAUCGUGAAGAACACUAAGGACUGGCUCGAAGCACGGCAGAGACUCCAUGUCCACAUGAGGAAUAUGUUCAUGAUCGAAGACUUUGUCUUUGUUGAAUAGUACCAAGGAAUAGAAAUUUUCUUGACUAGCAGUCCAGAAACGCCUCUUCCUUAUGCGAGUAGAAUCAUAGGGGUUGUAGUCUGUGAAGAACACAUGCUCGCUGAAGAAAUCUUCAGCCUUGAACUUUUGCUUCUUUGAGAAUGGAUCCAUUGGCUUGGGCACUAGAGUGUCAGUGAGUUGCAUCACAACCUCAGGAAUCGCAAUCUCAGGUUCUUCAGGCUAAGGAAUUUCUGGUUCCUUUUCAGUGGCAGUCUGUGUGUUCAAAGGAUCAGCAACAGCAGUUUCUUCAGCACUAGCGGCUGGAAUUUCUUCAUGCACACAUGAGGUGGGAUGAGUUUCUUCAGAGCCCAUUUGAACGUUUGGUGCAGGGGACUAAGGUAUUUGUUGUAUUGGGGUGAAGAGUGGAGAAUUGGGGUGCUAACUUUCCCAAAAGUCAUCAUUCAUCACCGGCGUUGUGCAGCCAAUGCCCACGUCUUCAUCUUCAAUUUCUUCAACGCCAGCCUCUUCAGCUGUGAACUAAGGCAUUGGCAAGGAAGAAACAGGAGUUGAAGGGAUCGUAUCCACUUCAAUUUCUUCAUAAACCUGCUCUGACAAAGCAGCAAAUUGAGGUUCUUCAUCAGAUCCGCUUGGGAUCACAUAUUCUUCACCAAAAGGAACAAGGUCCUUUGAUGGCAUGGUGGAAAUUGGAACAACAUCAAUUGGAUUUUCAAGUGAGCUAGUCAUAGGCUUCAUCUUUUUUGGAGCUGAAGAUUCUGAAGCACUUGAUGAUUUCCUUUUCUUCACUGCAGCUCGCUCUGCAGCCUUGGUCUUCUUCACAUAUAAUGCAGAUGGAAGGAUUGGAGUUGGUCUAGGCGCAGGAGGAGCUGGGGAAUCUGGUUGAUUUUCUUCAGGCGCAACUGAUGCAAUUGCCCUGACCUCUUCAGUUUCUUCAGGCGCACCACUAGUGGAUGCCCUGGCAAUUUCUUCAGCGGCUGGAAUGGAUUCAUCAGCCCUGGAACAAGCAAGCAGCCUGAAAGUCAUCAGCGGUGCUGGCAUGUUCUUCAGUUGGCUGAGCAGAAGCUUCAGCUUCAGGAAUUUCUUGUUGCGAUGGGGCUGCAACAUUGGUGAACUUUUCAGUCAGUUUAACAAACCUGACUUUGGCUCCUUGCCAAUCAGCAUAGUAAGCAUUGAAAUCAUCACUGGGGGCUUUGAUUUCAGACUGGAUCUUGAGGAGUUCAUCAGUUGUCAUAUUGACAACGUUUAUCUUCAGGAACUUCUCUUUCCUGAACUGAGCCUUCUUGAUCUGCCUGGCCUUCUCAAAUUUCCAUUUCUCUUCAGUGAUGAAAUGGGUCAGCAUGUGACUGUGACCAGGAGUCAAAUUGAAAUCAGGCAUAGGAGUAUUUGGAUCCUUGUGCCAGAGAUCAAUGUAAUCGAGGAUCGCCCUUGGAUCCAAAAGCAGUGGCACAUUUGUGCCUUUGGCUCUAGCGGCCCUUUCUUGUCUGUCUCUGAUGAUUUCUGCAAGUUCAUCAUCAUCAGCUUCAUCGUCAGAUGGCACUUGGAAGGCAACCUGUUUCUUCUUUGGACUUGGCCGAGGACCUCGACCAGCCAUUGCCUUUGUCUUCAGCAGGGUGGGGCCUGAUGAAGAUUUUGGUGCAGCUGAGGAACUCGCUGAGGCACCAGAGGCAAUAGAGAUGCAUGUAGUCCUUUGGCACGUGGCCAGAUGUACAGGUGUUGAGGACUUUGCCGGAGCAGCGGAGGACAUUGGGGGAGGAGCUGAGGAUUUUGGAGGAGCAGGAGCAGCAUGAGGAACUGGCCGUGAGGGCUUUGAAGAAUCUGGCUGUGAGGGCUUUGAAGAUUCUGGCCGUGAGGGCAUUGCUGAGGAAAUUGGCCGUGAGGGCAUAGUUGGUGAAGCACUUGGCUUGUGAGCGGGCUUCUUUGCCAUUGAUUUUCUAGGCUUGACAGAGGCCUCAGUGGCAACAGCAGCAGUAGAGUCUUCAUUGAAUUUCCUCACUGCUUCUUUGGCUUGUCUCGCCAACUUGGCUUGGCGUUUGGCCCAUUCUUCAGGAAAAUCCUCACCACGCUUGAUGCUGGUGGGGUCAGCUUCUUGGCCAGGUGCCAAUGGAGGUCUUGGGCAUGGAGGAUUUAGUGUGAAUUUCUUCAUAUAUACUUCGGAGUUACAUAUCUGUACUCCCUCCAUUCUCUUGCCCAUCUCCUUUCAAUCUUCUGUAUGCGCACCUUGCACUGAUUUUUGUUUUCCUUUCCGAACUUAGCCUCAUCAGGUGUGCAAUAACCAGCAUAGAUGUCCUCAGGUAUUUCAAAAGCAGUCAUGACCUCAGGCUUCUUUCCUCCUUUUUGCGGCUUCUUACCGUCUGCCAUAUUCUUCAGAUGAGGAAUUUGAGCAAUCGAAUUCUCUGAAGAAGUAUGCAACUUUUCUUCGAGGAACGCUGCAAAUGAGUUAAGUUGAUGAGAACCUAGUGAUUCAGCAGCGGACAUGAGUACCUGUGAACAGAGUAUAGUUGCGAGGAAUUUGGAGAGGUCAUAUGCAUUCUCAAAAGUUUUUUUUAAAAGAACAAGUUUGAGGAAUUUGACCAGAUGAACCUUGAAGAAUUUCACUAAGCGUUCUUUGUCUUAGGUUCCAGAGUUGUAUAGAUCGAGGAUCCACACAAUUGAGGAAUCUUGAAGAAAAAUGAUGCUUAGAGAAACGAAUCAAGAACAGAUGACUAGUGAGGUGUUUUGUGUGUGAGGAUUUGAAGAAUAAAACACCUUUGAAGAUUUUGUAGAGAAAAUUUGAAUCAAAGAGGGCAGUAAAAGUAACUUUUAAUUACCCUUGAUGAAGAACACGACGAACUGUGAAGAAGAACAGUGAAGUUCGUCGGUGUAGAUCUUCCACGCCCGAACUCGGUGGAGGAAGACAGCUACGGCGGCGGCGGAGUGAAGAUUUCCACGGCCGGCGCGAGUACGACGGCGACGAGGUUGAGGCAGUGAAGUUCUUCCUCACCGGCGACGAUGGAGUAGCGGGGGCGCUAGGGUUUGAGAAGCUCGAGCGAGAGAGAGCGAUCGAGCGGAGUAAAGGAAGUGAGGAAGGGGUGAGGGGGUAUUUAUAGUCGCAGUUAAAAACUGUUCACCCGAAGAUUUAGGACGAAUGUGCCCCUGACCCUUCUCAUCCGUUUGACAUGUGUCACCCACGUACUGAAAAGUGGGGAUCGUGUUAGAUCGUGGGUGAAUAGAUAAGUCUAUCGUGGGAUGCGGAACGGUUUGAGCGGUAAAACCGAAAAAUUUGGAUAAGAUUAGUUAAAAGUUCCGUUCGCAAAUUCUUCAGCUGACAAGGACACAGUGAAGAUUUUGAACGAGUUUCCAAUAAAACGCACAUGAAGAAUUUGUGAAUAGAUUGGGUUGAGUAUAGCAUAGAGAGGGAAGGGUCCGAUCACAUUCACUUAGCAGAAAAUGCAGCUUGAAGAAAUAGCCAUAAGUGAAUGUUGUAGAGGACAUAAACCCAUAUAUAUAUCCAAUGAAGAAAAACGACGGAAACAGUGAAGAUUUUGCAAAGUUGAAGAAUUUGAAAAACUAAAGAAUUUCAAAACUGAGGAAUUUCAAAAAUGAAGAUUUUCAACUUUGGUGGUGGCGUGACCCACCAUAUAAGAACGAUGAUUUCAGACACCGCGUACAAUUGUCGUAGGGUUCUGAGAAUCAAAUUCUUCAUUAAUUUCUUCACACUUAGAGUGUUAUUCUUCAUUGAUUGAAGAAAAACGUUUCUUCAUGUGUUGCACAUCUAAGUCAUCAAUUUUGCACAAGUGUUAGGAUGAGUGUCCUUUUUCAAAGAACAUUCGAAGAUUCUAGGAUAUUUAGCUCACACCGCAACUUGCUAGGCUUUGUGAAGAUAUCAGCCAGCUGUUCUUCAGUCUUCACGUGCUCGAUGGAGAUGUCACCCUUCAACACAUGAUCACGAAGAAAAUGAUGACGGAUCUGAAUGUGCUUUGUCUUCGAGUGCUGAACUGGGUUGUGAGCAAUCUUGAUGGCACUCUCAUUGUCACAGAGGAGAGGCACAUUCUUCAGGUUGACGCCAUAGUCCUUGAGGGUUUGCUUCAUCCAUAGCAGUUGAGCACAGCAAGAACCAGCAGCAAUGUACUCAGCUUCUAAAGUAGACAGUGAUACGCAGUUCUGUUUCUUCGAGGACCAACAGACCAAAGAUCGUCCGAGGAAAUGACAAGUACCAGAUGUUGACUUGCGGUCCACCCGAUCACCAGCAUAGUCAGAGUCGGAAUAUCCAAUGAGAUCAAAAGUAGAGCCCUUGGGGUACCAUAAUCCUAGUGUUGGUGUGUGAGCUAGAUAUCGAAGAAUAUGCUUCACAGCCUUAUGGUGUGAUUCCUUCGGUGCAGCUUGAAAUCGGGCACACAUGCAAAAACUAAGCAUUAUAUCUGGCCUAGAUGCACAUAGGUACAAUAAAGAACCAAUCAUGGAGCGGUAUACCUUGUGAUCGAAGUCAAUACCAUUUUCAUCAGUGCAUAGAUGGCCAUUUGUGGGGAUAGGAAUUUUGACGCCUUUGCAAUCUUGCAUGCCGAAUUUCCUCAUAACAUCUUUGAGGUAUUUCUCCUGAGAUAUGAAUAUGCCAUUGUGCUGUUGAUGAAUUUGAAGACCUAAGAAGAAUUUUAGCUCUCCGAUCAUAGACAUUUGAUAUUCUUCACUCAUCAUAUAGGCAAAUUCAUCACUAUAACGUUGGUCAGUACAGCCAAAGAUAAUAUCAUCAACGUAUAUUUGGCACACAAACAGUUCACCAUCAUAAGAUUUAGUAAAGAGAGUAGGGUCGAGUGAACCGGGUGUGAAGCCAUUCUUCAUGAAGAAUUCCUUCAGAGUAUCAUACCACGCCCGAGGGGCCUGCUUGAGGCCAUAGAGGGCCUUGUUGAAUCUGAAGACUUUGUCAGGAUUCUUUGGAUCUUCAAAACCUGGGGGUUGAGCAACAUAUACUUCUUCCUCAAGCUUACCAUUGAGGAAUGCACUUUUCACAUCCAUUUGAUAUAAAGUGCUAUUAUGAUGGUUAGCAUAAGCAAGUAAUAUGCGAAUAGCCUCAAGUCUAGAAACAGGUACAAAAGUUUCAUUGGAAUCAAUUCCUUCAACCUGUGUGUAGCCUUGAGCUACAAGUCGUGCCUUAUUCCUCACCACAAGGCCAUUUUCAUCUUGCUUGUUGCGAUAGAUCCACUUUGUGCCAAUGAUAUUAUGCUUGCGAGGGUCUGGACGUUUGACCAGUUCCCAGACAUUGUUGAGCUCGAACUGAUGUAAUUCUUCUUGCAUGGCCUGAAUCCACUCAGGCUCUAGAAAUGCUUCAUCUACCUUAGUGGGCUCUGCGAUGGAGACAAAAGCAUAGUGCCCACAAAAGUUAGAUAAAUGUGAAGCUUUUGAGCGUGUGAGAGGACCUGGUGCUCGAAUGUCAUCGAUGAUCUUCUCCACUUGCACUUCUUUUGCAAUGCGAGGAUGAGCUGGUUGUCGUCGAGGAAUUUGAUCAGCAUUUUCUUCAUCACCAUUUUCUUCAGCAUUUUCAUCAGGUGCAUCAGCUCGAUUUUCUUCGCGUUCUGGAAUGAAUUCAUCAGUAGAUUCUUCGGUAGGAAUGACAUCCUCAGUAGCCUUGAACUUGAUAGAAUCCUCAGGUGCUGGUUCAUCUAUCACAGAAGGUAGGUGCUAUCUUUGUGAGCCAUUAGUUUCAUCGAACCGCACAUCUACAGUUUCAACAACCUUGUGAAGAACAUUGUUGAAGACUCUGUAGGUGUGCGAGUCCUUUCCGUAACCAAGCAUAAAACCUUCAUGUGCUUUUGGUGCAAAUUUAGCAUUGUGAUGAGGAUCUCUAAUCCAACAUUUAGCACCGAAGACUUUGAAAUAACUCACAUUGGGUUUCUUGUCAGUGAGGAGUUCAUAGGCAGUCUUCUUGAAGAAUUUGUGAAGAUAUACCCAAUUGAUGAGAUGGCACGCAGUAUCAAUUGCCUCAAUCCAGAAACGACGAGGCGUCUUGUAUUCAUCAAGCAUAGUACGAGCCAUUUCAGCGAGGGUUCUGUUCUUGCGCUCCACGACGCCAUUCUGCUGAGGAGUAUAAGGAGCAGAUAACUCAUGCGUAAUACCAAGUUCAUCAAGAUAGCCAUCAAGACCGGAAUCCUUGAACUCGGUCCCAUUGUCAGUUCUAAUGUGCUUGAUCUUCACACCAAAGUUGGUUGAAGCCCUCGAGGAAAAUCGUUAGAAGAUUUCCUGCACUUCAUGUUUGUAAGUGACAAUGUGUACCCAUGUGUAACGAGAAUAGCCAUCAACAAUAACAAAGCCAUAUAGAGAUGCAUCAUUUGAAACAGCAGAAUAAUGAUUAGGACCAAAGAGAUCCAUGUGAAGCAAUUCAAAUGGACGAGUAGUGGUCAUGAUAUUCUUCGCUGGAUGCUUGGCCUUUGUCAUCUUUCCAGCUUCACAAGAUCCGCAUAAGGGAUCCUUGAGGAAUUUGACAUUCUCAAUGCCAAUGACAUGCUUCUGCUUCGCAAGUGUGUUCAAAUUCCUCAUGCUAGCAUGACCAAGUCGUCGAUGCCAUAGCCAGCCUUCUGAAGCUUUUGCCGGUAAGCACACGGCUGGUUGUGGUCCUAUAGAGAAAUCAAAAAUAUGCAGAUCUCCUCUUCUAAAGCCUUCGAAGACUUUGGAAUGGUCAGCUUCCAUGAUCAGAACACAACGAUACUUGCCAAAGACAACAACCAUAUCAAGAUCACAAAGCAUUGAGACUGACAUGAGGUUGUACCCUAAGGACUCGACAAGCAUGACUUUGUCCAUGUGUCGAUCCUUUGAGAUCACAACGUUACCUAGACCCAAUACCUGACUUUUGCCUUUGUCGGCGAAGAUGAUAUGCUUCAGAUGUGACGGCGAUAAGGGAGCAUCCAUCAAUAGACUCUUGUCACCCGUCAUUUGAUUUGUACAUCCACUAUCGAGAACCCACUCGUUUGAUUUGUGCUGAUCAUCCUGCAGAUGAAUUAGUGCAUCUUACGAACUCAUAUACUUCAUCCGUGAAGAAUAUCAUAUCAAAUUCAUCAGAUGAAUUUCAUCAAAGAGUAAAAACAGAUAUAGCAGUAUGAGGACGUGUGAAAUGAAAGUUCAUUUCAUCAUGAUUUGCCUGCGUCCUUUCAGGCACUUUAGUCAGGUCCCCAGCAAAUUCUUCGGACGUUAAGGCACGUCUGGAGACCCGACCCUGCGGAAGAAAUUAGUUCUUUUUCUUCACCACCCACAUCUGAAGGGGUGGCAAAGAGUUCAUCACUCUACGAGCUCCAUAUGAGAAUGGUGGCAUAGAAGCCAAACCAUUUUGUUUCACAUAAGAGGGGUUAGGUUAAGCAUAUGAAUAAGCAGAGAAAUUCUUCGAGGACUUAUGAACAUAUUGGUUUGAAAAAUAAUGCACAUAUUCAUAGCCCUUAGCUCUACCCUGUGAAACAGAGUUGUUAGCACGAUGAUAAUCAUAUGAGGACUUUGAUCCUUUUGAGGAAUUUGAUCCACGUGAGGAAUUUGGUCCGUAUGAGGACUUGGAUCCAUAUGAAGAAUUUGGUCCAUAUGAAGAGUUUGAUCUGGGGUUCCUAUUCUUCAAUGGUGGUGUCAUGAGGACAUUCACCUGAAGACUUUCAAGGCACUUAUUGGGAACCCAGAUUUUCUUCAUAGGAGAACCGUUCCUGCAGUUAGUGCCAACAUACCUAGCAAAUACUUCACCAUUCUGAUUUUUGAACAGUCUAUAGUUGGAGUCAAAUGACUCAUCAGAAGAAUGAGGAGAUUCACAUGUAAAGCCAGAUAAGUUAGAUGGAUCAACUGGAGGUCCCUUUGUAGCAACCCAUGAGGUUUCGUGGUACUGCUCAGACUUCCAAUAUGUUCCGUCAGAAUUGAGUUUCCUUUCAAAGGCAAUACCCUCUUUCCUAGGGUUUCUGUUGAGGAUCUGCUUUUUGAGCACAUCACAGAGAAUCUGAUGCCCUUUGAGGCUUUUGUACAUGCCUGUCGUGUACAAUUCCUUCAGCCCUGCAUCAUUAGUAGUACUAGCAAUGUCCUCAGAUGAGGAAUUAGUGAUAGCAGAGAAAGGUGAAGAAUUUGUAACAGUUGAAGCAUUUGAACAUUCAGGUGAAGAAUUAGCAGAUUCACGUUCAAUGCACUUUAAGCAUGGAGGAACAAAUUCUUCCUGAGAAGCGCUGAUUUGUUGAGCUAGCAAUGAAUUGCGCUCCUUCUGAAGAUCUUCAUAACUCACUCUUAGCUUAUCAAGAUCUUGCUUUCUUUGAAGAAAUUCAUAAGAAAGCUUCUCAUGAUCAGAUAAGAGACACUACUGGAAUCAGCUUAUUUGCCGUCUGCCAGUUCUUUGUCGUCAGCUGGCAGACGGCAAAGAGGCACUUUGCCGUCUGCUUGCAAAAAACAGACGGCAAAGAACUGACAAACGGCAAAGACGCCAGUUACCAUCAGCCAAUUAUUUGUUGUCUGCCAGCAGAUGGCAAAGAAUCUUUACCAUGUGCUGGAGGACGGCAAAGAGGUGGGGCUAUCUCUUUUUUACGGGUACAAAGAAAAUCGUUGACCCCCACCUCCUCUCUCUGUCUCCCCUCUCUCCGCACGCCCCCCACCUCCUCUCUCUCUCUACCCUCUCUCUCUCUCCCGCUCGUCUCUCCCUCUCCCUCGCGCGAGCACCUACGGCGGCCGAUUUUGGCGAGCUCCGACGGGAUUCGACGCCGCCCAGCACACCCAUGUGACCCCCUCGCCCCGCUCCUCCAUCCCCUCCGACCAGAUCUGACUCAUGCGUCCUCCAGCAACCACGCGUGACCCUCCCCUGCGGCUAGGGUUUCGGCCACCACAUCGCCGGCGUGGCUCCGGUGUUGCUCCGGUGACACGGGUGAGUCUCUUCACUCCUCCUCGUCACAUCCAUCCCUCUCUUUCUCACCGCGUCGCGUCGCGUAUCCUCUCCCUCACAGAACCAUCACGCCGGGAAGCCAUGGACGGGAAGGACGCCAUGGACGGGAAGGAAGCCGUGGAGGACGCAGCUCCACCACUGCCCCAACGCCAUCCAGGUCCGCCCCUUCUCCUCUCCUCCCCUCUUGGAUUUCUUCUUUUCCUGCCUUGCACCCGUCCACUCAAGUUCUAAACCAAACAAGAAAAAUUAUCAAUCUUGUUUUGGCUGCAUAAGCAAUAAUGGUUGAGGAGGACUCAGUUGUUCACUUCUAUAAUUGUGCCAUAAAUCGGUUUACUCUGCUUGAGGGCUGCCGUGGUUAGCUCGAUUUGAUAGGGUCCUUACUACAUAUGUUGUAGGGAUUUAACUUGACUUGCUAAUAAUGAGUGUCAAUCAAUCAAACACAAGGAAACUAUAAAUGCUUACUAUUUCGUAUAGUGAUCGUUGUGUUGUGUAUAGGUAAAACUUGUGUUGUCCUUAUCUACUUCGGAGGCAUCAUCAUGUGUUGUCAAUUUAGUUUCUGCCAUGGUUUUGGUUUGGUCCUGCUUAUGCCAAAUCGAUCAUUCAUUGCUUCUGAACACUCUACCUUUAAUCUUUGCUUCUGUAAAACCGGCCUUUCUUCUAUUGAAUGGAGUGUUUGCUUGCUAUGCGGGAAAAGUAGCUCAUUCAUCGAUGAUUUGGCAUGUGCAACCAAAGUGGACGGACCGCAUUUAGGUCUGGUCGCCGUGAGGAUCCUCUGGCGGUGCUGGAUGUGCCGUGGCGCGGUGGUGCCCCCGGGUGGCGCCUUCGUGCUGCGGUGCCCCUGGUUGGCGCCUUCGUGCCCGUGCUCUCACUGGCACCGCCAUUGUGGUGCUCUCCGGCAAGCUCCGGCUUGUUGUGGUGGUGUUGGUUGUGAUGCUGGUCACACCAUAGUGAUGGUGUGGCUGCAUCCUACUUCGGCUACAACUCCUUUUGGUGAGCUUCUCCUUGCUCCCCUCCUGAUCUAUCUAAUGCAUAGCUCUUGAUCUUGUUGGAUGUGAGGCUCUAUUAGCUGUGGUUAGCUGCUGUAGAUGAGCAUCAACUUGUAUUGGAGCUCUCUGUGAUGGAUUCUUGCUGUGUGAGGGUUUUGGUUAGUGACCAUCUAUGUGUAUUUGGGAAGUAUAUAUACUCCUGUACUGCUCUGUUCUGUGUAGUUGAUCCUGGAGUUGUUACUUUGGUCAGUUACUUUACUCAUGAACGGAUACUCACUUGUUCUUAGUUAUUUUACUUCUAAUACUGAUAUGAACAGAUACCACUUGGUUUGGCUAUUCCUAUUUGUCUCUUUCUAGUAGCCUAUGAACAGAUACUAUACUUGGUUUAGGCUGUUACUUUCCUAGUUUUCUACUGAUAAGACAGAUACUACAUCUGAUUUGGGCAGUGAUGCUGGUCUGAGCCCCCCUCUCUUAGGCUUAAUUUACAUGUGACUAUCCCUGUGCUGUGAUGAACUAGCCCUGGCACUUCCAGGCUGUCUGAGCACAUAAUCCCUCAAGUAUACCUUGAGGUCUUCUGUAGCUCUCCUUAAUAGUUAUCUCUUCUAAGCUGCUGGUGGUUGGAUGUGUUGGGACUUGGUCUGGUUGGCUGGUUGUGAUGUAUAUCUCCUCCUGGAGCUUUUUUUUUGGCGUUGCAUAGUGACAUGUACCUAUUGUCACUAGUCAAAACUGAUUGUGGUGAUGAAGUCUAAUCUUUGGCUUUAAUCACUAGUUUUUAGUUGGCUUAAUUCCUGGAGCUAGUACUGAUAGUGGUCUUUGUGUUGGCAUUUAACUUACUGCUAAUUGUGGUGGCUUCUUGAUUAGGUCCUUGGCUGGUUCUCUUCUUUGGCUCUUUGGUAUUGGUUUACUCUAUUUGGCUUUCUAAUUAAGAUCACUUUGAAAAUCAGGAUCUUAACUAAGAUUAUCUUGAUCUCAAGUACUGGCUCCUAUAGCAUUGCAUUUCACCAAGUGAAAUGCUACAUUUCUACUCCUAACCCAUUCUCUCUUUCUUAGUGUUUUUGUUAUGCAGGUUGGAAGAAAAGAAGAAGAUCCAGAGAAGAUCUUAGUAAUAAGAUAGUUUUUAGGAAAAUAGAUAUUUAGUUUUAGAUUAUUCCUUGUAAUACUUGUUGGAUAUGUGUUCAUGGAUAUGUGUUGGAUAUAUAUGUGUUCAUGACUAUAUAUUGGUAACAUGUGUUGGAUAUGUGUUCAUGGAUAUGUGUUGGAUAUAUAUGUGUUCAUGAGUAUUGGUAAUAUGUGUUGGAUAUGCUAUAUUGGUCAUACAUAUAGUCUGUGUUUGAUUGUGUUUGAUUUUCUGUAAAAAUGAAUUGAUAUAAGAAGAAACAGAAUUAAUGCCUAUUUGGUCUCUUUGCCAUCUGCCAACAGAUGGCAAAGAGCCUGCAGCCUUUGUCGUCUGCCAGCAGAUGGUAAAGAGUCGUGCCCUUUGCCGUCCGCCACUGACAGCAAAGGCCUCUUUGCCGUACGCUACAAAAAACAUACGGCAAAGAAGGCCUUUGCCGACCCUGUCUUUGCCGUCACUGUUUGCCGUCCGCGGCGGACGGCAAAGGCCUUUGCCGUUCGCCAUCCUAGCCUUUGCCGUCCGCCAUGGCUGAUGGCAAAGUACCAGAUUCCUGUAGUGAGAGUGACGGUGUCCUGGACUAGGGGGUACUCAACGCGUCGUCUCCCGAUCAGUUGGAUUGGGCCGAGGACCCCCAUGGCCGUAUACUCAUGGGCCAGUCCGGACAACUGCCGCAUACAAGGAAGAAUCAACAAGACUUGGCGAUCAAGAGAAGGACUCCUCCCCGACCGGCGUAUUCGGCUAGGACUCUUGUUAUCCUAGGCCUCUGGUGCAUUAUAUAAACCGGGGCCAGGCUAGUCGAUAGACAUAUACAACAACAAUCAUACCAUAGGCUAGCUUCUAGGGUUUAGCCUCCUUGAUCUUGUGGUAGAUCUACUCUUGUAACACACAUCAUCAAUAUUAAUCAAGCAGGACGUAGGGUUUCACCUCCAUCAAGAGGGCCCGAACCUGGGUAAAACAUCGUGUCCCUUGCCUCCUAUUAUCAUUGAUCCCAAGACGCAUAGUUCGGGACCCCCUACCCGAGAUCCCCCGGUUUUGACACCGACAUUGGUGCUUUCAUUGAGAGUUCCGCUGUGUGAUCAGCGAAAGGAUCAAUGGCUCGACUGCAGGUCAACUGCGAUGUCGGCUUCUUCGUCACCAGCUCGGCUGGUCACCUUGGCUUGACCGAGGACUGCGCCCUACUUCCGAUCGUCAUGUUCAGAUGAAGGCCUUCAUCAAACACCAACUCCGAUCUCUAUCAAGAUAGUGGAGGAGUCAUCCAUGGAGCUCGGGGGCUGAACGUCAACAUUACCCUCAGGCGACCGUGCUGUUUUCCUGGACAGCAAAUUUGUAUCCGCCGCCACCGCCUCCUCGAGUGUCGCUUAAGAGAUUACUUCGGUGAAAUUAUGCGGAAUUAAGUCUACAACAACCCUGCAAAAAUUUCAUUGAGUUCCGAUGGAGGAAUCUCCGGCAAUCUCCGAUAUACCGGAGCCCGGUUGAAUCUGGACGAGAAUCCGGAUGAGUUUAGGGCGUGGUAUCUAGAAUCUAGCUCGGAUGUCCUUUGGAGGAUCCAACCGUUGAUUUGCUGCGGAAUUCCCAUAUCUACCACCUGCCCAAAAUUCAGCUUGAUCUGACCGUCCAAACUCCGGGAAACUUCCGAUUAGUGCAUCACUUUUUGGACUUGUUUUCUGCGCGAGAACGAGUCCGACCCGAAUUCAUCUUCUUUAUGAACGGGAUUUCGGACAUCCUUUUUGAAGGAUGUUUUGUAUGGGGUAUUGUAUUUUGUUCCCGAACACAUCCCACUAACUUUAAGAUCUUUUGAACAUGAUUUUCGGCAUCAUGCUGGUGUCAAACCAGUCCGACAAUAUAGCUCCAUGGCUGCCGACCUGUGCUAGACACAUCGUCACUUUGUUGAGCCAAGGUCAACUUCUUCGGAUCAUCAUCUUGGCAAGCCGGACAAGAGUCCGGCAUCGCGAAGGAUAAAUCAUCAUCAACGUCGCCUCCCCACGGAUUACACGGAGCGGGCAUACCGGCAUCGCCGCACGAUCGCUUCAUUAAGCCGGCAUCGACCACGUCACGACCUUCAUCGGCAAGGCCGCACUAUUGCUUCUUCAAGCUGGUGUCCAUCACGCCGACCUACUUCGACAUCUCGGCUGGACCGGGGGCUUCGCCAUCUCUUCAUCAACCUACUCCGGACACUUCGGCGUCACUAGCCGGCCAGGCAUGGGUGCACGGAUUGAGUCCCAAUUUUGGGAAUCACCUUCCUUCGGAUUGCUACAACAAAUAAACUAGGUGCUAUUAAUCCUAGUAUUUCUUUUUGCUUGUUUGGGUUAAAUUUUACCCAAGGAAUUAUUACUCUGGUUAGUCCAGCAUAUGUACACAGGUCUAUCAAAUGGUGUCCGCAUUAUCGACGGUCGCAUGAUGGUUCGGUCAGUUUCCGUACACAGGUCGGCAAACGCCGCAUCCGGAACUCGGGCCGACCUGUGAAUCCAGGCUUUGCCACGCCUUUAUUGCAUUACGCCGAUGACCUGCAUCGACAUCGACUUCGGCGCCAGGACAUAUUUCUUUUACUACUCACUUUGCAUAAAUUAUUUAUUAUGCAACAUUUUUUUAAUUCCUAUUAUUACUAUUACCCCCGGUCUGCACUAUUUUUUGUGCACAGGAAAAUGAUCCAGCCGGACUAUAUCCUUUGACGUCACAUCGGCCAGACGGGGGCUUCGUCAACACUUCAUUACCCCAUGCCGGGGACUUCGGCAUCACUCUGCCGUCCUGCAUUGACCGUGCUAUGUCACCACUUCGGAGUGCCGAGCUCUUUGCUCCGCCACCUCGGGACCGGCUUGGGGGAUGGAACCUUGUCCCGCAUCAAGCUCGGACCGUGUCGUCAAUACCGAACACAUUAACCAGCUAAGUUGCCUUCACGCUCAAAGUUUUUAAUUUCUAACUUGUGUUCGGUUCGACCAAGAAUUAUACUUUUUUGUAAAAAAGUUGCUUGUAAAAAUUUUCCUUGUCGAAACUUUGUUUGCACACGCUUGACGCGCUACUCGCGGUCAUUAUACCUGGGGGCUUCUUUAACAGAAGCUUAUUAAUACGGGGUUUAUGCCCAACACAUGUGUCACACUUCCGCAUGUACCUUUUAUUCACCAUUAUAUGCAUCGAUAUGACUUAAGUUUUGGCCAAGCUGGGUUGCCUGGCUCCUGUGCUUACCCCUACGUUCCCGAUUAUUCGGCUAGGUGGUAAAGGGAGCACCUCUGCGAUUGUUACUGCCGGGUCAGCCGGAUGUGUACCUCAGACUGGGUGAAGCCGAAAGCUAGCGUUCUUAAGGGAAUACUCGGUCGGUGAACUAAAAGAUGAUUUCUUACCUAUUUAUUUACCUGCCCCCAGAUGUUUUUCUGCUCUUUUCGCAGUCCGGACAUGCACUUUAGGGCAUGCCUCCCAGGGAAAGGAACCCCUAACGGAACUAUUCUCCCUGGAAGAUGUUUCUUACUAACUAUGUAAUAUAACAUAACUAGUUGGGCACUUGUCUGAUAAAGCACUAAUGACCCAUACGCCUGGUCUCCACGCAUGCCCCGGUUUUUAUAACCGCGAGGGUAUUCGGACACACUCUGGACAAUUGGGUCCAGAGGUUGAAGCGAAAAGGUCCGCUACGACAAACGAUCUACAAUCCGGCUAGAAGGCAUUCUACAUGUCACCUUACAUUUUAUAAUCAACUUUUACCCAAGUCGCUUGGGGGCUCUUAUGUUUAUUUGAGCCGUUUCAUACUAAGUGUUUUUCUUCUUAGUCGUUGCAAAGUUAAAGCACGGCAGAAGCACUUUUUUUUCUAAAGUCCAAUUUUCGGAUUGGCACCGAACACUUGAUCUUGUUUGGACGUCAUGUUUUUACUGACGUUUUUUGGUUUUCCAAGCUUUUGGCACUUUUAACAAUUUGUGUGUUUUCAGCACAAGUCUCGCAGUGCAACGCCGGACACCUUUAGAGAUUCGGCAAAAACAUUCUCGGAUAUUGCUAUAUAUGCAUCAGCUUCGAAUUGUGUCUUCGGUCAAUAGUUGGGUUGCCCGGCUCCCGUGCUUGCCUCCUACAUUCCGCUUUGUUCGGCUAGGUGUGCAAAGGGAGAACCACUGCGAUUGUGCUUCCAGCUCACAUGGUCAAGCACCUCAGUGGAGAAAGCCGAAAACUGACUGUCACAAUAGGUGUAAACUGGUUAGCGAUCCGAUGACUAUAAUAAAUGACGGGCCAUUCAUAACAUUGGCUGAAGUGUUUCCGGCUUGACCUCGACUAUCGCCAAACACUACCGGGGGCUAUUAACUGGCCUCCCAAACUAAAUCCUUGAUCUUUUGCUCUUACAUUGGAGCUGAGGUUUCAUGAUCAUGCUUAGCAUGACAACCCAAAGAAAGGAACCGAUAGCGGGACUAUUUUCUUUGGAAGACAUUUCUUCUGUUAAACAGCAAUAUAACAUAUCUCUCUCCGUACCUUUGUUUAGAAAGCCGUAUGACCAGAUUGCCUUGUUUGCCGUAAAUCUUUGCCCUCAUAAAGGCUUAAUAAAGUAGGACAAACACUCCUCGGCUACUGGCCGAGGAGGUUGAAGCCCAUGGUCGGUCAACAAAGUUUUGUACAAUGCGGAUCCGAGCAUUAAUGACGUAAAGUACUUGGAUACAUAGAGUCAUUACACAUAAUUUGUGAUUUUACUAUGGAUAUCGAUCCUUAAUUCGGCCUCCCGUGUCCGCAUUAACGCUCGGGGGCUAUUGAGCUUCGGGCUUAUUAUUUACAAAUAUUAAAGGGGCACAUCGAUCCCCUGAUCUGGUGUUGCCACCCGACCAGUGUCUCGGGGGCUACUGCAUUGCCUGUUCUAUGCAGAAAAUUUUAAGUGCAAUACAGUUUCCGAGGAGAUUUUGAUCCUCAGGUUGGUCGGCCGCACCCAACCUGAGUCUCGAGGACCGAGCACGCCGCUUUUUCUGUCCCGAAGUAUUCUGCCGAGCUAGGACUUGAUCCUCAGACCGAUUUUGCAAAUCAACCUGAGUCUCAGCGGCUACGGGGAUCAGCGGUCUUAUGUCAUCCUUCAUGUGCAUCUCAGGUUUUAGACCGAUACCCACCUUGAGGGCUACUGGCAUCAAUAAAAAACAUUGACCAAAAAUCAGCCCAUGACCGAGGUGCUUAACCACCUCGGAAGCAGUUCGACAUAUAGCUCGGAUGCAAGUGGCUGGCUCCAUAGAGGGCAUUUCCGGCAUUAAGCUCGGUUAAACUCCUUCAAACUUCUUUGAACCAAGGUGAUUUAUGACACCUCGGAUAAAGUCUGGCAUUGGAGCUCGGAUACAUAGUCCGGCGUUGGAGCUCGGAUACAGUCCGGCGUUGGAGCUCAGAUACAUAGUCCGACGUUAGUGCUGGGAAGCAGUCCGACAUUGGUGCUCGGCUGCAAAAGAUACCUCGAAUGCAGUCCGGCGUUGGAGCUCGGACGCAAGAGGACGUUGCCACCCGGGAACAACUUCAAAUCCGAGGCAUGGCAUAAAAAUAACAAGGCAUUGAUAAAGGCCGUAAACUUAAAGGGGCUCCUCGGAUACCCAACGCGUAAACUCGUCGAAUGCAUUUUGGCGAUCCUCAAGAUAGAAGAUGAGAAGAUUUGUUGAACCAGUUUUCAAGACCAGCAACCGAAGAUGAAGAACAGUUCGGAAGAAUCGAGGAGCGUCCCUAACUUGAAGACCGGUUCAGGGGGCUACUGACGGUGUCCUGGACUAGGGGGUACUCAACGCGUCGUCUCCCGAUCAGUUGGAUUGGGCCGAGAACCCCCAUGGCCGUAUACUCAUGGGCCAAUCCGGACAACUGCCGCAUACAAGGAAGAAUCAACAAGACUUGGCGAUCAAGAGAAGGACUCCUCCCCCACCGGCGUAUUCGGCUAGGAGUCUUGUUAUCCUAGGCCUCUGGUGCAUUAUAUAAACCGGGGCCAGGCUAGUCGAUAGACAUAUACGACAACAAUCAUACCAUAGGCUAGCUUCUAGGGUUUAGCCUCCUUGAUCUCGUGGUAGAUCUACUCUUGUAACACACAUCAUCAAUAUUAAUCUAGCAGGACGUAGGGUUUCACCUCCAUCAAGAGGGCCCGAACCUGGGUAAACCAUCGUGUCCCUUGCCUCCUGUUACCAUUGAUCCCAAGACGCACAGUUCGGGACCCCCUACCCGAGAUCCGCCGGUUUUGACACCGACAGAGAGUUUUAUGAUGACUUUGAAGGUUGUCAAACUUAGACUGAAGUCUCUAAAGAUUUUCAGUUAAGUCUUUAGUGCGGUCCAUUUCAUCACCCAACAUAUCAUCACUUUUGUCUAGCAUGUUCUGAAGUUUUUCAAUAGCCUUUUGUUGUUUCACAGCAAUCUUAGCAAUUUUAGAGUAGCUAGGCUUAAGAUUUUCAUCAGAUUCAUCCUCACUAGAUUCAGAAGAGGGGUAUUUUGUUACCUUGGCACCCUUUUCCAUGAAGCAAUAGGUGGGAGCGUAGUCAUCAUUAUCUUCGUCAGCCUUGUUGGUAAGGUCAAUUUCAUCAGAGUUGAAGAUGGACUUGCUGACGAAUGCAGUAGUGAGAGCCAGACUUGCCACACCAGACUCGGACUCCUCAGAUGCCUCCUCUUCCUCAUGUUCCUCAGAUUCAGCUUCAGAGUCCAUUUCCUUGCCAAUGAAUGCCCAAGCCUUUAUGGAGCUGCUCUUCUUGUGAGAUGAAGAUUUCAAGGAUUUUGAUGAUGAAGAUUUUGAAGAUUUCUUCUUCUUCUUAGCGUCAUCAGAACUGUAAUCCUUGUAUUUCUUCUUCUUUAAUUCCUUUUCCCACUGAGGACAAUCUUGAAUAUAGUGACCAGGUUUCUUGCAUUUGUGGCAAAGUCUUCUCUUAUAGUCACUUGACGAGGAAUCGCUGCUCCUUGAGGAUUUUCCAAAGCGACCACGUCUUGAGAACUUCUGGAACUUCUUCACGAGCAGUGCUAGCUCCUGGAUCAAUUCUUCAGGAUCACCAAGGCUACUACCAGAAUCUUCACAUUCAGAUUCAGACACAGCCUUGGCCUUGAGGGCACGUGUUUUGCCAUAGCUUGAACCAUAGAGAUCUCUCUUUUCAGCAAGCAGGAACUCAUGAGUAUUUAGCCUCUCGAGGAUAUCAGCGGGAUCCAGUGACCUGUAGUCAGCAGGUUCUUGUAUCAUCAGUACCAGAGUAUCAAAUGAAGAAUCUAGCAAUCUCAGCAAUUUCUUCACCACCUCAUGGUCGGUGAUUUCAGUGGCGCCAAGCGCUUGAAGCUCAUUUGAGAUGUCAGUGAGGCGAUCGAAGGUUUGCUGAACAUUUUCAUUGUCGAGUCGUUUGAAGCGGUUGAAGAGAUUGCGAAGAACGUCAACACGAGAGUCACGUUGAGUUGAGACUCCUUCGUUUAUUUUGGAGAGCUUAUCCCAGAUAAGCUUAGCAGUUUCUAAAGCACUCACUAUUCCAUACUGUCCUUUGCUUAGAUGGCCACAUAUGAUAUUCUUCGCUUGAGAAUCGAGUUGCUUGAAUCUCUUCACAUCAGCAACAUUCAGGGAAGGUGUGACUGAGGGAACACCAUUUUCCACAAUGUACCAAAGAUCGUUGUCAAUUGCUUCAAGAUGCAUUCGCAUCUUAUUCUUCUAGUAAGGGUAGUCCAUGCCAUCGAAGGUAGCACACCCACCGGAGACCUUGAUCAUACCUGUGGUCGACAUAACUAGAACUCCAGGUGGUUAAACCAAAAUCACACGGAACAAGGGAGUACCUUUCUCUGAUACCAAUUGAAAGUGCGUUAUAUCGACUAGAGGGGGGCGAAUAGGCGUUUUUUAUGAAUUCUUCACUGAGGAAUUUCCCGGUGAGGAAAUUCCUUGGCGAAGAACUACUUGCAGCGGAAUAAGUACUCAGAAGUAAGCAUAACAGAAUACAGGCAUGGUCAUCAUGAUGAAAUGAAGACACGCAUAGAGUACAGAAAGCGUAAACACAUGAUAACACAAGAUGAAGACAAACAGACUGAAGAAAUUGAACUGAGGAAAUUGAGAAAGUCUUCAGUCAAAGUCUUCAUACACGGAUAUGAACAAUCACUCAACACAGUAAUGAGUAAAUGAAAGAGUUGAGGGAAUAGAACCAGGAAGGUUGGUGAAGACAAUGAUUUGGUAGACCAGUUCCAACUGCUGUCUCAGUUGUACAUCUGGUUGGAGCGGCUGAGUAUUUAAACUCGAGGACACACAGUCCCGGACACCCAGUCGCUGAGCACGCAGCUCAGGACACCAAGUCCUCACCGUAUUCUCCUUGAACUAAGGUCACACAAACCUCGUCCAAUCACUCGUGGUAAGUCUUCAGGCGACUUCCAAACCUUCACAGACUCAGUCACUCGGCGAUCCACAAUUCCUCUUGGAUGCUCUAGACCAUGACGCCUAACCAUCUGGAAGAAGCACAGUCUUCAAAGGUAACAAGCGUCAGAUCCACGUAGGAUCAAUCUCUUCAGUGAGGCUCAAUAACUUUGGGUUUGUAGGUGUUUGGGUUUGGGUUUUUUCCUCACUUGAUGAUUUUCGCUCAAAGUCCUCGGAGGAUGGGAUGCUCUCAAAUGACAAGUGUUAGUUUCUCUCAGAGCAGCCAACCAGCUAGUGGUUGUAGGGGGCGGCUAUUUAUAGCCUAGGGAGCAGCCUGACAUGAUAAGACAUAAAUGCCCUUGUCUGAUAUGACCGUUAGGUGGAUAAGAUAUUUUGUGACAGCUGGCGCGCAGCACAGCAACGGUCGGAAAUUUGACUCUCAAAUUCCUCAGGGCUAUCAUGUUCCUCACUUCCUAGGCAAUCCGCAUUGGUGAAUUCCUAACUCCUCAGUCAGAACAAAUUCCUCAGCGACUUAAAGAACUUCGUCUCUGUCACUGAAGAAAUGACUGAACUGUAUGAGAUUUCCAAAGGCUUCACUCGAAGCGAUUGGUAGGUGUAGGAUUUUGAGUUGAGCAUCACAUGGAAAUUUUUCCUUAGUAUUUCCUCGACCCCCUUUAACAGUACGGUGUUUCCUAUGACUCAAGAAAGAGAAAAACAAAACUAUGAAAACGAAAGUCUUCAAGCUUCAUAUUCCUCGCAUGAAUAUCAAGAAUUCACGGACACACCAAUUUCUUCACUUUCAAAGUCUUCAUGAAAGUCUUCAGGAAUACCAAAAUCUUCAGUCGAAGAUAUUCAUUUUUAGGGGUCGACUUUCUCUGUAAAUAUCAAACUCCUCAUAGACUUAUAGACCUGUGUACACUCAUAAACACAUUAGUCCCUUAACCUAUAAGUCUCCAAUACACCAAAAUCACUAAGGGGCACUAGAUGCACUUACAGGCACUGAGGCGACCACACCAUAGCCAGGUGCGGGCCCAACUCUGGCUGCACGGCCCUAGGGUGUGGGCCCCUCGGGCGUCCACCGACAUUGCCCUUCCGCCUAUAUAAUGCCCCCGAGGCGAAAACUCUAAAUAAUGAAGCCUCCGUCCAUGAAAAAUUCCGCAGCGCCGCCACCAUCAACGACGAGAUUCGGGGGAUAGAGGUGUCCGUUUCGGCACCCUAUCGGGAUGGGGAAUUGCCCCCGGAGCCAUCUCCAUCGACUCCACCGCCAUCUUCAUCACCGUUGCUAACUCCCAUGAUGAGGAGGGAGUAGUUCUCCUCCGAGGCUGUGGGCUCUACCGGUCGCUAUGUGGUUUAUCUCUCUCUCCCAAGGUGUGAUCUUUAUGUGAUCAUGAGCUUUGCAAUCUGGUUAAUUUAGUAGAUGUUACUCUCAUCUAUUAUGCUACUCAAGUGCUUUUAUUAAUGUGAUCUCCGGAGACACCUUGUCCCACGGUGUGAAGGUGACAGUGUGCACACCGUGUGUGGCUCUUAGGCUAAAGAUUACAGAAAUACUUAUCAUGAGUUAUAAUUUGAGUUGGAUGUCUCUAUGAAAUUGUGGUGUUUGUUUGGAACCAUCUAGCGCUCAAGGUGACAGUGUGGAGUUACCUAGAUGGGGAAUGCGAACUUUAAGGUGUGCUUUUAUAGCCCUACGUGGUGAAUUGGUGUUCGUUAUCCAACCGGAGAGUAGUUCAGAGUAGCAUAGUGAUGAGAAGAUGUUUAUGUGUUCAAUUAUGAUAUCAUUGUUGAGAGUGUCCACUAGUAAAAGUAUAAUCCCUACGUUUUGUUUCUAAGCAUUGAAACAUCGUUUACAACCAGUUAUGCUACAUGUUUGCUUGCUGACAUUUUUAUUUCAGAUUGCAAUUACCACUUGUAAUCAUCCAUAUUACUUGUAUUUCACUAUCUCUUCACCGAACUAGUGCACCUAUACACCUGACAAGUGUAUUGGGUGUGUUGGGGACACAAGAGACUUCUUGUAUCUUAAUUGCAGGGUUGCUUGAGAGGGAUAUCUUUGACCUCUUCCUCCCUGAGUUCGAUAAACCUUGGGUGAUUCACUUAAGGGAAACUUGCUACUGUUCUACAAAUCUCUACACUUGGAGGCCCAACACUGUCUAUAAGAAUAGAAGCGUGCCUAGACAUCAAGCUUUUUUCUGGCGCCGUUGCCGGGAGGUAAGGUAAAAGGUACUCACAUCCUCUAGCUACUAAGCUAUCUUCUAGUACUGUUGCUAGUGUGUGAGUGGUCAAAGUUAUUUCCUUUAGAUUCUGCAAUUAUAUCUUUUUGUUUCUUGUUUUUAUUUUCACUAGUUAGGCUUAAUGGAAAACAACAACAAAAUUAGAGAGCUUUAUAGUAUGUUUCCUGAGUUAGGACAUGAAGUGUUUGAAGAGAAAAUUAAAAAACCUAUGGAACUUUAUUUGCAUGCUAAUAGAAAUGUUAUUAGUGUGAACUAUUUGAACAGCAUUAUUGCUAAUGUUAUGGAAAAGUCUAAGCUUGGGGAAGCUGUUUUUUAUGAAAAUGGUCUUUUUAGUUCCCCAGCUUUAGAGGAGAAAUUUUUCAUGAAAAUGGUCUUUUUACGAAAAUGUUAUUUUUACUUCCCCAGCUUUAGAGGAGAAAUUGAACGAUUUUAGAUUCUAAACGAUUUUUAAAUUUGAACAAUUUUCAAAUUUGAACAAUUUUCAAAAUUUGAAACAUUUUCAUAAUCUGAACGUUUUCAACAAUCUGAACAUUUUUAAAAUUCGAACAUCUUUAGAAUCUAAACAGAAAAGGCAGGAAAAAAGGACCAGCUCCGAGGUAGUCGCCAAACUCCUCCUCCUCUCCGGCAGAGAUGUUCUCCCUCGCCUGCUGCCUUUGACUCUGCACUCCAUCUUCCUUUUAUAUUGAUAUUACUCCCCUUCUCACCCGAUCCCUCCGGUACUUCUGAUCUGUUCUUCUCCAUCUUCCCUAACCCUAAUUCUGCCACCCUCUCAUCCCCCUUCCCCCCGAUCUCCUUGUGAGUUGGAUCUGCCAUGCACGAAGAUGCGCGUGACGGGUAGUGGUAGAUCCCAUCGGCAGCCAGAAAGAUCCGGCGAUCGGUGAGAUUUUACGUGGGCGCUAGCAUGAACGCCAGAGGAAAGUUGGAACCCUAGCGGCGGAGCCAGGGGGAGACACGAGAAUUCCUAGGGUCCACCCAACGCGUGCACUAAUAGAGCAUGCUCACGCGGGCACUCUCGGUGGCCCGGUCCAUAAGCGGGAAGAGUUUUUCUUUCAAUUUUUCUUAAUUUCUUUUUCUUCUUUUUAUUUUCUGCUUCUUUUUUCUUCUUUUUUAAAUUUUGGUUUCCCUUUUUCUCGUUUCUGUUGCUUUUUUAUUUUUCAAUGUUUGCAUUUUUUCAAUUUUGUUUUUUUAUUUGAAAUUUUUUUAAUUUGAACUUUUCCAAUGAGGGACGUUUUUUAAUAUGAACAAAUUUAAACAUUUCUCAAAUUUGAACAACUUUCCAAUUGGAACAAAUUUUAAGUUUUAACAAAUUUCAAAUUUGAACAUUUUCUAUUUUUAAACUUUUUCAAAUUUGAACUUUUUUAGAUCUCGUAUUUUCUUAAUAAUUUAUUAAUUACCAAAACAAUAAAACAAAAAAUAAAAUGACUGGAAAAAGAAAUUAAAUUUAUAACUUUUUAUUUGGCCGCGUUCGAGGCGGCCCAUCAGGAGGCUCUGCGUUCGUGGUGGUUUAGGCCAUGUUUGAGCAGCACAUAUGGUUUGCCCCACUGAUCACGAGCGACGAGGAGCCAGCCAGCGACCAGGUCAGAUCUGAUUCUUAAAUAAGAUUGUUUCUAAAUUACAAAUAAAUUUGAUAAUCUGAACGCUUUUCAAAUUCGAAACAUUUUGAAAAAUCCGAAUACUAUUUUUCCUUUUCUUUUUUCCAGUGUUUUCAAAAUCAGAACGGUUUUAAAAUUUGAAUGAUUUAAAAUUGAACAAGUUUAAAAUUUGAACAAAUUUCUAUAUUCAUAUUGUUAAUAAUCUGAAAAUUUACGAAAUCUGGAUAAUUUGAGCAACUCUAAAAUUGAACGAUUUUUAAAUUUGAACCAUUUUCAAAUUUGAACGAUUUUCAUAUUUGAACAAUUUUCAUAAUUUGAAACAUUUUCAUAAUCUGAACGUUUUCAACAAUCUGAACAUUUUUAAAAUUCGAACGUCUUUAGAAUCUAAACAGAAAAAGCAGGAAAAAAGGAAAAAUAAAAGAAACAUAGCGAAAACCAAUCGAAUAACCGCAGCAAAAAAGUGAAAGAACCGUGCAAAGAAACCUGAAAAAACCAGCCCCGGAUUUUCUGUUGAUUUACCUAUAUGGGUUGGCCAACUAGCGCAAGGUUGCAUGUCGCAGCUAUAUAUCACAACGAGCGAUGUAUAAGGAUCUCCGAUACUACCGUAGCGAAUCGAGCAUAUCAUCACCAUCGAGACGUUGACGCUCCAAAAAAUACAUUUUAUUUCCAUCAUUGCCUUUUAAUGUUGUUUCUACGUAGUACAGAAGAUAUCUUUUUUUAUAGACAAUACCAUGAUAUAUUAUAGUAGGAAAUAGUAUAUGGUACAGAUACAUAAGCUGUCUCCAGCGAUUAUAAAAUAAGAAAGCUCACAUCAACAAACAAGAUAACUCUUUUAUACGUGAUAAGCAACCUCAAACCAAUAAACACUACAUCUAUUUCAUUCAGUACAACGGCAUAAGAUUUUUUAUUCUUAACAGGUUUUACGAAUUUAGUGCUCAUAUGCAGGAGUAAUUAUUCCUGGGAGCCAAAACACAAUGUCAUGCAACCUCCACAAUGCAUGAAAUUUCUAUCUUCUUGUCGUGACGUAAUUUACUCCACCCAAGAUUCUUCUUAACAAUCGAUACCACAUAUAUUUAAAAUAGUUCAUGGUCACUACAGGAAACGGGCGAUAGGCCGACGGCCCGACACUGUUGGCAUAGGCCAAAUAACCCUCGGCACAGGCUAUAGCCGAGGGCGGCCCUGGGCGUAUCGCCCUCGGGUAUCUGCGUACAGGUAUUUGUCGUCGGCGUAGAGGAUUCCCUCGAUGUAGACUUGGCGGGCCCAUCGCUAACAGAUGAUGGCCGUUAGACGUCGAACAGGCUACACCGACGGCUUUGCCCUCGGGCUAGAUAAUCGAUUUUGUUUCCAACCUUUUUUCCAAAAAAAAUCCAAUUUUUUUCACACUUGUUAAUUUCACAACAGACAUUUUUAACUCUCAGCACAUUUAAUGUAAAAUCAAAUUGCACUUGUGGUCAAACUUCCCGCUCGACCACCCAUCCUCACACUACUCCAACCCCAGCAUGCUUAACUUCUCCGUUCCUUCCGGAUGAGCUAUCAAGAAAGAAAUCAUAUCUUAGUGAUAAUAGUACCAUAUCAAUCAUAUUAACUCUUGGACUAUGGUGUCACACCUUUUUAUUUUUGAAUUCCAUACAAAUACUUAAAUACACAACAAUUAAUAAGUAAUAAUAAUAAUAAUUUUCAAUUCAAAUAAAUAUUUUUUCUUUUUUCUAUUUAAUAUGGAAUAUUUAAUAUCUUUAAAUCCUUAAAUCUGAAUUUGACAAACAAUAUGUCUAAACCUAUCAAAAAAUGAGGAGAAUCCAAAUAUAACAUCCAUAUCGUCUUGUGAACCUAAAAAAAUGAUAUUUCCAAAAAAAAUCAUGAGCAUUAGAUCAUGUAUGUGUAGUUCAAAUUGACCAUAGUUCAGAUCGAGCAAUAGGUACAUGUAUUUUUUUAAAAAUAUAUGUACACCAUGUAUAUCGACUUGAAUCGUUAGUAUGUGACAUAAGAAGAUUAUGUGGGCAGGUUUUUCAUAUUUUUCAUAUUUUUUGAAUUUUUUAUGCUCAUUUCAAAAAAAUUUGAAAUGUGUAAUAUUUAAGUGUAUAUAGAGAGAUCUUAUUCUUCUGCAAAUUUGAUAUAUUAUUUGUAUUUAUCUGAAUUAUAAUGAUUCAGUUAUGAUUUUUCUAAAAUUAAUAUGAUAAAAUGGAAAAUAGCUAUGCCGACGGCGUAGCUUCAGAACCUAUGCCGAGGGCUUUGCCCUCGACGUAGACCCUCCGUCGUGACGCGGUCGUAACACUGUUAGCCUGGGCUGGCCUACACCGAGGCUGGCAUAUACCCCGAGGGCAGCUGUUGGCCCAGACAUGGGUUCACCGAGGGCCGAUCCUACGCUAAGGGCCGGGCGGGCAGGCGGGCUAGAUUGCCAGCCCUCUACACCGACGGCCCCGAUGUUUUGCCGUCGGUGUAGAGGCUGGCCGUCGGCUCCAGACAUCAGUCCUGUGGUGGGUGAAGAUACACAAGUUGUUUUCAGCGAUUAUAAAAUAAAGUACAUAUAAGAAAAUGAGCAAAUCUCCAAGGUCUUUAAACUCUUAUUUUCCAUCACAGGCAGCCAAAUUGUCACGACAUAAAUGCCAAACUAUAGGCUCGUAAAUACCGACGAUGGUUCUCCCGUAUUUUUAAAUCUGAGCCGCAAUGCCAAGGCUACGUGCAUGCGCGCAACCGUUAAACUAAUCACCCGACAUCAGCGAGAGCAACAACACCAGUAUUCCAGGGAAAAAGAUACCGAACAGCCUGGUCGACAUCGCUAGAGAUCCGAAAGUACGAAUCACCUUUGUCGAUGGUGUAGCAUCCGGGAUAAAUAUUACGAGGACUAGUUGAAUGCCUGUUCGUUGCAACGGCCUCUAAAAUAUUUUAUUUCUGCACAUGUAAGCAUAAUACAUCUUAAUAUUUUGUCGCAUAUAGAAAGGUAGAGAAAUAUAGUAUUCAAGAAACUAUAGAAUUAUACAUUUUGAUGUGAUUGGACAAAAAGUUAUAGUUUGAUUUCUAUGCAUAGUAAUAGAAAACCCAUCUACUCAUCUUAUUCUUAGUUAGGUGUGUUAAACUGUAUAGUUAUCAGAUACGGUUAGUAUCUAGGAUUGUAGGUAUCUUAUAUAACAACCUGUACUUAUCCUCCUGUAAACCCUAGCGGCAGCCCUAGAGGCGCCCUAUAUAAUGAUCCAAUCUCUUCUCUCUUUGUUUCACAUGGUAUCAGGCCAUCGCAUAACUGCUCGAUGGGUUCUCCUUCCUCCGGCGGCAUGACUUCCUCGACCCUGGCUUCUCUGCCCAUGCCCUCUGGGCUCUCAGCGCCGACAUCUUCCGCUGUUCCCCAACCCUCUGCUAGCCUCAUUACCGCCAAGCUUACCUCCUCCAACUUCCUCCUCUGGAAAGCACAGAUCCUUCCUCCCCUUCGAAUCAUCGGUGUCACUUGGCUAUGUCGAUGGCACCACCCCUACUCCUCCUCGUAUCCUCCCAACUGAUGACAAGGGGGGCGCGCUCCUAACCCGGAGUAUGCUGCCUGGUCCCGUCAGGAUCAGAUCAUCCUGAGCUAUCUUCGUGCUCGCUCACCGAUGAUGUGCUUCAGUAGGUCCAUCUCUUCGACACCGCCCAUGUGCCAGGAGGACAUCAUCACCGCCUUCAUCACCGGGCUCGACAGCGAGUACGGGCCCCUCAUCACUGCCAUCUCCUUCGAACGCCGCCGCGACAACAAAUGCAACACCAACAACCAUGGCAAGGGAAACUACCGCGACAAGGGUCGCGGCAACUCUGGUGACCGUGGUGACUACAACAACAACAACAACAACCGCGACGGGUUCCGUGGUGACUGUGGUGGUGGUGGCAAUCGUCAGAACGGUAACCGUGGUGGUGACCGCGGUGACCAUGGCGGUGGCGGGGAUGCACGUCUGCAUUGCCAGCUCUGUCGGGGCCCUGGGCACUAUGCCUGGGAGUGCGCUUAGUGCUAGAACCACGCCUUCCAACCUCAACAGUCCAAGAUGGCGGGUCUCGCUGCCGCUUCACCACCAUCCAUCCUCGGUGACCCUAACUGGUCCACUGACACGAGGGCUACCGAUCAUAUCAUGUCGGAUCUGGACCGUCUCACCGUGAGGGAAAAGUACCCUGGACAGGACCACAUCCACACUGCCGAUGGAUCAGGUUUGCACAUAGCUCAUCAUGGUCAUGCCGUUCUUCCUACACCCUAUGUCAAUCUUAAACUUCACAACAUAUUACAUGUUCCCAAUGCCGACAAGAACCUUCUUUCUGUUAGUCGUCUUGCCGUUGACAAUCAUGCUUAUCUAAAAUAUUAUCCUACUCAUUUUCUUAUGAAGGAUUUGACAACCAAGAAGGUUCUUCUUCGCGGCAGAUGUGCAAAUGGGCUCUAUCCCAUUCGGCCUUCACGUUCUCAUGUCUUGUCUUCAGUUAGGCUCUCUGCUGAAGAUUGACAUGCUAGACUCGGCCACCCGUCCACACAAGUUGUUCAGCAUGUUUUGGUGUGCAAUAAAUUAGCAUCAUCGAGUCGGGCUUUGGCCCAUGUGUGUAAUGCUUGUCAACAUGGCAAAGUACAUCAGCUACCUUUUCCUAGAUCUUUGAAUGUUUCCUCGUUUUCGUUGGAACUUAUUUUCUCAGAUGUGUGGGGACCUGCCGAAACCUCCUCUCGUGGGUUCCAGUACUAUGUUUCAUUUAUUGAUGAUUAUAGUAAAUUUGUGUGGAUUUAUCUUCUCAAACAAAAGUGUGAUGUGUUUGAUGUCUUUCGUGAUUUUCUUGCCCAUGUUGAGCGCCUCCUAUCUCAUAAAAUCCUGUGUGUUCAAUCAGACUGGGGUGGGGAAUACGAAAAACUUAGCAACACAUUUUUUCGGCAACUUGGCAUUGCUCACCACGUCUCUUGUCCACACACACACCAACAUAAUGGCUCGGCCGAAAGGAAGCACCGUCACAUUGUUGACAUGGGCCUCUCCUUAUUAUCGCAUGCGUCUAUGCCCCUCCAUUUUUGGGACGAGGCGUACUUGUCCGCAUGCUACCUUAUCAACCGACUACCUAGCCGCGUCAUUGGCAAUAUGAGUCCCAUGGAAAAACUGUUUUCACCAAGCCUGACUACGUAUCUCUUCGCACGUUCGGGAGUGCAUGUUGGCCUAACUUGCGCCCGUAUUGUUGGGGAACGUUGCAGAAAAUUACAAUUUUUCCUACGGUUUCACCAAGAUCCAUCUAUGAGUUCAUCUAGAAACGAGUCAUGGGAGAGUGAUUGCAUCUACAUACCACUUGUAGAUCGCGUGCGGAAGCGUUCAAGUGAACAGGGUUGAUGGAGUCGUACUCGUCAUGAUUCAAAUCACCGAUGACCUAGUGCUGAACGGACAGCACCUCCGCAUUCAACACACGUACGGAGUGGAUGACGUCUCCUCCUUCUUGAUCCAGCAAGGGGGAAGGAGAGGUUGAUGAUGAUCCAGCAGCACGACGGCGUGGUGGUGGAUGCAGCAGAACUCCGGUAGGGCUUCGCUAAGCGACUACGGGAGGAGGAGGAGGUGUAGCAGGAAGGGGAGGCGCCAAGGGCUUCAGGGUGCGGCCACCCCUCCCUCCCCUCCCUUUAUAUAGGUGCAAGAGAGGGGGGAGGGCGCAGCCUUGCCCCUUCCUCCAAGGAAGGGGUGCGGCCAAGAGGGGGGGAGGAGUCCAUCCUCCCCAAGGCACCUCUGAGGUGCCUUCCCCUCUUAGGACUCUCCCCUCCCCAAGUCUCCUUGGCGCAUGGGCCUCUUGGGGCUGGUGCCCUUGGCCCAUAUAGGCCAAGGCGCACCCCCACAGCCCAUGUGGCCCCCCCGGGGCAGGUGGACCCCCCCCCCCGGUGGACCCCCGGACCCCUUUCGGCACUCCCGGUACAAUACCGAUAAAGUGCGAAACUUCUCCGGCGACCAAAAUAAGACUUCCUAUAUAUAAAUCUUUACCUUAGGACCAUUUCGGAACUCCUCGUGACAUCCGGGAUCUCAUCCGGGACUCCGAACAACAUUCGGUUUGCUGCAUACUCAUAUUCAUACAACCCUAGUGUCACCGAACCUUAAGUGUGUAGACCCUACGGGUUCGGGAGGCAUGCAGACAUGACCGAGACGUUCUCCGGUCAAUAACCAACAGCGGGAUCUGGAUACCCAUGUUGGCUCCCACAUGUUCCACGAUGAUCUCACCGGAUGAACCACGAUGUCAAGGACUCAAUCAAUCCCGUGUACAAUUCCCUUUGUCUAACGGUAUUGUACUUGCCCGAGAUUCGAUCGUCGGUAUACCGAUACCUUGUUCAAUCUCGUUACCGGCAAGUCUCUUUACUCGUUCCAUAACACAUCAUCCCGUGAUCAACCCCUUGGUCACAUUGUGCACAUUAUGAUGAUGUCCUACCGAGUGGGCCCAGAGAUACUUCUCCGUUUACACGGAGUGACAAAUCCCAGUCUCGCUUCGUGCCAACCCAACAGACACUUUCGGAGAUACCUGUAAUGCACCUUUAUAGCCACCCAGUUACGUUGUGACGUUUGGUACACCCAAAGCAUUCCUACGGUAUCCGGGAGUUGCACAAUCUCGUGGUCUAAGAAAAAGAUACUUGACAUUAGAAAAGCUUUAGCAUACGAACUACGAUCUUUGUGCUAGGCUUAGGAUUGGGUCUUGUCCAUCACAUCAUUCUGCUAAUGAUGUGAUCCCGUUAUCAACGACAUCCAAUGUCCAUGGUUAGGAAACCGUAACCAUCUAUUGAUCAACGAGCUAGUCAACAGAGGCUUACUAGGGACAUGGUGUUGUCUAUAUAUCCACACAUGUAUCUGAGUUUCCUAUCAAUACAAUUAUAGCAUGGAUAAUAAACGAUUAUCAUGAACAAGGAAAUAUAAUAAUAACAACCAAUUUAUUAUUGCCUCUAGGGCAUAUUUCCAACAUGUAUAACACUUAGAAACUUGCGUUUAGAUCACAAUAGUGUGUGUUUGUCGGGUACAUCAUUCGUCACAAAGGAUAUAAAUGUCUUCACGUACCUACCGCUCGUGUAUAUAUAUAUCACGAGAUCUAAUCUUUGAUGAACAAUUUUUUCCUUUUACCAAUGGCCAACCCUCUCCAAUACCACCUCACGUUGCUGAACAUGCAAUCCUUUUAUUUCCACAUGACCACAUGAACUAUGGCGCAUCUAUUUCUCGAACUAAUCUGGAUGCAGGUACCGAUUCAGUGCAGAAAAUCCCAUCUCCGGACUCCCUGACAGAUCCUGUGUCCCAAUCCGCCGCCGCAUUAGCCUAGUAUCACGCGCCGCCUGGAGACAACGACGUGGAGGCAGCUGACCACGUGACGAUAGGUGACAGCGUGCAAGGUGACCGCGCUGGGCCCGGGUCUCCGCCACCCACCAAUCCCGUAUCCCCUGAGGGCGAGCGGACCGGGGCGUCUCUCGCGUCGGCUCCUGCAUGUGCGCGUCCGACCCACAUUGUGGCGGGGCCCACCCCUGCGCGGGCCGCUGUGUCUCCCGAUUUGCCCCAGGCCAUUGUCCACCUGGCGCCCGCGGAGCGGGCCGUUGCUGCUGGCGGCGCAGGAUCCCAGAUGGAUCUGGCGGCCGCGCCGUCUUCCUCGCCCGACACGGGAUCCCACGGGGAUUCGCCGGCGCGCUUGUCUGCAUGCGUCCCGCCCGGAUCCUCUAUGGCCACCGGAUCUUCUGCUCUGCCUGUGCAUACAAUGACAACGCGCACACGUGAUCACACUCACAAACCGCUGUAGCGCACUGAUGGUACUGUCACGUACGAUCCGUCCUGUCGUGCAUUCUUGGCACUGCGGGAAUCGUGAAGCGGUCUCAUCUCCAGAGUGGCGUCUGGCAAUGCAACUUGAGCUCGAUGCUCUCCGACAGAAUGGUACCUGGACUUUGGUACCUCGUCCUCCUUGUGUCAACGUCAUUGAUUGCAAAUCAGUGUUCAAGAUCAAACACAAACCGAAUGGAACUGUUGAUCGUUACAAGGCACGUCUGGUCGCAAAGGGGUUCAAAUAACACUAUGGCUUGGACUAUGACGAUAUGUUCAGUCCGGUCGUUAAACCUGUCACUGUGCGACUGGUUCUCUCCAUUACAGUUUCUCGUGGAUGGUGUUUGCGACAGUUGGAUGUUCAAAAUGCUUUCCUUCAUGGCAUUCUCCAAGAAGAAGUAUACAUGCGCCAACCUCCUGGUUUUGUGAACCCCUCGGUGCCUCAUCAUUUGUGCAAACUUCGCAAGGCUCUCUAUGGGCUCAAAUAGGCUCCUCGAGUGUGGUAUUAUCGGCUGAGUUCUAGGCUCCAACAACUUGGUUUUAUAGCAUCCAAAGCUGACAGGCCCCUCUUUGUCUACAACCGGUGCGGUGUUACUAUUUUCAUGCUUGUGUAUGUAGACGACAUUAUUGUCUCCAGCUCCUCUCCUGCUACUACUACCAAGUUACAUGAGUCUGAAUAUAAGGCACUUGCGAAUGGAUUAGCUGAGGUCAUAUGGAUACAGUCGGUCCUUGGUGAACUUGGGGUCUUCCUCUCUCGACCUCCUGUUUUGUAGUGUGACAAUCUAGGAGCCACUUAUUUAUCUGCGAAUCCGGUAUUCCAUGCCAGAACCAAGCACAUAGAAGUGGACUUCCACUUUGUUCGUGAACGAGUUGCAGCCAAGGCACUUGAUGUUUGAUUCAUAUCUUCCAAGGAGCAAGUUGCAGAUAUAUUCACAAAGCCUCUAGCUGAGGUGCCGUUUGUUUUAAAUAGGCACAAUAUGAAUCUUUGUGUAGGAAGUUCAGAUUGAGGGGGAAUGUUAAACUGUAUAGUUAUCAGAUAUGGUUAGUAUCUAGGAUUGUAGUUAUCAUUGUAUAACAACCUGUACUUAUCCUCCUGUAAACCCUAGCGGCAUCCCUAGAGGCGCCCUAUAUAAUGAUCCUGAGACCACCGCAUUAGGUGUGUCGAUCCAAUCUCUUCUCUCUUUGUUUCACAAGGUGUCCGUGGGUUGUAUGAAAUAAAACCAUAAAUUUACACACUGUUGUAUCGAUUGAGAACUCAAGAGCAAAGCCCGUUUCCAACCUCGUCUCGGCAAACGUGGUUUCUUCCUCAUCAUGCUUCUCUCACCAACGACCACCAUGAAGCCAUUGCUUUUCUCUCUCCAUGAUCUUUGGUCCUUCUCCACCAGCAAUGUGAAAAAAGGCAAUAUGCCAGCUUCAUACUCCAUGGUCUUUCUUUUGAGCUUCAAGGUAGUAUGAUAGUAUAAUCAGUGUACAGUACUGUCCAAGACCAAACCAAACUGGUUCAUAUAGCUGUAAAAAUCUCUUGUGAUCAACAACAAAACUAAUGCUAAUAUUCAGGAUUUCAAACUUGAAGCAUUUGGAGAUCAACCAACAAAAAGAAAAACUGAGCGGCGGUGUCAAAAGUAAUUGUUGACCUUUGUCAAAUUGACUGCAUGCUUUUAAAUCAAGAUCAUGCAACUAAGACUUGCAUCUCAAUAAAACCAUAUCAGUUGCACAUGCAGAUGAGAGAAAUGGGAAAUACUCUAUUCCAUUCAAGGGUUGUAUGUCAAUUAUUAAAACGCAAGCACAUUAUAAGUCACAAACCUCCAACGCGCAGAUAAUUUUGGAAAUGCCUAAACCUCAGAUAAUUUGGGAAAGGAGGGUGGCUACAGUCCCCUUGGCUGAUAUACAUAGGUCUAGCUGUAACAUCUUUGGGCAAAGCAUCAUUUGCAACUGGUAACCACAGAAUAUGUAUUUAGCGCUCCUACAGAAGAAAAGAAAAGAAAAGGAUUAAAAAGGGAAUGCCGCCUUCAUAGGUCACAAACCUCGGAUUGUCAAUAUCUUCUUGUGAAUGUACACAUAUUUGAAAUACUUGAAGCGGCUAGGAUAAUGUUCUUAAAAAUGGGUUGCUUCAAAGAUAAGAAACUAAUACUGCAGUCAGACCAAAAGGAAAUUCAAGGGCACAAAAUACUUCCAGCAGGCCUUUGCAAAUUGGCAAUUAAUUAAGAAAAGGUGAUGUAUUGACUCAAGAGCCUGGACUCCACACAUGACGCAGAAGUUUAAUUCAAGGACGGGGAAGUAAGAAUAAGACCACGUACGUACUAACAAAAGAGGGGAUCAAGGAGGAGCUGUAAAAUCCAAAUGAAAAUAUCAAUACAUAAUGAACAGCACCAUUCCGUUGAAAUACCACAAGUCGCUGCUAGUAAGAUUACAUAUGCCGGCUCUCUUGGACAACAAAACCUAAGUCACGAUUCGACUACGCACGAUUAAUUUGUUGUGUUUGACGUUCCUCUUCCUCUUUUUUUUUAUAAAGAAUCACAGAGUGUUUUAUUCCAGGAUGAUAGAGUUACAAUCUUCAGCGACUAAUUUGCUAAUGCAUGGGGUGGAUGGCCCAGCCAACCUGCUGUGCUAUCACCGACACUAUGAAAUCAAUCUUCCAAACUGCAGAAUUGUAAAGUACAGCUCAGACCUACAGGGCAGGACCGGCUAGCUAAACGGCCACGCUGGAUGAUAUGUUAUCACGUUCCCCGCGGCCGCGCCAUGAACUCCAAAUCUGGCGAAACCACCUACCGUCGCACAAGGCGCCGUCGGUCGUGGAACACGCGGUCUGCAGGUCACAUCGGUCCAGGCCUUGUUGGGUUCACGCGGUCCAGAUGACAUGCACGCCCGCCAAGCAAUUGAGAAAGAGAGAGCCAUGCACGCACGCGAAGCACGCUGCCCUGUGACAACGAGGAUGAUCAUGCAUGCAUGUCAGAGAGCAGAGAGCAGAGACGUCUGUCACUUGUGUAGAUGAUAGGUUCUGCUGGUUGGCGGUCACGCUAUGCAGACCGCGUGUUCCACGACCGGGCCAAAUUUCGUGUUCGGACCCUUUUUCGAUACAAACUCAAGAUCUGACCCCGGUUACGAAAAUUUUCGAGAUCUGACCAUUCCGCUAUCGUCAUGGGCUCUGACAGUAUGGUUAGACAUACUACCGCCAGGGUCCAUGGCGGUAGGGUGCGACGGAGGGCGACGGAGGGCAACGGCCGCCGUUUGCUCGAGCUGACUUGGACAAGUAGCCUACCGCCAGGGACCAUGGCGGUAGCAUGUUAGACCUUACCGCCUGACCCCUUGGCCGUAAGGUGUGGCUGGGGUUUUGCCUCCCAAGUUUCUGUAACGAAAUAUCGAGGUGCCCUGGCGGUAGGUACGUUCGUCCUACCGUCAGGGUCCUUGGCGGUAGGGUCCUGUGUUCUAUGGUUUAUAAGUUUAUUUUUUGUUUUUUUUCAGAAACAAUAUAGGCCCUAAAAUAUGAGCUCGCAUUUUUUUAGUGAUUGUUUAUUUUGUAAAAUAUGAGCUCACAAAGAAAGCCAACAAACGGUUUCACAUAGUUUGUUUUGUUACAAGUUUCACAUCACAAAUAGCAAAAUAUGAGCUCACAUAAUGAUGAUGGUUUCACAUAGCAAUUAUCAAACAGUUUACAGAUAAUAGAUUCAUAAGUAGGGAAUAACAAAUAGCAAACUUGUCCACAUAGUUUGACAAACCCUACAAAAACAGAGAUAUAUAUUCAAUCGACANNNNNNNNNNNNNNNNNNNNNNNNNNNNNNNNNNNNNNNNNNNNNNNNNNNNNNNNNNNNNNNNNNNNNNNNNNNNNNNNNNNNNNNNNNNNNNNNNNNNNNNNNNNNNNNNNNNNNNNNNNNNNNNNNNNNNNNNNNNNNNNNNNNNNNNNNNNNNNNNNNNNNNNNNNNNNNNNNNNNNNNNNNNNNNNNNNNNNNNNNNNNNNNNNNNNNNNNNNNNNNNNNNNNNNNNNNNNNNNNNNNNNNAGGCGGAGGGGAAACGCUGGUCGGCAUCCGACCGUUCAAGCAGUCCCACCUUGGCUUGCCCGCUAGAGUUUUCGCCUCAGCCCUUGGCCAGUUGAUGAUAUCGAAGCCGAUGCACUUGGGGGCGGCAUCCUGGCUCUCUCCUCCUCAUUGCUCUCGAAAUAGAUCCUCCGGCCCAAAUUGCGCAGCUCGACACUACUAGAAAAAGGCAUGCUAGUGAUGCACCAGUUUUGCCUACUAAUGGCGCACUACUGGUGCGCCACUAGCAUCACGCCAUUAGAAUUAAAUUCUAAUGGCACACCACUGGUGUGCCAUUAGUAUCUGGUGUUCUAAUGGCGCACCAAUCAGUGCGCCAUUAGUAUAGCCCACAGUGCGCCAUUAGAAUGCCUCCCAGGGGGUCGUAUGUACCCAUGUGCUUUGGCUUACUAAUGGCGCACCAGUGGGUGAUGCGUCAUUAGUGUGAUUAUCACAGUGCGCCAUUAGUGUCUUGUGUGGUGCGCCAUUAGUAUGAAUAUUAGAUUUUUUUUGUUUUUUUUCUGAUUUUUUCACAGGUUACAAAAUAUAUUAUUUGACAGAAUAUAGACAACACCACACAGCAACAGCAGAUUCAUCGAAUACAAUAGAAGGUAAGUCUUCGAAUACAAUUCAUCAUAUUAGUCUCCAAAUACAAAAGACCAAAUGAAGAUAGAACAUUACAAGUCUCGUAGACCGCGAGUAGCGAGUUUGUCUUCACAUUACAAGUCGAUAUCGAUCAUCUAAACUACCAUCACAUAGAAGAGAGCUGCGGUCAUCACGAUGAGCAUCAUCGCGAUGAAACUGGUCUUCACCCGGUUCCUCCAACGCUCCCUCCUCUCUCCCACUAGAUAGCGGGCGUAUCUAGAUUCCGCCUCCGCCCUAGUGGUGUACCCUUUGUAACUGUUACCGCUGAAACGGCGAACCUGUCUCCGACACUCCUCCCAGUCGUCGUAGACUCCGGGAACCUUACCCUUGUACACAACAUACGAAGGCAUCUCUACGCACAAGCCAAACAACAGACAAUACAUAAGCAAUAUAUAAGUAUGCAACAAAAGGAUCGGAAGAGAAAAGCAAGACACUAAUAACACGAUUCAUGGUCCUACUAAUAAAUAGCAUCGAUUACAUCUAAGUUGAACGACUGUCCAAACCGAAGAGACAUACAAGUUCAUUAAAGUUUAAUUACAACAUGAGCUAAUCGAUGUUUCAGAACUACAAAUAGCAUCACUACUUUCGACUCGACUCAUGGGACCGGAGCGUGGAUGAAGCCGCCGUCUUUCGUGAUGGUCAUGAAGUCGCGGGCGUUGUCAGCCUGCAUUUGAAGUGUUCUGUCUAUCUCACUGUUAGGCGGUUGCUCUCUGAGGUAGAACUGUCCCGAGGUACGAAGGACAUCUUGAUGGAUGAUUUCUGCAAACUCCGACUGGAUGCGAAAGAAUUCUUGUUGGAGGUCCGCGUCCUGGAUUGCCGCCAAGCUUGCGGCCCAAUCUUUGACAUUAUUUGGUAACAGAAGGUGAUUACGGUCCCGUACGAUCGCCCUCAUGUGAUGGAGGGCAUAGUAGGCAUCCUUCUGACCGCCAGGCGGCUGCUUGACGCAGGGGAACGUCGUAUGGUGGGUGAACACGUGUUUACCGUACCUACGAACUGGCCUCUUAAAGGUGCCUCCAGAUGUGGCAUAGCCGGGGAGAGCAUCAUCAAGAACUUUCUUGAUAUUUGUAUAGUCUAUAUUGGAGUCACGGUCCGGGUCGAAAUACGUGGUCGUGGAAUAUUUCGGGCUUAAGAGGAUGAGUGUGCAAUGUGUGUCACUGCACAAAACACGGAAUGUUAGAAAAAAAAGAACGAUCGAAAGCUAAGAAAUAAUAUUUUACGGGGCGGUGAGGGGAUGACUUACUCGGGAAAGUAAGGGACGAGGAAGUUAUCCUUAUCUGGGUUUGCCAGAAUGACGCCUUCGAGGUGUGAACUCGCGACUUGCCGGUCCCCAGCGCUGCCCAAGAUCUUGGCACGCAUGUAGAAGGGGUCGACUAUCACGAUGUCCGGGGUCUUGUCUCGAAUGAUCCGCAUCUCCAUACUCAGCGAAAACAGCCGAACGAAGGUGUAGUGCAGCGGAUGAAGAUUAAACAUAGCAAAGAUGCCAUCAAACCGCAGGACGAUCGUACCCCCAAUGGCCAUCCACAAAGCCCUUGCCCUCUGGCACCUUGGCCAUGAAAACCGGGUAUGCCACAUCAUUCUGGGAGAGACGCAUCUUCUCCAAAGAAAGAACACUGUCAUGCGGACUCCGCAUAGCACCGGUUGCAGCAUUGAGCAUAUUUGUCGGUAGCAUCGCCCUACCCGCCACAUGCACCCUCCUCGAGAUAUCCUGAGGUGAAGGUGGCCCGUCCUGAGCACGGAUCGUACUCGGUGCCGGCUGGCUCGCACCGGCGCCCUUGGCAGUCUUUCGUUUCUGUCCCUUCUUCUUGAUCUGCUGUAAUGGGACCGAUUUCUGCUCACAGACCGCCUUCUUGAGCGUGUUGGGGCUGAUAAUAUUUCGCACCUCAGCUCUCUGAGGCUCAGUGAAGGCAGGAGCUGGAGGCGUCUCCUGAGAACUGAACGCCAGACGACGCCUGUUGCAAUUGGAUUUCUCUGCCGUACCAGCUAGAUCGCGGUCAUCUUGGUUGGGUUCUUGAGAAGGAGGCCCACCGAACUCGUCACCGUACCCAUAUUCGGCAAAGUACUUAUCAUCGUUGGUAAAUGUACCGUCGUCGUUGUCAUCGUCGUCCGGAUCCUGUGCCAUAUGCAUGUCCAGAUCCUGUGCCAUAGGGAUGUCUGGCAUGUCCGGUAGCAUUGCGGCGUUCUUGCCAUGGCGCGGCGCUAGCACGACUGGCGGUCUUGUCUGUGGGGUGGUGUCCCCCGCCCCCAAACGAAUCUGGCUCUUCGGCCAAAGCAAGGGCCAGCUUAGGCAGGCGCUGAUGGUCAUCAGAUCUUCUUCGUCGGCCCCGGCGGGUUGAAUCGGAGGUAACAACUCGUCGCAGCCUGGCAGCACCCGAACCAGUUGAACCCUAUACACGGUGGGUGGCAUCGGUUUACCGUGGAACACGGGGUUGCCCGGUUGAACGAUUUUGCCCUUGGCGACAUCGACCAACUCGUCAUUCACGAAGUGCAGGAGAGUGCACGGAACGUCGGCGGCGCCCUGCGAAAACAUGUAGGGCGUCAGGGAUGCCCAGUCAAAGGCAAAAGGAGAUGAAGUCCUCGACCGAGAGGCUUAAUUAGUUACCGUGAUGAUGGCGUCGAGCUCGGCUAAUGUCGAGGCACCGCCAACGGCGGGCGUGCAAAUGACGGAGGGGCCACUUGCUGGCAAGGUGCCGGCCGGCGUAAACCCCGGUGUAUUAAGCUCCAAUGCCCGUGCCGGCGCCAGAGACACCAAUACCGCCGCCGUCGAUGACACCAAUGGCGCCGCCGGAGACACUAAUGGCGCCGCUUGCGUGUUGUGCGAGUUGCUGGCUGUGAAGCUGGGAAUCGGGGGCGGCCCCUGUUGGCCACACGCAAUCCACGUUGUCAGCCCAUGAAUCAAGGUAGGCAUAAUGCCGGUGAGCGUCGUUCUCAGUUGUUGUUGCACUUGCUCUUGGAUAAUCUCCAGAAUCCGCACCACUUGUGCCUUGAGUUCUUCAACCUCGCGCGACUGGCUUUCGGAGCUGGUCUUUUUCUCCUUUCGCCCACCAGCGGUAUAGUAUGAGGACCAUUUUGUGAACAAGCCUUUGCCGGCCACACGACCAGCUGACGACGGCUUACUGAGCUUAUCCUUGUUUUUCAUUACGUUCAACGCCCUAUUUAGAGUGAUGUCCCAAGCAGGGGUGCUCUGAGACGACCCCGCGCUGCUGCUUUUAGUCUCCUUCGCCAGAACAAGCUCAAGCGCCCUGGUCUUCGGAUCCGUGGUAAGCUCCUUUGUUAUCGGGUCCUCCUUGUACCGGGCCGUGACAAAGUUCCUGGUCUGCAUGUCACUGCUGUAUUUCUCGAAGCGGGGCGGUAGGCCUUGCUCGGCACGCUCCGCAUCCUCCUUGUCCCAUAUAGGCUCCACCACUCUAUAACCGCCGGGACCAAGUUUGUGUUCCCCUAAGUUCAACUCCCGCAUUUCUUUCCCCCACUGACUUGAUUCGGAGGUUUCACUACUCUCGCACUUGAUCUUGAACUCCUUGUAGUCAUCUUCGCUGAUCGAAGGAUUUUCCGCCUUGAUCUUCUCAUAACUAUCACCUUUCUCAAUCAUUCUCUUCACUGUGUUUCUCCAAGUAGACAGGGUCGUGCUCAUGCUCGUGAGGGCGGCACUGUUCACUUUAUUCCAUGAGAGGCGUGUGUUUUCAAAUUCAGCGGGAAACUUGUAUCGUUCGUGCAGCUUCGUGAAGUGGAGGUUGCGCAAAUUCCCUCGGUCCUUAUGCCUAAGUUUCUCGGUGUUGAUCGAGACGGUGCUCCAGAGAAUGCACCCGAGAUGAACCGAGUACCCCUUGACUAUAUGUUUGGGCUCUGUUGAAUUCCCGUCGGAGUCCACUUGAGUAAGUUCCUCCUUGACGGUGCGGAUCUCAUUCGGGCACUGGUCCUUCCGUUGCUUCUUCGGUUGGCUGCCAUCUAUGCGUGCGCCGCCAUCAUCAGUGGUGGCAUCCUCGGCGGCACCAUCAUUGGUGUCAUCCCCGAUGCCACUAGGGGUUGUGUAGUCAGGAUCGGUGUCUUCCGCGGCGUUCUCAUAGCGGUGAUAGGAACAGUGUCAAGAUCCCAUGUUUCGCUCUAAAUAGGAAAAAAGUUUGGUCAAAAAGUUGGUUAUUGUCAAGGAACAAGAUCAUGGUCUCAUCAUUUAGGGUUUGUCGACACUGAGGCAUCCUAAAAGCUAAGCUUUUAUCAUUUAGGUUUUGUCGAUGCCGAGGCACCCUAAAAGCCUAAGCGUACAUCAUUUAGGUUCUCAUCAACACCGAGGCACCCUAUAGAAGCCAAGGUUUCAUCAUUUAGGGUUUGUCGAUGCCGAGUCACCCUAAAUGCUAAGUUAAAUUUUCAUCAUUUAGGGUUUAUCGAUGCCGAGGCACCCUAGGUUGGGCCUAAUCACUUGGCACUAAUCACUUGGCUCUAUUGCCACCUAUGUUGGGUUUAUCAUCUAGGGUUUAUCGAUGCUAAGGAGAAUUCUAAGUUGGGCCUAAUCACUUGGCUCUGUUGCCACCUAUGGUUUAAUGCAGCAAGAAUGGCGGGGCAGUUGAUCCUACUUAACUAAGUACUAAUAUACCCCGGCCCAUGCAUUAGUUGCAAGUACCCCAUAUGUCCUAUUUUUAGCAAAGUCAUGCUAAAAUUCACGGAAAAUUUCAGCAUGACCUUUGCUAAAAAUAGGACAUAUGGAGUACCCGAAUUUGCUGGAACGAAAGUUAAUCGACAUUUCGGAAAACUCAAGGGCCUCUCGGGGUACCUGCAAAUUCAUCACAACACAAUGGUCGGAGAUAAAACCCAGCAACUUUACAAGUCUUUCACAGAUUUGUUUGCAAGUUCUGAUAUGUAAUAAAGAUGAGCCUCAAAGAUGAGCCUCCAAUGCUGAUUUGUUUGCCUGAAGACAAGAUGAACCUCCAAUGCAACAAGUAAUAAAAUGUUCAACAAUGUAUCAAAUUCGGCAACAGUUUAACAUCUACUCCAGUAAUUAUACAACACCAUGACCAACAUUUCUCCUCUACAGAAAUUAGAAACAAAAUAAAGGAACAUUACAUAGUAGCCAUCAAAUUAAAAUAACAUAUACAGUACAUACAGGUAGGUAAUACUAAAGUGUGUUCAUAUUAGCUAGUGACCAUUAUAUUGCUUUAGCUUAGGGCCCUUACAUUAUUCUCUCUCUAUCCCUUUCUUUAGCUGCACUGCAUCACAAGGCAAAUAUGGUUCAAAAUAAAAUACUGUUGAAUAAGCACCUAGCAGAAUUGUAAAAUAAGCUUAAAAAAAGCAUACAACUUGACAUACAAACACAGUCAGUUAUGCAAGUGCUAGAGGUAUGCAUAUAUAUAUAUAUAAAUAUAUAUAUAUAUAUAUAUAUAUAUGUGUGUGUGUGUGUGUGUGUGUGUGUGUGUGUGAACUUGAUCCUGAACUAGAGGUACACAUGUUUGCAUACUCAUCUCUGCAAUUAGUCGUGCUUAUUUGCAUUGUGCUAUAUAUGAAUCCACACCGACUCGAGCCUGAAUCAAUCAAUCAAUGCUGCUCACAAAUACUCCCACACUCCUAUAAUAGUACUAAUAUAAGAGCAUUUAUAUUAUUGGAAUGAAGGGAUAAUUUUUUUUCUUUCAAGAAAACACAAACCCUAACAACACAUUACGAGCACCUUCAAGAGAUUGAACCAACCUAACAUCCACAAACACCUCCUACUCAACACACAGACACAGACCAAGGAAGAAACAUAACCAUUCUUCUUUUUUCUUUCUUUGUUGUUAAUAAUAAAAGAAACUACAAGAGCAAGGAAGGAACAAGUCUUCUUUUGUACUGCCACACAAGAAACCCUCUUUCUUUCUUUCUUCCCUUCUUGUUUAUUUAAUUUUACUGCACCAUCUACUAACCUCCUCCAACUUUACUACCACUACAUCCCUCUCAGCGACAUCUAUGUACUGCAUAUAAAGCAUCACAUGCUGAUGCUAUGUUUCAUUUGUCCCAUCUCCCAUCUCUGCUCUUAUUUUAAGUAAAUGCCCAUAUGCCUUACAUUUAUCUCUGCGGGAGUUUUUCUUUUCUAAUGAUAUCAUCUAUACAUGUUACUUAGUUACUAAACCUAUGUAACUUAGGAUCUAAUUGAUAAAUUGCUAGAAGUAUCUGCAUAUUUUCGUGGAGAUCAUAUGGGGGAGGAUCGGACAGUGUGGCAACAGACAGCAAGGUGUGUUCUUUCAAAGAAUCUUUGCAUCGAGUCAAUGAACAUCAUAUUUGAAGUGCAGUUUAACUUAGUCACUUAAAACUAUCUGAUCCACAACUAACAACCAAAGUCAUGUUCAGUUAUAGUGCUUAAAUAUGAUUUUGGUGUGUGUGAAAACAAUACAGUAUUAUAUUUCUACUGAAUGCAUGAGUAUGAUGUAUCACACAUCUACAUGUGUAGGCUUUUUCAGUUUUUUUCUAGAUGGAAACCAGAAGCAUCACUGUCCUUGACUAGAAUCACCAUGGCCAGAUUAAAGACUGCAAGCUGGCAAGUUCUUCCUUUCAAUUUCUCAAUCUUAGCUAGCGGAGGAGGAAGAGAGGUAGAGGGAGGAGGGUUACCUAGCGGUGGUGGGGCGUUGAAGACCUGGCGGCGAGGUUCGUCCUCUCGGUGGCGGCGGGGCUCCUCCCCUCGGUGGCGGCGGUGGCCUCUUCCCCUCGGUGGCGGCGGGUGUGCUCCUCCUCUCCUUAUGGAGGCGGGGCGUUGAUCUGGNNNNNNNNNNNNNNNNNNNNNNNNNNNNNNNNNNNNNNNNNNNNNNNNNNNNNNNNNNNNNNNNNNNNNNNNNNNNNNNNNNNNNNNNNNNNNNNNNNNNNNNNNNNNNNNNNNNNNNNNNNNNNNNNNNNNNNNNNNNNNNNNNNNNNNNNNNNNNNNNNNNNNNNNNNNNNNNNNNNNNNNNNNNNNNNNNNNNNNNNNNNNNNNNNNNNNNNNNNNNNNNNNNNNNNNNNNNNNNNNNNNNNNNNNNNNNNNNNNNNNNNNNNNNNNNNNNNNNNNNNNNNNNNNNNNNNNNNNNNNNNNNNNNNNNNNNNNNNNNNNNNNNNNNNNNNNNNNNNNNNNNNNNNNNNNNNNNNNNNNNNNNNNNNNNNNNNNNNNNNNNNNNNNNNNNNNNNNNNNGCGGCGUUGGGGCAGCGCAAGACCACAGCGGCGGCGGCGGCGCCGACGGCGUGCAUGCGCGGCGGUACCGUGCAUUGCCCUUUCUCACCUCGAGAGUUGGUGCAAACUUCACCGGUGCAUCCAAACCCCGUGAUAUGAUACGCUCUAUCACACAUAAGCCUCAUUAUAUAUUCCUCAAAAUAGCCACUAUACCUACCUAUCAUGGCAUUUCCAUAGCCAUUCCGAGAUAUAUUGCCAUGCAACUUCCAUCAUCAUCACAUACAUGACUUGAGCAUUUAUUGUCAUAUUACUUUGCAUGAUCGUAAGAUAGCUAGCAUGAUGUUUUUAUGGCUUGUCCGUUUUUUGAUGUCAUUGCUACGCUAGAUCAUUGCACAUCCCAGUACACCCAAAAAGGGGGCCAAAGAAGCACACCCAAAAAGAAAAAAAAGAAAAAAUAAAAAUAAAAGGGGCAAUGUUACUAUCCUUUUACCACACUUGUGCUUCAGAGUAGCACCAUGUUCUUCAUAUAGAGAGUCUCAUAUGUUGUCACUUCCAUUUACUAGGGGGAAUUUUCAUUAUAGAACUUGGCUUGUAUAUUCCAAUGAUGGGCUUCCUCAAAUGCCCUAGGUCUUCAUGAGCAAGCAAGUUGGAUGCACACCCACUUAGCUUUCAGUUUGAGCUUUCAUACACUUAUAGCUCCUAGUGCAUCCGUUGCAUGGCAAUCCUUACUCCUCGCAUUGAUAUCAAUUGAUGGGCAUCUCCAUAGCCUGUUGAUUAUCCGCGUCGAUGUGAGACUUUCUCCCCUUUUGUCUUCUCCAUAUAAACCUCCACCAUUAUAUUCUAUUACACCUAUAGUGCUAUAUCCAUGGCCUGCGCUCAUGUAUAGAGCGAGGGUUGAAAAAGCUGAAGCGCUUUAAAAAGUAUGAACCAAUUGCUUGGCUUUUCAUCGGGGUUGUGCAUGAUGGGAGCAUUUUGUGUGACGAAAAUGAAGCAUGGCCAAACUAUAUGAUUUUGUAGGGAUAAGCUUGCUUUGGCCUUGUUGUUUUGAAAAGACAUGAUUGCUUUAUUAGUACGCUCGAAGCAUUAUUGUUUUUUAUGUCAAAUGAUAGACUAUUGCUUUGAAUCACUCGUAUCUUAAUAUUCAUGCCAUGAUUAGACAUAUGAUCAAGAUUAUGCUAGGUAGCAUUCCACAUCAAAAAUUAUCUUUUUUAUCAUUUACCUACUCGAGGACGAGCAGGAAGUAAGCUUGGGGAUCUUGAUACGUCUCCGUCGUAUCUAUAAUUUUUGAUUGUUCCAUGCUAAUAUUCUUGAACUUUCAUAUACUUUUGGCAACUUUUUAUACUAUUUUUGGGACUAACAUAUUGAUCCAGUGCCCAGUGCCAGUUCCUGUUUGUUGCAUGUUUUAUGUUUCACAUAAAACCAAUAUCAAACGGAGUCCAAACGGGAUAAAAACGAACGGAGAAUUAUUUUGGAAUAUUUGGGAUUUUCCGCAGGAAGAAUCAACACGAAACAGUGUCCGAGGUGGCCAGGAGAUAGGGGGCGCGCCCUCCCCCCUGGGCGCGCCUGGCACUCUCUUGGGCCACCCGUAAGGCGGUUGACGCUCUUCUUUUGCUGCAAGAAAGCUAAUUUUAUGAGAAAAAUCUGGCCGAAAGAUUCACCCCAAUCGGAGUUACGGAUCUUAAGAUAUAAAAGAAACGGUGAAGGGGUAGAAUCUGAGAACGCAGAAACAGAGAGAUAGAUCCAAUCUCGGAGGGGCUCUCGCCCCUCCCAAGCCAUGGGAUCCAAGGACCAGAGGGGAAACCCUUCUCCCAUCUAGGGAGGAGGUCAAGGAAGAAGAAGAAGAAGGAGGGCUCUCUCCCCCUUGCUUCCGGUGGCGCCGGAACGCCCCAGGGCCCAUCAUCAUCACCGCGAUCUUCACCAACGCCUCCGCCAUCUUCAUCGACAUCUCCAUCACCUUCCCCCAUCUAUAUUCAGCGGUCCACUCUCCCGCAACCCACUGUACGCUCUACUUGAACAUGGUGCUUUAUGCUUCAUAUUAUUAUCCAAUGAUGUGUUGCCAUCCUAUGAUGUCUAAGUAGAUUUCCAUUGUCCUAUCGGUGAUUGAUGAAUUGCUAUGAUUGGUUUGAGUUGCAUGCUUUAUUAUUGGUGUUUUCCUAUGGACCUCUCUGUGUCGCGCAAGCGUGAGGGAUCCCUGCUAUAGGGUUUGCAAUAUGUUCAUGAUUUGCUUAUGGUGGGUGGCGUGAGUGACAGAAGCACAGACCCGAGUAAGUAGGUUGUUUGCAUAUGGGAUAAAGGGGACUUGAUACUUUAAUGCUAUGGUUGGGUUUUACCUUAAUGAUCUUUAGUAGUUGCGGAUGCUUGCUAGAGUUCCAAUCAUAAGUGCAUAUGAUCCAAGUAGAUAAAGUAUGUUAGCUUAUGCCUCUCCCUCAAAUAGAAUUGCAAUAGUGAUUAUCGGUCUAGUAACAUAGUCAAAUGCUUAGGGACAAUUCCACAACUCCUACCACCACUUUUCCACACUCGCUAUAUUUACUUUAUUGCUUCUUUAUCUAAACAUCCCCUAAUUUUUAUUUACGUGUUCUUUAUUAUCUUGCAAACAUAUCCCAACAACACCUACAAAGUACUUCUAGUUUCAUACUUGUUCUAGGUAAAGCGAACACUAAGCAUGCGUAGAGUCGUAUCAGUGGCAGAUAGGGCUUGAGAGAGUAUUUAUUCUACCUUUAGCUCCUCGUUGGGUUCGACACUCUUACUUAUCGAAAGAGGCUACAAUUAUCCCGUAUACUUGCGGGUCAUCACCUAGCGGUGUGAAAUAAAUGGAAAACUUGUAAGUUCAUGGAGUUUGUAUAUGAGUUAGAGAAACGCCUGGGCGGCCAACCCAAGCCAUGCAUAAUUCAUGGUGGAAAUUUACAACAUAACCAUAGUGAGCAUUCUAUGGAGCAUCUUCAAUAAAAAAACUAUGCCCAUGGUAAUAAAAGGAUUGCUGAGAUGCUCAUUGUCUGUUGCCUUGUCAUUUUGGUAUGGGAUAGCUCUUGUGUCAUGGGGCAAGGGGUACACCGUUGGCGGUUCUCUAUGAUGCAUGUAUACUUACAAUGACAAGAACUUAUUUGGGACCUAAGUUGAGUAGCAUGAGGUUUAGGUACUCGUAUUCAAGGGGCAUGAGGCUUUCAAUUUGUGAUUUGUCAAGCAUACAACUCAUAUUUGCCCUCACUUUAACCUUAACCAUUCAAGAUGCGUAUGAUAGGGGCAAUGAGAGCUGAAAUCUAAUGAGGACCAUAAGUUUUGGAAGCUUUAUCAAACUUAUUAAUCCCUACUUACCUCUAUGAAGGGCCUUUCUUUUACUUUUUUGUUGAGUCUUCAUCUUCUAUCUUUAUGCACCAACUAAGAGAGCAUAGUUGUCAUUCUGAGUAUAAUGUGCAUUGUCCCAAAACUUGUUGAUUGAUUCAUGAUUAUGGUAUUGCUUAUUCUCAAAUUAUUUGUAUCUAGUCACCCUUUUGAACUUUGAAGGUGUCCUAUGCAUUUAUGUUUUGCUACUCCAAGAAGGACAAGCUGAAUACCACUUUGCUAUGUUUUCUCUAUGUGCGAAACAAACAAAUGUCUUUCAAAGCAUUAUUCAUGAUCUUUUGUUUAUGUUGCCUUUCAUGUUGUAAUAUAGUUGCUAUAUUCUAUUGUUAGAAAUAUAUCUUUCAUACCUAUGUUUAGAGUACUUUGAUCCCAUCUUACAAUGUUUUACAAUGAUGAUGAUCAAGAUUGUAUUGGCUGCAUGUCACCUCAAAAAUUAUUUUUGUUAUCACUCCCCUACUCGAGGACGAGCAGGAGUUAAGCUUGGGGAUGAUGAUAUGUUGCAAACGUAUCUAUAAUUUUUGAUCCUCCAUGCUUGUUAUACACCAAUUACUUUAUGUUUUGUUUACACUUUGUGGCAUUUUUAUGUAUUUUCUGGAACUAGCCUAUUGACAAGAUGCCACAAUGCCAGUUCCCUGUUUUCUGCUGUUUUUGUGUUUUGGAGAAAUUAGUACAGAAAUAUUCUCGGAAUUGGACGAAACAAACGCCAAAGUUCCUAUUUUUCUCGACACGACACGGAGUCCAAAGCAGAGACGGAUGAGCACACUGAGGUGACCACACCAUAGCCAGGCGUGGGCCCACCUCUGGCUGCACGACCCUAGGGUGUGGGCCCCUCGGGCGUCCACUGACAUUGCCCUUCCGCCUAUAUAAUGCCCCCGAGGUGAAAACUCUAAAUAAUGAAGCCUCCGUCCAUGAAAAAUUCCGCAGCGCAGCCACCAUCAAAGACGAGAUUCAGGGGAUAGAAGUCUCUGUUUCGGCACCCUACCGGGAUGGGGAAUUGCCCCCGGAGCCAUCUCCAUCGACUCCACCGCCAUCUUCAUCGCCAUUGCUAACGCCCAUGAUGACGAGGGAGUAGUUCUCCUCCGAGGCUGAGGGCUUUACCGGUCGCUAUGUGGUUUAUCUCUCUCUCCCAAGGUGUGAUCUUUAUGUGAUCAUGAGCUUUGUAAUCUGGUUGAUUUAGUAGAUGUUACUCUCAUCUAUUAUGCUACUCAAGUGCUUUUAUUAAUGUGAUCUCCGGAGACACCUUGUCCCACGGUGUGAAGGUGACAGUGUGCGCACCGUGUGUGGCUCUUAGGCUAAAGAUUACAGAAAUACUUAUCAUGAGUUAUAAUUUGAGUUGGAUAUCUCUAUGAAAUUGUGGUGUUUGUUUGGAACCAUCUAGCGCUCAAGGUGACAGUGUGGAGUUACCUAGAUGGGGAAUGCGAACUUUAAGUUGUGCUUUUAUAGCCCUACGUGGUGAAUUGGUGUUCGUUAUCCAACCGGAGAGUAGUUCAGAGUAGCAUAGUGAUGAGAAGAUGUUUAUGUGUUCAAUUAUGAUAUCAUUGUUGAGAGUGUCCACUAGUAAAAGUAUGAUCCCUACGUUUUGUUUCAAAGCAUUGAAACAUCGUUUACAACCAGUUCUGCUACAUGUUUGCUUGCUGGCAUUUUUAUUUCAGAUUGCAAUUACCACUUGUAAUCAUCCAUAUUACUUGUAUUUCACUAUCUCUUCACCGAACUAGUGCACCUAUACACCUGACAAGUGUAUUGGGUGUGUUGGGGACACAAGAGACUUCUUGUAUCUUAAUUGCAGGGUUGCUUGAGAGGGAUAUCUUUGACCUCUUCCUCCCUGAGUUCGAUAAACCUUGGGUGAUUCACUUAAGGGAAACUUGCUACUGUUCUACAAACCUGUACACUUGGAGGCCCAACACUGUCUAUAAGAAUAGAAGCGUGCGUAGACAUCAAGCUUUUUCUGGCGCCGUUGCCGGGAGGUAAGGUAAAAGGUACUCACAUCCUCUGGCUACUAAGCUAUCUUCUAGUACUGUUGCUGGUGUGUGAGUGCUCAAAGUUAUUUCCUUUAGAUUCUGCAAUUAUAUCUUUUUGUUUCUUGUUUUUAUUUUCACUAGUUAGGCUUAAUGGAAAACAACAACAAAAUUAGAGAGCUUUAUAGUAUUUUUCCUGGGUUAGGACAUGAAGUGUUUGAAGAGAAAAUUAAAAAACCUAUGGAACUUUAUUUGCAUGCUAAUAGAAAUGUUAUUAGUAUGAACUAUUUGAACACCAUUAUUGCUAAUGCUAUGGAAAAGUCUAUGCUUGGGGAAGCUGUUUUUUAUGAAAAUGGUCCUUUAGUUCCCCAGCUUUAGAGGAGAAAUUUUUCAUGAAAAUGGUCUUUUUAUGAAAUGGUCUUUUUAGCUACCCAGCUUUAGAGGAGAAAUUGAACGAUUUUAGAUUCCAAAUGAUUUUUAAAUUUGAAGAUUUUCAAAUUUGAACAAUUUUCAAAAUUUGAAACAUUUUCAUAAUCUGAACGUUUUCAACAAUCUGAACAUUUUUAAAAUUCAAACAUCUUUAGAAUCUAAACAGAAAAAGCAGGAAAAAAGGACCAGAUCCGAUGUAGCCGCCAAAAUCCUCCUCCUCUCGGGCAGAGCUGUUCUCCCUUGCCUGCUGCCUUUGACUCUGCACUCCAUCUUCCUUGGUAUUGAUAUUACUCCCCUUCUCACCCGAUCCCUCCGGUACUUCUGAUAUGUUCUUCUCCAUCUUCCCUAACCCUAAUUCCGCCGCCCUCUCAUCCCCCUUCCCCCCGAUCUCCUUGUGAGUUGGAUCCGCCAUGCACGAAGAUGCACGUGACGGGUAGUGGUAGAUCCCACCGGCGGCCAGAAAGAUCCGGCAAUUGGUGAGAUUUUACGUGGACGCUAGCAUGAAUGCCAGAGGAAAGUUGGAACCCUAGCGGCGGAGCCAGGGGGAGACACGAGAAUUCCUAUGGUCCACCCAACGCGUGCACUAAAAGAGCAUGCUCACGCGGGAACUCUUGGUGGCCCGGUCCAUAAGCGGGAAGAGUUUUUUUUUCAGUUUUUCCUAAUUUCUUUUUCUUCUUUUUAUUUUGUGCUUCUUUUUUCUUCUUUUUUAAAUUUUGGUUUCCCUUUUUCUCGUUUCUGUUGCUUUUUUAUUUUUCAAAGUUUGCAUUUUUUUCAAUUUUGUUUUUUUGAUUUGAAUAUUUUUUAACUUGAACUUUUCCAAAGUGGGACGUUUUUUAAUAUGAACAAAUUUAAACAUUUCUCAAAUUUGAACAACUUUCCAAUUGGAACAAAUUUUAAGUUUUAACAAAUUUCAAAUUUGAACAUUUUCUAUUUUUAAACUUUUUCGAAUUUGAACUUUUUUUAGAUCUCGUAUUUUUUCAAUAUUUUAUGAAUUACAAAAACAAUAAAACAAAAAAAUCAAAUGACUGGAAAAAGAAAUUAAAUUUAUAAAUUUUUAUUUGGCCGCGUUCGAGGCGGCCCAUCAGGAGGCUCUGCGUGCAUGGUGGUUUAGGCCACGUUUGAGCGGCACAUAGGGUUUGCCCCAUCGAUCAUGAGCGAUGAGGAGCCAGCCAGCGACCACGCUAGAUCUUAUUUUUGAAUAAGAACGUUUGUAAAUUACAAAUAAAUUUGAUAAUCUGAACACCAUUCAAAUUCGAAACAUUUUGAAAAAUCUAAAUACUAUUUUUCCUUUUCUUUUUUCCAGUGUUUUCAAAAUCAGAACGGUUUUAAAAUUUGAAUGAUUUAAAAUUGAACAAGUUUAAAAUUUGAACAAAUUUCUAUAUUCAUAUUGUUAAUAAUCUGAAAAUUUAUGAAAUCUGGAUAAUUUGAGCAACUCUAAAAUUGAACGAUUUUAAAUUCUGAACGAUUUUUAAAUUUGAACCAUUUUCAAAUUUGAACGAUUUUCAUAUUUGAACAAUUUUCACAAAUUGAAACAUUUUCAUAAUCUGAACGUUUUCAACAAUCUGAACAUUUUUUAAAUUUGAACGUGUUUAGAAUCUAAACAGAAAAAGAAGGAAAAAUGGAAAAAUAAAAGAAACAUAGCGAAAACCAAUCGAAAAACCGCUGCAAAAAAGUGAAAGAACCGUGCAGAGAAACCCGAAAAAACCAGCCCCGGAUUUUCUGUUGAUUUACCUAUAUGGGUUGGCCAAAUAGUGCAAGGUUGCCUGUCGCAGCUAUAUAUCACAACGAGCGAUGUAUAAGGAUCGCCGAUACUACCGUAGCGAAUCGAGCAUAUCAUCACCAUCGAGACGUUGACGCUCCAAAAAAUACAUUUUAUUUCCAUCAUUUCCUUUUAAUGUUGUUUCUACCUAGUACAGAAGAUAUCUUUUUUUAUAGACAAUACCAUGAUAUAUUAUAGUAGGAAACAGUAUAUGGUACACAUACAUAAGCUGUCUCCAGCGAUUAUAAAAUAAGCAAGCUCACAUCAACAAACAAGAUAACUCUUUUAUACGUGAUAAGCAACCUCAAACCAAUAAACACUACAUCUAUUUCAUUCAGUACAACGGCGUAAGAUUUUUUAUUCUUAACAGGUUUUACGAAUUUAGUGCUCAUAUGCAGGAGUAAUUAUUCCUGGGAGCCAAAACACAAUGUCAUGCAACCUCCACAAUGCAUGAAAUUUCUAUCUUCUUGUGGUGACGUAAUUUACUCCACCCAAGAUUCUUCUUAACAAUCGAUACCACAUAUAUUUAAAAUAGUUCAUGGUCACUACAGGAAACGGGCGAUAGGCCGACGGCCCGACGCUAUCGGCAUAGGCCAAAUAACCCUCGGAACAGGCUAUAGCCGGGGGCGGCCCUGGGCGUAUCACCCUCGGGUCCUUCAGGUAUCUGCGUACAGGUAUUUGUCAUCGGCGUAGAGGAUGCCCUCGAUGUAGACUUGGCGGGCCCAUCGCUAAUAGAUGACGGCCGUUAGACGUCGAACAGGCUACACCGACGGCUUUGCCCUCGCGCUAGAUUUUCGAUUUUGUUUCCAACUUUUUUUCCAAAAAAAAUUCAAUUUUUUUCAGACUUGUUAAUUUCACAACGGACAUUUUUAACUCUCAACACGUUUAAUGUAAAAUCAAAUUGCACUUGUGGUCAAACUUCCCGCUCGACCACCCAUCCUCACACUACUCCAACCCCAGCACGCUUAACUUCUCCGUUCCUUCCGGAUGAGCUAUCAAGAAAGAAAGCAUAUCUUAGUGAUAAUAGUACCAUAUCAAUCAUAUUAACUCUUGGACUGUGGUGUCACACCUUUUUAUUUUUGAAUUCCAUACAAAUAUUUAAAUACACAACAAUUAAUAAGUAAUAAUAAUAAUAAUUUUCAAUUCAAAUAAAAUAAAAUAAUUAAUAUUUUUUCUUUUUUCUAUUUAAUAUGGAAUAUUUAAUAUCUUUAAAUCCUUAAAUCUGAAUUUGACAAAUAAUAUGUCUAAACCUAUCAAAAAAUGAGGAGAAUCCAAAUAUAACAUCCAUAUCGUCUUGUGAACCUAAAAAAUUGAUAUUUCCAAAAAGAAUCAUGAGCAUUAGAUCAUGUAUGUGUAGUUCAAAUUGACCAUAGUUCAAAUCGAGCAUUACGUACAUGUAUUUUUUUUAAAUAUAUGUACACCAUGUAUAUCGACUUGAAUCGUUAGUAUGUGACAUAAGAAGAUUAUGUGGGCAGGUUUUUCAUAUUUUCCUAUUUUUUGAAUUUUUAUGCUCAUUUCAAAUUUUUUUGAAAUGUGUAAUAUUUAAGUGUAUAUAGAGAGAUCUUAUUCUUCUGCAAAUUUGAUAUAUUAUUUGUAUUUAUCUGAAUUAUAAUGAUUCAGUUAUAAUUUUUCUAAAAUUAAUAUGAUAAAAUGGAAAAUAGUUAUGCCGACGGUGUAGCUUCAAAACCUAUGCCGAGGGCUUUGCCCUCGGCGUAGACCCUCCGCCGUGACGCGGUCGUAACACUGUUAGCCUGGGCUGGCCUACACCGAGGCUGGCAUAUACCCUGAGGGCAGCUGUUGGCCCAGACAUGGGUUCACCGAGGGCCGAUCCUACGCCAAGGGCCGGGCGGGCGGGCGGGCAGGAUUGCUAGCCCUCUACGCCGACGGCCCUGAUGUUUUGCCAUUGGUAUAGAGGCUGGUCGUCGGCUCCAGACAUCAGUCCUAUAGUGGGUGAAGAUACACAAGCUGUUUUCAGCGAUUAUAAAAUAAAGUACAUAUAAAAAAAUGAGCAAAUCGCCGAGGUCUUUAAACUCUUAUUUUGCAUCGCAGGCAGCCAAAUUGACAUGACAUAAAUACCAAACGAUAGGCUCGUAAAUACCGACGAUGGUUCUCCCAUAUUUUUAAAUCUGAGCCGCAAUGCCAAGGCUACGUGCAUGCGCGCAACCAUUAAACUAAUCACCCGACAUCAGCGAGAGCAACAACACCAGUAUUCCAGGGAAAAAGAUACCGAACAGCCUGGUCGACAUCGCUAGAGAGCCGGAAGUACGAAUCACCAUUGUCGAUGGUGUAGCAUCCAGAUAAAUAUUACGAGGACUAGUUGAAUGCAUGUGUGUUGCAACGGCCUCUAAAAUAUUUUACUUCUGCACAUGUAAGCAUAAUACAUCUUAAUAUUUUGUCGCAUAUAGAAAGAUAGAGAAAUAUAUUAUUCAAGAAACUAUAGAAUUAUACAUUUUGAUAUGAUUGGACAAAAAGUUAUAGUUUGAUUUCUAUGCAUAGUAAUAGAAAACCCAUCUACUCAUCUUAUUCUUAGUUAGGUGUGUUAAACUGUAUAGUUAUCAGAUACGGUUAGUAUCUAGGAUUGUAGUUAUCUUGUAUAACAACCUGUACUUAUCCUCCUGUAAACCCUAGCGGCAGCCCUAGAGGCGCCCUAUAUAAUGAUCCUGAGACCACCGCAUUAGGUGUGUUGAUCCAAUCUCUUCUCUCUUUGUUUCACAAGGUAUCAGGCCAUCUCGCAUAACUGCUCGAUGGGUUCUCCUUCCUCCGGCGCCAUGACUUCCUCGACCCUGGCUUCUCUGCCCAUGCCCUCUGGGCUCUCAGCGCCGACAUCUUCCGCUGUUCCCCAACCCUUUGCUAGCCUCAUUACCGCCAAGCUUACCUCCUCCAACUUCCUCCUCUGGAAAGCACAGAUCCUUCCUCCCCUUCGCAUCACCGGUGUCACUUGGCUAUGUCGACGGCACCAUCCCUACUCCUCCUCGCAUCCUCCCAGCUGAUGACAAGGGGGGCGCGCUCCUAACCCGGAGUAUGCUGCCUGGUCCCGUCAGGAUCAGAUCAUCCUGAGCUAUCUUCGUGCUCGCUCACCGAUGAUGUGCUUCAGUAGGUCCAUCUCUUCGACACCGCCCGCGCCAUCUGGGUGCACCUCGAGGAGAUGUAUGUUACCCACUGCCGUGCCAGUGUGGUGCAGAUCAAGAUGGACAUGAUGAACUUCCGCAAGGGCAACCUCUCCAUGGUGGACUACUUCGCCAAGAUCCUCUCCAAUGCAGAUCAACUCGUCGCCGUUGGCCGUCCCAUGUUCCAGGAGGACAUCAUCACCGCCUUCAUCACCGGGCUCGACAGUGAGUACGGGCCCCUCAUCACUGCCAUCUCCUUCGAACGCCGCCGCGAGUACCACGCGGCUCGUCUUCAACUUCAUACGGGCGGAUCCUCUGUCAAGUAUGUCGCCCGCGACAACAACUGCAACACCAACAACCGUGGCAAGGGCAACUACCGCGACAAGGGUCGCGGCAACUCUGGUGACCGUGGUGACAACAACAACAACAACAACCGCAGCGGGUACCGUGGUGACUGUGGUGGUGGUGGCAAUCGUCGGAACGGUAACCGUGGUGGUGACCGCGUGACCAUGGCGGUGGCGGGGAUGCACGUCUGCAGUGCCAGCUCUAUCAAGGCCCUGGGCACUAUACCUGGGAGUGCUCUUUGUUGGAAAUAUGCCCUAGAGGCAAUAAUAAAAGUAUUAUUAUAUUUCAUUGUUCAUGAUAAUUGUCUUUUAUUCAUGCUAUAACUGUAUUAUCCGGAAAUCGUAAUACACGUGUGAAUACUUAGACCACACAAUGUCCCUGGUAAGCCUCUAGUUGACCAGCUCGUUGUGAUCAACAGAUAGUCAUGGUUUCCUGACUAUGGACAUUGGAUGUCGUUGAUAACGGGAUCACAUCAUUAGGAGAAUGAUGUGAUGGACAAGACCCAAUCCUAAGCAUAGCAUAAAAGAUCGUGUAGUUCGUUUUGCUAGAGCUUUGCAAGUGUCAAGUAUCUCUUCCUUCGACCAUGAGAUCGUGUAACUCCCGGAUACCGUAAGAGUGCCUUGGGUGUACCAAACGUCAUAACGUAACUGGGUGACUAUAAAGGUGCAUUACAGGUAUCUCCAAAAGUAGCUGUUGGGUUGACACGGAUCGAGACUGGGAUUUGUCACUCCGUAUGACGGAGAGGUAUCUCUGGGCCCACUCGGUAAUGCAUCAUCAUAUUGAGCUCAAUGUGACCAAGGUGUUGGACACGGGAUCAUGCAUUACGGUACGAGUAAAGUGACUUGCCGGUAACGAGACUGAACAAGGUAUUGGGAUACCGACGAUCGAGUCUCGGGCAAGUAACGUACCGAUUGACAAAGGGAAUUGCAUACAGGGUUUGAUCGAAUCCUCGACAUAGUGGUUCAUCCGAUGACAACAUCAAGGAGCAUGUGGGAGCCAUCAUGGGUAUCCAGAUCCCGCUGAUGGUUAUUGACUGAGAGAGUCUCGGUCAUGUCUGCAUGUCUCCCGAACCCGUAGGGUCUACACACUUAAGGUUCAGUUACGCUAGGGUUAUAGGGAUAUGUAUAUGCAAUAACCCGAAUGUUGUUCGGAGUCCCGGAUGAGAUCCCGGACGUCACGAGGAGUUCCGGAAUGGUCCGGAGGUAAAGAUUUAUAUAUGGGAAGUCCUGUUUCGGGCAUCGGGACAAGUUUCGGGGUUAUCGGUAUUGUACCGGGACCACCGGAAGGGUCCCGGGGGUCCACCGGGUGGGUCCACCUGUCCCGGGGGGCCACAUGGGCUGUAGGGGGGUGCGCCUUGGCCUAAUGGGCCAAGGGCACCAGCCCCACAUAGGCCCAUGCGCCUACGGUUUAAGGGGGCAAGAGUCCUAGGAGGGUAAGGCACCUCCUAGGUGCCUUGGGGGGAGGAAAACCCCCCUUGGCCGCCGCACCCCCUAGGAGAUUGGAUCUCCUAGGGCCGGCCACCCCCCCUUGGCACCCCUAUAUAUAGUGGGGGAGAGGAGGGACUUCAUACCUGAACGCCCUGGCCUUUGGUUGCCUCCUUCUCCCUCCCCAACACCUCCUCCACCUCCAUAGUGCUUAGCGAAGCUCUGCCGGAGUACUGCAGCUCCAUCAACACCACGCCGUCGUGCUGCUGUUGGUGCCAUCUCCCUCAACCUCUCCUCCCUUCCUUGCUGGAUCAAGAAGGAGGAGACGUGGCUGUUCCGUACGUGUGUUGAACGCGGAGGUGCCGUCCGUUUGGCGCUGGUCAUCGGUGAUUUGGAUCACGUCGAGUACGACUACAUCAUCACCUUGCAAGCUUCCGCACGCGAUCUACAAGUGGUAUGUAGAUGCAAACUCUCUCCCUAGACUCGUUGCUUAGAUGAACUCAUAGAUGGAUCUUGGUGAAACCGUAGGAAAAAUUUUAAUUUUCUGCAACGUUCCCCAACAGUGGAAUCAGAGCUAGGUCUAUGCGUAGUUCUCUUUGCACGAGUAGAACACAACUUUGUUGUGGGCGUGGAUUUUGUCAUCUUGCUUGCCUCUACUAGUCUUUUCUUGCUCAACGGUAUUGUGGGAUGAAGCGGCCCGGACCAACCUUACACGUACUCUUACGUGAGACCGGUUCCACCGACUGACAUGCACAAGUUGCAUAAGGUGGCUGGCGGGUGUCUGUCUCUCCCACCUUAGUUGGAGCGGAAUCGAUGAACAGGGCCCUUAUGAAGGGUAAAUAGAAGUUGACAAAAUCACGUUGUGGUGAUUCGUAGGUAAGAAAACGUUCUUGCUAGAACCCAAUUGCAGCCACGUAAAAUAUGCAACAACAAUUAGAGGACGUCUAACUUGUUUUUGCAGCGAUUGAUCAUGUGAUGUGAUAUGGCCAGAAGUUGUGAUGAAUGAUGAAUUGUGAUGUAUGAGAUCAUGUUCUUUGUAAUAGGAUUUACGACUUGCAUGUCGAUGAGUAUGACAACCGGCAGGAGCCAUAGGAGUUGUCAUUAUUUUUUGUAUGACCUGCGUGUCAUUGAAUAACGCCAUGUAAACUACUUUACUUUAUUGCUAAACGUUAGUCAUAGAAGUAGAAGUAGUUGUUGGCGUGACAACUUCAUGAAGACACGAUGAUGGAGAUCAUGAUGAUGGAGAUCAUGGUGUCAAGCCGGUGACAAGAUGAUCAUGGAGCCCCGAAGAUGAAGAUCAAUGGAGCUAUAUGAUAUUGGCCAUAUCAUGUCACAACUAUAUAAUUGCAUGUGAUGUUUAUUAUGUAUUAUGCAUCUUGUUUACUUAGGACGACGGUAGUAAAUAAGAUGAUCCCUUAUAAAAUUUCAAGAAGUGUUCUCCCCUAACUGUGCACCGUUGCUACAGUUCGUCGUUUCUAAGCACCACGUGAUGAUCGGGUGUGAUGGAUUCUUACGUUCACAUACAACGGGUGUAAGACAGUUUUACACAGCGAAAACACUUAGGGUUAACUUGACGAGCCUAACAUGUGCAGACAUGGCCUCGGAACACGGAGACCGAAAGGUCGAACACGAGUCGUAUGGAAGAUACGAUCAACAUGAAAAUGUUCACCGACGAUGACUAGUCCGUCUCACGUGAUGAUCGGACACGGACUAGUCGACUCGGAUCGUGUAACACUUAGAUGACUAAAGGGAUGUCUAAUCUAAGUGGGAGUUCAUAAUUUGAUUAGAACUUUAUUAUCAUGAACUUAGUCUAAAACCUUUGCAAAUAUGUCUUGUAGAUCAAUGGCCAACGCUAAUGUCAACAUGAACUUCAACGCGUUCCUAGAGAAAACCAAGCUGAAAGAUGAUGGCAGCAACUAUACGGACUGGGUCCGGAACCUGAGGAUCAUCCUCAUAGCUGCCAGGAAACAAUAUGUCCUAGAAGGACCGCUAGGUGACGCUCCCGUCCCAGAGAACCAAGACAUUAUGAAUGCUUGGCAGUCUCGCGCUGAUGAUUACUCCCUCGUUCAGUGCGGCAUGCUUUACAGCUUAGAACCGGGGCUCCAAAAGCGUUUUGAGCAUCACGGAGCAUAUGAGAUUUUCGAAGAGCUGAAACUAGUUUUUCAAGCUCAUGCCCGGGUCGAGAGAUAUGAUGUCUCCGACAAGUUCUACAGUUGUAAGAUGGAGGAGAACAGUUCUGUCAGUGAGCACAUCCUGAAGAUGUCUGGGUUGCACAACCGUAUGACCCAGCUGAACAUUAACCUCCCAGAUGAGGCGGUCAUUGACAUAAUCCUCUAGUCGCUCCCACCAAGCUACAAGAGCUUUGUGAUGAACUACAACAUGCAGGGAAUGGAAAAGACCAUUCCUGAAGUGUUCUCGAUGCUGAAGUCAGCAGAGGCUGAAAUCAAGAAAGAACAUCAAUUGUUGAUGGUCAAUAAGACCACUAAGUUCAAGAAGGGCAAGGGUAAGAAGAACUUCAAGAAGGACGGCAAAGAUGUUGCCGUGCCUGGUAAGCCAGUUACCGGGAAGAAGUCAAAGAAUGGACCCAAGCCUGAGACUGAGUGCUUUUAUUGCAAGGGGAAGGGUCACUGGAAGCGGAACUGCCCCAAAUACUUAGCGGAUAAGAAGACCGGCAACACCAAAGGUAUAUUUGAUAUACAUGUGAUUGAUGUGUACCUUACCAGUACUCGUAGUAACUCCUGGGUAUUUGAUACCGGUGCCGUUGCUCAUAUUUGUAACUCACAGCAGGAGCUGCGGAAUAAACGGAGACUGGCGAAGGACGAGGUGACGAUGCGCGUCGGGAAUGGUUCUAGAGUCGAUGUGAUCGCCGUCGGCACGCUGCCUCUACAUUUACCUACGGGAUUAGUUUUGAACCUUAAUAAUUGUUAUUUAGUGCCAAGUUUGAGCAUGAACAUUGUAUCUGGAUCUCGUUUAAUACGAGAUGGCUACUCAUUUAAGUCUGAGAAUAAUGGUUGUUCGAUUUAUAUGAGAGAUAUGUUUUAUGGUCAUGCUCCGAUGGUCAACGGUUUAUUCUUAAUGAAUCUCGAGCGUAAUAUUACACAUGUUCAUAGUGUAGAUGCCAAAAGAUUUAAAGUUGAUAACGAUAGUCCCACAUACUUGUGGCACUGCCGCCUUGGUCACAUUGGUGUCAAGCGCAUGAAGAAGCUCCAUGCCGAUGGACUUUUAGAGUCUCUUGAUUAUGAAUCGUUUGACACGUGCGAACCAUGCCUCUUAGGUAAAAUGACCAAGACUCCGUCCUCUGGAACAAUGGAGCGAGCAACCAACUUGUUGGAAAUCAUACAUACCGAUGUGUGCGGUCCAAUGAGCGUUGAGGCUCGCGGAGGAUAUCGUUAUGUUCUCACUCUCACAGAUGACUUGAGUAGAUAUGGGUAUGUCUACUUAAUGAAACACAAGUCUGAGACCUUUGAAAAGUUCAAGGAAUUUCAGAAUGAGGUGGAGAAUCAACGUGACCAAAAGAUAAAAUUCUUACGAUCAGAUCGUGGAGGAGAAUACUUAAGUCACGAAUUUGGUACACACUUAAAGAAAUGUGGAAUCGUUUCACAGCUCACGCCGCCUGGAACACCUCAGCGAAACGGUGUGUCCGAACAUCGUAAUCGCACUCUAUUGGAUAUGGUGCGGUCUAUGAUGUCUCUUACCGAUUUACCGCUAUCAUUUUGGGGAUACGCUCUAGAGACAGCUACAUUCACUUUAAAUAGGGCACCGUCUAAAUCCAUUGAGACGACACCGUAUGAAUUAUGGUUUGGAAAGAAACCUAAGCUGUCGUUUCUAAAAGUUUGGGGAUGCGAAGCUUAUGUCAAGAAACUUCAACCUGAAAAGCUCAAACCCAAGUCGGAAAAAUGCGUAUUCAUAGGAUACCCUAAGGAAACUAUAGGGUAUACCUUCUACUUAAGAUCCGAAGGCAAGAUCUUUGUUGCCAAGAACGGAUGCUUUCUGGAAAAAGAGUUUCUCUCGAAAGAAGUAAGUGGGAGGAAAGUAGAACUCGAUGAAGUACUACCUCUUGAGCGGGAUAGUGACGCAGCACAGGAAACCGUUCCUGUGAUGCCCACACCAACUGAAGAGGAAAACCAUGAUAAUGAUCAAAGUACUUCGGAUCAAGUUACUGCUGAACUUCGUAGGUCCACAAGGACACGUUCCGCACCAGAGUGGUACGGCAACCCUGUCCUAGAAAUCAUGUUGUUAGACAACAAUGAACCUUCGAACUAUGAAGAAGCAAUGGCGGGCCCGGAUUCCAACAAAUGGCUUGAAGCCAUGAAAUCCGAGAUAGAAUCCAUGUAUGAAAACAAAGUAUGGACUUUGACAGACUUGCCCGAUGAUUGGCGAGCGAUAGAAAACAAAUGGAUCUUUAAGAAGAAGACGGACGCGGAUGGUAAUGUUACCAUCUAUAAAGCUCGACUUGUCGCUAAGGGUUAUCGACAGGUUCAAGGGAUUGACUACGACGAGACAUUCUCUCCCGUAGCGAAGCUAAAGUCCGUCCGAAUCAUGUUAGCAAUUGCCGCAUACUAUGAUUAUGAGAUAUGGCAGAUGGACGUCAAAACAGCAUUCCUUAACGGGCAUCUUAAGGAAGAACUGUAUAUGAUGCAGCCAGAAGGUUUUGUCGAUCCUCGGAACGCUAACAAAGUAUGCAAGCUCCAGCGAUCCAUUUAUGGACUGGUGCAAGCAUCUCGGAGUUGGAACAUUCGCUUUGAUGAGAUGAUCAAAGCGUUUGGGUUUAUGCAGACUUAUGGAGAAGCCUGCGUUUACAAGAAAGUGAGUGGGAGCUCUGUAGCAUUUCUCAUAUUAUAUGUAGAUGACAUACUCCUGAUGGGAAAUAAUAUAGAAUUUCUGGACAACAUUAAGGCCUACUUGAAUAAGUGUUUUUCAAUGAAGGACCUUGGAGAAGCUGCUUAUAUAUUAGGCAUCAAGAUCUAUAGAGAUAGAUCGAGACGCCUCAUAGGUCUUUCACAAAGCACAUACCUUGAUAAGAUUUUGAAGAGAUUCAGAAUGGAUCAGUCCAAGAUGGGGUUCUUGCCUAUGUUACAAGGUAUGAGACUGAGCUCAGCUCAGUCACCGACCACGGCAAAAGAUAAAGAAGAGAUGAGUGUCAUCCCCUAUGCUUCAGCCAUAGGAUCUAUUAUGUAUGCCAUGCUGUGUACCAGACCCGAUGUAAACCUUGCCGUAAGUUUGGUAGCAAGAUACCAAAGUAAUCCCGGCAAGGAACACUGGACAGCGGUCAAGAAUAUCCUGAAGUACCUGAAAAGGACAAAGGACAUGUUUCUCGUUUAUGGAGGAGACGAAGAGCUCGUCGUAAAGGGUUACGUCGACGCUAGCUUCGACUCAGAUCUGGAUGACUCUAAGUCACAAACCGGAUACGUGUAUAUGUUGAAUGGUGGAGCAGUAAGCUGGUGCAGCUGCAAGCAGAGCGUCGUGGUGGGAUCUACGUGUGAAGCGGAGUACAUGGCAGCCUCGGAGGCAGCACAUGAAGCGAUUUGUGUGAAGGAGUUCAUCACCGACCUAGGAGUCAUACCCAAUGCGUCGGGGCCGAUCAAACUCUUCUGUGACAACACUGGAGCUAUUGCCCUCGCAAAGGAGCCCAGGUUUCACAAGAUGACCAGGCACAUCAAGCGUCGUUUCAACUCCAUCCGUGAAAAUGUUCAAGAUGGAGACAUAGAGAUUUGCAAAGUGCACACGGAUCUGAAUGUCGCAGAUCCGCUGACUAAACCUCUCUCGCGUGCAAAACAUGAUCAACACCAGAACUCUAUGGGUGUUCGAUUCAUCACAAUGUAACUAGAUUAGUGACUCUAGUGCAAGUGGGAGACUGUUGGAAAUAUGCCCUAGAGGCAAUAAUAAAAGUAUUAUUAUAUUUCAUUGUUCAUGAUAAUUGUCUUUUAUUCAUGCUAUAACUGUAUUAUCCGGAAAUCGUAAUACACGUGUGAAUACUUAGACCACACAAUGUCCCUGGUAAGCCUCUAGUUGACCAGCUCGUUGUGAUCAACAGAUAGUCAUGGUUUCCUGACUAUGGACAUUGGAUGUCGUUGAUAACGGGAUCACAUCAUUAGGAGAAUGAUGUGAUGGACAAGACCCAAUCCUAAGCAUAGCAUAAAAGAUCGUGUAGUUCGUUUUGCUAGAGCUUUGCAAGUGUCAAGUAUCUCUUCCUUCGACCAUGAGAUAGUGUAACUCCCGGAUACCGUAAGAGUGCCUUGGGUGUACCAAACGUCACAACGUAACUGGGUGACUAUAAAGGUGCAUUACAGGUAUCUCCGAAAGUAGCUGUUGGGUUGACACGGAUCGAGACUGGGAUUUGUCACUCCGUAUGACGGAGAGGUAUCUCUGGGCCCACUCGGUAAUGCAUCAUCAUAUUGAGCUCAAUGUGACCAAGGUGUUGGACACGGGAUCAUGCAUUACGGUACGAGUAAAGUGACUUGCCGGUAACGAGACUGAACAAGGUAUUGGGAUACCGACGAUCGAGUCUCGGGCAAGUAACGUACCGAUUGACAAAGGGAAUUGCAUACAGGGUUUGAUCGAAUCCUCGACAUAGUGGUUCAUCCGAUGACAACAUCGAGGAGCAUGUGGGAGCCAUCAUGGGUAUCCAGAUCCCGCUGAUGGUUAUUGACUGAGAGAGUCUCGGUCAUGUCUGCAUGUCUCCCGAACCCGUAGGGUCUACACACUUAAGGUUCAGUUACGCUAGGGUUAUAGGGAUAUGUAUAUGCAGUAACCCGAAUGUUGUUCGGAGUCCCGGAUGAGAUCCCGGACGUCACGAGGAGUUCCGGAAUGGUCCGGAGGUAAAGAUUUAUAUAUGGGAAGUCAUAUUUCGGGCAUCGGGACAAGUUUCGGGGUUAUCGGUAUUGUACCGGGACCACCGGAAGGGUCCCGGGGGGCCACCGGGUGGGUCCACCUGUCCCGGGGGGCCACAUGGGCUGUGUGGGGGUGCGCCUUGGCCUAAUGGGCCAAGGGCACCAGCCCCACAUAGGCCCAUGCGCCUAGGGUUCAAGGGGGGCAAGAGUCCUAGGAGGGUAAGGCACCUCCUAGGUGCCUUGGGGGGAGGGAAAACCCCCCUUGGCCGCCGCACCCCCUAGGAGAUUUGAUCUCCUAGGGCCGGCCACCCCCCCUUGGCACCCCUAUAUAUAGUGGGGGAGAGGAGGGACUUCAUACCUGAACGCCCUGGCCUUUGGUUGCCUCCUUCUCCCUCCCCAACACCUCCUCCACCUCCAUAGUGCUUAGCGAAGCUCUGCCGGAGUACUGCAGCUCCAUCAACACCACGCCGUCGUGCUGCUGCUGGUGCCAUCUCCCUCAACCUCUCCUCCCUUCCUUGCUGGAUCAAGAAGGAGGAGACGUGGCUGUUCCGUACGUGUGUUGAACGCGGAGGUGCCGUCCGUUCGGCGCUGGUCAUCGGUGAUUUGGAUCACGUCGAGUACGACUACAUCAUCACCGUUCUUUUGAACGCUUCCGCUCGCGAUCUACAAAGGUAUGUAGAUGCAUCUAAUCACUCGUUGCUAGAUGAACUCCUAGAUGAUCUUGGUGAAACGAGUAGGAAAUUUUUUGUUUUCUGCAACGUUCCCCAACAGUGGCAUCAUGAGCUAGGUCUAUGCGUAGUUCUUCUUGCGCGAGUAGAACACAAUUUGUUGUGGGCGUAGAUUUGUCAACUUUCUUGCCAUUACUAGUCCUUUCUUGCUUCAGCGGUAUUGUGGGAUGAAGCGGCCCGGACCAACCUUACACGUACGCUUACGUGAGACCGGUUCCACCGACUAACAUGCACUAGAUGCAUAAGGUGGCUGGCGGGUGUCUGUCUCUCCUACUUUAGUUGGAGCGGAAUCGAUGAACAGGGUCCUUAUGAAGGGUAAAUAGAAGUUGACAAAUCACGUUGUGGCUUUAACGUAGGUAAGAAAACGUUCUUGCUAGAACCCUAAUUCAGCCACGUAAAACUUGCAACAACAAUUAGAGGACGUCUAACUUGUUUUUGCAGCAAGUGGUUUGUGAUAUGAUAUGGCCAAAGUUGUGAUGAAUGAUGAAUGAUCUAUAUGUGAUGUAUGAGAUGUUCAUGCUAUUGUAAUAGGAUUCACGACUUGCAUGUCGAUGAGUAUGACAACCGGCAGGAGCCAUAGGAGUUGUCUUUAUUCUUUUAUAUGACCUGCGUGUCAUCAAGAAACGCCAUGUAAAUUACUUUAAUUUAUUGCUAAACGUGUUAGCCAUAGUAGUAGAAGUAAUAGUUGGCGAGCAACUUCAUGGAGACACGAUGAUGGAGAUCAUGAUGAUGGAGAUCAUGGUGUCAAGCCGGUGACAAGAUGAUCAUGGAGCCCCAAGAUGGAGAUCAAAGGAGCUAUGUGAUAUUGGCCAUAUCAUGUCACGUUUAUUAUUUGAUUGCAUGUGAUGUUUAUCAUGUUUUGCAUCUUGUUUACUUAGAACGACGGUAGUAAAUAAGAUGAUCCCUCACAAUAAAUUCAAGAAGUGUUCCCCCUAACUGUGCACCGUUGCGUUUCGCUGUUUCAAAACACCACGUGAUGAUCGGGUGUUUUAUUCAGACGUUCACAUACAACGGGUGUAAGACAGAUUUACACAUGCAAACACUUAGGUUGACUUGACGAGCCUAGCAUGUACAGACAUGGCCUCGGAACACAGAAGACCGAAAGGUCGAGCAUGAGUCGUAUAGAAGAUACGAUCAACAUGAAGAUGUUCACCGAUGUUGACUAGUCCGUCUCACGUGAUGAUCGGACACGGUCUAGUUUAACUCGGAUCAUGUAAUACUUAGAUGAUAGAGGGAUGUCUAAUCUAAGUGGGAGUUCACUAAUAAUUUGAUUAGUUGAACUUAAUUAUCAUGAACUUAGUCUAAAUAUUUUUACAAUAUGUCUUGUAGAUCAAAUGGCCAACGUAGUCCUCAACUUCAACGCGUUCCUAGAGAAAACUAAGCUGAAAGACGAUGGCAGCAACUAUACGGACUGGGUCCGGAACCUGAGGAUCAUCCUCAUAGCUGCCAAGAAAGAUUAUGUCCUACAAGCACCGCUUGGUGACGCACCCGUUCUCCCUGCAGAACAAGAUGUUAUGAACGCUUGGCAGGCACGUUUCGAUGACUACUCCCUCGUUCAGUGCGGCAUGCUUUACAGCCUAGAGCCGGGGCUCCAAAAGCGUUUUGAGAGACAUGGAGCAUAUGAGAUGUUCGAAGAGCUGAAAAUGGUUUUCCAAGCUCAUGCCCGGGUCGAGAGAUAUGAAGUCUCCGACAAAUUCUUCAGCUGUAAGAUGGAGGAAAACAAUUCUGUCAGUGAGCACAUACUCACUAUGUCUGGGUUGCAUAACCGCUUGACUCAGCUGGGAGUUAAUCUCCCGGAUGAUGCGGUCAUUGACAGAAUCCUCCAGUCGCUUCCACCAAGCUACAAGAGCUUUGUGAUGAACUUCAAUAUGCAGGGGAUGGAAAAGACCAUUCCUGAAGUAUUUGCUAUGCUAAAAUCAGCAGAGGUAGAAGUCAGGAAGGAACAUCAAGUGUUGAUGGUCAAUAAAACCACUAAGUUCAAGAAAGGCAAGGGUAAAAAGAACUUCAAGAAGGACGGCAAGGAGGUUGCCGCGCUCGGCAAGCAAGCUGCCGGGAAGAAGCCAAAGAAUGGACCCAAGCCCGAGACUGAGUGCUUUUAUUGCAAGGGAGCGGUCACUGGAAGCGGAACUGCCCUAAGUACUUAGCGGAUAAGAAGGCCGGCAAAACAAAAGGUAUAUGUGAUAUACAUGUAAUUGAUGUGUACCUUACUAGUGCCCGUAGUGGCUCCUGGGUAUUUGAUACCGGUGCAGUUGCUCACAUUUGUAACUCAAAGCUGUUGGAAAUAUGCCCUAGAGGCAAUAAUAAAAGCAUUAUUAUUAUAUUUCCUUGUUCAUGAUAAUUGUCUUUAUUCAUGCUAUAAUUGUGUUAUCCGGAAAUCGUAAUGCAUGUGUGAAUAACAGACACCAACAUGUCCCUAGUGAGCCUCUAGUUGACUAGCUCGUUGAUCAACAGAUAGUCAUGGUUUCCUGACUAUGGACACUGGAUGUCAUUGAUAACGAGAUCACAUCAUUGGGAGAAUGAUGUGAUGGACGAGACCCAAUCCUAAACAUAGCACAAGAUCGUAUAGUUCGUUUGCUAGAGUUUUGCAAUGUCAAAGUAUCUUUUCCUUAGACCAUGAGAUCGUGUAACUCCCGGAUACCGUAGGAGUGCUUUGGGUAUGCCAAACGUCACAACGUAACUGGGUGACUAUAAAGGUAGACUACGGGUAUCUCUGAAAGUGUCUGUUGGGUGACAUGGAUCAAGACUGGGAUUUGUCACUCCGUAUGAUGGAGAGGUAUCACUGGGCCCACUCGGUAAUGCAUCAUCAUAAUGAGCUCAGAGUGACCAAGUGUCUGGUCACGGGAUCAUGCAUUACGGUACGAGUAAAGUGACUUGCCGGUAACGAGAUUGAACGAGGUAUUGGGAUACCGACGAUCGAAUCUCGGGCAAGUAACAUAUCGAUAGACAAAGGGAAUAGCGUACGGGGUUGAUUGAAUCCUCGACAUCGUGGUUCAUCCGAUGAGAUCAUCGUGGAGCAUGUGGGAGCCAACAUGGGUAUCCAGAUCCCGCUGUUGGUUAUUGACCGGAGAGUCGUCUCGGUCAUGUCUGCUUGUCUCCCGAACCCGUAGGGUCUACACACUUAAGGUUCGGUUACGCUAGGGUUGUAGGGAUAUAUAUAUGCAGUAACCCGAAUGUUGUUCGGAGUCCCGGAUGAGAUCCCGGACGUCACGAGGAGUUCCGGAAUGGUCCGGAGGUAAAGAUUUAUAUAUGGGAAGUCCUGUUUCGGGCAUCGGGACAAGUUUCGGGGUUAUCGGUAUUGUACCGGGACCACCGGAAGGGUCCCGGGGGUCCACCGGGUGGGUCCACCUGUCCCGGGGGGCCACAUGGGCUGUAGGGGGGUGCGCCUUGGCCUAAUGGGCCAAGGGCACCAGCCCCACAUAGGCCCAUGCGCCUACGGUUUAAGGGGGCAAGAGUCCUAGGAGGGUAAGGCACCUCCUAGGUGCCUUGGGGGGAGGAAAACCCCCCUUGGCCGCCGCACCCCCUAGGAGAUUGGAUCUCCUAGGGCCGGCCACCCCCCCUUGGCACCCCUAUAUAUAGUGGGGGAGAGGAGGGACUUCAUACCUGAACGCCCUGGCCUUUGGUUGCCUCCUUCUCCCUCCCCAACACCUCCUCCACCUCCAUAGUGCUUAGCGAAGCUCUGCCGGAGUACUGCAGCUCCAUCAACACCACGCCGUCGUGCUGCUGCUGGUGCCAUCUCCCUCAACCUCUCCUCCCUUCCUUGCUGGAUCAAGAAGGAGGAGACGUGGCUGUUCCGUACGUGUGUUGAACGCGGAGGUGCCGUCCGUUUGGCGCUGGUUUGGUGAUUUGGAUCACGUCGAGUACGACUACAUCAUCACCUUGCAAGCUUCCGCACGCGAUCUACAAGUGGUAUGUAGAUGCAAACUCUCUCCCUAAACUCGUUGCUUAGAUGAACUCAUAGAUGGAUCUUGGUGAAACCGUAGGAAAAUUUUUAAUUUUCUGCAACGUUCCCCAACACUCUUAGCGCUAGAACCACGCCUUCCAACCUCAACACUCCAAGAUGGCGGGUCUCGCUGCCGCUUCACCAGGAUCCAUCCUCGGCGACCCUAACUGGUCCACUGACACGGGGGCUACCGAUCAUAUCACGUCGCAUCUGGACCGUCUCACUGUGAGGGAAAAGUACCCUGGACGGGACCACAUCCACACUGCCGACGGAUCAGGUUUGCACAUAGCUCAUCAUGGUCAUGCCCUUCUUCCUACACCGUCUGUCAAUCUUAAACUUCGCAACCUAUUACAUGUUCCCAAUGCCGACAAGAACCUUCUUUCUGUUAGUUGUCUUGCCGUUGACAAUCAUGCUUAUCUAAAAUAUUAUCCUACUCAUUUUCUUAUGAAGGAUUUGACAACCAAGAAGGUUCUUCUUCACGGCAGAUGUGAAAAUGGGCUCUAUCCCAUUCGGCCUUCACGUUCUCAUGUCUUGUCUUCAGUUAGGCUCUCUGCUGAAGAUUGACAUGCUAGACUCGGCCACCCGUCCACACAAGUUGUUCAGCAUGUUUUGGCGUCCAAUAAAUUAGCAUCAUCGAGUCGGGCUUUGACCCAUGUGUGUAAUGCUUGUCAACAUGGCAAAGCACAUCAGCUACCUUUUCCUAUAUCUUCGAACGUUUCCUCGUUUUUGUUGGAACUUAUUUUCUCAGAUGUGUGGGGAGCUGCCAAAACCUCCUCUGGUGGGUUCCAGCACUAUGUUUCAUUUAUUGAUGAUUAUAGUAAAUUUGUGUGGAUUUAUCUUCUCAAACGAAAAUGUGAUGUGUUUGAUGUCUUUCGUGAUUUUCUUGCCCAUGUUUAACGCCUCCUAUCUCGUAAAAUCCUGUGUGUUUAAUCAGACUGGGUGGGGAAUACGAAAAACUUAGCAACACAUUUUUUUCGGCAACUUGGCAUUGCUCACCACGUCUCUUGUACACACACAUCAACAGAAUGGCUUGGCCGAAAGGAAGCAUCGUCACAUUGUUGACAUGGGUCUCUCCUUAUUAUCGCAUGUGUCUAUGCCCCUCCGUUUUAGGGACGAGGCGUACUUGUCCGCAUGCUACCUUAUCAACCGACUACCUAGCCGCGUCAAUAUGAGUCCCAUGGAAAAACUGUUUUCCACCAAGCCUGACUACGUAUCUCUUCGCAUGUUCUGGAGUGCAUGUUGGCCUAAAUUGCGCUCGUAUAACACUAAGAAACUUGCGUUUAGAUCACAAUAGUGUGUGUUUGUCGGGUACAUCAUUCGUCACAAAGGAUACAAAUGUCUUCACAUACNNNNNNNNNNNNNNNNNNNNNNNNNNNNNNNNNNNNNNNNNNNNNNNNNNNNNNNNNNNNNNNNNNNNNNNNNNNNNNNNNNNNNNNNNNNNNNNNNNNNNNNNNNNNNNNNNNNNNNNNNNNNNNNNNNNNNNNNNNNNNNNNNNNNNNNNNNNNNNNNNNNNNNNNNNNNNNNNNNNNNNNNNNNNNNNNNNNNNNNNNNNNNNNNNNNNNNNNNNNNNNNNNNNNNNNNNNNNNNNNNNNNNNNNNNNNNNNNNNNNNNNNNNNNNNNNNNNNNNNNNNNNNNNNNNNNNNNNNNNNNNNNNNNNNNNNNNNNNNNNNNGAUGUUAUCUUUGAUGAACAUUUUUUUCCUUUUACCAAUGACCAACCCUCUUCAAUACCACCUCACGUUGCUGAACAUGCAAUCCUUUUAUUUCCACAUGACCACAUGAACUAUGGCGCAUCUGUUUCUCGAACUAAUCUGGAUGCAGGUACCGAUUCGGUGCAGAAAAUCCCAUCUCCGGACUCCCAGGCAGAUCAUGUCUCCCAAUCCGCCGCCGCAUCUGCCUAGGAUCACGCGCCGCCUGGAGACAGCGACGUGGAGGCAGCUGACCACGUGACGAUAGGUGACAGCGCGCCAGGUGACUGCGCUGGGCCCGGGUCUCCGCCACCCACCAAUCCCGUGUCCCCUGAGGGCGAGCGGACCGGGGCGUCUCCCGCGUCGGCUCCUGCAUGUGCGCGUCCGACCCACGUUGUGGUGGGGCCCACCCUUGCUCGGGCCGCUGUGUCUCCCGAUUCGCCCCAGGCUGUUGUCCACUUGGCGCCCAUAGAGCGGGCCGUUGCUGCUGGCGGCGCUGGAUCCCAGAUGGAUCGGGCGGCCGCGUCGUCUUCCUCGCCCGACACCGGAUCCAGGGGGAUUCGCCCGCGUGCUUGUCUGCAUGCGUCCCGCCCGUAUCCUCUAUGGCCACCGGAUCUUCUGCUCCGCCUGUGCAUGCAAUGACGACGCGCACACAUGAUCACACUCACAAACCGCUGUAGCACACUGAUGGUACUGUCACGUAUGAUCCGUCCCGUCGUGCAUUCUUGGCCAUGCGGGAACCGUCUGAUCAUCGUGAAGCGGUCUCAUCUCCAGAGUGGCGUCUGGCAAUGCAACUUGAGCUCGAUGCUCUCCGACAGAAUGGUACCUGGACUUUGGUACCUCCUCCUCCUUGUGUCAACGUCAUUGAUUGCAAAUGGGUGUUCAAGAUCAAACUCAAACUAGAUGGAACUGUUGAUCGUUACAAGGCACGUUUGGUCGCAAAGGGGUUCAAAUAACGCUAUAGCUUGGACUAUGACGAUAUGUUCAGUCCGGUCGUUAAACCUGUCACUGUGCGACUGGUUCUCUCUAUUACAGUUUCUCGUGGAUGGUGUUUGCGAGAGUUGGAUGUUCAAAAUGCUUUCCUUCAUGGCAUUCUCCAAGAAGAAGUAUACAUGCGCCAACCUCCUGGUUUUGUGAACCCCUCGGUGCCUCAUCAUUUGUGCAAACUUCGCAAGGCUCUCUAUGGGCUCAAAUAGGCUCCUCGAGCGUGGUAUUCUCGGCUGAGUUCUAGGCUCCAACAACUUGGUUUUAUAGCAUCCAAAGCUGACAGGUCCCUCUUUGUCUACAACCGGAGUGGUGUUACUAUUUUCAUGCUUGUGUAUGUAGACGACAUUAUUGUGGCCAGCUCCUCUCCUGCUGCUACUACCAAGUUACUUGCUGAUCUCCAAGCCUCCUUUGCACUCAAGGAUCUCGGUUGUCUGCAUUAUUUUCUUGGAGUCCAUGUGGAGUCAUCGCCAGGGGGAAUUGUUCUAUCUCAGCAGAAGUAUAUCAGCGAUAUUCUUCAUCGUGCGAACAUGGAGAAUUGCAAAGUCUCUACCACGCUGAUGUCCUCAAGUGAGAAAAUUAGCAAGGAUAGUGGAACACCACUUUCUCAGGAUGAUAGCACCAAGUAUCGCAGCUUGGUUGGAGCUCUCCAGUAUCUAACACUCACGAGGCCAGACAUUUCUUUUGCAGUUAACCGUGUUUGUCAGUUCCUUCAUGCACCUACGACUGCACACUUUUCAGCUGCAAAGAGGAUUUUGAGAUACUUGAAGUAUACUCACAAUAUGGUCUUGUCUAUUUGAAAGUCACCCUCCAUGCUGUUAAGCUGUUUUUCAGAUGUAGACUGGGCUGGAUGUAGUGAUGAUCGCCGAUCCACAGGUGGCUUUGCAGUUUUUCUUGGACCUAACCUAAUCUAGGUCAAGAAUGGAGUCUGAAUAUAAGACACUUGCGAAUGGAACAGCUGAGGUCAUAUAGUCCUGUUUUGUGGUGUGACAAUCUAGGAGCCACUUAUUUAUCUGCGAAUCCGGUAUUCCAUGCCAGAACCAAGCACAUAGAAGUGGACUUCCACUUUGUUCGUGAACGAGUUGCAGCCAAGGCACUUGAUGUUCGAUUCAUAUCUUCCAAGGAGCAAGUUGCAGAUAUAUUCACAAAGCCUCUAGCUGAGGUGCCGUUUGUUUUAAAUAGGCACAAUCUGAAUCUUUGUGUAGGAAGUUCAGAUUGAGGGGGAAUGUUAAACUGUAUAGUUAUCAGAUACGGUUAGUAUCUAGGAUUGUAGUUAUCAUUGUAUAACAACCUGUACUUAUCCUCCUGUAAACCCUAGCGGCAGCCCUAGAGGCGCCCUAUAUAAUGAUCCUGAGACCACCGCAUUAGGUGUGUCGAUCCAAUCUCUUCUCUCAUUGUUUCACAAGGUGUCCGUGGGUUGUAUGAAAUAAAACCAUAAAUUUACACACUAUUGUAUCGAUUGAGAACUCAAGAGCAAAGCCCGUUUCCAACCUCAUCUCCGCAAUACUGUACACUGAUUAUACUAUCGAUUGAGCUUCAAGGUAGUAUGAUAGUAUAAUCAGUGUACAGUAUUGUCCAAGACCGAACCAAACUUGUUCAUAUAGCAGUAAAAAUCUCUUGUGAUCAACAACAAAACUAAUGCUAAUAUUCAGGAUUUCAAACUUGAAGCAUUUGGAGAUCGACCAACAAAAAAAACUGAGCGGCGGUGUCAAAAGUAAUUGUUGACCUUUGUCAAAUUGACUGCAUGCUUUUAAAUCAAGAUCAUGCAACUUUACAAGACUUGCAUCUCAAUAAAACCAUAUCAGCUGCACAUGCAGAUGAGAGAAGUGGGAAAUACUCUAUUCCAUUCAAGGGUUGUAUGUCAAUUAUUAAAACACAAGCACAUUAUAAGUCACAAACCUCCAACGCGCAGAUAAUUUCGGAAAUGCCUAAACCUCAGAUAAUUUGGGAAAGGAGGGUGGCUACAGUCCCCUUGGCUGAUAUACAUAGGUCUAGCUGUAACAUCUUUGGGCAAAGCAUCAUUUACAACUGGUAACCACAGAAUAUGUAUUUAGCGCUAUUACAGAAGAAAAGAAAAGAAAAGGAUUAAAAAGGGAAUGCCGCCUUCAUAGGUCACAAACCUCGGCUUGUCAACAUCUUCUUGUGAAUGUACACAUAUUUGAAAUACUUGAAGCAGCUAGGAUAAUGUUCUUAAAAAUGGGUUGCUUCAGAGAUAAGAAACUAGUAAUGCAGUCAGACCAAAAGGAAAUUCAAGGGCACAAAAUACUUCCAGCAGGCCUUUGCAAAUUGGCAAUUAAUUAAGAAAAGGUGAUGUAUUGACUCAAGAGCCUGGACUCCACACACGACGCAGAAGUUUAAUUCAAGGACGGGGAAGUAAGAAUAAGACCACGUACGUACUAACAAAAGAGGGGAUCAAGGAGGAGCUGUAAAAUCCAAAUGAAAAUAUCAAUACAUAAUGAACAGCACCAUUCCGUUGAAAUACCACAAGUCGCUGCUAGUAAGAUUACAUAUGCCGGCUCUCUUGGACAACAAAACCUAAGUCAGGAUUCGACUACGCACGAUUAAUUUGUUGUGUUUGACGUUCCUCUUCCUCUCUUUUUUUUUUAUGAAGAAUCACAGAGUGUUUUAUUCCAGGAUGAUAGAGUUACAAUCUUCAGCGACUAAUUUGCUAAUGCAUGGGGUGGAUGGCCCAGCCAACCUGCUGUGCUAUCACCGACACUAUGAAAUCAAUCUUCCAAACUGCAGAAUUGUAAAGUACAGCUCAGACCUACAGGGCAGGACCGGCUAGCUAAACGGCCACGCUGGAUGAUAUGUUAUAAGUUCCCCGCGGCCGCGCCAUGAACUCCAAAUCUGGCGAAACCACCUACCGUCGCACAAGGCGCCGUCGGUCGUGGAACACGCGGUCUGCAGGUCACAUCGGUCCAGGCCUUGUUGGGUUCACGCGGUCCAGAUGACAUGCACGCCCGCCAAGCAAUUGAGAAAGAGAGAGCCAUGCACGCACGCGAAGCACGCUGCCCUGUGACAACGAGGAUGAUCAUGCAUGCAUGUCAGAGAGCAGAGAGCAGAGACGUCUGUCACUUGUGUAGAUGGUAGGUUCUGCUGGUUGGCGGUCACGCUAUGCAGACCGCGUGUUCCACGACCGGGCCAAAUUUCGUGUUCGGACCCUUUUUCGAUACAAACUCAAGAUCUGACCCCGGUUCCGAAAAUUUUCGAGAUCUGACCAUUCCGCUACCGUCAUGGGCUCUGACAGUAUGGUUAGACAUGCUACCGCCAGGGUCCAUGGCGGUAGGGUGCGACGGAGGGCGACGGGGGGCAACGGCCGCCGUUUGCUCGAGCUGACGUGGACAAGUAGCCUACCGCCAGGGACCAUGGCGGUAGCAUGUUAGACCUUACCGCCUGACCCCUUGGCGGUAAGGUGUGGCUGGAGUUUUGCCUCCCAAGUUUCUGUAACGAAAUAUCGAGGUGCCCUGGCGGUAGGUACGUUCGUCCUACCGUCAGGGUCCUUGGCGGUAGGGUCCUGUGUUCUAUGGUUUAUAAGUUUAUUUUUUGCUUUUUUUCAAAAACAAUAUAGGCCCUAAAAUAUGAGCUCACAUUUUUUUAGUGAUUGUUUCUUUUGUAAAAUAUGAAUCACAAAGAAAGCCAACAAACGGUUUCACAUAGUUUGUUUUGUUACAAGUUUCACAUCACAAAUAGUAAAAUAUGAGCUCACAUAAUGAUGAUGGUUCCACAUAGCAAUUAUCAAACAGUUUACAGAUAAUAGAUUCAUAAGUAGGGAAUAGCAAAUAGCAAACUUGUCCACAUAGUUUGACAAGCCCUACAAAAGCAGAGAUAUAUAUUCAAUCGACAUGUUUAUGGGGCGGACAAAUCUCCCCUCCCCNNNNNNNNNNNNNNNNNNNNNNNNNNNNNNNNNNNNNNNNNNNNNNNNNNNNNNNNNNNNNNNNNNNNNNNNNNNNNNNNNNNNNNNNNNNNNNNNNNNNNNNNNNNNNNNNNNNNNNNNNNNNNNNNNNNNNNNNNNNNNNNNNNNNNNNNNNNNNNNNNNNNNNNNNNNNNNNNNNNNNNNNNNNNNNNNNNNNNNNNNNNNNNNNNNNNNNNNNNNNNNNNNNNNNNNNNNNNNNNNNNNNNNNNNNNNNNNNNNNNNNNNNNNNNNNNNNNNNNNNNNNNNNNNNNNNNNNNNNNNNNNNNNNNNNNNNNNNNNNNNNNNNNNCAGGCGGAGGCGGAACGCUGGUCGGCAUCCAACCGUUCAAGCAGUCCCACCUUGGCUUGCCCGCUGGAGGUUUCGCCUCAGCCCUUGCCCAGUUGAUGAUAUCGAAGCUGAUGCACUUGGAGGCGGCAUCCUGGCUCUCUCCUCCUCAUUGCUCUCGAAGUAGAUCCUCCGGCCCAAAUUGCGCAGCUCGACACUACUAGGAAAAGGCAUGCUAGUGGCGCACCAGUUUUGCCUACUAAUGGCGCACUACUGGUGCGCCACUAGCAUCACGCCAUUAGAAUUAAAUUCUAAUGACGCACCACUGGUGCGCCAUUAGUAUCUGGUGUUCUAAUGGCGCACCAAGCAGUGCGCCAUUAGUAUAGCCCACAGUGCGCCAUUAGAAUGCCUCCCGGGGGGCCAUAUGUACCCAUGUGCUUUGGCUUACUAAUGGCGCACCAGUGGGUGAUGCGCCAUUAGUGUGAUUAUCACAGUGCGCCAUUAGUGUCUUGUGUGGUGCGCCAUUAGUAUUAAUAUUAGGUUUUUUUGGGGGUUUUUUUUUCUAAUUUUUUCACAGGUUACAAAAUAUAUUAUUUGACAGAAUAUAGAAAGCACCACACAGCAAUAGCAGAUUCAUCGAAUACAAUAGAAGGCAAGUCUCCGAAUACAAUUCAUCAUAUUAGUCUCCGAAUACAAUUCAUCAUAUUAGUCUCCGAAUACAAAAGACCGAACGAAGAUAGAACAUUACAAGUCUCGUAGACCGCGAGUAGCGAGUUUGUCUUCACGUUACAAGUCGAUAUCGAUCAUCUAAACUACCAUCCCAUAGAAGAGAGCUGCGGUCAUCACGAUGAGCAUCAUCGCGAUGAAACUGGUCUUCACCCGGUUCCUCCAACGCUCCCUCCUCUCUCCCGCUAGAUAGCAGGCGUAUCUAGAUUCCGCCUCUACCCUAGUGGUUUACCCUUUGUAACUGUUACCGCUGAAACAGUGAACCUGUCUCCGACACUCCUCCCAGUCGCCGUAGACUCCGGGAACCUUACCCUUGUACACGACAUACGACGGCAUCUCUAUGCACAAGCCAAACAACAGACAAUACAUAAGCAAUAUAUAAGUAUGCAACAAAAGGAUCGAAAGAGAAAAGCAAAACAUUAAUAGCACGAUUCAUGGUCCUACUAAUAAAUAGCAUCAAUUACAUCUAAGUUAAACGACUGUCCAAACCAAAGAGACAUACAAGUUCAUUAAAGUUUAAUUACAACAUGAGCUAAUUGAUGUUUCAGAACUACAAAUAGCAUCACUACUUUCGACUCGACUCAUGGGACCGGAGCGUGGAUGAAGCCGCCGUCUUUCGUGAUGGUCAUGAAGUCGCGGGCGUUGUGAGCCUGCAUUUGAAGUGUUGUGUCUAUCUCACUGUUGGAUGGUUGCUCUUUGAGGUAGAACUGUCCCGAGGUACGAAGGACAUCUUGAUGGAUGAUUUCUGCAAACUCCGACGGGAUGCGAAAGAAUUCUUGUCGGAGGUCUGCGUCCUGGAUUGCCGCCAAGCUUGUGGCCCAAUCUUUGACAUUAUUUGCUAGCAGAAGGUGAUUAUGGUCCCGUACGAUCGCCCUCGUGUGAUGGAGGGCGUAGUAGGCAUCCUUCUGACCGCCAGGCGGCUGCUUGACGCAGGGGAACGUCGUAUUGUGGAUGAACACGUGCCUGACGUACCUACGAACUUUCCUCUUAAAGGUGCCUCCAGAUGUGGCGUAGCCGGGGAGAGCAUCAUCAAGAACUUUCUUGAUAUUUGUGUAGUGUAUUUUGGAGUCACGGUCUGCGUCGAAAUACGUGACCGUGGAAUAUUUCGGGCUUAAGAGGAUGAGUGUGCAAUGUGUGUCACUGCACAGAACACGGAAUGUUAGAAAAAAAAGAGAACGAUCGAAAUCUAAGAAAUCAUAUGUUACGGGGCGGUGAGGGGAUGACUUACUCGGGAAAGUAAGGGACGAGGAAGUUAUCCUUAUCUGGGUUUGCCAGAAUGACGCCUUCGAGGUGUGAACUCACGACUUGCCGGUCCCCAGCGCUGCCCAAGAUCUUGGCACGCAUGUAGAAGGGGUCGACUAUCACGAUGUCCGGUGUCUUGUCUCGAAUGAUCCGCAUCUCCAUAUUCAGCGAAAACAGCCGAACGAAGCUAUAGUGCAGCGGAUGGAGAUUAAACAUAGCAAAGAUGUCAUCAAACCGCAGGAAGAUCGUACCCCCGAUGGCGCCAUCCACAAAGCCCUUGCCCUCUGGCACCUUGGCCAUGAAAACCGGGUAUGCCACAUCAUUCUGGGAGAGACGCAUCUUCUCCAAAGAAAGAACACUGUCAUGCAGACUCCGCAUAGCACCGGGUGCAGCAUUGAGCAUAUUUGUCGGUAGCAUCGCCCUACCCGCCACAUGCACCCUCCUCGAGAUAUCCUGAGGUGAAGGUGGCCCGUCCUGAGCACGGAUCGUACUCGAUGCCGGCUAGCUUGCACCGGCGCCCUUAGCAGUCUUUCGUUUCCGUCCCUUCUUCUUGAUCUGCUGUAAUGGGACCGAUUUCUGCUCACAGGCCGCCUUCUUGAGCGUGUUGGGGCUGAUAAUAUUUCGCACCUCAGCUAUCUGAGGCUCGGUGAAGGCGGGAGCUGGAGGCGUCUCCUGAGAACUGAAAGCCAGAUGACGCCUGUUGCAAUUGGAUUUCUCCAUUGUACCAGCUAGAUCGCGGUCGUAUUGGUUGGGUUCUUGAGAAGGAGGCUCGCCGAACUCGUCACCGUACCCUUGUUCGGCAAAGUACUUAUCAAUGUUGGUAAAUGUACCGUCGUCGUUGUCGUCGUCGUCCGAAUCCUGUGCCAUAUGCAUGUCCGGAUCCUGUGCCAUAGGGAUGUCCAGCAUGUUCGAUAGUGUUGCGGCGUUCUUGCCAUGGCGCGGCGCCGGCAUGACCGGCGGUCUUGUUUGUAGGGUGGUGUCCCCCGCCCCCAAACGAAUCUAGAUCUUCGGCCAAAGCAGGGGCCAACUUAGGCAGGCGCUGAGGGUCAUCAGAUCUUCUUCGUCAGCCCCGGCGGGUUGAAUCGAAGGUAACAACUCGUCGCAGCCUGGCAGCACCCGAACCAGUUGAACCCUAUACACGAUGGGUGGCAUCGGUUUACCAUGGAACACGGGGUUGCCCGGUUGAACGAUUUUGCCCUUGGCGACAUCGACCAACUCGUCGUUCACGAAGUGCAGGAGAGUGCACGAAACAUCGGCGACGCCCUGCGAAAACAUGUAGGGCGUCAGGGAUGCCCAGUCAAAGGCAAAAGGAGAUGAAGUCCUCGACCGAGAGGCUUAAUUAGUUACCGUGAUGAUGGCUUCGAGCUCGGCUAAUGUCGAGGCACUGCCAACGGCGGGCGUGCAACGGACGGAGGGGCCGCUUGCUGGCGAGGUGCCGGCCGGCAUACACCCGGGUGCAUUAAGCUCCAAUGCCCGUGCCGGCACCGGAGACACCAAUACCGCCGCCGCCGAUGACACCAAUGGCGCCGCCGGAGACACCAAUGGCGCCGCUUGCACAUUGUGCGAGUUGCUGGCCGUGAAGCUGGGAAUCAGGGGCGGCCCCUGUUGGCCACCCGCAAUCCACGUCGUCAGCCCAUGAAUCAAGGUAGGCAUAAUGUCGGUGAGCGUCGUUCCCAGUUGUUGUUGCACUUGCUCUUGGAUAAUCUCCGGAAUCCGCGCCACUUGUGCCUUGAGUUCUUCAACCUCGCGCGACUGGCUUUCCGAGCUGGUCUUUUUCUCCUUUCACCCACCAGCGGUAUAGUAUGAGGACCAUUUUGUGGACAAGCCUUUGCCGGCCACACGACCAGCUGACAACGGCUUACUGAGCUUAUCCUUGUUUUUCAUUACAUUCAACGCCCUAUUUAGAGUGUUGUCCCAAGCAGGGGUGCUCUGAGACGACCCCGCGCUACUGCUUUCAGUCUCCUUCGCCAGAACAAGCUCAAGCGCCCUGGUCUUCGGAUCCGUGGUAAGCUCCUUUGUUAUCAGGUCCUCCUUGUACCGGGCCCUGACAAAGUUCCUGGCCUGCUUGUCACUGCUGUAUUUCUCGAAGCGGGGCGGUAGGCCUUGCUCGGCAUGCUCCGCGUCCUCCUUGUCCCAUAUAGGCUCCGCCACUCUGUAACCGCCGGGACCAAGUUUGUGUUCCCCUAAGUUCAACUCCUGCAUUUCUUUCCCCCACUGACUUGAUUCGGAGGUUGCACUGCUCUCACACUUGAUCUUGAACUCCUUAUAGUCAUCUUCACUGAUCGAAGAAUUUUUCGCCUUGAUCUUCUCAUAACUAUCACCUUUCUCAAUCAUUCUCUUCACCUCGCUUCUCCAAGUAGACAGGGUCGUGCUCAUCCUCGUGAGGGCGGCACUGUUCACUUUAUUCCCUGAGAGGCGUGUGUUUUCAAAUUCAGCGGGGAACUUGUAUCAUUUGUGCAGCUUCGUGAAGAGGAGGUUGCGCAAAUUCCCUCGGUACUUAUGCCUAAGGUUCUCGGUGUUGAUCGAGAUAGUGCUCCGGAGAAUGCACCCGAGCUGAACCGAGUACCCCUUGACUAUAUGUUUGGGCUCCGUUGGAUGCCCGUCGGAGUCCACUUGAGUAAAUUCCUCCUUGACGGUGUGGAGCGUAUUCGGGCGCCGGUCCUUCCGUUGCUCUUUAGUUGGCUGCCAUCUGUGCGUGCGCUGCCAUCAUCAGUGGUGGCAUCCUCGGCGGCACCAUCAGUGGUGUCAUCCCCGACGCCACUAGGGGUUGUGUAGUCAGGAUCGGUGUCUUCCAUGGCGUCCUCAUAGCGGUGAGGUUGUUCCUCCAUCUCCUAGGACAGCUCCCAGAAUUGCUUGCCGCCCGAACCGCCGGCCUCAUCAUUGUUGGCCAUGUUUCGCUAAAUAGGAAAAAAGUUUGGUCAAAAAGUUGGUUAUUGUCAAGGAACAAGAUCAUGGUCUCAUCAUUUAGGGUUUGUCGACACUGAGGCAUCCGAAAAGCUAAGUUUUAUCAUUUAGGUUUUGUCAACGCCGAGGCACCCUAAAAGCCUAAGCGUACAUCAUUUAGGUUCUCAUCGACACCGGGGCACCCUAUAGAAGCCAAGGUUUCAUCAUUUAGGGUUUGUCGACGCCGAGGCACCCUAAAUGCUAAGUUAAGUUUUCAUCAUUUAGGGUUUAUCGAUGCCGAGGCACCCUAGGUUGGGCCUAAUCACUUGGCACUAAUCACUUGGCUCUAUUGCCACCUAUGUUGGGUUUAUCAUCUAGGGUUUAUCGAUGCUAAGGAGAAUUCUAAGUUGGGCCUAAUCACAUGGCUCUGUUGCCACCUAUGAUUUAAUGCAGCAAGAAUGGCGGGGCAGUUGAUCCUACUUAACUAAGUACUAAGAUACCACGGCCCAUGCAUUAGUCGCAAGUACCCCAUAUGUCCUAUUUUUAGCAAAGUCAUGCUAAACUUCACGGAAAAUUUCAGCAUGACCUUUGCUGAAAGUAGGACAUAUGGAGUACCCGAAUUUGCCGGAACGGAAGUUAAUCGACAUUCCGGAAAACUCAAGGGCCUCUCGGGGUACCUGCAAAUUCAUCACAACACAAUGGUCGGAGAUAAAACCCAGCAACUUUACAAGUCUUUCACAGAUUUGUUUGCAAGUUCUGAUAUGUAAUAAAGAUGAGUCUCAAAGAUGAGCCUCCAAUGCUGAUUUGUUUGCUUCAAGACAAGAUGAACCUCCAAUGCAACAAGUAAUAAAAUGUUCAACAAUGUAUCAGAUUCGGCAACAGUUUAACAUCUACUCUAGUAAUUAUACAACACCAUGACCAACAUUUCUCCUCUCCAGAAAUUAGAAACAAAAUAAAGGAACAUUACACAGUAGCCAUCAAAUUAAAAUAACACAUACAGUACAUACAGGUAGGUAAUACUAAAGCAUGUUCAUAUUAGCUAGUGACCAUUAUAUUGCUUUAGGUUAGGGCCCUUACAUUAUUUUCUCUCUAUCCCUUUCUUUAGCUGCACUGCAUCACAAGGCAAAUAUGGUUCAAAAUAAAAUACUGCUGAAUAAGCACCUAGCAGAAUAGUAAAAUAAGCUUAAAAAAUGCAUACAGCUUGACAUACAAACACAGACAGUUAUGCAAGUGCUAGAGGUAUGCAUAUAUAUAUGUGAACUUGAUCCUGAACUAGAGGUACACAUGUUUGCAUACUCAUCUCUGCAAUUAGUCGUGCUUAUUUGCAUUGUGCUAUAUAUGAAUCCACACUGACUCGAGCCUGAAUCAAUCAGUCAAUGUUGCUCACAUAUACUCCCACACUCCCAUAAUAGUACUAAUAUAAGAGCAUUUAUAUUAUUGGAAUGAAGGGAUAAUUUUUUUUCUUUCAAGAAACACAAACCCUAACAACACAUUACGAGCACCUUCAAGAGAUUGAACCAACCCGACAUCCACAAACACCUCCUACUCAACACACAGACACAGACCAAGGAAGAAACAUAACCAUUCUUCUUUUUUCUUUCUUUGUUGUUAAUAAUAAAAGAAACUACAAGAGCAAGGAAGGAACAAGUCUUCUUUUGUACUGCAACACAAGAAACCCUCUUUCUUUCUUUCUUCCCUUCGUGUUAAUUUAAUUUUACUGCACCAUCUACUAACCUCCUCCAACUUUACUACCACUACAUCCCUCUCAAGGACAUCUAUGUACUGCUUAUAAAGCAUAACAUGCUGAUGCUAUGUUUCAUUUGCCCCAUCUCCCAUCUCUACUCUUAUUUUAAGUAAAUGCCCAGAUGCCUUACAUUUAUCUCUGCGGGACUUUUUUCUUUUCUAAUGAUAUCAUCUAUACAUGUUACUUAGUUACUAAACCUAUGUAACUUAGGAUCAAAUUGAUAAAUUGCUAGAAGUAUCCGCAUAUUUUCGUGGAGAUCAUAUGGGGGAGGAUCGGACAAUGUGGCAACAAACAGCAAGGUGUGUUCUUUCAAAGAAUCUUUGCAUCAAGUCAAUGAACAUCAUAUUUGAAGUGCAGUUUAACUUAGUCACUUAAAACUAUCUGAUCCACAACUAACAACCAAAGUCAUGUUCAGUUAUAGUGCUUAAAUAUGAUUUUGGUGUGUGUGAAAACAAUACAGUAUUAUAUUUCUACUGAAUGCAUGAGUAUGAUGUAUCACACAUCUACAUGUCUAGGCUUUUUCAGUUUUUUUCCGGAUGGAAACCAGAAGCAUCACUGUCCUUGACUAGAAUCACCAUGGCCAGAUUAAAGACUGCAAGCUGGCAAGUUCUUCCUUUCAAUUUCUCAAUCUUAGCUAGCGGAGGAUGAAUUGAGGAGAAGAGAGGCAGAGGGAGGAGGGUUACCUGGCGGCGGUGGGGCGUUGAAGACCUGGCGGCGAGGUUCCUCCUCUCGGUGGCGGCGGGGCUCCUCCCCUCAGUGGGGGCGGUGGCCUCUUCCCCUCGGUAGCAGUGGCGGGGCUCCUCCUCUCCUUGUGGAGGCGGGGCGUUGAUCCGGCGACGGCCCUGGAACCCUAGCGCUGGCCCUGCUCGCCCGAGCGGGAGCGGCGGUCAUCGGAGCGGGGGAGGCGGCGGGGGUGCGGGGGCGCGGGGGCGGCGGUGGCGGGGGUGGAGUACCGCGGGGGUCGGGGCAGCGGCGUCGGGGCGGGGCAAGACCACAGCAGCGGACGAAGGGGGCGGAGCAAGGGGGUGGCGGCGUACGGUUGUUGAGUGGGGGAUCUGGCGAGGGAGGGAGGGAGGCCAUAGUGCGAGGAGAAUAGGUGGAGUGGGGGGAGGAUUCUAAUGGCGCACCUCCCCCUAGUGUGCCAUAAGUACGACGAUUCUAAUGGCGCACAUCCCCCUGGUGCGCCAUUAGAAUUUUGUUUUAAUUAGCCUGACUGGUCAGGUUAUAUUCCACCUAACACUAUCUCCGUCAGAACACGCCCACUAGCCCGACUGGUUAGCACGCAGCACACACACUAGGAGGUCCUGGGUUCGAUUCCCACGCUCCCCAAUUUUUGCUUUUAUGCAUUUAAAAUGAUGUUUGAUAUUUAUUUGUGCUUAAAUAUGUUCAAACUUGUUCAAAUCAUAACAGUAAUAUUUUUUAAUAAAAACAGUAAUAUAUUUUUUAAAAAUAUCAUCAAAUUUGUUAUUUGAAAAUAUUUAUGAAUAUGAAAAAAUAUCAUAAAAANNNNNNNNNNNNNNNNNNNNNNNNNNNNNNNNNNNNNNNNNNNNNNNNNNNNNNNNNNNNNNNNNNNNNNNNNNNNNNNNNNNNNNNNNNNNNNNNNNNNNNNNNNNNNNNNNNNNNNNNNNNNNNNNNNNNNNNNNNNNNNNNNNNNNNNNNNNNNNNNNNNNNNNNNNNNNNNNNNNNNNNNNNNNNNNNNNNNNNNNNNNNNNNNNNNNNNNNNNNNNNNNNNNNNNNNNNNNNNNNNNNNNNNNNNNNNNNNNNNNNNNNNNNNNNNNNNNNNNNNNNNNNNNNNNNNNNNNNNNNNNNNNNNNNNNNNNNNNNNNNNNNNNNNNNNNNNNNNNNNNNNNNNNNNNNNNNNNNNNNNNNNNNNNNNNNNNNNNNNNNNNNNNNNNNNNNNNNNNNNNNNNNNNNNNNNNNNNNNNNNNNNNNNNNNNNNNNNNNNNNNNNNNNNNNNNNNNNNNNNNNNNNNNNNNNNNNNNNNNNNNNNNNNNNNNNNNNNNNNNNNNNNNNNNNNNNNNNNNNNNNNNNNNNNNNNNNNNNNNNNNNNNNNNNNNNNNNNNNNNNNNNNNNNNNNNNNNNNNNNNNNNNNNNNNNNNNNNNNNNNNNNNGGCCGGUGGAGCGGGGGAGAUGGUGCGGGGGGUGCUCGGCGGUGAAGGGGGCCGGAUCUGGCGAGGUGGGAUAGCGAUCGAGAUGGAGGGGGAUCGAGAUCGAGUGUCCAUGAAAUUUAAAAACAUUCAUGAGUUCAAAAAGUGCCCAUGAAAUACAAUCGAGAAAUGAAGGCUACAAUUUAAAUACAAUCGAUCUUAGCUAGCUAUCUAUUCACAAUCUUCUUGCCCUUAUUUUUCGUAAAUGGAGUUCUUCUCUUGAACGGACGUCCUUUAGGUAGGGUGGUCCUGCUUCUUCUUGUGGUGUAUGCUGAUACUUCAUCGUCGUCCUCAUGUUCCAUCUUCAGGUCGCCGUACUUGUCGAAGUCUUGCUCAUUGGCGACUCCAUCCAUUCCGACGAUCUUCCUUUUGCCUCUUCCCACGACAACACGAGUGGGCUUUGGCGGGUCGGUAAUGAAGAAGCAUUGGUCCACUUGGGAAGCCAGUACCCAUGGCUCAUUUUUUGCGGUGAUGUUUGUGCCUGCGGUCUUGGAUUUGGCUUCGGGUAUAACCAUGGUGGUGAAAUACCGGUUUUAUUUUAUGAUGCUCUUGGCCCAUAUGACAUGGAACAUCGGGACCUUCUCUCCAGAGUAGCUCAGCUCCCACAUCUCCUAGAUCCUUCCGUAGUAUCUGUCCUUGUCAUUACUGGUGUAGUAUUCCAUCGUUACCCCGGAGUUCUAAUAACCAUCGCUCUUCAUGUCCUUGUCCUUGGUGUAGAAUGUGUAGCCGUUGAUAUCGUACGCCUCAUAGGUCAUCAGGUUGUGCUCGGCGCCCUGUGACAAGGCGAACAUGAGUUGUUCUUCCGCGGAAGAAUCCUCAUGUAAAGGGUACAACAGAAGCUUCUGCUUUGAUUAUAUCUCCGUCUGUCCUCUGUUGGCCUCGGUCAUUGUACGUCUUCUCAAUAAAGGUUUUGUGCUCUACCACCCAAGGAUCGACCACGUCUAUGUGUUGUAGCGCGACUAGGUUUGCUCUUUCAAAGUCGGCGAGUCGACCCUCAAAGUCGACAUGCAUUUCGCGGCGACCCUCACGGUGACCCCAUCCAGCGAGCCUGCCGAGGUGCCUGUUGACGGGCAGACCAACGGGGUCCUCGAUGCCUAGAUAAUUCGUGCAGUAGGAGAUGCACUCUUCGAUCAGAAAGCCCCUGGCUAUGCUUCCCUCUGGACGUGACAUGUUGCGAACGUAUCCUUUGAUGACACAUUCAUCCUUUCGAACGGCAUCAUGCUGUGCAGGAAUGUUGGCCCGAGUUGGAUGAUAUCCUCCAUGAUAUGGACCAGCAGAUGCACCAUAACGUCGAACAAUUCGGGCGGGAAGUACAUCUCAAGCUCGCAUAGUAUCACCACGAUCUCUUCCUGUAGCCUUCUGAGUUGCCUCACGCCAACCGACUUCCGGGAGAUGACGUCAAAAAAGUUGCAUAGGCCAAAUAGCAUUUCACGGACGUGCGCGUCCAUGAUCCCACGGAUUGCAACUGGAAGUAUCUGCGUCAUCAGCACGUGACAGUCGUGAGACUUCAUCUCGCUGAACUUCUCCUUCGCUGGGUCUAGGCAUCUGCUUAUCUUCCCCGCGUAAUCAUAAGGAAGUUUUACUCCUAUGAGGCAGGUGAAAAACUGAUCGAUCUCCUCUUGACUGAGAGUGAAGCACGCGGGAGGGUAGUCAUUUCCGCUCUUCUUGGCCUUUUUGCCUUUGCGACGACUUUCCGUGUCCUGCUUCGCCUCAUCAUCAUCAUCAUUAGCGUGAAGCUCCUCCCUGAUGCCCAUUGAUUUCAAGUCUACCCUUGCUUUUGGCCCAUCUUUGGUCCUCUCUGGCAUGUUGAGUAGGGUACCAAGCAGACUCUCGCACACAUUCUUUGUGAUAUGCGUGACAUCAAGGCUGUGAGGCACACAGUGGAUCUUCCAGUACGGCAAGUCCCAGAAAACAGACCUCGUUUUUCAUACCUUCAGCAGCGGCUCUGGUGCCUUUCGCUUCUUUACCGGCUCUGGCGCCUUUUGCUUCUCUCCCAGCAGUGGGCAAUCUUUCCAAUUUUUCAACAACUCGUCUAUUUCCUCGCCGCGCCUCGUACGCGGGCGUCUUCGGGGUUCGGUUUCACCAUCAAACAAAUCCUUGUGUUUCCUCCACGGGUCAUCGUCACGAAGCCACCUUCGAUGUCCCAUGAACACGGUUUUCGAAGACUCGGGAUCUCUAUCUAGUUGGCGAUACGUUGUGUCCCAAGCACCUAACGCAUCCAGAAAAUCCGUGGACCACCUGCCCCGCGACAUAUCCGUAACCAAGAUAGUCGUGCACCGUCGUGAGCGGUGCGGCUCUCAUAGGGAAAUAUUCUUUCUCUGCGGCGUCCCACAUAUUGGCUGGCGUUUUCCACAGCGUGUCUAGCUCCUCUUUCAGCAGCCCUAGAUACAGAUUGAUGUCGUUCCCUGGUUGUUGCGGCCCUUCAAUUAGCAUACUCAUGUGAAUGUACUUCCUCUUCAUGCACAACCAUGGGGAAGGUUGUACAUCCACACAAACACAUGCCAGGUGCUAUGUGUGCUUCUCUGGCUGCCAAACGGAUUGACUCCAUCGAUGCUCGCGCCCAGCAUGAUGUUCCUUGGAUCCGUCCCAAAUUCUGGGUGUUCGAAGUUCAACGCUUGCCACUAGCUCCCGUCCCUAGGGUGACUCAGCAUCUUGUCUUUUUUAUUUAUCUCCAGAUCAUUUGCGUCAUCUUCUCGCUUCUUCUCCUCCCUAUCCGCGUGCCAACGCAGGAGCUUUGCUACCUUAGGGUCCGCAAAAUACCGCUGCAGACGAGGAGUGAUCGGAAAGUAGCACACCACUUUUCGAGGAGCUUUCUUCCUCUUCUUGUAUCGAGUGACGCCGCACACCGGACAUAUGGUAGACUCCGCGUGCUCGUCCCGAUAAAUGAUGCAAUUGUUCAUGCACACAUGGUAUUUCACGUGCGGUAAAUUCAGAGGACACACGAUUUUCUUCGCCUCCUCAAAACUGGUCGGGCACUUGUUCCCCUUGGGAAGACGUUCACGCCAAAAAUGACAUGUUCUCGUCGAAGCAUGCGUCAGUCAUUUUAUGUUUUACCUUCAUCUCUAGAGCCAUGAGCGUUACUUUCAGGCGGGUAUCCUCGGGCGUGCAUCCUUCAUACAAUGGAGUAACCGCGUCUAUCUCUAGUUGACCCAGCUUGGCUUUCUCUCGGGUGGCAGCUCUUGCGUUAUCCGUCUGCUUCAGAAGCAGCUCUUGAACAUGAGGGUCCUGCACCCAGCCCAUCGAUGGUCCAUCGUCACCUGCUCUGCCGACAUUUUCAUCUUCGUGAUCAUGCCCUUCGUCUGCUCCGGCAUCUUCCUCAUCAUCAUGUCCUGCAUCUUCUACAUGAUGACUAUGUACAGCAUCACCGUCGUGAUCAUGUCCUGGAGAUUCUUCGUCUUCUCGCCCGCCCGAGCCGUGGUGGUUGUCUUGUUGCCCUUCCUCACUUCUUGCCCGGCCCCCAUGGACGACUUCAUAGACAUCUUCAUACCUUGCCACUGAUAGCCAUCCAUGAAACCAUGCAAGAGCAGUUGGUCCCGCACCUGCCCGGAAUCCGGGUCCGCAAUAAGGCUCUUCAGCUUGCAUCUUCGACACGGACAUCUUAUCUCCGUCUCGUUCUUUUCAAGCAUCUCGGCCUUCGCGGAGCUCAAAAACCUAUUCACGAGGCCUUUGGUCAUCGUGCGGACCAUGGUCCCCUGCGGGGUAGAGCAAAACGAUAUUUUAGAACCAAGAAAAAAUUUGGCAUGACUUUCCCUAAAAAUAGGACCAAAAAGAAUGCAUAGUGCCAAAAUUCUCACCGAAACGGAAAUGAAUCAACAUUCCGGCAAAAUAUUGGCAACUAUCGCAUUUCAAAUACCGGUACCUGCAAACACAAACAAAUAUGCAACACCACAAACAUAUGCAACACCACGAACCUACAUAGAUCUAGCUAGGCCACAAAAAGUGCAUGUGCAUGUUGUUGGAGAGGGAGAACAACAUAAAGAUAUCUUCCCCCCUACUUACCUAUCAAAAAAAAGUAAUUUAACCACUUAAUUUGGAUGAAUCUAUGGUGCAAAUGAGGUCAGGAGGAGGAGGCAGCCGAAACAAGCUUGGAGGAGGAGGUGGAGAGAAUGAAGUAGGGAAAGUGAGUGGGUAGGUGGGCUGUCCAAAAUAUCUUGUUGGUCCCAGGUUACUAAUGGCGCCCCACCUGCAAAUGCACCAUUAGUAACCCUGGUUACUAAUGACGCACCUGCUGCUGGUGCACCAUUAGAAGUUUUGCAAAAAAAUAAGAAAUAAAGUAUAUAUUCUAAUGGCGCAUCAUGGCACAGUGCGCCAUUACUAGUUCAAACUAGUAAUGUCGCACUAGGCUAGGGUGCGUCAUUAGUAGUUUUGCAAAAAAAAAGAAUAAAAAAACAACAGUAGUGGCGCACUAUGUGGCCGGUGCGCCAUUACUAGUUAGCACUAGUAAUGGUGCACCUUGCCAUGAUGCGCCAUUAGUAUGUUUGGAAAAAUAAGAAAAAAAUUACUAGUGGCGCACCUUUAGUGUCUUCCACACUAAUGGCGCACCUGCACAUGAUGCGCCACUGCUAUAUAGUAGUGGCGCACCACAUGACAGGUGCGCCAUUAGUGGCCAUUUCAUCUAUAACCCUUUUCCUAGUAGUAUCCCGGUUGGAGCGCUGCUUGGUAGCUUCAAUGUCCCAUUCCCGGCGUUCUCAGGAGAUAGUUGGAUCUCCCUCCAUCUCUGCAAUCACUCUCUUCCACUCCUUCGCACGUUCUGCCCAACACUUUUGAUCAUCGUAGAUCCGUUCCGCCCUCUCGUGCCACCGCACUGCCCUCGUCUCCUGUAGGAACUCGUCUGAAAAAGCGGUCACCGGCAGCAAAAGCUUGGGGCAGGCCUCGUACACGUACGGAAGUGGCAAGCCGGACAGGUCGUGUUGGAGAUGAAGGGGCGAUGGUUGCGCAACUGUUGCAGACCUAAACAUAUGGAUGAAAUAAAUAAAAUAUAUAUAUCAAGAUGUGUCAAAUGCAAAAUCGUAUCAUAUCAUAUUUACUCCAACCAAAUCCAGUACUUGCAUCAUAUUCACAUGCUUACUAAAAAACUAAGAACUAAGAACUAAGAACUACAACUACAAUCACACAUCCUAAAUACAAUACAAUACAUAUCAAAGAAUUGCAUAAGCAUAUCAAAAGAAUUGCAUAAGCAUAUCAAAAGAUAUCGAUGCAUAACAAAGGUUCAUCACAUCCAAAAAAACCUAUGAGUUCAAUCUUUGAAUAAUCAUAUAUCUAGAUUAUUAUGAACAUGAACUAAAUAAAAUACAUAUAUCAAAAACAAAAACCAUGAACUAGGGUUCAUCUUGAGGGAUUAACCAUGUUUACUUCAACAAAAUCCACUACUUGCAUCAUAUAAGAUCCACAUGCAUCCUAUAUCAAAACAAAUAUUUCCAAUAUUCAUCAUAUAUAAAAAAAUUAACACAAAAAAUUAUGAACUAGGUUCAUCUUGAGGGUUCAACAUUUGUUCUCCAACUAUAUCCACUACUUGCAUCAUAGCAUAUCAACAUGCAUCAUCAUAUCACAAUAUAUUCCUCCAACAUGCAUCAUAUAAAAAAAUUCCUCCAAAAAUAAUAUGAACUAGGGUUCAUCUUCACAUAAUCAUACCAACUAGUGACUAGAGUUCGUAUCUAACACAUUAUAACAUCGAUAAUCAACCUAAAUCAAUCCUAGGGUUCAAAAUAUUUAAAUCUAGUUCAAGAAGGGGGGUGAUUUGAAUCAAAUAAUGCAACGAAUCGGAAGCUAUUUGACUAAAACUAAUUGGAGGGAUUGAAGGAGCUUACUUUUGUUUCUUCGGGGCCAUCUCGAUCCGCAAAAAUGAUGAAGAAACGAUGAAGAUCUGAGGGGGGGAGUGGAGGAGAAGAGAGAGGGGCGAGAGGAGGAAGAACUCCUCUGUUCUUGGGCGGGUGGUUGGGGGAGAAGGGGAGGGGUGGGGCGGCCGACGGCUUAUAACUGCCCGCACACUACCGCCAGGUAUCCCGGCGGUAGGAUCAGACAGGCUACCGCCAUGACCGGCGGCGGUAGGGUGGGACGGAGGCCGUUAACGUUGCUGACGUGGAUAAGUUCCCUACCGCCGCAGUGUCUGGCGGUAGCCUAGGUAAUCCUACCGUCGGGCGUCCUGGCGGUAGCAAAAAGGGUCAAAUGUCGAUUUUUUUUCAAAGUGGGGUCAAAUCCCGAUUUUGUUUGACAAAAGGGUCAAAACACGAAAAUCGGCCCCACGACCGGGGUAGCUCAUAUCAUUGGCGUGAGCUCAUAUCAUUGGCGUGUCAGUAUGAUCCUCUUGUCGGAUACUACGGCUUUACCGCGUACGUACUCCUACCGUUGAGAGCUGGCUGGUUGCGGACCCUCUGGAACGAACAGGUCGACAGGUCCCUCUCCCUUGGUAGUAGGCCCGAAUUAUAGGCACGUGCCGUUGUUGGUCUAGUCCCGGCCACACCGUCAAUGUAUCAGUUAGCGUGAUCGCGUCGCGUCGGAAUAAGUUUUUCCAGGCUCCGUUCGCGGCUAGAUGAGGCUUUUGCCUUCGUCUAGGAGCCAGCAGGGUGGGGAUCCCCGGAUCUCGUUGAGGUCGCGGGCUAUAGUGACUGGAGGUUCAUCAGCACUGGCCGUUUGGGUCCUCAGAUGGGCGUUGGAUGCAGGGAGACUGUUGAGUAACGUGAUUGUAUUUGGAAACAUAGGUUAGACUAGGAAAUAUUCUUGCUUUCCUUGUACUCCAAGUAGAUCAUGUACUCCUAUAUAUGUGCCCACGAGGCUCAAGCAAUACAUUGAACUAUUCCACCAACCCUCUCUCUCCCUUCAACAUGGUAUCUAUUGCAAGUCGAUCCUAAACCCUAGCCACCGCUGCUUCCGCACCUGCGCGCCGCCCCCGGGGCUGUCAGCCUCCAUGACCGCCGCUGGGGGCUGCGCCGCCCGUACCUAGGGUUCGUCCACCGGUCGUGUUGACCGGCUGCCCUAGAGAGUGUUUUCCCUGAGCCCUUGCUCCAGAUUUUUUCGCUCUCUCGCCGGUCGUUUUGAUCGGCGUUUUUCUUUUUGGUUUUCUGAUCUAUGCUUGAUCGGUUUGCGUCGCUCGCCGCCGCCGUCGACACCGAGCGCCUCUACUUUGACCCCGACGCUACCAGCCGGCCUCUCCUCCGACCCGGCAGCCACGCGUGUCGAGGCGGCCCGUCAGGGCCAGCCGUCGUCCGCGCGUCGGUCCGCCCGUCACCGCCCUGCUCCGACCGGGACACCUGCAUCGCCCCGACCCAGCGGCCACGCGCCAUGUGAUGGCCAAUCAUAAUCGUCGCUCGCGUGCCGGCCCCCCAUCGAUCUAGAUCACCCGCCUCCGCCGCGUCUUCACGGCGGCCCGAUGGUCUACCUCGCCGGCCUCGUCCUCGGUUACGUCGGGACGGCUGCGUCAGGCUUGUCGGCUGCCUCAACUCGGGCGCCGCUGCUCCGUUGGUCGCUCGGGCCUCACUGCCCGGGCGCCCAUGUUGCUUUGGCAGCCCGGGUGCCGUUGCUGACAAGUUCGUCCGCACGACGUCUCACGCCGGCUGUCGUCGCCGACUUCAUCUCGGACUCCGCCGCCACCACACCUCCACCGAGCGGCGUCCCGACCUCGCGUGCGAUCGGCUUGAUCACCCGCUCGCCGCGGCGAUCCGCCUCAUCUACGCCGCGCAACCGACCUGGCCCGUCGGUUACGCGCGCCUCCGCAGGUCCCGUGAAGAUCGUCCCCGAGUUCAGCGCGCCUCUCUACCGAUCGAGCAUUGGGCUGCCACCGUGUCGCCCUGUCAGGCCGCAACGCCGCCGCCCCGUGGUUCUCCUCGCGGCUGCAUCGACCCAUGCAUCACCGCUGCGUCGCCUCUUCGGGCUGUAGUGUCGCGAUACGCGGUCCCCACCACCGCCCCGAGGCCAUCCCCGCGGCUGCACCGACUCGCGAACCGCCAUUGCGUCGCCCCUUCGGGCCGCAACAUUGCGGACCGCGGUCCCCGCUGCCGCCCCGAGGUCUUCCCACUGUCGCCCCGACCCUCCUGCCGCCGCUACGUCACCCCUUCGGGUUGUAGCGCCGCGGCCCGCGAUCCACUCUGUCGUCACCGCGCGUCGACCUCCUAUGGUAUGCGCCACGCCGUCUCCCUUGGCGCGGAAACGCCACCGUCCGCGCCGGUCUUCGUCACGCUGUCAGGGUUCUUCGCCUACUUCGAGCACCGCCGCCGCACUCCUAACCUAGCUGUCGCCGCUGCCGUUAGGCCGCCGCCGCCGUCAGGCCUCCGCCGCCGCUACCUUCGUAGCCGCCGCGCCGCCCGUCCACCCCCUUCGGUCUUCGUCCAAGCACCAGCCCGUCGCCAGCGUCACCGUCAUCUAACCCGAGCACUUUGUCUACUUCGACCACCGUUGGUGACAUCGGCCCCGCGCCGAUGGGCACCGCAAUCAUCGUCGAGUUUUUCUCUGCUGGCCCUCCGACUUCUCCGACAUGGCAUACAGCUCGUGCAGGUCCCUCGUCUACGCAUGCCCGGUGCUGGCAACACCGAUGCGUGCCUUCAUCCACGACGUGUCCCCGGGCCUGGCAAGCCUGGUCGGCGCUUCGUCAACUUCGUCUUCGUCCGUCUACGCAUGCCCGGUGCUGGCAACACCGGUGCUGGCAACACCGGUGCGUGCCUUCAUCCAUGAUGUGUCCCCGGGCUUGGCAAACCCGCCGCGACGCAUCGUCAACACCAUCAUCCUUCCGGCGCACCACUACCUCGUCACCACUGCGCCCAUGACUAACUCGGCGCCCUCUUGCGCCCGCGGCUCCACGGCGACUUCCUCGACACCGGGCCUGGCAAGCCUGGUCGAUGCACGCCGACUCGACAUCGACCACGGCAUUCUCCGAACAGCUACCUCGACCAUGGCUCCACCACCCACGCUCUUGGCUACAUCGACAAACGGCACAAAGGGCUACCGCCUGCUUGAGCAACCUCGUUGGUUUCCACUCCAGCCAAGACUCCGUGAUGCGUCGACCGUUACGACUGUGGGGGAGGGGGUGUCCGUCGGCUUGGCUUUGGAUUCUUCUCCAGUCUCACCGUCUGCGUCGCUACCGUUGUGACUGCAGGGGGAUGUUGAGUAACCUGAUUGUAUUAGGAAACAUAGGUUAGACUAGGAAAUAUUCUGGAUUGCCUUGUACUCCAAGUAGAUCAUCUACUCCUAUAUAUAUGCCCACGAGGCUCAAGCAAUACAUUGAACUAUUCCACCAACCCUCUCUCUCCCUUCAACAGAGACGAAGACCCUUCUUCUUCCUUGUCGGUAUGAUUUGUUGCGGCUGUUCUUCUCCUUCCUCUGCGCUGAUGCUGGAGGGAGAUUCUGCUUUGCCCGGGUGGAUGGCCCGGCCGCGGUGCUGGACCGGUCGGAUGACUCGAAUUCUCUUCCAUCAGGAAGGGACAUUUUUCGCGGUACUCAAAGCCAAAGCUGGCGACGGCCGUUGCAGGUGUGUUGGAUUGAUGCCCAUGCCCUCUCAGCGCUGGUGUCAAGAAAGGAGAAAGUAGCAUGGCGGCAAUUGUACCGUGGUCGGAGAUGAUGACCUGCUUGCGCCUGGUUGCGGAUCCUUCUGCUUGAGGGGUCUUCUCUCAAGAUUCAGGGAUGAUGUCAAAAGGCUCCACAGCUCUUCUUGUGUUACGUUUGGCUUAGGGUACUCUAAUUGUUCAUCAUCCUUUGUGUUUACGUUUCAGUGUGCUUGUAAGGAUCAACUACUUUGUACUGUUUCGUGAUUUGAAUGAAAAAAUUCUCAAAAAAAAAAAAAACAAAUGCACCGUGGCCAGAUCUAUUUGCCGACUAUAGACUACUUUUGGUUUCUUCUCGUAAGGACUACUUUUGCGAAACCCAAUACUACAACACAUACGUUCACAAAUACGCACACGUAAGGAAUAAUAAUAUGCUAAAACAGCGCUAGUAGUAUGGUCUUUGCAUGCUUGGUGCUGCUGCAUGUGGGCUGUGGAGGUUUUUGAGCCUACUGUCUGCAUGCAUCUCGAUAAUAAUAAUCCAAUUCAAUCCAAUCCAAUCCAAUCCAAUCCAAUCCUAUGGUCUUUGCAUGCUUGAUACAGUGCCUACCAAUCCAAUCCGACUGGUCAAACUUUGCGUGCGCCGUAGUGGUUGGCUAUGCUGGCAUGAAUAAUAAUAAUGAUCCUUUACUUCCUUUCUCUCUCUGUGCACGGUGCAGUUUAGGAUAGUCGUAAUAAAAGUAUCAUAAGCGGUAUUAUGCAUGUCAAAUAGACCUUUUGGAUCAUGUGGCAGAGAAUUAAAUGAGAAAAGAAAGGAUGUGGUAUCAUAUUAUGAUACCGUAUCAUAUUAAAUAUAGUACUACUUUGUGUCAUGCAUGUCAAUUAAUGAGGCAAACUAAGAUACUAGGUUACGAUACUAUGCAUUACGGAAAUAGUAUCAUACACGAGUAUCAUAUGCAUGAUACUAGUAUAUGAUACUCUCCAUUACGACCUAUCUUACUACUGUAGCGUCCUGUGGGUCACGAGGAGCAGACCGCGUGUUCCACGAAAAAAAAACGAUACGGGCCCUCGUGGAACACGGUGCCCUGUCUACCUCCGUACCAAAAGAUAAAUUUUUUACUAUUUUAUUACAAAGAUUUAUUUUAAAUAUAUAUAAAAUGUUAGUGUAAAAUUAGUAUUAUGAGAGGGUGUGUUUCAAUAGUAAACCAACGAUACUGAUUUUCCACUAUAGGAAUUAAGUUUUAGUUGCUUUAUUUAUUCGGUCCAACUUGUAUAGUUUAACGUAGAUAGAUAAGAAAGGAAUAAAUUGUGAAAACCAUCAAGACUCUGGCUCUAAUCCCAUGUUAAGCUUCAUUCUCUAGGCAAUUAUUGCAAUAAUAGACCGAUCUGACGGAAAGAGCUAAGCAACCGAGUUAAUUAUACAAUUAGUUAGUUUAAUAGUAACACUUAACUGGCAGUAGGUGUUACAUUGCAGCCAGCGAGAGCGAGAGCCUUCCCCCUUCCCCGCCAUGCGCUGCUCCGGCGCUGGCGUCCACCGCGCCUCUGCGCCCCCGGGCCGUGCCACUCCGGCCAUCCCAGCCACCCAGGCUCCCGGCCGUGCCACUAAGGCCGUCCCGGCCACCCAGAUCUGUUCCCCCGCCCCCCGCUGCUUCCUCGCGCGACCAGGGCUGCCAGCCCCAGAUUCGUCUCCUCCCAGGUCAGGCCGGCGGGGGAGAGGCCGGUGGUCUCUGGGCUGGGGCUUUUGGAGGGCUUGGCUGAGUCGGACCCGCAGCCGGCGGUGGACUCCGCGCCUCGCCUGGAGGCUCCUGCUGCGGGCUGGGAGCGGCCUUCUCCCACCAAGAAGGAGCUCUGGCGCCUCCGUCAUGGACAGGGCGGCCAGGGCGGAGAUGUUGUGGCUGGGCGGCACGUGCCUUCGCCGCCGCCGGCGGAGAUGAUCCCGGAGAUGCGAGACAAGUGCUUCAGGUGCCUCGAGAAGGGCCACUUCCGGUGGGACUGCACCAACUAGGAUGUCUAUAUCAGGUGCGGUUGGCCGGGUCAUGGCUCCCGCGAUUGCAAGAGGCCGCGGAGCCCCUCUUCGGCUGAUGAGCUCCGACGCGAGGCGAUCGCCAAGGUGGCACGCCACUCGUCUCCCCGGGUCAGUCCAGACCGCACGACGCCUCAUGCGGCCUUCCCACCCCCACCGCCUCCGCCGCUGCACCCCCCCUCGCUUUGUGCUGCCGCCGAGGCGGCCUGGCCGCGUCUUGCACCCCCGCGGCUCUAGGUCGCGCUGGAUGCGGGGGAAGGUGCGUAUGAGCUUUGUGUGGUGCGGCGCUCGCAGUCCAUGGAGGACUUGGAGCGCCGGCUACGCUUCGCCAUGGUCGCCUACAUGGGUGGUGCCCGGAGACGCCUCUCGCCGCAGCGGGUGCUGGAGAUCUUGGCGGGGUGGCUCGACAUCUCGGCGGAUCAUGUCUCGGUGCACUCUUACCGGUCGGAGGAUUUUCUGGUCGUUUUUGCGUCGGCUGAGCUUCCGAACAGGGUGGCGUCGUACCCGGCGGUGUAGUGGGAGGGCGAUAGGCUGUUCUUCAGGCCAUGGAACCGGCAGUCGCAGGCAGUCUUCUCGACCAUGGGCUUCAAGGUCUGGAUUGUCAUGGAGGGGAUACCACCACACGCUUGGGAUCGGAAGACGGCAGAGGAGUUGUUGGGGACGGCGUGCAAGGUGGACUCGGUUGCGCCGGAGUCAAGUUCAAGAGCUGAUCUUUCUGCGUUCAGGCUCACUGCAUGGACUGCAAACCCGGAGGAGAUACCUUCGCUGCGCUGGCUGGCCAUCUCGGAGCCAAGCUCGGAGAUCCUACCACCAUUGUUGCAGUACAAGAUCCUCAUCCAUAUCGACGCAGUGGCGAACUUCCGUGAAGCAGGGGAGCCGUGGUUCGUGGGAAGUUCAUCCGACAAUGGGCAGAGUGGCUUGCUAGACUCUCCAGACGGUUUCCAUAAUGGAGGUGGUGGUCAGAGGCCACAAUGGCGAGUUUGGCAGUUCGGUGUCAGAGAUGUGCGCGGCGGUGAGCAGGGCUAGGCUUCCGGCGGUGGCGGUGGCGGCCAUGGCGCGGCAGGGAGGGCAAACGAGGGGCUGGAUUGGCGCCUACCUCCCAUGCCCCCGCCCCGAACGUUCUGCAUGUGGGGCCACCAGAACGCCUUCUGGAUAGGGUUGCCGUCAGGGUGUCUGCUUUUGACCGCCUUUUGGGUCAGCAGGCACAUGGAGAGGGGAGCGGGACGGUUCUAGAGCCAAAUUCGAACCUGACUGGCGCGGACAAGUGGCUGGGACGGACGGGCGCACUUUGACGGCGGGACCCCGGACGGAGGAGACGGAGCAGCAUCCAAUGGAAAUGGUCAUUGUGCCGUUGGGGCAGGGACGGCGCCUGAGCUUGUCAUCGGAUCGGGCGGUCGAAGUGGUGGUUGGCGCGCGCAGCCCGAGUGAUUCCCGCAGUGCCCCACGGGCGAAUGAUGACAUGGACAUGGUGGUUCUCGCGGAUCUAGGGAGACUGGAUCCCCGGUGCGGGAAAGGCUGAACCCGCCAGCUGGCGUGACUGCAGGCUCCGUGCCGGGGGAUGGGAUACCGGACGGGUCCCAGGAGGUGGGGCUGGCUGAGGAUCCCAAUGCAAUUGGGGCGGUGUGCAACAUGGCGGGCCCCGUGCUCGGAUCGAAUGCAGAGAUGGCUACUGGUGGGUUGGGUGAAGGAAAUCGCGUGGUAUUGACUACUGGUGGGGCUGGUUAUCGAAUGCAGAGAUGGCUACUGGAGGGUUGGGUGAAAAAAAAGUUAGUUUAACAGUAACUGUGAUGCCAAGACAAAUCAUUGGGGUCAAAAUUACCGAAAUAUUUAUUUACUCCGGUUGUACACGGGUCCGCUUGUACACGCGCAUGAGCUGCCACGGAGCCACACUGUGGCCGGCCUACUGGGGAGCCCGAGUCAGCGAGGCUGCUUGAGAACCAAGCUGCAUGUCCUCGUGUUUGGAGAGGCGAACGACGAGUUCGCUAGAGACUUCGUCGGAGAAGGGGCGGUGGUCAAAGGGAUGUGAGAGAGGUGAUUUUUUUUAUUGGGCUGUAAGGUGGGUCCUUGUCCACAUCAGCUGGGUAUUAAUUCGUGGCCAACACGUUGAAAAAUCCACCGAAUAGUCAUCACAUUUUAUCAUGCAAUCAGAAAGCCGUGGUGUUCACAACAUUUUGGACAAGUGGGAUAGUUAUUUCAUGCUAACAACUCAUUGAGACCGGACUAUGUACUUGCAGAGUAAAGACUCUAUAGCUACGACAAAUAAUUUGGAUCAGCGGGAGUAGAACAAAUACACGUGUAAAUAUUUGGUAACUGCAGAAGAAAUGUUAAUGUAUGUAAAGAAAAGAACAAUUUAUGUAGAUUACAUAGGUGCGGUACAAUGGGCGGAAAAAAUGAAAUAAACUAAAGAGAAGCAAAUUUGAAAAAUCUAUAAACAAAAAGUAAAACUUAAAUGCAAUAAUACAGGUGACAUUUAUUACAAAUCAAAUGACGAGCAGAAUAAAUACUCCUUCCUUUCCAGUUUAUAAGUCUUCCACGUGUAUCUUGGCUGCUAAUUUACCAAGUUGAUUACACGUGCAAGACUAAUAAACACGUAAGGACGGAAGGAGAUAGUAUCUCCGAAGUGGAAGUAUAUAAGAACAUUUAAGGGUAUACUUCGAUAAUUGAUCGAAUCCCAUUGGUUGGAGUGAUCUUGUAGUCGCUGAACCCGGCUUCGGAGAAAAUCAAGCUCCACACGUUUUCCUCUCGCUCCAUUCCAUCGGAGCCCAUCAUGUAGAUAUCUAACAAAACCUGCGCCUCUAUGGAAUCGUUGGGCUGAGUCACCGGAUAUCCCACCACCAUAUCGAUAAUUAUCACCUUUCCUCCGGCUUCUUUCGCUGGGAUCGCUUCCUUGCACCGGCGCAUUAUCUUGACGCAAUCUUCGUGUUUCCAGUCAUGCAAAAUCCACUGGAACCAAACAUAUUAUUAUAUCCCAUUAGCAUAUAUAGUAGACCAGCAGAAAAAAGAAGAACAUAUCCAAAAAUAAAAAUAAAAAUAAAAAAUUACCUUGAGUAGAACAGCAUCCGCAGGUGGGACAUACUCGAACAUAUUUCCGGCGACGAAGGUCAAAAUGUCGCUGGCGGGAGCCGCGGCGACAACGUGUGCGAGGUCCAGAACGGUGCACUUGAGGUGCGGGAACGCUCUCGCCACGGCCGACGCGGUAGCGCCAUGGUUGCCGCCGAUGUCCACCAGCGAGCUUUUCACUUCCCCGAACGCUCCGCCGUGCUCUUUCAACAGGACCUUCAUGGCGAUGCGGCUGUCCGCGGCCAUGCCGUCGUUGAACAAGCCGCCAUCGACCUUGGUGGUGUCCCAGAACGUGCAGCCGUUGGCCAGCUGGACGAGCGAGUGCGACUGUGCCGACUCUCCCUCUUGGCCUUGGGUAAACCACUCUGGCAUUUUGAGGAGAGAGGUCCAGCAUAACGUGUUGACGAUGGUGCCCACCAUCGGGGACAGGUUGUGCGGUGAUCUCUCGACAAGGAGCCGGGAGACCCGCGUGAGCUUGUAAUACGCAGCGCCAUCACCGGCGUGGUCGUUGCUGCCUUUGCCUUGGACAAUGGAGAAUACCCCGGUGGUGGUGAGCACCCGCAUGACCCGCCGGAGGUUGGAGCGCUUCGUGGGGUGGAUCCCGGUGUCGGAGGCCAGCUCGGACAAGGUGGCGGCGCCGCCGCGGCGGUGGAUGGUGUCGGGGAUGCGCAGGUCCGUGGCGGCCUUGAGCGCCAGUGACUUGACGAAGGCGAGGCCGUGGUGGUAGAGCUCCAGCUGAGCUUGAAGUAACUCGUCGCUGCUCAUGGCGAGGUCUUGGUCUCGUUCGAUGUGCUGCGCGGCCGGCAUGGUGUAUGUGUAUGAUCGAUCGAGUGUGGUAUGCUAGCUGCUACCUGCUUCUUGCUUCUUCCUUACGUAGAGAAAACGUAGUACCUUCUUAUAGAUGCAUGCGCAUGGUAUCCUAGUAGCUAGUUUCCUUUUGCGGGUUUUUUUUUAGGGAAGCUUCCUUUUGCGGGUUGGUUUGAGGUUACUACUUCUAGUUGUAGCCUCCUGUGUGGACGUAGUUUCCCACCCCUACGACUCGAUCGUGUGCACGAUCUCGGUCCCCACCGACGAAUGCAUGUUCAAGACACCCACCCCUUGAUGCAUGUUCAAGACAAUAGCAUUUCUCAAGGGGCAAAACAAGAGAUGACCUACAAAAAAAAAGAUCCUCGUUUGGACCAAUGGUUCUGAAGUCCGUGCACUUCGACCCUACCUAAUUGUUCACUCAAGCACCACAUCACCUUGUGGUCGGCGGGUUAGGAGUAGUAACUACCGUGUGUCCCCAGGGCGCUACGUGUCCAGGUUUAGUAUAGUAUUGAUGCCAUCUUUCCAAGUGACGGUAUCUUGACAAGUGUUGCUCAGCACUAGUUUGGCUUGGCAGCCCGCCCGGGAUCGAUCCCCGUUGGGGACGAUUGCUGGUGUCUCACCAGGGAUUGGCACCCGAAUAGCAUCCCUGCACUUUCGUGCCACGCAAAGCAACGAACAAACAAAAACGAAAAUACUAGAAACUUGAGACUCUAGAAGAAUAGAAGAAGCAACGAACGAACAAAAACGAAAAUACUAGAAACUUGAGACUCUAGAAGAAUAGAAGAAGCAACGGAAGUAACCAGAUCUGGAUAAGUGGCGUAUGAAGAAACCUUGGAAUAGAAGAAGAACACUAGUGCAGAACCGGCCUUUAGUGCCGGUUCGUAACGGCCUUUAGUGCCGGUUCGUAACGGCCUUUAGUGCCGGUUCUACAACCGACACUAAAGAGUGGGGACUAAAGGUCCCCCCUCCUUAGUAUCGGUUUGUCAUGAACCGGCGCUAAAGUGCGAACACGUGGCACGAGCCAGGCCCGGGUGCGCGUAGGGGCUUUAGUACCGGUUGGUAACACCAACCGGUACUAAAUGUUUGUGUUUUUUUUUAUUUUCCAUUACUUAUUUUUGUUUGCUGGUAUUUCACGAUACUACAAAUUGUACACGUUAUGCAUAUAUAUAAAUAGAUUUUCUUGUACGUAUAGAACCGCAUAUAUAGGGUCGAGUGAACAAUUUGGUGAAGCCAUCGCACCAUCACUUGCUCACGCAACCGGGCCUCCUCUCGCAGCCGCUCCCGCUCAUAGCAGCCCGUCCUCAGUCUCAGGCGCGCUAGGUGGGCCUUCGUCUUUGGCUGAGCUCGACGCCGUCANNNNNNNNNNNNNNNNNNNNNNNNNNNNNNNNNNNNNNNNNNNNNNNNNNNNNNNNNNNNNNNNNNNNNNNNNNNNNNNNNNNNNNNNNNNNNNNNNNNNNNNNNNNNNNNNNNNNNNNNNNNNNNNNNNNNNNNNNNNNNNNNNNNNNNNNNNNNNNNNNNNNNNNNNNNNNNNNNNNNNNNNNNNNNNNNNNNNNNNNNNNNNNNNNNNNNNNNNNNNNNNNNNNNNNNNNNNNNNNNNNNNNNNNNNNNNNNNNNNNNNNNNNNNNNNNNNNNNNNNNNNNNNNNNNNNNNNNNNNNNNNNNNNNNNNNNNNNNNNNNNNNNNNNNNNNNNNNNNNNNNNNNNNNNNNNNNNNNNNNNNNNNNNNNNNNNNNNNNNNNNNNNNNNNNNNNNNNAUAUAUAUAUAUAUAUAUAUAUAUAUAUAUAUAUAUAUAUAUAUAUAUAUAUAUAUACCAACACCAUUAUUCACACAUACACAUGUAUACAUAUACAAUUUCUCCUACAUAUGUUGCCUUGGUGCCUCCGGAGCACGAUGACAAGUGGUUCAUGGGGGCGGUAGCGGGUAAUAGUAUUCUCCUUCGGGAUUUAUGACCUAGUCGAGCAAAAAUCCGGCUAUUUCCUCUUGAAGUGCUAGUAUGCGGUCCGAUGGUAGGAGCUUAUCCCGUCUCUGAACUGUUAAGAAGGAGAUCAAUAUGCAUAUGUGUUAGUUGUGUGACUAGAUAUCGAUAAUGGUGUGAAUAGUGUUCUGACAAACAUACCCAGUCAUGUCUAUCAGAUUUGCUCCUUUCAGACGUCAUCAUGCGAAUGUUCUCGCAAACGUAGAAUGCAGACAAAUUAUUCCCCGACGCCUGCUUCAGGGCCUUUACGAGAAUGGAAUUGAAUCAGAUAAUGAUUAAUUAAUCAAGCAUGAUAAUUAAUUAAUGAUAUUAAAACAAGAAUUAAAGAGAUGGUAGCUAGCUAGUACUACUUAAUUACUUACCUUUGGUCGAUGCCAAAACAACUUUUGUUUCCAUUCGCCUGGAGUCACCGCGAUGAACUUUGCCCAUGCCCUGCCCGCCAGCAAAGAAAAUUAAUAAAGGGGUUAUUAAAUAGUUCAUAUCAGAAAAUGACGAACUAAUAAUAGGCCGAGAUAUAUAUAGUUAAUAAUGAUUGAAAUUACCUAUUGACUAUCCCCUUCACGAUGGUGAAGUCACUUUCUUCUUUAGUUAGCGAGUCCAGUAAUUCAACUUUUCCUUCCUCAACUUUAAUGUCUAUCAAGACCCAGUGCCAACUGCAUGCGCACACGUUUGCAUGUCUUAAAUAAGCGGGCAUGUGCAUAAAAUUAAUCAACUACCGUAAACCGUAUACACUUAAUUAUUAAUAUCUAGCUAGAUAGUAAGCAAAAACAGAAUUUGUAGUACAAAACAAUGUGACUCAUGGGAAAUUGUAAGGAAGUAGUAUAUCUUCGUUGCUAUUGAGGCGCUUCAAGAACUCUACCAUGCUUUCCUCUACACCUGCUUGAUAAAAUGGAUACUUCCAUAUGUCCUCAUUAAUGGUAUUUGGGUCAAUGAACCCAAUGCCAUAGCAUCCAAAUUUUUUCAUUUCAUACAUCUUCAUCCUCCAUAUAAUACCACAGAAAAGAAUAUAGUGAGGAUAAUUACAUGUAAUGAUUGAUCAAAAUUAUCACUACAUAAUUAGCUUGAGACUUAAAUUACAAAAAGAAAUCAGUUACAGACAAUAGCAACUGACGAUAGACUUGUCAAGUGCGUCUUGAUUGAAUAACUGAUAUAGUUCUGAAUACUCAAUGGACAGAGCUUUCUCAUGGUAAUAAUGCUGCUUCUUGACAUUCACCAUGAGGGACACUCGAUUGGAAAUCUUGGUCAUGUUUAUGUACCAUUGAUGCAAUUCAUACAUUCUCGUUGGGAGGUCCUUGACCUUGUCUGGAUGGACCAAAGGUUGGCCCCAGGCAUAUUUCCAUUUUAUUUCCGAUUCUUUAAGCGGAGACAUGGGCUCGAUUUCGAGGAGUUGUCCAACAGAGAUCUUGAGCAUUUCAGCCUGCAUUAUAUGCUCCUCCGUUAUUACCACAUCGCCCUGCUAGGGAACGCUAACGGUUUGCCCGCAAUAAUAUUUGGCGCGCAUACUCCUCUCAUGUGUUGUUGGCACAACAAGCGGGGGGAUCUCUUGCGCCGCCUGUUCUCCCAGCUGGGGAACGGUUUUCCCGCAUUUUUUGCCAGCUGCUUGUUGGCUCGAGUUCGAUCUCGCUUCCUUCCGUAGCCGUGCUCGAUGUAGCUUUCUGAUUUGACGCUGAUAGUCUGAGUCAACAGGCUUGGGAGCUGGUGCUCUAGCCAUAUGAAUGAAGUGGUCAAUCGUUUUCUCAGGCACUUUCUCCUUUGGCGGCGGUGCCAGUUUCGGUCCAAAAUGGGCGUCCACUUGGGCCUGCACUAUGGCUGCGUUUUGCUCCUCGGUCAUGUUGUAAGGCCUCUGAGGAAGAGGAGUGAGGCUUGGACCAUAUUUAUAUCGCUUGUCUCCGCCUGUACUUCCUGAACAACCUCGACUCGUACCGCUACGCACCAAAGCUGUGGCAUGUCUCUUCUGUGAUUGCUGAGACGGCGGAGACGGCUGACGUGGAGUUGGACCAGGAGAAGUGGGCUGACGAUGUGCCGGACUUGAAGCAGGAGGUGUGGCCUGACACGGUGCCGGACUUGAAACCGGAGAAGUGGCAUGACGUUGUGCCGGACUUGAAACCGGAGGAGUCAUCUCACGCGUUCGGGGACUUGGAGGUCGUGGCGGACUUCGAGGAGGAGUCGUCUCACGCGUUCGUGGACUUGGAGGAGCGGGAGUCUGUUGACUCGGUGGCGGACUUCGAGGACUCGGCAGACGACGCGGUGUCGGUGGACUUCGAAAGAUGAUGCAAUCAUUUCUCCAUAGGAUGAUACGAUGCAUGGCCUGUCCUAGUGUGCGCUCGUCUUCACCUCCAGGAAUGUCAAGCGUUAGCCCCGAAUAUGGGUCCACCACUUCAUCAACCAUGACACGAGCAUAGCCCUCUGGAAUCGGGAUGCAAUGGUAGGUUGCUUCGGGGGUAACUGGAAAAGCGACGCCGUCCGCCACCUUCAUGGAUAUGUUCUUCAUUUUGGAGUGUAGCUCACAGUUAGUGUUCUCUAUGAUGUCAUCCAUAGGGUAUGUAUCCAGCAGUGUGUCGCCCGGGGCAGAACCAACGCUGCUUCUCGGCAUGGAUGGAACGGUGCUAUCCAAUGCUGGACGAUCAUCCGCUUGUUGUUGCCGCUGCUGAGACCCCCUUUCCUGGCUAAGUGAGUCGAUCUGCUGCUGCUGCUGAAUUUUAGUGCCAGGUCCGCGUGCCUUGCUUCUAGGCCUUGAAGACGUUCUGCGUCCUGCUUCCUCUUCUCCUCCUCCAGCUUCCUCUUCUUCUCCUCCUCCAUCUUCUUUCUUGCACGGGACCUGUAGUCGUCAUUCCAGUCCGAAAAGCCCUCAUACCAGGGAAUAACACCCAUGCCUCGCGUUCUUCCCGGUGUUCAGGAUUUCCCAGGGCACGCGUAAGCUCGUCGUUCUCUCUGUUGCGCGUGAACACCCCCGCUCGAGCUUCUUCUAUUGCGUCAAGUAUCUUUUGUUCGGCUCCUUUUAGACUUGCCUUCUUCAAAACCAGGCCUGUCUUUGGGUCCAACGCCCCCCCAUGCGCAUAGAACCAAGUUCUGCACCUGGGGGGCCAGCUCCUAGUAAUUGGAGUGACCCCUGCACCCUCCAUCUCUUGCUCAGACUUAUCCCACUUAGGCAAUCCCACCGCGUAGCCACCUGGACCCAGCCUAUGGAACUGCGUCUUUCUUGCGGCAUUUGCCUUGUUUUUCAUCGACCAUUCCUUAGAUAAUUCUGAAUCCUUGAAGGUCACGAAAUCGUCCCAGUGUUCUCUUUGCUUCUCUAGUGUUCCCUUGAAAUCUGGAGUCUUCCUUUCAUUAGCGAGGUAGUUGGCCCAUACAGUUUUCUUGUGGGUGUUGAAUGCAUUUGCCAUCUUCUUAAGAGCAGCGGCCUUGACUUUCUCCACAUCUGCUUUAGUGAAAUGAUCUGGUAGGGUGAAAUGUUCCAUCAGAGAUUUCACCAGGUCUUCUUUGGCUCUGCCAUCGACCCAAGUAACACCUAGACGUUUAGUCUUUGGCUCUUUCCAUUCUUGAAUGGAGAUCACGAGUUUGUCCUUCACAAGAACUCCGCACUAACGAGUCCACUUAUUAUCAACGUUCUUAGGCGUGAGGGGUUAGCCACUAAGUUUGGUGGAUUCGAUGUGGUACUUUACACCAUCCUUCAACAAUCUGCCCGGGCCUCGCUUUGUCUUGCUGUAUGUAGAAGCAGAUUUGCUCGAUCCGGAGGGCUGAAAGAAGAAAGAUCGAUUCGUUAAUAUAUCUUCAAUAAAAAAACAUGUGAUGAUCACCAGGAUGCAUGCUUAUAUAAAUAUAUACCUCGCCGGAAGUCUUUGUUAUUUGAAGAUCAGCAUUGUCUGUGUCAUCACUAACAUUGUCUGUGUCAUCAUAAUCAUAGUUCAUGACUUCAUCAGCUCGGUCGUCGAGAUCAAAUAUCUUUCCGUCACCCUCUCCGGUAUUGUUCAGAUAUUGGGAGCCGUCAUCAUUCAGAUCAUCUAGCCUCUGAGGGCUGCGUAUGAUGUCGAACAAUUCCUCCUCUCUCUCUCUGCCGGUAUUGUCCGCCAUAGCUUUUACUUUACUAAUUAAUACAGAAGAAAUAUAAAACAAUUUAGUAUUCAAAUUACAAUGCAUGGCUGCAAUUAAUCAAUAAGAAAAAACUGAAUCUCGAAUACAUUGUCUCGAAUAUAUAAUCUCGAAUACAUCAUCGCCUUAAUAUAUAUAAUCUCGAAUACAUCGUCUCGAAUAUCAUAUAUCGAAUACAUCACUGGCUAGGUACCUAAUAAAGAUCGAGUACUACAGAAGAAUCUAGGGCGCCACUCGCGGUUCCUGGGGCGCGGGCGGUGCACACCCAAAGAGAAGGAACCAUCACAGGAUCAUAUCUCUGGUUAUCUGCCCAAAGAACCCGCCAAGUAGUGGAGAACCUGACGUCGUCCAUAGCAGCCAUGUACCGAUGGACCUGCUCAUCUUCCUCCCUGACACGGCGACGCACCACCUCCGGCGGGGCCGACUUCCUCUGCACCAAAUGUGGCCCACGCGAACGCCACCAAAGAAGAUCAGGGUCGACGACGGGACCCGACGUCGGGUUCCUCACCAAGCGGCGCGCCCCUCCAGGUAGCAACUCCCAGUGCCAGCCCGGCGGAGCCCAGUCCCGGACAUGGGUCCUCUGAAGCAUGACGUCGUCGCGAACGGGUCGAUGGCGAGGAUGCGGGCCGGGCAUAUCGUCGAGAACAAAUACUAUAUGCCCGCAAAAAGUAACAUUUUUUAAAUGAUUGGAUUGUGAUAACUAAAAUUCUAUAUAUAUGCAAAUUCUAACAAUUUGACAUUAAUCUAAUUCAUCUAACUAAAACUAAUUCUAAAAUUUCCUGAUUAUAUAACUAACAUUUCUAUAACAUUUCUAAUAUUUAUAUAACUAAAAAAUAGAUAAAUUGCUAACAUUUUUAUAAAUAUUUCUAUAACUAAAAACAGAAAACAUUUAUAACAUUUCUAUAUAACUAACAUUUCUAAUAUUUAUAUAACUAAAAAAUAGAAUAAUUUCCUAACAUUUCUAUAACUAAAAAACAGAAUUUUUUUAACAAAACAAACUAAUAAUGUGUGUGUGUAGUGUGUGUGUGUGUGUAGUGUGUGUGUGUGUGUGGACAUGGCAGCCGGGGCGAGCUCACCGGCGAGGCGACGACGGGGCGGCAACGACGGGGAGNNNNNNNNNNNNNNNNNNNNNNNNNNNNNNNNNNNNNNNNNNNNNNNNNNNNNNNNNNNNNNNNNNNNNNNNNNNNNNNNNNNNNNNNNNNNNNNNNNNNNNNNNNNNNNNNNNNNNNNNNNNNNNNNNNNNNNNNNNNNNNNNNNNNNNNNNNNNNNNNNNNNNNNNNNNNNNNNNNNNNNNNNNNNNNNNNNNNNNNNNNNNNNNNNNNNNNNNNNNNNNNNNNNNNNNNNNNNNNNNNNNNNNNNNNNNNNNNNNNNNNNNNNNNNNNNNNNNNNNNNNNNNNNNNNNNNNNNNNNNNNNNNNNNNNNNNNNNNNNNNNNNNNNNNNNNNNNNNNNNNNNNNNNNNNNNNNNNNNNNNNNNNNNNNNNNNNNNNNNNNNNNNNNNNNNNNNNNNNNNNNNNNNNNNNNNNNNNNNNNNNNNNNNNNNNNNNNNNNNNNNNNNNNNNNNNNNNNNNNNNNNNNNNNNNNNNNNNNNNNNNNNNNNNNNNNNNNNNNNNNNNNNNNNNNNNNNNNNNNNNNNNNNNNNNNNNNNNNNNNNNNNNNNNNNNNNNNNNNNNNNNNNNNNNNNNNNNNNNUGACGAGGGGCGGGGGCGGCGACGUCGACGGGGACGGCGUCGAUCAGGGCAGGGCGGCGCGACGGAGGGAGGAAACAGAGGGAAGAAACAGAGGGAAACUGAAUUUUUUUAAGUGUUGUAUAUAUAUAGGAUGGACCUUUAGUACCGGUUGGAGCCACCAACCGGUACUAAAGGUCUGUUUUCACCAGGCCAAGCAGCGGGAAGCGCACCCCCUUUAGUACCGGUUGGUGGCUCCAACCGGUACUAAAGACCCCCCCCCCUUUAGUACCAGUUGGUGCCACGACCCGGUACUAAAGGGGUGCGCUGGCGCAGUGUGGUGCGGCAAGUUUAGUCCCACCUCGCUAGUCGAAGGGCUACCGCACUGGUUUAUAAGCCCAGUGCGGUAGCUCUCUCGAGCUCCUCUCCUACGUAGGCCUACUAGGCCUACCAAUUCAUUGCGGCCAUGUGGGCCUACUGGGCCUUUGCGGGCCUGCAUCCUAGCCCAACAAAAGGUUGAGUUUCUAGUCGUAUGCAGGCUGCUUUGGCCCAGUAGGCGGGCUUUCUUAUUUUCUUAAUUUUUUUUUGCUUUUUUUGUUUUAUUUAUUUUUGAGUUAUUUUUUGCUGUAUUUAGAGUUUCUUUGUGAAUAUUUUUUCUUUAGGUACAAAAAUUUACAAACUUUGAUCUGUUAGUGCCGGUAGUUUUCAAAUAUGAAUAGUCUAAAUUUUGAAUUAUUUGAAAUUUGCGUGAAUCACUAGUUUGUGAAUAACUUAACUUUGAAAAAAGAUUUUUCAGUGAUUCUUUUUUAUUAUGUUUAAUAUUAGUGUGUUUUAUCAUUAUAUUCAAUUUGGUAAUGCUUAGGUUAUUUAAAAAAUGAAAUGCCUUUGUAACAUUUCAGUUUUCGUCGGAAACCCUGAUACUUCGAAAAAGAUUGUCCAUUUUGUACACGAAGUGUAUCCAGUUUUUGCCGUAACCCUCUCUACUUUUUUGCACAUGCUAUUUGUAUGAAAUUAUGAUACCAUGCCAACUUUCAACCUUUUCUGAGUUCAUUUCAAAUGCUUUUCAAUUUCAGGGUCAUUUAGCUGGAAAAAAAUCAGUAAAUGCAUGAAAAGAAUUUGUUUGCACAUAAAAUUUCUUCGCGUUUCAAAUGCCAAAACACAUAAUUAACUACCCUAACUAUUACAGACAUUCCCUCCUGGGUGUGAAACACAGAAGAAAGUGAUGAUAGUGAAGCCGAUCACAUCCCAGAUCUUUGGGUGUGAAACUUUUUCUUCUCGUGUGUCCCUUUGCGCCGUAGCCAUGGAAAAUCUUCAUCAUUUAACUGGAUGCUCGGGUCAAUAUUCACUGUGAAUGGAGAAAUUUCAUCAAACUUUUCAUAAUCUUCUGACAUGUCUGUCUUGUCAUCCACUCCCACGAUGUUUCUUUUUCCUGAAAGAACUAUGUGGCACUUUGGCUCGUUGUAUGAUCCAUUCGCUUCCUUAUCUUUUCUUUUUCUCGGCCUGGUGGACAUGUCUUUCACAUAAAAAACCUGCGCCACAUCAUUGGCUAGGACGAAUGGUUCGUCUGCAUACGCAAGAUUGUUGAGAUCCACUGUUGUCAUUCCGUACUGCGGGUCUUCCGUUACCCCGCCUCGUGUCAUAUUGACCCAUUUGCACCGAAACAAAGGGACCUUCACAUCACCUGAUCCAUAGUUAAGUUCCCAUAUGUCCUUUAUGUAACCAUAAUAUGUUUCCUUUCCCGUGUUGGUUGUUGCAUCGAAGCGGACACCACUGUUUUGGUUGGUGCUCUUCUUAUCUUGGGCGAUCGUGUAAAAUGUAUUCCCAUUUAUCUGGUACCCUUUGAAAGUCAUUAUAUUCGAAGAUGGUAACUAGGACAGCGAGUACAGGUCAUUUUGAAUAUCACCAUCAUUCAGGGCACGUUUCUGCAACCAACCGGCGAAAGUCCUCGUUUGUUCACGUGUAAUCCAGUCGUCAGAAUUCUCCGGGUGUUUGGACUGUAGAAAAUUCUUGUGUUCCUCCAUAUACGGAGCCACCAAGGCGGAAUUCUGUAGAACUGUGUAUUGUGCUUCAGUGAGAGAAUGCCCGUCCAUACAUAUUAUUUGAUGCCCUCCUAGCGUGCCUUUUCCUUCCAGUCUACCCUUAUGCCGCGAUUCAGGAACACCAAUCGGCUUAAGGUCAGGAAUAAAGUCAAUACAAAACUCAAUGACCUCCUCGUUUUCAUGGCCCUUUGAGAUGCUUCCUUCUGGCCUAGCACGGUUAUGAACAUAUUUCUUCAAGACUCCCAUGAACCUUUCAAAAGGGAACAUAUUGUGUAGAAAUACAGGACCCAAAACGUUAAUCUCUUCGCAAAGGUGAACUAGGACGUGCGUCAUGAUGUUGAAGAAGGAUGGUGGGAACACCAACUCGAAACUGACAAGACAUUGCACCAAAUCAUUCUGUAACCUUGGUAUGAUUUCUGGAUUGAUUACCUUCUGAGAGAUUGCAUUGAGGAAUGCACAUAGCUUCAGAAUGGCCAAUCGAACGUUUUCCGGUAGAAGCCCCCUCAAUGCAACCGGAAGGAGUUGCAUCAUAAUCACGUGGCAGUCAUGAGACUUUAGGUUCUGGAACUUUUUGUCUGCCAUAUUUAUUAUUCCCUUUAUAUUCGACGAGAAGCCAGACGGUACCUUCAUGCUGAGCAGGCAUUCGAAGAAGAUUUCCUUCUCUUCUUUGGUAAGAGCGUAGCUGGCCUGACCCUGAUGUAUGUCAUCUUUUCCAUGCAUAUGUUGCUGGUCCUCCCGUGCCUCUGGUGUAUCUUUUGUCUUCCCAUACACGCCCAAAAAGCCAAGCAGGGUCACGCAAAGAUUCUUCCUCACGUGCAUCACGUUGAUUGCGGAGCGGACCUCUAGGUCUUUCCAAUAUGGCAGGUCCCAAAAUAUAGAUUUCUUCUUCCACAUGGGUGCGCGUCCGUCAGCGUCCUUCGGAACAGGUUGUCCGCCAGGACCCUUUCCAAAGAUUACCUUCAAAUCCUUGACUAUAUCAUGUACAUCAUCACCAGUACGGUGGCGAGGCUUCAUCCGGUGAUCCGCCUCACCUUUGAAAUGCUUGCCUUUCUUUCUUACGGGAUGCCUGCUCGGAAGAAAUCGACGAUGUCCCAGGUACACAUUCUUCUUACAACUAUUCAAAUAUAUACUGUCGGUAUCAUCCAAACAGUGCGUGCAUCCGCGGUAUCCCUUGUUUGUCUGUCCUGAAAGGUUACUGAGAGCAGGCCAAUCAUUGAUGGUCACGAACAACAACACCUUUAGGUCAAAUUCUUCCCCCAUGUGCUCAUCCCACUCACGUACAACUGUUCCAUUCCACAGUUGUAAGAGUUCUUCAACUAAUGGCCUUAGGUACACAUCAAUGUCGUUGCCGGGUUGCUUAGGGCCUUGGAUGAGCACUGGCAUCAUAAUGAACAUCCGCUUCAUGCACAACCAAGGAGGAAGGUUAUACAAACAUAGAGUCACAGGCCACGUGCUAUGGUUGCUGCUCUGCUCCCCAAAAGGAUUAAUGCCAUCUGCGCUUAGACCAAACCAUACGUUCCUUGGGUCACCUGCAAACUCCUCCUAGUACUUUCUCUCGAUUUUUCUCCACUGCGAACCGUCAGCGGGUACUCUCAACUUUCCGUCUUUCUUACGUUCUUCUGCGUGCCACCGCAUCGCCUUCGCAUGCUCUUUGUUUUGGAACAAACGUUUCAACCGUGGUAUUAUAGGAGCAUACCACAUCACCUUGGCAGGAAUCUUCUUCCUGGGGCGCUCACCCUCGACAUCACCAGGGUCAUCGUGACUGAUCUUAUAACACAAUGCACCGCAUACCGGGCAAGCAUUCAAAUCCUCGUACUCACUGAGGUAGAGGGUGCAGUCAUUAGGGCAUGCAUGUAUCUUUUGCACCUCUAACCCUAGAGGGCAGACACCCUUCUUUGCUUCAUACGUACUCUCGGGCAAUUCGUUGUCCUUUGGAAGCAUAUUCUUUAUCAUUACCAACAACUUUCCAAAUCCCUUGUUAGAUACACCAUUCUCUGCCUUCCAUUGCAGCAAUUCAAGUGUGGUGACCAACUUUUUUUUGUCAGCUUCGCAAUUCGGGUACAACAAUUUCUUGUGAUCCUCUAACAUGCGCUGCAACUUCGUCCUCUCCAGAUCACUUGCACAGUUUCUCUUUGCAUCGGCAAUGGCCUGACCUAGAUCAUCAGCGGGCUCAUCUGAUGCCUCUUCUUCAACUUCUUGCUACAUUGCCGGCUCAGCUUCUUCCCCCAUUGUUGUAUCAUUGUAUUCAGGGAACCCAUGGCCAGGAUAGCCGUCGUCGUCCUCUUCUUCUUCAUUGUCUUCCAUCAUAACCCCUAUUUCUCCGUGCUUGGUCCAAACAUUAUAGUGGGGCAUGAAACCGGACUCAAAUAGGUGGACGUGAAUGGUUCUUGACGUAGAGUAACUGUGAACAUUCUUACAGCCAGCACAUGGACAAGGCAUAAAACCAUCCGCCCGCUUGUUUGCCUCAGCGGUAAGCAGAAAAGUAUGCACACCAUUAAUGAACUCGGGAGAGCAUCUGUCAUCAUAUAUCCAUUGUCGGCUCAUCUUCAUUACACAACACCGAAUAGACCAAAUUAAUACAAGUUCAUACAUAAAGUUCAUACAUAAAGUUCAUAUACAACACUUAAUUAAAUGCAACAUACAAAUUACUCUCUAGCUAAAGAAUUUAAAUGCAACAACAAAUGUGAUGAAGAUCGCAAUUAAGGUAACAAUUGAUCCAACAUCAUAAUGAUACCAAGCCACACUAUCAAUGGCAUAUUUUCUAAUCUUUCUAAUCUUCAACCUCAUUCGACGACAUCGGCAACAUGCAACUCCAAUUCCAUCUUCUCCCCCUCAAUUCUUUUCAAUUUUUCUUUCAAAUACUCGUUUUCUCUUUCAACUAAAUUUAACCUCUCGACAAUAGGGUUGGUUGGAAUUUCCGGUUCACAUACCUCCUAGAUAAAAAUAUCUAUGUCAACUUGAUGGGCAUAAUUGGUCAUAAACACGAAAUGCAACAACUAGUUUUAAAUGAGAAUAUACCACAUCCGAAUCAUAACAAGGACGAGGGCCGACGGGGACGGAUAUCAAAACCAUGGCACUAUGUAUAACAAACAACGUCUGGGUAAGAUAAUUAUACGAGUAACUAUAUAUCUAAAUCACACAAACAUCAAUUUGGUAAUGUAAAACAUUCAUGAACAAGAGCCUCACCACAAGGUGGUGCCGGCGACGGGACGGUGCGGGCGAUCGACGGUGGUUACGACGGAGAUUUAGCAGGCACUAAGUAAACCACACCUACAUAUGCAAACUAAGUGUUAUUUUUGACCUCAAAUUGCAUAUAAAUCAAAUACUAGCAAAUAUAAUUCCUCCCAAAUUAAUCACUAUACAAAGCAUUGCAAGAGCUAAUCUAGCAAUGAGAGUUGAAAGGACAAAGUUGCUAACCUUUGUGAUCAUUUGAAUGGAUGGGGGCCUUCAAAUCUUGACAAAUUUUGGGCAAAAUUUGUGAGGAGCUCGAGGAAGAGAGGGGAAGAACAGAGGAAGUGAGGGGAAAGGGGAAGAACAGAUUGGCUCGGGUGGACGAAGGGUUUAUGUAGGUCGACCUUUAGUACCGGUUCGUGCCAUGAACCGGUACUAAAGGUGCUAGAGGGGCCCCAGACUGACAACACCCUGCCACCACUCUCUUUAGUACCGGUUCGUGGCACGAACCGGUACUAAAGGUUCGCCAUGAACCGGUACUAAUGAGAACGGCUGGCUAGCCGUUGGAACCGGCACUAUUGGACACAUUAGUGCCGGCUCAAAAUCAAACCGGCACUAAUGUGUCUCAUAUUAGGUCCGUUUUCUACUACUGGAAGAUAUAGGAGGCUAAGCUUGGAAGACAAUAAGGAAACAAAAAGAUGGUUAGAAGAGUAGAAGAAGCAAGAUGGUAGAAGAGUAUAAGAAGCAAACAUGAGUGCCAAGUUAAAAAAGUCUGAGGAUAGAAGAGUAGAAGAAACAACGGAAGUGACUGGAUCCGGACAAGUGGCAAGAAACCUUAGAAUUAGAAGAAAGAAAAUAUUGACGGGCUAUAUGAGCUUGGAAGACACCAAGGAAAAAUAUGGUACAUGAGUAGAAGAAGCAAUCAUUAGUGCCAAGUAAAGUCUAAGGAUAGUUGUUGGAAUAGCUCUAGUCUCUUAGAGAAAGUUAAGAAUAGUUGUGAUAAUAGUUGUAAUAACAUGGUAAGGAGUAGUAUUUUGUUAGAGGUAGUUUAGAAAGAGGUGGAAUUUAAGAUCUGUUCAAUAGUGUCUUGCUGGUGUGGUGGAUGAAAAUACUAAGUCCGUAAUCCUGUUUAUCUCUGGUUUCAUUCCAGUAAUGGAAUUGGGAGCUAUGCUCCGUAAUUCAAAAAAUGAAGUGAUGGUAUCUUUUCAUAGUUGAACUUUUAUAAUGCCUUCCGUUCAAUUUGUGUCGUCUCAUAAAAGCCAUCUUGGAGCAUCCAAGAUACUUCAAAUGAGAAGCCGUUCCUAUUACCGAGGUGUGCCAAAUUUGCUGAUCAACUUAGACUAGCCAUAAAAGUAGUAAUGUAGGUAGUAACAUAAAACUCAAUGCAAUGCCAACAAGAUAUCUUGAGUACAUGGCAUGUCAAUGAAUGAGGAAGAGAAUCUUGUGAUAACUAGCUAUGUUACCAUAUAACAUCACAAACUCCAAAACAAGAUUAGUAUACAACCUAAUAAAUGGAACUUUGCAUGAUACUAGCCAUUAGUUACUACCCACUAUGAAGGUGGUAACAUAGACUAGAAACAUAGGCAUGACACUAGUCUAUGUCACUCCCCACAAUAACUUGUCUUAAUGAUAUGGGCCUUCGUCUAUUGGUCUGGGCUUGGUCAACGGGUGUCGAACUGCUCUACACCAAUGAUAAUAGCUUGGGUUUGCAGAAUAUGGAAAGUUACCUGUUUGACAGAAGAAAUUAUGUGUUUGGCUAUUUUGCAGAAAGUGAUGUAUUCUCCAAAAAAUGAUGUAUUUUGUAGAAAAUGGAAAGUUAACCCGGUAAAUUUUUUAUUAAUUUUUUGUUUACACACGUACAAAAAAAGUAUGUACAAAUCUAAAAGAAAAUAAAACAUAAGAUCCUAUGCAUAUUAUUUACUGUCAGCUUUUGUCAGCUCCGUUUCAAAAUAUAAGAUGUUUUAGCUUUGUGAAGUGAGUGUAUCUAGACUCUUUUGAUGUUUAGGUUCACUCUGAACUAUAAACUAAAGAUAUCUAGAUACAUUUGCUUCACAAAGCUAAAACAUCUUAUAUUUUGAAACGGAGGGAGUAGGUGUUAAAGGGGACGGCCAGAAUUGGGAGUGUAGGAAAGGAGCAUGUCGUUUCGUGUAGGAUGCGGUUGUGUCCAAGCCUGCUUCAAGAAUUGAAGUGUUCGUGGGGAGGCGUGACGAAAGGGAUCCAACGUUAUGUUAUUUGAUUAACACGUGUGGAGUUAAAUAAAGAAUGAUUAGUUUAAGGUUGAAGUAGUUUCUCCUAGUUGGUUUAUGAGGCGUAUGAAUUCAGCCGAUGGUUCAGAUUAAACGAGAAAGAUUAGUCCCAUAGAUCCAACAAGACAUAAUCAUUAGAAGAAACUGUAAUAAAACUAAUAGUAUCAGGAUAGGCCUAGGCCCAUCAAUUGCGAAAGCAACGCACAAAAUCCCGACGCAACUAUCUCCUGCGAGCACACCGCCGCCUACACACCCACCAGCUACCACGCCGCCGCCUCCACAUCCAGUCAUCCACCAGCCACCACGCCCCCACCUCCAUCUAGCCCACGGUGACCGCCCAUUCCACUGCCGAGCACUCUGCCGCCAACUUGACAACGUUCGUUACCUCAUCAACAUCCGACGCCUCAUCUUUGGAAGGUUGUGUCACUGCUGAACCCCCUACUGUAAACCUAGCCUCCUUUGACGGCAGCCCAGACUAUGCCCUGUUCGAUUUAUGGUUUCACUUACAGGUACAUGAGUGGUACUACUAAUUCUAAUUUCCUAGAUGACAUGAGCACCUAAUUAGAUGAGCCCUUAUGCAGCAGGAGACCCAGGAAAGCAUUCGUGAUGGAGAUUGGUCGUGCAACAUGAUGCUCUGGCUAUGCUUUGAAUUUCCUGCAUAUUUACCUUACUAACAAGCAUCACUGAAUGGAAAUUAGAAUCAUCAAAUUAUGUUAGUUAUGAAGCAGGUUGAUGUUUGAACAAUUUACCAAUGUCGGUGACACAACUAGUACACAUGAAAAGCCCAACAACCAUUGGUGUAUGUAGAUGAUAUGACCUUCAACCUUUUUAGUCUUUGUUCCAUUUACUGAAGUGUUGUAUCACUUAAUUCUGCGAAUCAUUUAUCAACCACACCCAGGUAUCCAUUUUAAUUAUUUGUGUCACUACCAAAGUAAUUGUAUGAGAAUAAUUAUUUGUUUUCCAUGGAAAAUAAUUUUUCAUCUGUAUUGUUCUGCCAAUUGUAUUUCUAGUAUCCUAUGCAUAUUAUUUACUGUCUCUUUUUCUUUAUAUACCAUGCAGUUUGUGAUUUCAGAAAACAACCAAUCAAGUCUAUGAUACUCAUCUAUAUUCUGGUGAGUUAAAGAUCCAUAUGAAGUUUGUUGGGCAUCAUCUAAUCUUAUUCUGUGCCUUGUCUAGAGUUGAUUAGCUCUAGUGUUUAUAUUAGUAUUCUUAAUGCUGAAGUUUGUGUGUUCGAUUUGUUGGAAAACAGAUGAAUGCAACAACUGAUCAGGUUCAAGAAAGAUGAAGCAAGAAAUGUUGUUUCCCAGGCUCUAAAUCUGAAGCUUCCUUUUGAUGAGAUAGAUUUGAUGGAGGAGAACCUAGAGGUGGAGCUGAUCAGGAGGCAACUGGGUCUUCAGCAUGUUAGGUCCUGAUGAUAAGUCAAUUUUGACGUUAAAUGUGAACCUAUUUCUAAGACGUGUCAAUCACAAUUUUUUCUCAAGGACCAAAUUAGUUGCUGAAAUCUGUUGUUUUCCCAAAUCAUCUACUCUUCUGGGAGCUCUUUGUGAUAUCAUCGAUACUAGUACUUCUCAAGCAGAGCAAUAAUACUGAUAUAAAAAGGUACUUCUGCUUUUCAUUUGCAUGAUACAUGAAGAAUAAUAAGAGGCAGAAAGUGCAAGUAACACUUGCAUGAUCAUGCAAGUCUUUGUGAGCACCUCCAUUUGUCCUAGGAAUGUCAUAAUUUUCUUAAGAGUAUUCACUUCGGAAAGCAGGAGCUAAAAACCUAUUUUAGCCUGUUUAUGCUAUCAGCAUUCUUGCUGAUGUCCAUGUUCUGCUCGAGGAUAUCAAAGAGCAGAAACAAAGAAUCAGGUAAAUUUUGAACCCCGUUGAAGAAUUGAUUGGAGGGAGCUUGCUCUUUAGCUCAGUAUGGGAUAUAGUGUUCACCAUUUGUUACUGCAAAUGAACCAAGUGGUUCACCUAUAUGUAAGCUUACGCGCACCUUUGGAAGGAGCGGCAGUCCCUCAUGGAGUGCGUAGACCUCUUGACCCCGUCCCUGUCGGUAAAGCUUGUUGGAAAUAUGAGCAAACUACUAUGAGUUUUAAUCCAAAUAAACAGAUGAUAAAUCAUGACAGCACUAGCAAAGAUUAAACUAAUCAUGUGAAAUAGCAUAGUAGAUGAACAAAUGACAUCUAGGGCACAUACUAGAAACAUGAAUUCUACCAGGAUCUCGAAUAGGAAGGAUAGAAUCACAUACGGUGCAGCGGUUGCAGCACCGCCGGUGUUGACGUUGUCGCCCAUGUCGUCGAGGAUGAGGUUGCCAAGGUUGGGGAAGAACUCGUCGUUCGCGAAGUCGUCGCUACGAGCAGUCGCGCAAGUGCGCUCCCUAAAAACCUGAUCGCCCCUCUCCCAUACACGAUCAUGAGAGGCGGGGUUCCAGAGGCCUGCUGUCCCUUCUCCCGGUGCACGCCGAAAGGAGGGAUGGAGAAGACUAGCUUGGCGGCUCAAUGAUCUGGAACGGUGGUGAGAAACCAUAUGAAGCGGCAACUACUAGGGUAGACGUCUUCCUGACUAUAUAGUGCGGGCCGGGUAGGUCGUGGGAGUUAACCCCACGUCCGAGUUGUCACGAUCCAAAAGAAUCAGAAAUGGUUCAGUAAUUAACUCGUCCAUUGCUUAUUAAUUAAUGACUCAUUAAUUUUUCCCGAGCAGCAAAAAUAUAGACAACAUGCAUAGCUCUGUCUUCGGCUCGCCUCGAUCCUGCAACCCGCGGCGCGGUGCGGCGUCGGCUUUGAUCUCGACGUGGACUCCUGUCACCUCCGAUAACGGCAGCGCACUGGAGACAUGGAGUGGAUGAGAUGUCGAUGAGGCGGGUGUCGACGAAAUCUUUGGCACGAGGGGACGAGAUCCUCCGCGGUCCACCCGACGAUGGGGUUGAUGCUGGUGCAGGGGCUGGCGUGACCAGCGUAUCCGUACCCAACUUGAUCGGAGUACGGAGUCGAACGGACCCGACGAUGUUGAUGUGGAAGCGGAGGCUCCCAAAAGUCAAAUCGAUACCCUUGUGGAGGGCGCUGAACACGGCGCGUUGCUCCAGGGUGUGUGGCACGAACUCGAGGGAGCCGAAGAAGAUCUGCUCCGCAAGAGUCGACGAACUGCCAUUCGUUGAGAUGAGGAUCAGAGACUCCAUGGGUCCAGUAGACGAAAUUCCCACAUACGGUGCGAAUCGACGAGGGAGUACCUCGGCAAUGCCCAUGGUUGUGGACUUAGGGUUUUGAUGAAUCAUGUCUACCGGUGGAAUCGACGAUCUAAACGUGAGGUGUGAAACACAAGACACAGAUUUACCCAGCUUCAGGCCCUUGUAAAGGAAACCCUACGUGUUGCUUGUCGGAUCUUUAUAUUGAUGGAGUGUACAAAGUCGUUGAGAUCGGAGACUAGGGUUAGCCCUUGCGCAUGGCCAAGGCUAGAUCAAUCGUGAUGGUGGUUGUGAGGUUUGUGUGCGUUAUUGUUGUGUCGACCCCGUACCCCUCUCCCAGCCUUUAUAGACUAGGCUGGGUCCCGAGUUCGUAUCAGGAUCAGUUUACAUCAUGGUAAGGGGGUUUCCCUAUCUACUUACAAUAGCACUUCCUUACGGAUCACGUCAUGUCCGUGGGCUUCCUGGGCUCCAAGCGUGGCGAUGACCUGGACCUCGAGUCCUUCCAGGCCGCAGGCCUCCUGUUAUGCGAUACCAGGUAUCCUUAUGGUGGGCACCCGCAGGGUCAUGCCCACAACAAUCAUCCAAAUUAUCAUGCCUAUCUUAAUGGCUAUAAAGAAAGAGCUUUUGGGAGACAACCCAUUAUAUUUUUUCUUUCAGUUUAUUUUUGUUUCUUUGAGUCUUGGAAGUUAUUACCUCUGUAAUAACCUCUCCUUAUCCUUCUUGUUUCGUUUUUGUGCCAAGAAUAGCCACUAAUGGGAGGAAAGUGAGAUUUGGGGAAGUUGCUAUCCCGAAACUGAUUUUGUGCUGUCACCAAAAAAAUUAAUUCUCUCAGCCAGAACGUCGGAUUGAUAUGAAAUGUUUUAUGCUCAUGCCCCAGGUUGUUACCCAACUUGUUCUAUGGUGCUCUCCGUGUCGCGCAAGCGUGAGGGAUCCCCGCUGUAGGGUUUGCAAUAUGUUCAUGAUUUGCUUAUGGUGGAUGGCGUGAGUGACAUAAGCACAGACCCGAGUAAGUAGGUUGUUUGCGUAUGGGAUAAAGGGGACUUGAUACUUUAAUGCUAUGGUUGGGUUUUACCUUAAUGAUCUUUAGUAGUUGUGGAUGCUUGCUAGAGUUCCAAUCAUAAGUGCAUAUGAUCCAAGUAGAGAAAGUAUGUUAGCUUAUGCCUCUCCCUCAAAUAGAAUUGCAAUAGUGAUUACCGGUCUAGUAACGUAGUCAAUUGCUUAGGGACAAUUCCACAACUCCUACCACCACUUUUCCACACUCGCUAUAUUUACUUUAUUGCUUCUUUACCUAAACAGGCCCUACUUUUUAUUUACGUGUUCUUUAUUAUCUCGCAAACCUAUCCCAAUAACACCUACAAAGUACUUCUAGUUUCAUACUUGUUCUAGGUAAAGCGAACACUAAGCGUGCGUAGAGUCGUAUCAGUGGCAGAUAGGGCUUGAGAGAGUAUUUGUUCUACCUUUAGCUCCUCGUUGGGUUCGACACUCUUACUUAUCAGAAGAGGCUACAAUUAUCCCGUAUACUUGCGGGUCAUCAAGAUCUUUUUCUGGCGCCGUUGCCGGGGAGUCAUAGCGUGGGGUGAAUAUUCUCGUGUGUGCUUGUUUGCUUUAUCACUAAGUAAUUUUUAUUUGUUGUUCUUAGUUGCUCUAUAUCUUUAGUUAUGGAUAUGGAACACGAAAUACCAAAAACAUUAGGUGUACUUGAUACUCAUGGAGAUGGGGAACCUCCUAAAACCCUCGAUGCUCGUUAUGUGAAAGACAUUAUGUACUACUUUAAUAAUCCUGAGAAACCCCCAUUCAAUUAUGUUAUGGGUGACACGUUGGAUCAACGUGAAUACUUUAGGGAUUAUCGCUUGACACAAAAAGGGAAACUAUUAUGGGAUAAAAUUAAUAUGUUGCCUUGGUAUGCUCUGGAUUUAUGCUUGAGAUAUGAUAUUACUUUUUGCUCUAGGAUGAAGGCUCCACACCUUCCCUUUUCAUGCAAAUUUAAUGAUAAUGAAACCUUAGCUUCUUAUGCUAGAAGUAUAUAUGAUUACUAUGAUGUUGAACAAAUUGAAGAAUUUGUUGCUUUUAAGGCUACUUAUGAAAUUGAAUCUUUGUUUGAAAAGUAUGAAGCUUUAGAUGAUGAUGUUUAUAGGCUUGAAAAUUAUGCUAUAUUGAAAUAUUGCUAUGAAAUUAUGAAUACAAUUACAAUAUUAAUGCAUUUGUUGAGAAAGUCUCCGCUGUCCAAGAAGAGACUAAUAUUUUGCAGGAAGUUAUGGAAGAAGAAAUUGAUGAAACUGUGAGCCCAUUGGAUGAAAAAGAUGAUGAGGAGAGCGAAGAACAAAAGGAGGAAGAGCGGAUUGAUCACCCGUGCCCACCUUCUACGGAGAGUAACUCUUCAACUCAUACAUUGUUUAAUUCCCCUUCGUGCUUACCGAAGGAUGACUGCUAUGAUGAUUGCUAUGAUCCCAUUGAUUCUCUUGAAAUAUCCAUUUUUGAUGAUACUUGCUAUGCUUGUGGCCAAGAUGCCAAUAUGAAUUAUUCUUAUGGAGAUGAACUUGCUAUAGUUCCUUAUGUUAAACAUGAAAUUGUUGCUAUUGCACACACACAUGAUAGUCCUAUUAUCUUUUUGAAUUCUCCCGACUACACUAUAUCGGAGAAGUUUGUUCUUAUUAAGGAUUAUAUUGAUGGGCUGCCUUUUACCAUUACACAUGAUAAUUUUUAUGAAUGUGAUAUGCAUGUGCUUGCUGCUCCUACUUGCAAUUAUUAUGAGAGAGGAACUAUAUCUCCACCUCUCUAUGUUUCCAAUAUGAUAAAAUUGCAAGAAACUGCUUAUACUAUGUGUUGGCCUUUACUAUGUGUGCAUGAAUUGUUUUUUAUGACAUGCCUAUGCAUAGAAAGAGAGGUAGACUUUGUUUUUGCAUGAUAUAUGUUACUUUGUGCUCACUACUAAAUUACAAAUCAUUGUUAAUUAAAAUUGGCUUUGAUAUACCUUGGGAUCCGGGUGGAUUCAUUACUUGAGCACUAUAUGCCUAGCUUAAUGGCUUUAAAGAAAGUGCUGCCAGGGAGACAACCCGGAAGUUUUAGAGAGUCAUUUAUUUCUGUUGAGUGCUUUUAUAUAGUUUAAAAACAAACAAUAAAUAAAGAGGGGAACCUAAAAACUUUUCAAAAAGGAAAGUGAAAGUGAGAGAGACAAGCAUUGUUGAAGUGGGAGAGCUCCUUGAACUUUGUUCAUGCUCACGGAAACUUUGUGAAUCUUGAUUAUAGAAACUUUUCAUCAAAAAUAAUUAUCCCCUUGUACAAUUCCAUUGUAUUAUAAAAAUAAUGUGCCAAGGUUUGCCUUUAGGAUGUUUACAAUGCUUGUUGGUUUGUACGGUGCAGGACAGGAACUUUGGCUGUAGUGCUCGAUUUUACAUUUUUUGCCGAAAUGGUUCUGAUUCCUUUUGCACUGUCUUUCUGUACUACUUAUUUAUUUUUCCUAAUUUUGGUAGAAUUUUUGGGUACAGAAGUAUGGUGAAUGUUCAGAUUGCUACAUACUGUUCUAUUUUUGACAGAUUCUGUUUUUGAUGCAUAGUUUGCUUGUUUUGAUGAAUCUAUCAAUUUAUAUCAGUGGAUUAAGCCAUGGAAAAGGUAUAUUAUAGUAGACACAAUGCAAAAACAAAUUAUGAAUUGGUUUGCAACAGUACUUAGAGUGGUGAUUUUCUUUAUUAUACUAACGGAUCUUACCGAGUUUUCUGUUGAAGUUUUGUGUGGAUGAAGUGUCUAAUCGAGGAGGUCUCGAUAUGAGGAAAAGGAAGAGAGGCACGAGCUCAAGCUUGGGGAUGCCCGAGGCACACCAAGUAAAUAUUCAAGGAGACUCAAGCGUCUAAGCUUGGGGAUGCCCCGGAAGAUAUUCCCUCUUUCUUCAACAAGUAUCGGUAUGUUUUCGGAUUCGUUUCGUUCAUGCGAUAUGUGCAAGUCUUGGAGCGUCUUUUGCAUUUAGUUUUCAUUUUUAUUUUAUGCACCAUGCUGGUAUGAGAUAGUCCUUGGUUGAUUUAUAGAAUUCUCAUUGCACUUCACUUAAAUCUUUUGAGUGUGGCUUUAUAGAAUGCUUCAUGUGCUUCACUUAUAUCAUUUGAAGUUUGGAUUGCCUGUUUCUCUUUACAUAGAAAACCGCCAUUUGUAGAAUGCUCUUUUUGCUUCACUUAUAUUUGUUAGAGCGUGGACAUAUCUUUUGUAGAAAGAAUUAAACUCUCUUGCUUCACUUUAUCUAUUUAGAGAGAUGACAGGAAUUGGUCAUUCACAUGGUUAGUCAUAAAAUCCUACAUAAACUUGUAGAUCGCUUAAUAUGAUAUGUUCGAUUCCUUGCAAUAGUUUUGCGAUAUAAAGGUGGUGAUAUUAGAGUCAUGCUAGCGGGUGGUUGUGGAUUGUAGAGAAACUUGUGUUGAGGUUUGCAAGUCCCGUAGCAUGCACGUAUGGUAACCGUUGUGUGACAAAUUUGAAGCAUGGGGUGUUUCUUUGAUUGUCUUCCUUAUGAGUGGCGGUCGGGGACAAGCGAUGGUCUUUUCCUACCAAUCUAUCCCCCUAGGGGCAUGCAUAGUAGUACUUUGCUUCGAGGGCUAAUAAACUUUUUGCAAUAAGUAUAUGAGUUCUAUAUGACUAAUGUGAGUCCAUGGAUUAUACGCACUUUUACCUUUCCAUCAUUGCUAGCUUGUUCGUACCGUGCAUUGCCCUUUCUCACCUCGAGAGUUGGUGCAAACUUCACCGGUGCAUCCAAACCCCGUGAUAUGAUACGCUCUAUCACACAUAAGCCUCAUUAUAUCUUCCUCAAAACAGCCACCAUACCUACCUAUCAUGGCAUUUCCAUAGCCAUUCCGAGAUAUAUUGCCAUGCAACUUCCAUCAUCAUCACAUACAUGACUUGAGCAUUUAUUGUCAUAUUGCUUUGCAUGAUCGUAAGAUAGCUAGCAUGAUGUUUUUAUGGCUUGUCCGCUUUUUGAUGUCAUUGCUACGCUAGAUCAUUGCACAUCCCGGUACACCGCCGGAGGCAUUCAUAUAGAGUCCUAUCUUUGUUAUAGUAUCGAGUUGUAAUAUCGAGUUGUAAGUAAAUAAAAGUGUGAUGAUCAUCAUUAUAGAGCAUUGCCCCAUAAAAAAGAAAAAGGAAAGGCCAAAGAAGCCUAAAUAAGAAAGGGGGCCAAAGAAGCCCACCCAAAAAGAAAAAAAAGAAAAAAAAGAAAGAAAAAAGAAAAAGAAAAGGGGCAAUGUUAUUAUUCUUUUACCACACUUGUGCUUCAGAGUAGUAGCAUGUUCUUCAUAUAGAGAGUCUCAUAUGUUGCCACUUUCAUUUACUAGUGGGAAUUUUCAUUAUAGAACUUGGCUUGUAUAUUCCAAUGAUGGGCUUCCUCAAAUACCCUAAGUCUUCAUGAGCAAGCAAGUUGGAUGCACACCCACUUAGUUUUCAGUUUGAGCUUUCAUACACUUAUAGCUCCUAGUGCAUCUGUUGCAUGGCAAUCCCUACUCCUCGCAUUGACAUCAAUUGAUGGGCAUCUCCAUAGCCCGUUGAUUAACCACGUCGAUGUGAGACAUUCUCCCUUUUUGUCUUCUCCAUAUAAACCUCCACCAUUAUAUUCUAUUCCACCUAUAGUGCUAUAUCCAUGGCUUGCGCUCAUGUAUUGCGUGAGGGUUGAAAAAGCUGAAGCGCGUUAAAAAGUAUGAACCAAUUGCUUAGCUUUUGAUCGGGGUUGUGCAUGAUGGGAGCAUUUCGUGUGACAAAAAUGAAGCAUGGCCAAACUAUAUGAUUUUGUAGGGAUAAGCUUGCUUUGGCCUUGUUGUUUUGAAAAGACAUGAUUGCUUUAUUAGUACGCUCGAAGAAUUAUUGUUUUUAUGUCAAUUGAUAGACUAUUGCUUUGAAUCACUCGUAUCUUAAUAUUCAUGCCAUGAUUAGACAUAUGAUCAAGAUUAUGCUAGGUAGCAUUCCACAUCAAAAAUUAUCUCUUUUAUCAUUUACCUACUCGAGGACAAGAGGAAUUAAGCUUGGGGAUGCUGAUACGUCUCCGUCGUAUCUAUAAUUUUUGAUUAUUCCAUGCCAAUAUUCUUGAACUUUCAUAUACUUUUGGCAACUUUUUAUACUAUUUUUGGGACUAACAUAUUGAUCCAGUGCCCAGUUCCAGUUCAUGUUUGUUGCAUGUUUUAUGUUUUGCAGAAGACCAAUAUCAAACGGAGUCCAAACGGGAUAAAAAUGGACGGAGAAUUAUUUUGGAAUAUUUGGGAUUUUCCGGAGGAAGAGUCAAUGCGAAACAGUGUCUGAGGUGGCCAGGAGAUAGGGGGGCGCCCUCCCCCAUGGGCGCACCUGGCACUCUCCUGGGCCACUCGUAAGGCAGUUGACGCUCUUCUUUUGCUGCAAGAAAUCUAAUUUUAUGAGAAAAAUCUGGGCGAAAGAUUCACCCCAAUCGGAGUUACGAAUCUUAAGAUAUAAAACAAACAGUGAAGGGGCAGAAUCUGAGAACGCAGAAACAGAGAGAUAAAUCCAAUCUCGGAGGGGCUCUCGCCCCUCCCAAGCCAUGGGAGCCAAGGACCAGAGGGGAAACCCUUCUCCCAUCUAGGGAGGAGGUCAAGGAAGAAGAAGAAGAAGGGGGGCUCUCACCCCUUGCUUCCGGUGGCGCCGGAACGCCCCGGGGGCCAUCAUCAUCACCGCGAUCUUCACCAACGCCUCCGCCAUCUUCAUCAACAUCUCCAUCACCUUCCCCCAUCUAUAUUCAGCGGUCCACUCUCCCGCAACCCACUGUACACUCUACUUGAACAUGGUGCUUUAUGCUUCAUAUUAUUAUCCAAUGAUGUGUUGCCAUCCUAUGAUGUCUAAGUAGAUUUCCAUUGUCCUAUCGGUGAUUGAUGAAUUGCUAUGAUUGGUUUGAGUUGCAUGCUUUAUUAUUGGUGUUGUCCUAUGGUGCUCUCUAUGUCGUGCAAGCGUGAGGGAUCCCUGCUGUAGGGUUUGCAAUAUGUUCAUGAUUUGCUUAUGGUGGGUGGCGUGAGUGACAGAAGCACAGCCCCGAGUAAGUAGGUUGUUUGCAUAUGGGAUAAAGGGGACUUGAUACUUUAAUGCUAUGGUUGGGUUUUACCUUAAUGAUCUUUAGUAGUUGCGGAUGCUUGCUAGAGUUCCAAUCAUAAGUGCAUAUGAUCCAAGUAGAGAAAGUAUGUUAGCUUAUGCCUCUCCCUCAAAUAGAAUUGCAAUAGUGAUUACCAGUCUAGUAACGUAGUCAAUUGCUUAGGGACAAUUCCACAACUCCUACCACCACUUUUCCACACUUGCUAUAUUUACUUUAUUGCUUCUUUAUCUAAACAGCCCCUACUAUUUAUUUACGUGUUCUUUAUUAUCUUGCAAACCUAUCCCAACAACACCUACAAAGUGCUUCUAGUUUCAUACUUGUUCUAGGUAAAGUGAACACUAAGCAUGCAUAGAGUCGUAGCAGUGGCAGAUAGGGCUUGAGAGAAUAUUUAUUCUACCUUUAGCUCCUCGUUGGGUUCGACACUCUUACUUAUCGAAAGAGGCUACAAUUAUCCCAUAUACUUGCGGGUCAUCACCUAGCGGUGUGAAAUAAAUGGGAAACUUGUAAGUUCAUGGAGUUUGUAUAUGAGUUAGAGAAACGCCUGGGCGGCCAACCCAAGCCAUGCAUAAUUCAUGGUGGAAAUUUACAACAUAACCAUAGUGAGCAUUCUAUGGAGCAUCUUCAAUAAAAAAAACUAUGCCCAUGGUAAUAAAAGGAUUGCUGAGAUGCUCAUUGUCUGUUGCCUUGUCAUUUUGGUAUGGGAUAGCUCUUGUGUCAUGGGGCAAGGGGUACACCGUUGGCAUGAACUUACAAUGACAAGAAUUUAUUUGGGACCUAAGUUGAGUAGCAUGAGGUUUAGGUAAUUCUAUUCAAGGGGCAUGAGGCUUUCAAUUUGUGAUAUUUCAAGCAUACAACUCAUAUUUGCCCUCACUUUAACCUUAACCAUUCAAGAUGCGUAUGAUAGGGGCAAUGAGAGCUCAAAUCUAAUGAGGACCAUAAUUUUUGGAUGCUUUAUAAAACUUAUUAAUCCCUACUUACCUCUAUGAAGGGCCUUUCUUUUACUUUUUUGUUGAGUCUUCAUCUUCUAUCUUUAUGCUCCAACUAAGAGAGCAUAGUUGUCAUUCUGAGUAUAAUGUGCAUUGUCCCAAAACUUGUUGAUUGAUUCAUGAUUAUGGUAUUGCUUAUUUUCAAAUUAUUUGUAUCUAGUCACCCUUUUGAACUUUGAAGGUGUCCUAUGCAUUUAUGUUUUGCUACUCCAUGAAGGACAGGCUGAAUACCACUUUGCCAUGUUUUCUCUAUGUGCGAAACAAACAAAUGUCUUUCAAAGCAUUAUUCAUGAUCUUUUGUUUAUGUUGCCUUUCAUGUUGUAACAUAGUUGCUAUGUUCUAUUGUUAGAAAUAUAUCUUUCAUACCUAUGUUUAGAGUACUUUGAUCCCAUCUUAGAAUGUUUUACAAUGAUCAUGAUCAAGAUUCUAUUGGCUGCAUGUCACCUCAAAAACUAUUUUUGUUAUCACUUACCUACUCGAGGACGAGCAGGAGUUAAGCUUGGGGAUGAUGAUAUGUUGCAAACAUAUGUAUAAUUUUUGAUGCUCCAUGCUUGUUUUACACCAAUUACUUUAUGUUUUUUUACACUUUGUGGCAUUUUUAUGUAUUUUCUGGAACUAACCUAUUGACAAGAUGCCACAAUGCCAGUUCCCUUUUUUCCUGCUGUUUUUGUGUUUUGGAGAAAUUAGUAACGAAAUAUUCCCGGAAUUGGACGAAACAAAUGCCAAAGUUCCUAUUUUUCUCGACAUGACACGGAGUCCAAAGCAGAGAUGGAGGAGGGCACUGAAAGUGCAUUAUAUCGACUAGAGGAGGGGGGUGAAUAGGCGAUUUUUAUGAAUUCUUCACUGAGGAAUUUGUUGGUGAGGAAAUUCUUUGGCGAAGAACUACUUGCAGCGGAAUAAGUACUCAGAAGUAAGCGUAACAAAAUACAGGCAUGGUCAUCAUGAUGAAAUGAAGACACGCACAGAGUAUAGAAAGCUUAAACACAGGAUAACACAAGAUGAAGACAAACAGACUGAAGAAAUUGAACUGAGGAAAUUGAGAAAGUCUUCAGUCAAAGUCUUCAAACACGGAUAUGAACAAUCACUCAACACAGUAAUGAGUAAAUGAAAGAGUUGAGGGAAUAGAACCAGGAAGGUUGGUGAAGACAAUGAUUUGGUAGACUAGUUCCAACUGCUGUCUCAGUUGUACGUCUGGUUGGAGCGGCUGAGUAUUUAAACUUGAGGGCACAUAGUCCCGGACACCCAGUCGCUGAGCACGCAGCUCAGGACACCAAGUCCUCACCGUAUUCUCCUUGAACUAAGGUCACAUAGACCUCGUCCAAUCACUAGUGGUAAGUCUUCAGGCGAAACCCAAACCUUCACAAACUCGGUCACUCGGCGAUCCACAAUUCCUCCUUAUGCUCUAGACCAUGACGCCUAACCAUCUGGAAGAAGCACAGUCUUCAAAGGUAACAAGCGUCGGUUCCACGCAGUAUCAAUCUCUUCAGUGAUACUCAAUCACUUUGGGUUUGUAGGUGUUUGGGUUUGGGUUUUUUCCUCACUUGAUUAUUUUUGCUCAAAGUCUUCGGAUGAUGGGAUGCUCUCAAGUGUCAGUUUCUCUCGGAGCAACCAACCAGCUAGUUGUUGUAGGGGGCGGCUAUUUAUAGACUAGGGAGCAGCCCGACAUGAUAAGACAUAAAUGCCCUUGUCCGAUAUGACCGUUAGGUGGAUAAGAUAUUUUGGGAGAGUUGGCGCGCAGCACAACACUGGUCGGAAAUUUGAAUCUCAAAUUCUUCAGGGCUAUCAUGUUCCUCACUUUGUAGGCAAUCCGCACUGGCGAAUUCCUAACUCCUUAGUCAGAAAAAAUUCCUCAGCGACUAGAAGAACUUCGUCUCUAUCACUGAAGAAAUGACUGAACUGUAUGAGAUUUCCAAAGGCUUCACUCGAAGGGAUUGGUACGUGUAGGAUUUUGAGUUGAGCAUCACAUGGAAAUUUUUCCUUAGUAUUUCCUAGACCCCCUUUAACAGUACGGUGUUUCCUAUGACUCAAGAAAGAGAAAAACAAAACUAUGAAAACGAAAGUCUUCAAGCUUCAUAUUCCUCGCAUGAAUAUCAAUUCUUCACGGACACACCAAUUUCUUCAAUUUCGAAGUCUUCAUGAAAGUCUUCAGGAAUACCAAAAUCUUCAGUCAAAGAUAUUCAUUUUUAGGGGUCGACUUUCUCUAUAAAUAUCAAACUCCUCAUAGACUUAUAGACCUGUGUACACUCAUAAACACAUUAGUCCCUUAACCUAUAAGUCUUCAAUACACCAAAAUCACUAAGGGGCACUAGAUGCACUUACAAUCUCCCACUUUUUGGUGAUUGAUGACAAUAUAGGUUAAGUUUUCAACGGGGAUAAACAUAUGAACUAUAAGUACUGAUAUUGAGGAAUUUGAUGGCAAGAUAUAGAAGAACUCCCCCUAAAGAUGUGCAUAGUGAGGAAUUUUCUUUUGAAGCAAUGCACACUUGAAGAGUUGAAUCAUGGAGAUCUCCCCCUAUAUCUUGUAAUUCAUACACGCAUUUGGCAUAUAAUAUGAAGAAUUUGAAAUGCAUGAUGAAAUAUGGUGCCUGAUGAAAUUCAGCAUGCGUGCAAUAAUAUUAAUGAGGAACAAGCAUGCAGAAUAACGCAUCAAGAGUAUCAGAGCACAAUGCAUCAAAAGUAUCAGAGCACCAUCGGGUUUAAGAUUACAACUCGAUCCAAUAAAGUUUUAGAAGAACGAGAGUUUUAACUUAGCAAAAACGCCCAUAUAAUACACCCGCUUGAAGACUAACUCAAAUUUCUCCCCCUUUGUCAUCGAAUGACCAAAAGGUUCGAAACUGAGGACUAACGCCCCUGAAGAAUAUCAAGUUGAUGGAGGAGCAUCAGCAUUGUCAGGGUCGGUUGUCGUAGUAGGGCCUGCCGAAGUGUCGUCCAAGUCUUCAUUUUCAUCAGUGUCACGCGAUGAAGAAUAGGAGCUGGCCACCAAGGAAGGAACCUUGACCUUCUUGAAUUUCUUCGGUGGAGGUGCAGACCAGUCAAAUUCGUCCUUGAGACCCAUUCUCUUCAGAUCCUCUGCGCCGUAGACAUGAGAUAGAACAGCCCAGGUACGGUUGAAGGUUCCAUGGAGGUAGUAGUGGUUUUUCUUCACUACAUUGUGUGUUGAGGUCAUGUUGUGAAGAAUUGAACCAAACUGACGCUUGACCCAUUUAUGAUUGCGAUCAACUUUCUGAUGAAGACUGAGGAGUAAUUCACGAUCAGUCAUCACCCUGGGUGCUGUGGCUUGAGGAAUUUGCUUGGCAGAGGUGUUGGCGGCAGAGUCAUGUGUGGCAGAGUCAUCAUUGGUGGAGUAGGAUGCAGCCUUGCGAAAUUGACCAUCCAAUGGACGAAUGCCUUCAUCUAUCACAACAGUUGCCUUGCCUUUGUCAUCAGCUGAGGAAAAUGUCCGUGUGAGGACUUCAAUUGGAGGCAAGUAGCUGUCGUGGUUUAGAGUAUCAUCCUUGUAAUUGAGUGAAGACCUUGUCGUGAUGAACCUCAUAAUCCAUGGUGCAUAAGGCUUCAGCUCAAAUGCUGACAUAGCAAUAUUCACCAGAGUCAUCAUGAAGAAAUCAUGGAAGUUGACGGGAACGCCAUUAAUGAUAUUGAAAAGCAUAUUCUUCAUGAUGCCAACGACUUCUUCAUCAUUUGAGUCGUGGCCUUUGAUAGGACUCAUUGUCUUCGUCAAAAUGCGAUAGACAGUCCGUGGCACAUACAGUCAUUCCUUGACGAGGAAUUUGGUUAGAGGGGCCUGCCCUGGCUUCAAAGGCUUCAUCAGCACUUGCAUGUAAUGAUUUUAAGCUCAGGUUUGUUGUAGAUGCAACGAGCACCUUCAAGGGGAGGACUGAGUGGGAGGGCACGAAGCAAUUCAGUUGCUGGUGCCUUGUAGUGAGUAUUGUCUGACAUCCAGUCCAGCACCCAUGAGUUCACAUCUUUAGAAUUUCCUAUGAUGUGCAGCGUUGCAUAGAAUUGAAGAAUGAGUUCUUCAUUCCAAACACAGAUGUCAGUGCAGAAAUUCAGCAAUCCAGCAUCGUGAAGAACACUAAGGACUGGCUCGAAGCACGGUAGAGACUCCAUGUCCACAUGAGGAAUAUGUUCAUGAUCGAAGACUUUGUCUUUGUUGAAUAGUACCGAGGAAUAGAAAUUUUCUUGACUAGCAGUCCAGAAACGCCUCUUCCUUAUGCGAGUAGAAUCAUAGGGGUUGUAGUUUGUGAAGAACACAUGCUCGCUGAAGAAAUCUUUAGCCUUGAACUUUUGCUUCUUUGAGAAUGGAUCCGUUGGCUUGGGCACUAGAGUGUCAGUGAGUUGCAUCACAACCUCAGGAAUCGCAAUCUCAGGUUCUUCAGGCUAAGGAAUUUCUGGUUCCUCUUCAGUGGCAGUCUGUGUGUUCAAAGGAUCAGCAACAACAGUUUCUUCAGCACUAGCGGCUGGAAUUUCUUCAUGCACACAUGAGGUGGGAUGAGUUUCUUCAGAGCCCAUUUGAACGGUUGGUGCAGGGGACUAAGGUAUUUGUUGUAUUGGGGUGAAGAGUGGAGAAUUGGGGUGCUAACUUUCCCAAAAGUCAUCAUUCAUCACCGGCGUUGUGCAGCCAAUGCCCACGUCUUCAUCUUCAAUUUCUUCAACGCCAGCCUCUUCAGCUGUGAACUGAGGCAUUGGCAAGGAAGCAACAGGAGUUGAAGGGAUCGUAUCCACUUCAAUUUCUUCAUAAACCUGCUCUAAUGAAGCAGCAAAUUGAGGUUCUUCAUCAGAUCCGCUUGGGAUCACAUAUUCUUCACCAAAAGGAACAAGGUCCUUUGAUGGCAUGGUGGAAAUUGGAAUAGCAUCAAUUGGAUUUUCAAGUGAGCUAGUCAUAGGCUUCAUCUUUUUUGGAGCUGAAGAUUAUGAAGCACUUGAUGCUUUCCUUUUCUUCACUGCAGCUCGCUCUGCAGCCUUGGUCUUCUUCACAUAUAAUGCAGAUGGAAGGAUUGGAGUUGGUCUAGGCGCAGGAGGAGCUGGGGAAUCUGGUUGAUUUUCUUCAGGCACAACUGAUGCAGUUGCCCUGACCUCUUCAGUUUCUUCAGGCGCACCACUAGUGGAUGCCCUGGCAAUUUCUUCAGCGGCUGGAAUGGAUUCAUCAGCCCUGGAACAAGCAUUUUCAUCAGCAGCCUGAAAGUCAUCAGCGGUGCUGGCAUGUUCUUCAGUUGGCUGAGCAGAAGCUUCAGCUUCAGGAAUUUCUUGUUGCGAUGGGGCUGCAACAUUGGUGAACUUUUCAGUCAGUUUAACAAACCUGACUUUGGCUCCUUGCCAAUCAUCAUAGUAAGCAUUGAAAUCAUCACUGGGGGCUUUGAUUUCAGACUGGAUCUUGAGGAGUUCAUCAGUUGUCAUAUUGACAACGUUUAUCUUCAGGAACUUCUCUUUCCUGAACUGAGCCUUCUUGAUCUGCCUGGCCUUCUCAAAUUUCCAUUUCUCUUCAGUGAUGAAAUGGGUCAGCAUGUGACUGUGACCAGGAGUCAAAUUGAAAUCAGGCAUAGGAGUAUUUGGAUCCUUGUGCCAGAGAUCAAUGUAAUCGAGGAUCGCCCUUGGAUCCAAAAGCAGUGGCACAUUUGUGCCUUUGGCUCUAGCGGCCCUUUCUUGUCUGUCUCUGAUGAUUUCUGCAAGUUCAUCAUCAUCAGCUUCAUCGUCAGAUGGCACUUGGAAGGCAACCUGUUUCUUCUUCGGACUUGGCCGAGGACCUCGACCAGCCAUUGCCUUUGUCUUCAGCAGGGUGGGGCCUGAUGAAGAUUUUGGUGCAGGUGAGGAACUCGUUGAGGCACCAGAGGCAAUAGAGAUGCCUGUAGUCCUUUGGCACGUGGCCAGAUGUACAGGUGUUGAGGACUUUGCCGGAGCAGCGGAGGACAUUGGGGGAGGAUCUGAGGAUUUUGGAGAAGCAGGAGCAGCAUGAGGAACUGGCCGUGAGGGCUUUGAAGAAUCUGGCUGUGAGGGCUUUGAAGAUUCUGGCCGUGAGGGCAUUGCUGAGGAACUUGGCCGUGAGGGCAUAGUUGGUGAAGCACUUGUCUUGUGAGCGGGCUUCUUUGCCAUUGAUUUUCUAGGCUUGACAGAGGCCUCAGUGGCAACAGCAGCAGUAGAGUCUUCAUUGAAUUUCCUCACUGCUUCUUUGGCUUGUCUCGCCAACUUGGCUUGGCGUUUGGCCCAUUCUUCAGGAAAAUCCUCACCACGCUUGAUGCUGGUGGGGUCAGCUUCUUGGCCAGGUGCCAAUGGAGCUCUUGGGCAUGGAGGAUUUAGUGCAAAUUUCUUCAUAUACUUCGGAGUUACAUAUCUGUACUCCCUCCAUUCUCUUGCCCAUCUCCUUUCAAUCUUCUGUAUGCGCACCUUGCACUGAUUUUUGUUUUCCUUUCCGAACUUAGCCUCAUCAGGUGUGCAAUAACCAGCAUAGAUGUCCUCAGGUAUUUCAAAAGCAGUCAUGACCUCAGGCUUCUUUCCUCCUUUCUGCGGCUUCUUACCGUCUGCCAUAAUCUUCAGAUGAGGAAUUUGAACAAUCGAAUUCUCUGAAGAAGUAUGCAACUUUUCUUCGAGGAACGCUGCAAAUGAGUUAAGUUGAUGAGAACCUAGUGAUUCAGAAGCGGACAUGAGUACCUGUGAACAGAGUAUAGUUGCGACGAAUUUGGAGAGGUCAUAUGCGUUCUCAAAAGUUUUUUUUAAAAGAACAAGUUUGAGGAAUUUGACCAGAUGAACCUUGAAGAAUUUCACUAAGCGUUCUUUGUCUUAGGUUCCAGAGUUGUAUAGAUCGAGGAUCCACACAAUUGAGGAAUCUUGAAGAAAAAUGAUGCUUAGAGAAACGAAUCAAGAACAGAUGACUAGUGAGGUGUUUUGUGUGUGAGGAUUUGAAGAAUAAAACACCUUUGAAGAUUUUGUAGAGAAAAUUUGAAUCAAAGAGGGCAGUAAAAGUAACUUUUAAUUACCCUUGAUGAAGAACACGACGAACUGUGAAGAAGAACAGUGAAGUUCGUCGGUGUAGAUCUUCCACGCCCUAACUCGGCGGAGGAAGACAGCUACAGCGGCGGCGGAGUGAAGAUUUCCGCGGCCGGCGCGAGUACGACGGCGACGAGGUUGAGGCACUGAAGCUCUUCCUCACCGGCGACGAUGGAGUAGCGGCGGCGCUAGGGUUUGAGAAGCUCGAGCGAGAGAGAGCGAUCGAGCAGAGUAAAGGAAGUGAGGAAGGGGUGAGGGGGUAUUUAUAGUCGCAGUUAAAAACUGUUCACCCGAAGAUUUAGGACGAAUGUGCCCCUGACCCUUCUCAUCCGUUUGACAUGUGUCACCCACGUACUGAAAAGUGGGGAUCGUGUUAGAUCGUGGGUGAAUAGAUAAGUCUAUCAUGUGAUGCGGAACGGUUUGAGCGGUAAAACCGAAAAUUUUGGAUAAGAUUAGUUAAAAGUUCGUUCGCAAAUUCUUCAGCUGACAAGGACACAGUGAAGAUUUUGAACGAGUUUCCAAUAGAACGCACAUGAAGAAUUUGUGAAUAGAUUGGGUUGAGUAUAGCAUAGAGAGGGAAGGGUCCGAUCACAUUCACUUAGCAGAAAAUGCAGCUUGAAGAAAUAGCCAUAAGUGAAUGUUGUAGAGGACAUAAACCCAUAUAUAUAUCCAAUGAAGAAAAACGACGGAAACAGUGAAGAUUUUGCAAAGUUGAAGAAUUUGAAAAACUAAAGAAUUUCAAAACUGAGGAAUUUCAAAAAUGAAGAUUUUCAACUUUGGUGGUGGCGUGACCCACCGUAUAAGAAUGAUGAUUUCAGACACCGCGUACAAUUGUCGUAGGGUUCUGAGAAUCAAAUUCUUCAUUAAUUUCUUCACACUUAGAGUGUUAUUCUUCAUUGAUUGAAGAAAAAUGUUUCUUCAUGUGUUGCACAUCUAAGUCAUCAAUUUUGCACAAGUGUUAGGAUGAGUGUCCUUUUUCAAAGAACAUUCGAAGAUUCUAGGAUAUUUAGCUCACACCGCAACUUGCUAAAUCUCUUCUCAUCCAAGGGCUUUGUGAAGAUAUCAGCCAGCUGUUCUUCAGUCUUCACGUGCUCGAUGGAGAUGUCGCCCUUCAACACAUGAUCAUGAAGAAAAUGAUGACGAAUCUGAAUGUGCUUUGUCUUCGAGUGCUGAACUGGGUUGUGAGCAAUCUUGAUGGCACUCUCAUUGUCACAGAGGAGAGGCACAUUCUUCAGGUUGACGCCAUAGUCCUUGAGGGUUUGCUUCAUCCAUAGCAGUUGAGCACAGCAAGAACCAGCAGCAAUGUACUCAGCUUCUGAAGUAGACAGUGAUACGCAGUUCUGUUUCUUCGAGGACCAACAGACCAAAGAUCGUCCGAGGAAAUGAAAAGUACCAGAUGUUGACUUGCGGUCCACCCGAUCACCAGCAUAGUCAGAGUCGGAAUAUCCAAUGAGAUCAAAAGUAGAGCCCUUGGGGUACCAUAAUCCUAGUGUUGGUGUGUGAGCUAGAUAUCGAAGAAUAUGCUUCACAGCCUUAUGGUGUGAUUCCUUCGGUGCAGCUUGAAAUCGGGCACACAUGCAAACACUAAGCAUUAUAUCUGGCCUAGAUGCACAUAGGUACAAUAAAGAACCAAUCAUGGAGCGGUAUACCUUGUGAUCGAAGUCAAUACCAUUUUCAUCAGUGCAUAGAUGGCCAUUUGUGGGCAUAGGAAUUUUGACGCCUUUGCAAUCUUGCAUGCCGAAUUUCCUCAGAACAUCUUUGAGGUAUUUCUCCUGAGAUAUGAAUAUGCCAUUGUGCUGUUGAUGAAUUUGAAGACCUAAGAAGAAUUUCAUCUCUCGCAUCAUAGACAUUUGAUAUUCUUCACUCAUCAUAUAGGCAAAUUCAUCACUAUAAUGUUGGUCAGUACAGCCAAAGAUAAUAUCAUCAACGUAUAUUUGGCACACAAACAGUUCACCAUCAUAAGAUUUAGUAAAGAGAGUAGGGUCGAGUGAACCGGGUGUGAAGCCAUUCUUCAUGAAGAAUUCCUUCAGAGUAUCAUACCACGCCCGAGGGGCCUGCUUGAGGCCAUAGAGGGCCUUGUUGAGUCUGAAGACUUUGUCAGGAUUCUUUGGAUCUUCAAAACCUGGGGGUUGAGCAACAUAUACUUCUUCCUCAAGCUUACCAUUGAGGAAUGCACUUUUCACAUCCAUUUGAUAUAAAGUGAUAUUAUGAUGGUUAGCAUAAGCAAGUAAUAUGCGAAUAGCCUCAAGUCUAGAAACAGGUGCAAAAGUUUCAUCGGAAUCAAUUCCUUCAACCUGUGUGUAGCCUUGAGCUACAAGUCGUGCCUUAUUCCUCACCACAAGGCCAUUUUCAUCUUGCUUGUUGCGGUAGAUCCACUUUGUGCCAAUGAUAUUAUGCUUGCGAGGGUCUGGACGUUUGACCAGUUCCCAGACAUUGUUGAGCUCGAACUGAUGUAAUUCUUCUUGCAUGGCCUGAAUCCACUCAGGCUCUAGAAAUGCUUCAUCUACCUUAGUGGGCUCUGCGAUGGAGACAAAAGCAUAGUGCCCACAAAAGUUAGAUAAAUGUGAAGCUUUUGAGCGUGUGAGAGGACCUGGUGCUCGAAUGUCAUCGAUGAUCUUCUCCACUUGCACUUCUUUUGCAAUGCGAGGAUGAGCUGGUUGUCGUCGAGGAAUUUGAUCAGCAUUUUCUUCAUCACCAUUUUCUUCAGCAUUUUCAUCAGGUGCAUCAGCUCGAUUUUCUUUGCGUUCUGGAAUGAAUUCUUCAGUAGAUUCUUCGGUAGGAAUGACAUCCUCAGUAGCCUUGAACUUGAUAGAAUCCUCAGGUGCUGGUUCAUCUAUCACAGAAGGUAGGUGCUCUCUUUGCGAGCCAUUAGUUUCAUCGAACCGCACAUCUACAGUUUCAACAACCUUGUGAAGAACGUUGUUGAAGACUCUGUAGGUGUGCGAGUCCUUUCCGUAACCAAGCAUAAAACCUUCAUGUGCUUUUGGUGCAAAUUUAGCAUUGUGAUGAGGAUCUCUAAUCCAACAUUUAGCACCGAAGACUUUGAAAUAACUCACAUUGGGUUUCUUGUCAGUGAGGAGUUCAUAGGCAGUCUUCUUGAAGAAUUUGUGAAGAUAUACCCAAUUGAUGAGAUGGCACGCAGUAUCAAUUGCCUCAAUCCAGAAACGACGAGGCGUCUUGUAUUCAUCAAGCAUAGUACGAGCCAUUUCAGCGAGGGUUCUGUUCUUGCGCUCCAUGACGCCAUUCUGCUGAGGAGUAUAAGGAGCAGAUAACUCAUGCGUAAUACCAAGUUCAUCAAGAUAGCCAUCAAGACCGGAAUUCUUGAACUCGGUCCCAUUGUCAGUUCUAAUGUGCUUGAUCUUCACACCAAAGUUGGUUGAAGCCCUCGAGGAAAAUCGUUAGAAGAUUUCCUGCACUUCAUGUUUGUAAGUGACAAUGUGUACCCAUGUGUAACGAGAAUAGUCAUCAACAAUAACAAAGCCAUAUAGAGAUGCAUCAUAUGAAACAGCAGAAUAAUGAUUAGGACCAAAGAGAUCCAUGUGAAGCAAUUCAAAUGGACGAGUAGUGGUCAUGAUAUUCUUCGCUGGAUGCUUGGCCUUUGUCAUCUUUCCAGCUUCACAAGCUCCGCAUAAGGGAUCCUUGAGGAAUUUGACAUUCUCAAUGCCAAUGACAUGCUUCUGCUUCGCAAGUGUGUUCAAAUUCCUCAUGCUAGCAUGACCAAGUCGUCGAUGCCAUAGCCAGCCGUCUGAAGCUUUUGCCAGUAAGCACACGGCUGGUUGUGGUCCUGUAGAGAAAUCAACAAUAUGCAGAUCUCCUCUCCUAAAGCCUUCGAAGACUUUGGAAUGGUCAGCUUCCAUGAUCAGAACACAACGAUACUUGCCAAAGACAACAACCAUAUCAAGAUCACAAAGCAUUGAGACUGACAUGAGGUUGUACCCUAAGGACUCGACAAGCAUGACUUUGUCCAUGUGUCGAUCCUUUGAGAUCGCAACGUUACCUAGACCCAAUACCUAACUUUUGCCUUUGUCAGCAAAGAUGAUAUGCUUCAGAUGUGACGGUGAUAAGGGAGUAUCCAUCAAUAGACUCUUGUCACCCGUCAUUUGAUUUGUACAUCCACUAUCGAGAACCCACUCGUUUGAUUUGGGCUGAUCAUCCUGCAGAUGAAUUAGUGCAUCUUACGAACUCAUAUACUUCAUCCGUGAAGAAUAUCAUAUCAAAUUCAUCAGAUGAAUUUCAUCAAAGAGUAAAAACAGAUAUAGCAGUAUGAGGACGUGUGAAAUGAAAGUUCAUUUCAUCAUGAUUCGCCUGCGUCCUUUCAGGCACUUUAGUCAGGUCCCCAGCAAAUUCUUCGGACGUUAAGGCACGUCUGGAGACCCGACCCUGCGGAAGAAAUUAGUUCUUUUUCUUCACCACCCACAUCUGAAGGGGUGGCAAAGAGUUCAUCACUCUACGAGCUCCAUAUGAGAAUGGUGGCAUAGAAGCCAAACCAUUUUGUUUCACAUAAGAGGGGUUAGGUUAAGCAUAUGAAUAAGCAGAGAAAUUCUUCGAGGACUUAUGAACAUAUUGGUUUGAAUAAUAAUGCACAUAUUCAUAGCCCUUAGCUCUACCCUGUGAAACAGAGUUGUUAGCACGAUGAUAAUCAUAUGAGGACUUUGAUCCUUUUGAGGAAUUUGAUCCACGUGAGGAAUUUGGUCCGUAUGAGGACUUGGAUCCAUAUGAAGAAUUUGGUCCAUAUGAAGAGUUUGAUCUGGGGUUCCUAUUCUUCAAUGGUGGUGUCAUGAGGACAUUCACCUGAAGACUUUCAAGGCACUUAUUGGGAACCCAGAUUUUCUUCAUAGGAGAACCGUUCCUGCAGUUAGUGCCAACAUACCUAGCAAAUACUUCACCAUUCUGAUUUUUGAACAGUCUAUAGUUGGAGUCAAAUGACUCAUCAGAAGAAUGAGGAGAUUCACAUGUAAAGCCAGAUAAGUUAGAUGGAUCAACUGGAGGUCCCUUUGUAGCAACCCAUGAGGUUUUGGGGUACUGCUCAGGCUUCCAAUAUGUUCCGUCAGAAUUGAGUUUCCUUUCAAAGGCAAUACCCUCUUUCCUAGGGUUUCUGUUGAGGAUCUGCUUUUUGAGCACAUCACAGAGAAUCUGAUGCCCUUUGAGGCUUUUGUACAUGCCUGUCGUGUACAAUUCCUUCAGCCCUGCAUCAUUAGUAGUACUAGCAAUGUCCUCAGAUGAGGAAUUAGUGAUAGCAGAGAAAGGUGAAGAAUUUGUAACAGUUGAAGCAUUUGAACAUUCAGGUGAAGAAUUAGCAGAUUCACGUUCAAUGCACUUUAAGCAUGGAGGAACAAAUUCUUCCUGAGAAGCACUGAUUUGUUGAGCUAGCAAUGAAUCGCGCUCCUUCUGAAGAUCUUCAUAACUCACUCUUAGCUUCUCAAGAUCUUGCUUUCUUUGAAGAAAUUCAUAAGAAAGCUUCUCAUGAUCAGAUAAGAGACACUACUGGAAUCAGCUUAUUUGCCGUCUGCCAGUUCUUUGUCGUCAGCUGGCAGACGGCAAAGAGGCACUUUGCCGUCUGCUUGCAAAAAACAGACAGCAAAGAACUGACAGACGGCAAAGACGCCAGUUACCAUCAGCCAAUUAUUUGUUGUCUGCCAGCAGAUGGCAAAGAAUCUUUACCAUGUGCUGGCGGAUGGCAAAGAGGUGGGGCUAUCUCUUUUUUUACGGGUACAAAGAAAAUCGUUGACCCCCACCUCCUCUCUCUGUCUCCCCUCUCUCCGCACGGCCCCCACCUCCUCUCUCUCUCACCUCUCUCUCUCUCCCGCUCGUCUCUCCCUCUCCCUCGCGCGAGCACCUACGGCGGCCGAUUUCGGCGAGCUCCGACGGGAUUCGACGCCGCCCAGCACACCCAUGUGACCCCCUCGCCCCGCUCCUCCAUCCCCUCCGACCAGAUCUGACUCGUGCGUCCUCCAGCAACCACGCGUGACCCUCCCCUGCGGCUAGGGUUUCGGCCACCACAUCGCCGGCGUGGCUCCGGUGUUGCUCCGAUGACUCAGGUGAGUCUCUUCACUCCUCCUCGUUACAUCCAUCCCUCUCUUUCUCACCGCGUCGCAUCGCGUCUCCUCUCCCUCACAGAACCAUCACGCCGGGAAGCCAUGGACGGGAAGGACGCCAUGGACGGGAAGGACGCCGUGGAGGACGCAGCUCCACCACUGCCCCAACGCCAUCCAGGUCCGCCCCUUCUCCUCUCCUCCCCUCUUGGAUUUCUUCUUUUCCUGCCUUGCACCCGUCCACUCAAGUUCUAAACCAAACAAGAAAAAUUAUCAAUCUUGUUUUUGCUGCAUAUGCAAUAAUGGUUGAGGAGGGCUCAGUUGUUCACUUCUAUAAUUGUGCCAUAAAUCGGUUUACUCUGCUUGAGGGCUGUCGUGGUUAGCUCGAUUUGAUAGGGUCCUUACUACAUAUGCUGCAGGGAUUUAACUUGACUUGUUAAUAAUGAGUGUCAAUCAAUCAAACACAAGGAAACUAUAAAUGCUUACUAUUUCGUAUAGUGAUCAUUGUGUUGUGUAUAGGUAAAACUUGUGUUGUCCUUAUCAACUUCGGAGGCAUCAUCAUGUGUUAUCAAUUUAGUUUCUGCCAUGGUUUUGGUUUGGUCCUGCUUAUGCCAAAUCGAUCAUUCAUUGCUUCUGAACACUCUACCUUUAAUCUUUGCUUCUGUAAAACCGGCCUUUCUUCUAUUGAAUGGAGUGUUUGCUUGCUAUGCGGGAAAAGUAGCUCAUUCAUCGCUGAUUUGGCAUGAGCAACCAAAGUGGACGGACCGCAUUUAGGUCCGGUCGUCGUGAGGAUCCUCUGGCGGUGCUGGAUGUGCCGUGGCGCGGUGGUGCCCCCGGGUGGCGCCUUCGUGCUGUGGUACCGCUAGUUGGCGCCUUCGUGCCCGUGCUCUCACUGGCACCGCCGUUGUGGUGCUCUCCGGCAAGCUCCGGCUUGUUGUGGUGGUGUUGGUUGUGAUGCUGGUCACACCAUAGUGAUGGUGUGGCUGCAUCCUGCUUCGGCUACAACUCCUUUUGGUGAGCUUCUCCUUGCUCCCCUCCUGAUCUAUCUAAUGCAUAGCUCUUGAUCUUGUUGGAUGUGAGGCUCUAUUAGCUGUGGUUAGGUGCUGUAGAUGAGCAUCAACUUGUAUUGGAGCUCUCUGUGAUGGAUUCUUGCUGUGUCAGGGUUUUGGUCAGUGACCAUCUAUGUGUAUUUGUGAAGUAUAUAUACUCCUGUACUGCUCUGUUCUGUGUAGUUGAUCCUGGAGUUGUUACUUUGGUCAGUUACUUUACUCAUGAACGGAUACUCACUUGUUCUUAGUUAUUUUACUUCUAAUACUGAUAUGAACAGAUACCACUUGGUUUGGCUAUUCCUAUUUGUCUCUUUCUAGUAGCCUAUGAACAGAUACUAUACUUGGUUUUGGCUGUUACUUUCCUAGUUUUCUACUGAUAAGACAGAUACUACAUCUGAUUUGGGCAGUGAUGCUGGUCUGAGCCCCCUCUCUUAGGCUUAAUUUACAUGUGACUAUCCCUGUGCUGUGAUGAACUAGCCCUGGCACUUCCAGGCUGUCUGAGCACAUAAUCCCUCAAGUAUACCUUGAGGUCUUCUGUAGCUCUCCUUAAUAGUUAUCUCUUCUAAGCUGCUGGUGGUUGGAUGUGUUGGGACUUGGUCUGGUUGGCUGGUUGUGAUGUAUAUCUCCUCCUGGAGCUUUGUUUUUGGCGUUGCAUAGUGACAUGUACCUAUUGUCACUAGUCAAAACUGAUUGUGGUGAUGAAGUCUAAUCUCUGGCUUUAAUCACUAGUUUUUAGUUGGCUUAAUUCCUGGAGCUAGUACUGAUAGUGGUCUUUGUGUUGGCAUUUAACUUACUGCUAAUUGUGGUGGCUUCUUGAUUAGGUCCUUGGCUGGUUCUCUUCUUUGGCUCUUUGGUAUUGGUUUACUCUAUUUGGCUUUCUAAUUAAGAUCACUUUGAAAAUCAGGAUCUUAACUAAGAUUAUCUUGAUCUCAAGUACUGGCUCCUACAGCAUUGCAUUUCACCAAGUGAAAUGCUACAUUUCUACUCCUAACCCAUUCUCUCUUUCUUAGUGUUUUUGUUAUGCAGGUUGGAAGAAAAGAAGAAGAUCCAUAGAAGAUCUUAGUAAUAAGAUAGUUUUUAGGAAAAUAGAUAUUUAGUUUUAGAUCAUUCCUUGUAAUAUUUGUUGGAUAUCUGUUCAUGGAUAUGUGUUGGAUAUAUAUGUGUUCAUGACUAUAUAUUGGUAACAUGUGUUGGAUAUGUGUUCAUGGAUAUGUGUUGGAUAUAUAUGUGUUCAUGAGUAUUGGUAAUAUGUGUUGGAUAUGCUAUAUUGGUCAUACAUAUAGUCUGUGUUUGAUUGUGUUUGAUUUUCUGUGAAAAUGAAUUGAUAUAAGAAGAAACAGAAUUAAUGCCUAUUUGGUCUAUUUGCCAUCUGCCAACAGAUGGCAAAGAACCUGCAGCCUUUGCCGUCUGCCAGCAGAUGGUAAAGAGUCGUGCCCUUUGCCGUCCGCCACUGACAGCAAAGGCCUCUUUGCCGUACGCUACAAAAAACAGACGGCAAAGAAGGCCUUUGUCGACCCUGUCUUUGCCGUCGCUGUUUGCCGUCCGCGGCGGAUGGCAAAGGCCUUUGCCGUUCGCCAUCCUAGCCUUUGCCGUCCGCCAUGGCUGAUGGCAAAGUACCAGAUUCCUGUAGUGAGAGUGACGGUGUCCUGGACUAGAGGUACUCAACGCGUCGUCUCCCGAUCAGUUGGAUUGGGCCAAGGACCCCCAUGGCCGUAUACUCAUGGGCCAGUCCGGACAACUGCCGCAUACAAGGAAGAAUCAACAAGACUUGGCGAUCAAGAGAAGGACUCCUCCCCGACCGGCGUAUUCGGCUAGGACUCUUGUUAUCCUAGGCCUCUGGUGCAUUAUAUAAACCGGGGCUAGGCUAGUCGAUAGACAUAUACAACAACAAUCAUACCAUAGGCUAGCUUCUAGGGUUUAGCCUCCUUGAUCUCGUGGUAGAUCUACUCUUGUAACACACAUCAUCAAUAUUAAUCAAGCAGGACGUAGGGUUUCACCUCCAUCAAGAGGGCCCGAACCUGGGUAAAACAUCGUGUCCCUUGCCUCCUGUUACCAUUGAUCCCAAGACGCACAGUUCGGGACCCUCUACCCGAGAUCCGCCGGUUUUGACACCGACAUUGGUGCUUUCAUUGAGAGUUCCGCUGUGUGAUCGGCGAAAGGAUCAAUGGCUCGACUGCAGGUCAACUGCGACGUCGGCUUCUUCGUCACCAGCUUGGCUGGUCACCUUGGCUUGACCGAGGACUGCACCCUACUUCCGAUCGUCAUGUUCGGAUGAAGGCCUUCAUCAAACACCAACUCGGAUCUCUAUCAAGAUCGUGGAGGAGUCAUCCAUGGAGCUCGGGGGCUCAACGUCAACAUUGCCCUCAAGCGACCGUGCUGUUUUCCUGGACAGCAAAUUUGUAUCCGCCGCCACCGCCUCCUCGAGUGUCGCUUAAAAGAUUACUUCGGUGCAAUUAUGCGGAAUUAAGUCUACAACAACCCUGCAAAAAUUUCGUUGAGUUCCGAUGGAGGAAUCUCUGGCAAUCUCCGAUAUACCGGAGCCCUGUUGAAUCUGGACGAGAAUCCGGACGAGUUUAGGGCGUGGUAUCCAGCAUCUAGCUCGGAUGUCCUUUGGAGGAUCCAACCGUUGAUUUGCUGCGGAAUUCCCAUAUCUACCACCUGCCCAAAAUCCAGCUCGAUCCGACCGUCCAAACUCCAGGAAACUUCCGAUUAGUGCAUCACUUUUUGGACUUGUUUUCUGCGCGAGAACGAGUCCGACCCGAAUUCAUCUUCUUUAUGAACGGGAUUUCGGACAUCCUUUUUGAAGGAAGUUUUGUAUGGGGUAUUAUAUUUUGUUCCCGAACACAUCCCACUAACUUUAAGAUCUUUUGAACAUGAUUUUCAACAUCAUGCUGGUGUUAAACCAGUCCGACAAUAUUGCUCCAUGGCUGCCGACCUGCGCUAGACACAUCGUCACUUUGUUGAGCCAAGCUCAACUUCUUCGGAUCAUCAUCUUGGCAAGCCGAACAAGAGUCCGGCAUCGCGAAGGAUAAAUCAUCACCAACGUCGCCUCCCCACGGAUUACACGGAGCGGGCAUACCGGCAUCGCCGCACGGUCGCUUCAUCAAGCCGGCAUCGACCACGUCACAACCUGCAUCGGCAAGGCCGCACUAUUGCUUCUUCAAGCCGGUGUCCAUCACGCCGACCUACUUCGAUAUCUCGGCUGGACUGGGGGCUUCGCCAUCUCUUCAUCAACCAACUCCGGACACUUCGGCGUCACUAGCCGACCAGGCAUGGGUGCGUGGAUUGAGUCCCAAUUUUGGGAAUCACCUUCCUUCGGAUUGCUACAACAAAUAAACCAGGUGCUAUUAAUCCUAGUAUUUCUUUUUGCUUGUUUGGGUUAAAUUUUACCCAAGGAAUUAUUACUCUGGUUAGUCCAGCAUAUGUACACAGGUCUAUCAAAUGGUGGCCGCAUUAUCGACGGUCGCAUGAUGGUUCGGUCAGUUUCCGUACACAGUUCGGCAAACGCCGCAUCCGGAACUCGGGCCGACCUGUGAAUCCAGGCUUCGCCACGCCUUUAUUGCAUUACGCCGACGACCUGCAUCGACAUCGACUUCGGCGCCAGGACAUAUUUCUUUUACUACUCACUUUGCAUAAAUUAUUUAUUAUGCAACAUUUUUUUUAAUUCCUAUUAUUACUAUUACCCCCGGUCUGCACUAUUUUUUGUGCACAGGAAAAUGAUCCAGCCGGACUAUAUCCUUUGACGUCACAUCGGCUAGACGGGGGCUUCGUCAACACUUCAUUACCCUAUGCCGGGGACUUGGGCAUCACUUUGCCGUCCUGCAUUGACCGUGCUAUGUCACCACUUCGGAGUGCCGAGCUCCUUGCUCCGCCACCUCGGGACCGGCUUGGGGGAUGGAACCUUGUCCCGCAUCAAGCUCGGACCGUGUCGUCAAUACCGAACACAUUAACCAGCUAAGUUGCCUUCACGCUCAAAGUUUUAAAUUUCUAACUUGUGUUCGGUUCGACCAAGAAUUAUACUUUUUUGUAAAAAAGUUGCUUGUAAAAAUUUUCCUUGUCGAAACUUUGUUCGCACACGCUUGACGCGCUACCCGCGCUCAUUAUACCUGGGGGCUUCUUUAACAGAAGCUUAUUAAUACGGGGUUUAUGCCCAACACAUGUGUCGCACUUCCGCAUGUACCGUUUAUUCACCAUUAUAUGCAUCGAUAUGACUUAAGUUUUGGCCAAGCUGGGUUGCCUGGCUCCUGUGCUUACCCCUACGUUCCCGAUUGUUCGGCUAGGUGGUAAAGGGAGCACCUCUGCGAUUGUUACUGCCGGGUCAGCCGGAUGUGUACCUCAGACUGGGUGAAGUCGAAAGCUAGCGUUCUUAAGGGAAUACUCGGUCGGUGAACUAAAAGAUGAUUUCUUACCUAUUUAUUUACCUGCCCCCAGAUGUUUUUCUGCUCUUUUCGCAGUCCGGACAUGCACUUUAGGGCAUGCCUCCCAGGGAAAGGAACUCCUAACGGAACUAUUCUCCCUGGAAGAUGUUUCUUACUAACCAUGUAAUAUAACAUAACUAGUUGGGCACUUGUCUGAUAAAGCACUAAUGACCCCUACGCCUGGUCUCCACGCAUGCCCCGGUUUUUAUAACCACGAGGGUAUUCGGACACACUCUAGACUAUUGGGUCCAGAGGUUGAAGCGAAAAGGUCCGCUACGACAAACGAUCUACAAUCCGGCUAGAAGGCAUUCUACAUGUCACCUUACAUUUUAUAGUCAACUUUUACCCAAGUCGCUUGGGGGCUCUUAUGUUUAUUUGAGCCGUUUCAUACUAAGUGUUUUUCUUCUUAGUCGUUGCAAAGUUAAAGCACGACAGAAGCACUUUUUUUUCUAAAGUCCAAUUUUCGGAUUGGCACCGAACACUUGAUCUUGUUCGGACGUCAUGUUUUUAUUGACGUUUUUUGGUUUUCCAAGCUUUUGGCACUUUUAACAAUUUGUGUGUUUUCAGCACAAGUCUCGCAGUGCAAUGCCGGACACCUUUAGAGAUUCGGCAAAAACAUUCUCGGAUAUUGCUAUAUAUGCAUCAGCUUCGAAUUGUGUCUUCGGUCAAUAGUUGGGUUGCCCGGCUCCCGCGCUUGCCUCCUACAUUCCGCUUUGUUCGGCUAGGUGUGCAAAGGGAGAACAACUGCGAUUGUGCUUCCAGCUCACAUGGUCAAGCACCUCAGUGGAGAAAGCCGAAAACUGACUGUCACAAUAGGUGUAAACUGGUUAGCGAUCCGAUGACUAUAAUAAAUGACGGGCCAUUCAUAACAUUGGCCGAAGUGUUUCUGGCUUGACCUUGGCUGUCGCCGAACACUACCGGGGGCUAUUAACUGGCCUCCCAAACUAAAUCCUUGAUCUUUUGCUCUUACAUUGGAGUUGAGGUUUCAUGAUCACGCUUAGCAUGACAACCCAAAGAAAGGAACCGAUAGCGGGACUAUUUUCUUUGGAAGACAUUUCUUCUGUUAAACAGCAAUAUAACAUAUCUCUCUGCGUACCUUUGUUUAGAAAGCCGUAUGACCAGAUUGCCUUGUUUGUCGUAAAUCUUUGCCCUCAUAAAGGCUUUAUAAAGUAGGACAAACACUCCUCAGCUACUGGCCGAGGAGGUUGAAGCCCAUGGUCGGUCAACAAAGUUUUGUACAAUGCGGAUCCGAGCAUUAAUGGCGUAAAGUACUUGGAUACAUAGAGUCAUUACACACAAUUUAUGAUUUUACUAUGGAUAUCGAUCCUUAAUUCGGCCUCCCGUGUCCGAAUUAAGGCUCGGGGCUACUGAGCUUCGGGCUUAUUAUUUACAAAUAUUAAAGGGGCACAUCGAUCCCCUGAUCUGGUGUUGCCACCCGACCAGUGUCUCGGGGGCUACUGCAUUGCCUGUUCUAUGCAGAAAAUUUUAAGUGCAAUACAGUUUCUGAGGAGAUUUUGAUCCUCAGGUUGGUCGGCCGCACCCAACCUAAGUCUCGAGGACUGAGCACGCCGCUUUUUCUGUCCCGAAGUAUUCUGCCGAGCUAGGACUUGAUCCUCAGACCAAUUUUGCAAAUCAACCUGAGUCUCAGCGGCUACGGGGAUCAGCGGUCUUAUGUCAUCCUUCAUGUGCAUCUCAGGUUUUAGACCGAUACCCACCUUGAGGGCUACUGGCAUCAAUAAAAAACAUUGACCAAAAAUCAGCCCAUGACCGAGGUGCUUAACCACCUCGGAAGCAGUUCGACAUAUAGCUCGGAUGCAAGUGGCUGGCUCCUUAGAGGGCAUUUCCGGCAUUAAGCUCGGUUAAACUCCUUCAAACUUCUUUGAACCAAGGUGAUUUAUGACACCUCGGAUAAAGUCUGGCAUUGGAGCUCAGAUACAUAUUCCGGCAUUGGAGCUCGGAUACAGUCCGGCGUUGGAGCUCAGAUACAUAGUCCCACGUUAGAGCUGGGAAGCAGUCCGACAUUGGUGCUCGGCUGCAAAAGAUACCUCGAAUGUAGUCCGGCGUCGGAGCUCGGACGCAAGAGGACGUUGCCACCCGGGAACAACUUCAAACCCGAGGCAUGGCAUAAAAAUAACAAGGCAUUGAUAAAGGCCGUAAACUUAAAGGGGCUCCUCGGAUACCCAACUCGUAAACUCGUCGAAUGCAUUUUGGCGAUCCUCAAGAUAGAAGAUGAGAAGAUUUGUUGAACCAGUUUUCAAGACCAGCAACCGAAGAUGAAGAACAGUUCGGAAGAAUCGAGGAGCGUCCCUAACUUGAAGACCGGUUUAGGGGGCUACUGACGGUGUCCUGGACUAGGGGGUACUCAACGCGUCGUCUCCCGAUCAGUUGGAUUGGGCCGAGGACCCCCAUGGCCGUAUACUCAUGGGCCAGUCCGGACAACUGCCGCAUACAAGGAAGAAUCAACAAGACUUGGCGAUCAAGAGAAGGACUCCUCCCCCACCGGCGUAUUCGGCUAGGACUCUUGUUAUCCUAGGCCUCUGGUGCAUUAUAUAAACCGGGGCUAGGCUAGUCGAUAGACAUAUACAACAACAAUCAUACCAUAGGCUAGCUUCUAGGGUUUAGCCUCCUUGAUCUCGUGGUAGAUCUACUCUUAUAACACACAUCAUCAAUAUUAAUCAAGCAGGACGUAGGGUUUCACCUCCAUCAAGAGGGCCCGAACCUGGGUAAAACAUCAUGUCCCUUGCCUCCUGUUACCAUUGAUCCCAAGACGCACAGUUCGGGACACCCUACCCGAGAUCCGCCGGUUUUGACACCGACAGAGAGUUUUAUGAUGACUUUGAAGGUUGUCAAACUUAGACUGAAGUCUCUAAAGAUUUUCAGUUAAGUCUUUAGUGCGGUCCAUUUCAUCACCCAACAUAUCAUCACUUUUGUCUAGCAUGUUCUGAAGUUUUUCAAUAGCCUUUUGUUGUUUCACAGCAAUCUUAGCAAUUUUAGAGUAGCUAGGCUUAAGAUUUUCAUCAGAUUCAUCCUCACUAGAUUCAGAAGAGGGGUAUUUUGUUACCUUGGCACCCUUUUCCAUGAAGCAAUAGGUGGGAGCGUAGUCAUCAUUAUCUUCGUCAGCCUUGUUGGUGAGGUCAAUUUCUUCAGAGUUGAAGAUGGACUUGCUGACGAAUGCAGUAGCGAGAGCCAGACUUGCCACACCAGACUCGGACUCCUCAGAUGCCUCCUCUUCCUCAUGUUCCUCAGAUUCAGCUUCAGAGUCCAUUUCCUUGCCAAUGAAUGCCCAAGCCUUUAUGGAGCUGCUCUUCUUGUGAGAUGAAGAUUUCGAGGAUUUUGAUGAUGAAGAUUUUGAAGAUUUCUUCUUCUUCUUAGCGUCAUCAGAACUGUAAUCCUUGUAUUUCUUCUUCUUUAAUUCCUUUUCCCACUGAGGACAAUCUUGAAUAUAGUGACAAGGUUUCUUGCAUUUGUGGCAAAGUCUUCUCUUAUAGUCACUUGACGAGGAAUCACUGCUCCUUGAGGAUUUUCCAAAGCGACCACAUCUUGAGAACUUCUGGAACUUCUUCACGAGCAGUGCUAGCUCCUGGCUCAAUUCUUCAGGAUCACCAAGGCUACUACCAGAAUCUUCACAUUCAGAUUCAGACACAGCCUUGGCCUUGAGGGCACGUGUUUUGCCAUAGCUUGAACCAUAGAGAUCUCUCUUUUCAGCAAGCUGGAACUCAUGAGUAUUUAGCCUCUCGAGGAUAUCAGCGGGAUCCAGUGACUUGUAGUCAGCAGGUUCUUGUAUCAACAGUACCAGAGUAUCAAAUGAAGAAUCUAGCAAUCUCAGCAAUUUCUUCACCACCUCAUGGUCGGUGAUGUCAGUGGCGCCAAGCGCUUGAAGCUCAUUUGAGAUGUCAGUGAGGCGAUCGAAGGUUUGCUGAACAUUUUCAUUGUCGAGUCGUUUGAAGCGGUUGAAGAGAUUGCGAAGAACGUCAACACGAGAGUCACGUUGAGUUGAGACUCCUUCGUUUACUUUGGAGAGCCUAUCCCAGAUAAGCUUAGCAGUUUCUAAAGCACUCACUAUUCCAUACUGUCCUUUGCUCAGAUGGCCACAUAUGAUAUUCUUCGCUUGAGAAUCGAGUUGCUUGAAUCUCUUCACAUCAGCAGCAUUCAGGGAAGGUGUGACUGAGGGAACACCAUUUUCCACAAUGUACCAAAGAUCGUUGUCAAUUGCUUCAAGAUGCAUUCGCAUCUUAUUCUUCCAGUAAGGGUAGUCCGUGCCAUCGAAGGUAGCACACCCACCGGAGACCUUGAUCAUACCUGUGGUCGACAUAACUAGAAAUCCAGGUGGUUAAACCAAAAUCACAUAGAACAAGGGAGUACCUUUCUCUAAUACCAAUUGAAAGUGCGUUAUAUCGACUAGAGGGGGGCGAAUAGGCGUUUUUUAUGAAUUCUUCACUGAGGAAUUUCCUGGUGAGGAAAUUCCUUGGCGAAGAACUACUUGCAGCGGAAUAAGUACUCAGAAGUAAGCAUAACAGAAUACAGGCAUGGUCAUCAUGAUGAAAUGAAGACAUGCAUAGAGUACAGAAAGCGUAAACACAGGAUAACACAAGAUGAAGACAAACAGACUGAAGAAAUUGAACUGAGGAAAUUGAGAAAGUCUUCAGUCAAAGUCUUCAAACACGGAUAUGAACAAUCACUCAACACAGUAAUGAGUAAAUGAAAGAGUUGAGGGAAUAGAACCAGGAAGGUUGGUGAAGACAAUGAUUUGGUAGACCAGUUCCAACUGUUGUCUUAGUUGUACGUCUGGUUGGAGCGGCUGAGUAUUUAAACUCGAGGACACACAGUCGCUGAGCACGCAGCUCAGGACACCAAGUCCUCACCGUAUUCUCCUUGAACUAAGGUCACACAAACCUCGUCCAAUCACUCAUGGUAAGUCUUCAGGCGACUUCCAAACCUUCACAGACUCAGUCACUUGGCGAUCCACAAUUCCUCUUGGAUGCUCUAGACCAUGACGCCUAACCGUCUGGAAGAAGCACAGUCUUCAAAGGUAACAAGCGUCAGAUCCAUGUAGGAUCAAUCUCUUCAAUGAUGCUCAAUCACUUUGGGUUUGUAGGUGUUUGGGUUUGGGUUUUUUCCUCACUUGAUGAUUUUCGCUCAAAGUCCUCGGAGGAUGGGAUGCUCUCAAAUGACAAGUGUCAGUUUCUCUCGGAGCAGCCAACCAGCUAGUGAUUGUAGGGGGCGCCUAUUUAUAGCCUAGGGAGCAGCCCGACAUGAUAAGACAUAAAUGCCCUUGUCUGAUAUGACCGUUAGGUGGAUAAGAUAUUUUGUGACAGCUGGCGCGCAGCACAGCAACGGUCGGAAAUUUGACUCUCAAAUUUCUCAGGGCUAUCAUGUUCCUCACUUCCUAGGCAAUCCGCAUUGGUGAAUUCCUAACUCCUCAGUCAGAACAAAUUCCUCAGCGACUAGAAGAACUUCGUCUCUGUCACUGAAGAAAUGACUGAACUGUAUGAGAUUUCCAAAGGCUUCACUCGAAGGGAUUGGUAGGUGUAGGAUUUUAAGUUGAGCAUCACAUGGAAAUUUUUGCUUAGUAUUUCCUCGACCCCCUUUAACAGUACGGUGUUUCCUAUGACUCAAGAAAGAGAAAAACAAAACUAUGAAAACAAAAGUCUUCAAGCUUCAUAUUCCUCGCAUGAAUAUCAAGUCUUCACGGACACACCAAUUUCUUCACUUUCAAAGUCUUCAUGAAAGUCUUCAGGAAUACCAAAAUCUUCAGUCGAAGAUAUUCAUUUUUAGGGGUCGACUUUCUCUGUAAAUAUCAAACUCCUCAUAGACUUAUAGACCUGUGUACACUCAUAAACACAUUAGUCCCUUAACCUAUAAGUCUCCAAUACACCAAAAUCACUAAGGGGCACUAGAUGCACUUACUGGCACUGAGGCGACCACACCAUAGCCAGGUGCGGGCCCAACUCUGGCUGCACGGCCCUAGGGUGUGGGCCCCUCGGGCGUCCACCGACAUUGCCCUUCCGCCUAUAUAAUGCCCCCGAGGCGAAAACUCUAAAUAAUGAAGCCUCCGUCCAUGAAAAAUUCCGCAGCGCCGCCACCAUCAACGACGAGAUUCGGGGGAUAGAGGUGUCCGUUUCGGCACCCUAUCGGGAUGGGGAAUUGCCCCCGGAGCCAUCUCCAUCGACUCCACCGCCAUCUUCAUCGCCGUUGCUAACUCCCAUGAUGAGAAGGGAGUAGUUCUCCUCCGAGGCUGUGGGCUCUACCGGUCGCUAUGUGGUUUAUCUCUCUCUCCCAAGGUGUGAUCUUUAUGUGAUCAUGAGCUUUGUAAUCUGGUUAAUUUAGUAGAUGUUACUCUCAUCUAUUAUGCUACUCAACUGCUUUUAUUAAUGUGAUCUCCGGAGACACCUUGUCCCACGGUGUGAAGGUGACAGUGUGCACACCGUGUGUGGCUCUUAGGCUAAAGAUUACAGAAAUACUUAUCAUGAGUUAUAAUUUGAGUUGGAUGUCUCUAUGAAAUUGUGGUGUUUGUUUGGAACCAUCUAGCGCUCAAGGUGACAGUGUGGAGUUACCUAGAUGGGGAAUGCGAACUUUAAGGUGUGCUUUUAUAGCCCUACGUGGUGAAUUGGUGUUCGUUAUCCAACCGGAGAGUAGUUCAGAGUAGCAUAGUGAUGAGAAGAUGUUUAUGUGUUCAAUUAUGAUAUCAUUGUUGAGAGUGUCCACUAGUAAAAGUAUGAUCCCUACGUUUUGUUUCUAAGCAUUGAAACAUCGUUUACAACCAGUUGUGCUACAUGUUUGCUUGCUGACAUUUUUAUUUCAGAUUGCAAUUACCACUUGUAAUCAUCCAUAUUACUUGUAUUUCACUAUCUCUUCACAGAACUAGUGCACCUAUACACCUGACAAGUGUAUUGGGUGUGUUGGGGACACAAGAGACUUCUUGUAUCUUAAUUGCAGGGUUGCUUGAGAGGGAUAUCUUUGACCUCUUCCUCCCUGAGUUCGAUAAACCUUGGGUGAUUCACUUAAGGGAAACUUGCUACUGUUCUACAAAUCUCUACACUUGGAGGCCCAACACUGUCUAUAAGAAUAGAAGCGUGCCUAGACAUCAAGCUUUUUUCUGGCGCCGUUGCCGGGAGGUAAGGUAAAAGGUACUCACAUCCUCUGGCUACUAAGCUAUCUUCUAGUACUGUUGCUGGUGUGUGAGUGGUCAAAGUUAUUUUUCCUUUAGAUUCUGCAAUUAUAUCUUUUUGUUUCUUGUUUUUAUUUUCACUAGUUAGGCUUAAUGGAAAACAACAACAAAAUUAGAGAGCUUUAUAGUAUGUUUCCUGAGUUAGGACAUGAAGUGUUUGAAGAGAAAAUUAAAAAACCUAUGGAACUUUAUUUGCAUGCUAAUAGAAAUGUUAUUAGUAUGAACUAUUUGAACACCAUUAUUGCUAAUGUUAUGGAAAAGUCUAAGCUUGGGGAAGCUGUUUUUUAUGAAAAUGGUCUUUUUAGUUCCCCAGCUUUAGAGGAGAAAUUAUUCAUGAAAAUAGUCUUUUUACGAAAAUGUUAUUUUUACUUCCCCAGCUUUAGAGGAGAAAUUGAACGAUUUUAGAUUCUAAACGAUUUUUAAAUUUGAACGAUUUUCAAAUUUGAACAAUUUUCAAAAUUUGAAACAUUUUCAUAAUCUGAACGUUUUCAACAAUCUGAACAUUUUUAAAAUUCGAACAUCUUUAGAAUCUAAACAGAAAAAGCAGGAAAAAAGGACCAGCUCCGAGGUAGUCGCCAAACUCCUCGUCCUCUCUGGCAGAGAUGUUCUCCCUCGCCUGCUGCCUUUGACUCUGCACUCCAUCUUCCUUUUAUAUUGAUAUUACUCCCCUUCUCACCCGAUCCCUCCGGUACUUCUGAUCUGUUCUUCUCCAUCUUCCCUAACCCUAAUUCUGCCACCCUCUCAUCCCCCUCCCCCCCGAUCUCCUUGUGAGUUGGAUCUGCCAUGCACGAAGAUGCGCGUGACGGGUAGUGGUAGAUCCCACCGGCAGCCAGAAAGAUCCGGCGAUCGGUGAGAUUUUACGUGGGCGCUAGCAUGAACGCCAGAGGAAAGUUGGAACCCUAGCGGCGGAGCCAGGGGGAGACACGAGAAUUCCUAUGCUCCACCCAACGCGUGCACUAAUAGAGCAUGCUCACGCGGGCACUCUUGGUGGCCCGGUCCAUAAGCGGGAAGAGUUUUUCUUUCAAUUUUUCUUAAUUUCUUUUUCUUCUUUUUAUUUUCUGCUUCUUUUUUCUUCUUUUUUAAAUUUUGGUUUCCCUUUUUCUCGUUUCUGUUGCUUUUUUAUUUUUCAAUGUUUGCAUUUUUUUCAAUUUUGUUUUUUUAUUUGAAUAUUUUUUAAUUUGAACUUUUCCAAAGCGGGACGUUUUUUAAUAUGAACAAAUUUAAACAUUUCUCAAAUUUGAACAACUUUCCAAUUGGAACAAAUUUUAAGUUUUAACAAAUUUCAAAUUUGAACAUUUUCUAUUUUUAAACUUUUUCAAAUUUGAACUUUUUUUAGAUCUCGUAUUUUCUUAAUAAUUUAUUAAUUACCAAAAAAAUAAAACAAAAAAAUCAAAUGACUGGAAAAAGAAAUUAAAUUUAUAACUUUUUAUUUGGCCGCGUUUGAGGCGGCCCAUCAGGAGGCUCUGCGUUCGUGGUGGUUUAGGCCACGUUUGAGCAGCACAUAGGGUUUGCCCCACCGAUCACGAGCGACGAGGAGCCAGCCAGCGACCACGUCAGAUCUGAUUCUUAAAUAAGAUUGUUUCUAAAUUACAAAUAAAUUUGAUAAUCUGAACGCUUUUCAAAUUCGAAACAUUUUGAAAAAUCUAAAUACUAUUUUUCCUUUUCUUUUUUCCAGUGUUUUCAAAAUCAGAACGGUUUUAAAAUUUGAAUGAUUUAAAAUUGAACAAGUUUAAAAUUUGAACAAAUUUCUAUAUUCAUAUUGUUAAUAAUCUGAAAAUUUACGAAAUUUGGAUAAUUUGAGCAACUCUAAAAUUGAACGAUUUUUAAAUUUGAACCAUUUUCAAAUUUGAACGAUUUUCAUAUUUGAACAAUUUUCAUAAUUUGAAACAUUUUCAUAAUCUGAACGUUUUCAACAAUCUGAACAUUUUUAAAAUUCGAACGUCUUUAGAAUCUAAACAGAAAAAGCAGGAAAAAAGGAAGAAUAAAAGAAACAUAGCGAAAACCAAUCGAAUAACCGCAGCAAAAAAGUGAAAGAACCGUGCAGAGAAACCUGAAAAAACCAGCCCCGGAUUUUCUGUUGAUUUACCUAUAUGGGUUGGCCAAAUAGCGCAAGGUUGCAUGUCGUAGCUAUAUAUCACAACGAGCGAUGUAUAAGGAUCUCCGAUACUACCGUCGCGAAUCGAGCAUAUCAUCACCAUCGAGACGUUGACGCUCCAAAAAAUACAUUUUAUUUCCAUCAUUGCCUUUUAAUGUUGUUUCUACGUAGUACAGAAGAUAUAUUUUUUUAUAGACAAUACCAUGAUAUAUUAUAGUAGGAAAUAGUAUAUGGUACAGAUACAUAAGCUGUCUCCAGCGAUUAUAAAAUAAGAAAGCUCACAUCAACAAACAAGAUAACUCUUUUAUACGUGAUAAGCAACCUCAAACCAAUAAACACUACAUCUAUUUCAUUCAGUACAACGGCAUAAGAUUUUUUAUUCUUAACAGUUUUUACGAAUUUAGUGCUCAUAUGCAGGAGUAAUUAUUCCUGGGAGCCAAAACACAAUGUCAUGCAACCUCCACAAUGCAUGAAAUUUCUAUCUUCUUGUCGUGACGUAAUUUACUCCACCCAAGAUUCUUCUUAACAAUCGAUACCACAUAUAUUUAAAAUAGCUCAUGGUCACUACAGGAAACGGGCGAUAGGCCGACGGCCCGACACUGUCGGCAUAGGCCAAAUAACCCUCGGCACAGGCUAUAGCCGAGGGCGGCCCUGGGCGUAUCGCCCUCGGGUAUCUGCGUACAGGUAUUUGUCGUCGGCGUAGAGGAUUCCCUCGAUGUAGACUUGGCGGGCCCAUCGCUAACAGAUGACGGCCGUUAGACGUCGAACAGGCUACACCGACGGCUUUGCCCUCGGGCUAGAUAAUCGAUUUUGUUUCCAACCUUUUUUCCAAAAAAAAUCCAAUUUUUUUCACACUUGUUAAUUUCACAACAGACAUUUUUAACUCUCAGCACAUUUAAUGUAAAAUCAAAUUGCACUUGUGGUCAAACUUCCCGCUCGACCACCCAUCCUCACACUACUCCAACCCCAGCAUGCUUAACUUCUCCGUUCCUUCGGGAUGAGCUAUCAAGAAAGAAAUCAUAUCUUAGUGAUAAUAGUACCAUAUCAAUCAUAUUAACUCUUGGACUAUGGUGUCACACCUUUUUAUUUUUGAAUUCCAUACAAAUACUUAAAUACACAACAAUUAAUAAGUAAUAAUAAUAAUUUUCAAUUCAAAUAAAAUAAAUAAAUUAAUAUUUUUUCUUUUUUCUAUUUAAUAUGGAAUAUUUAAUAUCUUAAAUCCUUAAAUCUGAAUUUGACAAACAAUAUGUCUAAGCCUAUCAAAAAAUGAGGAGAAUCCAAAUAUAACAUCCAUAUCGUCUUGUGAACCUAAAAAAAUGAUAUUUCCAAAAAAAUCAUGAGCAUUAGAUCAUGUAUGUGUAGUUCAAAUUGACCAUAGUUCAGAUCGAGCAAUAGGUACAUGUAUUUUUUUUAAAAUAUAUGUACACCAUGUAUAUCGACUUGAAUCGUUAGUAUGUGACAUAAGAAGAUUAUGUGGGCAGGUUUUUCAUAUUUUUCAUAUUUUUUGAAUUUUUUAUGCUCAUUUCAAAAAAAUUUGAAAUGUGUAAUAUUUAAGUGUAUAUAGAGAGAUCUUAUUCUUCUGCAAAUUUGAUAUAUUAUUUGUAUUUAUCUGAAUCAUAAUGAUUCAGUUAUGAUUUUUCUAAAAUUAAUAUGAUAAAAUGGAAAAUAGCUAUGCCGACGCCGUAGCUUCAAAACCUAUGCCGAGGGCUUUGCCCUCGACGUAGACCCUCCGUCGUGACGCGGUCGUAACACUGUUAGCCUGGGCUGGCCUACACCGAGGCUGGCAUAUACCCCGAGGGCAGCUGUUGGCCCAGACAUGGGUUCACCGAGGGCCGAUCCUACGCCAAGGGCCGGGCGGGCGGGCGGGCUGGAUUGCCAGCCCUCUACGCCGACGGCCCCGAUGUUUUGCCGUCGGUGUAGAGGCUGGCCGUCGGCUCGAGACAUCAGUCCUGUAGUGGGUGAAGAUACACAAGUUGUUUUCAGCGAUUAUAAAAUAAAGUACAUUUAAGAAAAUGAGCAAAUCUCCGAGGUCUUUAAACUCUUCUUUUCCAUCACAGGCAGCCAAAUUGUCACGACAUAAAUACCAAACUAUAGGCUCGUAAAUACCGACGAUGGUUCUCCCGUAUUUUUAAAUCUGAGCCGCAAUGCCAAGGCUACGUGCAUGCGCGCAACCAUUAAACUAAUCACCCGACAUCAGCGAGAGCAACAACACCAGUAUUCCAGGGAAAAAGAUACCGAACAGCCUGGUCGACAUCGCUAGAGAUCCGAAAGUACGAAUCACCAUUGUCGAUGGUGUAGCAUCCGGGAUAAAUAUUACGAGGACUAGUUGAAUGCCCGUGCGUUGCAACGGCCUCUAAAAUAUUUUAUUUCUGCACAUGUAAGCAUAAUACAUCUUAAUAUUUUGUCGCAUAUAGAAAGGUAGAGAAAUAUAGUAUUCAAGAAACUAUAGAAUUAUACAUUUUGAUGUGAUUGGACAAAAAGUUAUAGUUUGAUUUCUAUGCAUAGUAAUAGAAAACCCAUCUACUCAUCUUAUUCUUAGUUAGGUGUGUUUAAACUGUAUUGUUAUCAGAUACGGUUAGUAUCUAGGAUUGUAGUUAUCUUGUAUAACAACCUGUACUUAUCCUCCUGUAAACCCUAGCGGCAGCCCUAGAGGCGCCCUAUAUAAUGAUCCAAUCUCUUCUCUCUUUGUUUCACAUGGUAUCAGGCCAUCGCAUAACUGCUCGAUGGGUUCUCCUUCCUCGGGCGCCAUGACUUCCUCGACCCUGGCUUCUCUGCCCAUGCCCUCUGGGCUCUCAGCGCCGACAUCUUCCGCUGUUCCCCAACCCUCUGCUAGCCUCAUUACCGCCAAGCUUACCUCCUCCAACUUCCUCCUCUGGAAAGCACAGAUCCUUCCUCCCCUUCGAAUCACCGGUGUCACUUGGCUAUGUCGAUGGCACCACCCCUACUCCUCCUCGCAUCCUCCCAACUGAUGACAAGGGGGGCGCGCUCCUAACCCGGAGUAUGCUGCCUGGUCCCGUCAGGAUCAGAUCAUCCUGAGCUAUCUUCUUGCCUCGCUCACCUCGACACCUCCCGCGUCAUCUGGGCGCAACUCGAGGAGAUGUAUGUUACCCACUGCCGUGCCAGUGUGGUGCAGAUCAAGAUGGACAUGAUGAACUUCCGCAAGGGCAACCUCUCCAUGGUGGACUACUUCGCCAAGAUCCUCUCCAAUGCAGAUCAACUCACCACCGCGGGCCGUCCCAUGUGCCAGGAGGACAUCAUCACCGCCUUCAUCACCGGGCUCGACAACGAGUACGGGCCCCUCAUCAUUGCCAUAUCCUUCGAACGCCGCCGCGACAACAAAUGCAACACCAACAACCGUGGCAAGGGACACUACCGCGACAAGGGUCGCGGCAACUCUGGUGACCGUGGUGACUACAACAACAACAACAACCGCGACGGGUACUGUGGUGACUGUGGUGGUGGUGGCAAUCGUCAGAACGGUAACCGUGGUGGUGACCGCGGUGACCAUGGCGGUGGCGGGGAUGCACGUCUACACUGCCAGCUCUGUCGGGGCCCUGGGCACUAUGCAUGGGAGUGCGCUUAGCGCUAGAACCACGCCUUCCAACCUCAACAGUCCAAGAUGGCGGGUCUCGCUGCCGCUUCACCACCAUCCAUCCUCAGUGACCCUAACUGGUCCACUGACACGGGGGCUACCGAUCAUAUCAUGUCGGAUCUGGACCGUCUCACCGUGAGGGAAAAGUACCCUGGACAGGACCACAUCCACACUGCCGAUGGAUCAGGUUUGCACAUAGCUCAUCGUGGUCAUGCCCUUCUUCCUACACCCUCUGUCAAUCUUAAACUUCGCAACAUAUUACAUGUUCCCAAUGCCGACAAGAACCUUCUUUCUGUUAGUCGUCUUGCCGUUGACAAUCAUGCUUAUCUAAAAUAUUAUCCUACUCAUUUUCUUAUGAAGGAUUUGACAACCAAGAAGGUUCUUCUUCGCGGCAGAUGUGCAAAUGGGCUCUAUCCCAUUCGGCCUUCACGUUCUCAUGUCUUGUCUUCAGUUAGGCUCUCCGCUGAAGAUUGACAUGCUAGACUCGGCCACCCGUCCACACAAGUUGUUCAGCAUGUUUUGGCGUCCAAUAAAUUAGCAUAAUCGAGUCGGGCUUUGGCCCAUGUGUGUAAUGCUUGUCAACAUGGCAAAGUACAUCAGCUACCUUUUCCUAGAUCUUUGAAUGUUUCCUCGUUUUCGUUGGAACUUAUUUUCUCAGAUGUGUGGGGACCUACCGAAACCUCCUCUGGUGGGUUCCAGUACUAUGUUUCAUGUAUUGAUGAUUAUAGUAAAUUUGUGUGGAUUUAUCUUCUCAAACAAAAGUGUGAUGUGUUUAAUGUCUUUCGUGAUUUUCUUGCCCAUGUUGAACGCCUCCUAUCUCGUAAAAUCCUGUGUGUUCAAUCAGACUGGGGUGGGGAAUACGAAAAACUUAGCAACACAUUUUUUCGGCAACUUGGCAUUGCUCACCACGUCUCUUGUCCACACACACACCAACAUAAUGGCUCGGCCGAAAGGAAGCACCGUCACAUUGUUGACAUGGGCCUCUCCUUAUUAUCGCAUGCGUCUAUGCCCCUCCAUUUUUGGGACGAGGCGUACUUGUCCGCAUGUUACUGAAGGAAAUAUGCCCUAGAGGCAAUAAUAAAGUUAUUAUUUAUUUCCUUAUAUCAUGAUAAAUGUUUAUUAUUCAUGCUAGAAUUGUAUUAACCAGAAACAUAAUACAUGUGUGAAUACAUAGACAAACAGAGUGUCACCAGUAUGCCUCUACUUGACUAGCUCGUUAAUCAAAGAUGGUUAUGUUUCCUAACCAUAGACAAAAGAGUUGUUAUUUGAGUAACGAGGUCACAUCAUUAGUUGAAUGAUCUGAUUGACAUGACCCAUUCCAUUAGCUUAGCACCUGAUCGUUUAGUAUGUUGCUAUUGCUUUCUUCAUGACUUAUACAUGUUCCUAUAACUAUGAGAUUAUGCAACUCCCGUUUGCCGGAGGAACACCUUGGGUGCUACCAAACGUCACAACGUAAUUGGGUGAUUAUAAAGGAGCAUUACAGGUGUCUCCAAAAGUAGAUGUUGGGUUGGCGUAUUUCGAGAUUAGGAUUUGUCACUCCGAUUGUUGGAGAGGUAUCUCUGGGCCCUCUCGGUAAUGCACAUCACAUAAGCCUUGCAAGCACUGCAACUAAUAUGUUAGUUGUGAGAUGAUGUAUUACGGAACGAGUAAAGAGACUUGCCAGUAACGAGAUUGAACUAGGUAUUGGAUACCGACGAUCGAAUCUCGGGCAAGUAACAUACCGAUGACAAAGGGAACAACGUAUGUUGUUAUGCGGUCUGACCGAUAAAGAUCUUCGUAGAAUAUGUAGGAGCCAAUAUGGGCAUCCAGGUCCCGCUAUUGGUUAUUGACCGGAGACGUGUCUCGGUCAUGUCUACAUUGUUCUCGAACCCGUAGGGUCCGCAUGCUUAAGGUUACGAUGACAGUUAUAUUAUGAGUUUACAUGUUUUGAUGUACCGAAGGAGUUCGGAGUCCCGGAUGAGAUUGGGGACAUGACGAGGAGUCUCGAAAUGGUCGAGACGUAAAGAUUCAUAUAUUGGAUGAUAUGGUUAGGCCAAGGGGUCAAGCCCAUGAGGCUUUAGAUCGGUGCAAAAGGAGUUUUGCGGAGUUCAGGGGGCCAAACGCCGGAGACCCUGGCGUCUGGCCCUGGGCCAGACGCCGAGGCCCAUGGCGUCUGGGCCAGACGCCAAGGAUUGUGGCGUUUGGUCCUGGAGUCCGAGUGGGACUCUUGCCUUUCGGGAAAAACCGACUUUGAGGAGGCUUUUGCUCCAAGUUUCGACCCCGGGGCUCAACAUAUAAAUAGAGGGGCAGGGCUAGCACCAAAGACACAACAAUUGAUCCCUUGGAUCUCUUAGCCGUGUGCGGUGCCCCCCUCCACCAUAGUCCACCUCGAUAAUAUCGUAGCGGUGCUUAGGCGAAGCCCUGCGACGGUAGAACAUCAAGAUCGUCACCACGCCGUUGUGCUGACGGAACUCUCCCUCGACACUCGGCUGGAUCGGAGUUCGAGGGACGUCAUCGAGCUGAACGUGUGCUAGAACUCGGAGGUGCCGUAGUUUCGGUGCUUGAUCGGUCGGGCCGUGAAGACGUACGACUACAUCAACCGCGUUGUGCUAAUGCUUCCGCUUACGGUCUACAAGGGUAUGUAGACAAUACUCUCCCCUCUCGUUGCUAUACAUCACCAUGAUCUUGCGUGUGCGUAGGAAAUUUUUUGAAAUUACUACGAAACCCUACAGUGGUAUCAGAGCCAAGUUCCGAUGUUGAUGUUAUAUGCACGAGUAGAACACAAGUGAGUUGUGGACGAUACAAGUCAUACUGCCUACCAGCAUGUCAUACUUUGGUUCGGCGGUAUUGUUGGACGAGACGACCCGGACCAACCUUACGCGUACGCUUACGCGAGACCGGUUCCCUCGACGUGCUUUGCACAUAGAUGGCUUGCGGGCGACUGUCUCGCCAACUUUAGUUGAACCGAGUAUAGCUACGCCCGGUCCUUGAGAAGGUUAAAACGGAGUCUAUUUGACAAACUAUCGUUGUGGUUUUGAUGCGUAGGUGAGAUUGGUUCUUACUUAAGCCCGUAGCAGCCACGUAAAACAUGCAACAACAAAGUAGAGGACGUCUAACUUGUUUUUGCAGGGCAUGUUGUGAUGUGAUAUGGUCAAAGCAUGAUGCUGAAUUUUAUUGUAUGAGAUGAUCAUGUUUUGUAACCGAGUUAUCGGCAACUGGCAGGAGCCAUAUGGUUGUCGCUUUAUUGUAUGCAAUGCAAUCGCGAUGUAAUGAUUUACUUUAUUACUAAAUGGUAGUGAUAGUCGUGGAAGCAUAAGAUUGGCGAGACGACAACGAUGCUACGAUGGAGAUCAAGGUGUCGCGCCGGUGACGAUGGUGAUCAUGACGGUGCUUUGGAGAUGGAGAUCACAAGCACAAGAUGAUGAUGGCCAUAUCAUAUCACUUAUAUUGAUUGCAUGUGAUGUUUAUCUUUUUAUGCAUCUUAUCUUGCUUUGAUUGACGGUAGCAUUAUAAGAUGAUCUCUCACUAAAUUAUCAAGAAGUGUUCUCCCUGAGUAUGCACCGUUGCCAAAGUUCGUCGUGCCCAGACACCACGUGAUGAUCGGGUGUGAUAAGCUCUACGUCCAUCUACAACGGGUGCAAGCCAGUUUUGCACACGCAGAAUACUCAGGUUAAACUUGACGAGCCUAGCAUAUACAGAUAUGGCCUCGGAACACGGAGACCGAAAGGUCGAGCGUGAAUCAUAUAGUAGAUAUGAUCAACAUAACGAUGUUCACCAUUGAAAACUACUCCAUCUCACGUGAUGAUCGGUCAUGGUUUAGUUGAUUUGGAUCACGUAAUUACUUAGAGAUUAGAGGGAUGUCUAUCUAAGUGGGAGUUCUUAAAUAAUAUGAUUAAUUGAACUUUAAUUUAUCAUGAACUUAGUCCUGGUAGUAUUUUGCAAAUUAUGUUGUAGAUCAAUAGCUCGCGUUGUUGCUUCCCUGUGUUUAUUUUGAUAUGUUCCUAGAGAAAAUCAUGUUGAAAAAUGUUAGUAGCAAUGAUGCGGAUUGGAUCCGUGAUCUGAGGUUUAUCCUCAUUACUACACAGAAGAAUUAUGUCCUUGAUGCACCGCUAGGUGACGGACCUAUUGCAGGAGCAGAUGCAGAUGUUAUGAACGUUUGGCUAGCUCAAUAUGAUGACUACUUGAUAGUUUAGUGCACCAUGCUUAAUGGCUUAGAAUCGGGACUUCAACGACGUUUUGAACGUCAUGGAGCAUAUGAGAUGUUCCAGGAGUUGAAGUUAAUAUUUCAAGCAAAUACCCGAGUUGAGAGAUAUGUAGUCUCGAAAAAGUUCUAUAGCUAAAAGAUGGAGGAGAAUCGCUCAACUAGUGAGCAUGUGCCCAGAUUGUCUGAGUACAACAAUCGCUUGAAUCAAGUGGGAGUUAAUCUUCCAGAUAAGAUAGUGAUUGACAGAAUUCUCUAGUCACCAUCACCAAUUUAGUAGAACUUCGUGAUGAACUAUGAUAUGCAAGGGAUAACGGGAACAAUUCCCAAGCUCUUCGUAAUGCGGAAAUUGACGAAGGUAGAAAUCGAGAAAAACAUCAAGUGUUGAUGGUAGACAAGACCACUAGUUUCAAGAAAAGGGCAGAAGGAAGAAGGGGAACUUCAAAUAGAAUGGCAAACAAGUUGCUGCUCAAGUGAAGAAGCCCAAGUCUGGUCCUAAGCCUGAGACUAAGUGUUUCUACUGUAAGCAGACUGGUCGCUGGAAGCGGAACUGCCCCAAGUAUUUGGCGGAUAAGAAGGAUGGCAAGGUGAACAAAGGUAUAUGUGAUAUACAUGUUAUUGAUGUGUACUUUACUAGUGUUUAUGGCAACCCCUCAGUAUUUGAUACUAGUUCAGUUGCUAAGAUUAGUAACUCGAAACGGGAGUUGCAGAAUAAACAGAGACUAGUUAAGGGUGAAGUGACGAUGUGUGUUGGAAGUGGUUCCAAGAUUGAUAUGAUCAUCAUCGCACACUCCUAUACUUUCGGGAUUAGUGUUGAACCUGAAUAAGUGUUAUUUGGUGUUUGCAUUAAGCAUGAUUAUGAUUUGAUCAUGUUUAUUGUAAUACGGUUAUUCAUUUAAGUAAGAGAAUAAAUUGUUGUUCUGUUUACAUGAAUAAAACCUUAUAUGGUUACACACCCAAUGAAAAUAGUUCGUUGGAUCUCGAUCGUAGUGAUACACAUAAUCAUAAUAUUGAAACCAAAAGAUGCAAAGUUAAUAAUGAUAGUGCAACUUAUUUGUAGCACUGCCGUUUAGGUCAUAUUGGUGUAAAGCGCAUGAAGAAACUCCAUGCUAAUGGGAUUUUGGAAUCACUUGAUUAUGAAUCACUUGAUGCUUGCGAACCAUGCCUUUUGGGCAAGAUGACUAAAACGCCGUUCUCCGGAACAAUGAAGCAAGCAACAGAUUUGUUGGAGAUCAUACAUACUGAUGUAUGUGGUCCGGUGAAUAUUAAAGCUUGCAGCAGGUAUCAUUAUUUUCUGACCUUCACAGAUGAUUUGAGCAGAUAUGGGGAUAUCUACUUGAUGAAACAUAAGUUUGAAACAUUUGAACAGUUCAAAGAAUUUCAGAGUGAAGUGGAAAAUCAUCGUGACAAGAAAAUAAAGUUUCUACGAUCUGAUCGCGGAGACAAAUAUUUGAGUUACGAGUUUGGUCUUCAAUUAAAACAAUGUGGAAUAGUUUCACAAACUCAUGCCACAUGGAACACCACAGCAUAAUGGUGUGUCCGAACGUCAUAACCGUACUUUAUUAGAUAUAUAGUGCAAUCUAUGAUGUCUCUUACGGAUCUACCACUAUCGUUUUGGGGUUAUGCAUUAAAGACAGCUACAUUCACAUUAAAUAGGGCACCAUCUAAAUCCGUUGAGGCGACACCAUAUGAACUAUGGUUUGGCAAGAAACCUGAGCUGUCGUUUCUUAAAUUUUGGGGUUGCAAUGCUUAUAUGAAAAAAUUUCAUCCUGAUAAGCUCAAACUCAAAUCGGAGAAGUGCGUCUUCAUAGGAUAUCCAGAGGAAACUAUUGGAUACACCUUCUACCACAGAUCCGAAGGCAAGACUUUUUUUGCUAAAUUCGGAAACUUUCUGGAGAAGGGGUUUCUCUUGAAAGAAGUGAGUGGGAGGAAAGUAGAACUUGACGAGGUAACUGUACCUGCUCCCUUAUUGGAAAGUAGUACAUCACAGAAAACUGUUUUUUGUGACACCUACACCAGUUAGUGAGGAAGCUAAUGAUGAUGAUCAUGAAACUUCAGAACAAGAUACUACUGAACCUCGUAGAUCAACCAGAGUAAGAUUCGCGCCAGAGUGGUACGGUAAUCCUGUUCUGAAAGUCAUGCUACUAGAUCAUGAUGAAACCUACGAACUAUGAAGAAGCGAUGAUGAGCCCAGAUUCCGCAAAGUGGCUUGAAGCCAUGAAAUCUGAGAUGGGAUCCAUGUAUGAGAACAAAGUAUGGACUCUGGUUGACUUGCCCGAUGAUCGGCAAGCAAUUGAGAAUAAAUGGAUCUUUAAGAAGAAGACUGACGCUGAUGGUAAUGUUACUGUCUACAAAGCUUGACUUGUCGCAAAAGGUUUUCGGCAAGUUCAAGGGAUUGACUACGAUGAGACCUUCUCACCCGUAGCGAUGCUUAAGUCCGUCCGAAUCAUGUUAGCAAUUGCCGCAUUUUAUGAUUAUGAAAUUUGGCAGAUGGAUGUCAAAACUGCAUUCCUGAAUGGAUUUCUGGAAGAAGAGUUGUAUAUGAUGCAACCGGAAGGUUUUUGUCGAUCCAAAGGGAGCUAACAAAGUGUGCAAGCUCCAGCGAUCCAUUUAUGGACUGGUGCAAGCCUCUCGGAGUUGGAAUAAACGUUUUGAUAGUGUGAUCAAAGCAUUUGGUUUUAUACAGACUUUCGGAGAAGCCUGUAUUUACAAGAAAGUGAGUGGGAGCUCUACAACAUUUCUGAUAAGUAUAUGUGAAUGGCAUAUUGUUGAUCGGAAAUAAUGUAGAAUUAUUCUGUAAAGCAUAAAUGGAGUGUUUGAAAGGAGUUUUUCAAAGAAAGACUUCGGUGAAGCUACUUACAUAUUGAGUUUCAAGAUCUAUAGAGAUAGAUCAAGACGCUUGAUAAGUUUUUUCAAUGAGUACAUACCUUGACAAGAUUUUGAAGUAGUUCAAAAUGGAACAGUCAAAGAAAGAGUUCUUGCCUGUGUUACAAGGUGUGAAGUUGAGUAAGACUCAAAGCCCGACCACGGCAAAAAAAAUAGAAAGAGAAUGAAAGUCAUUUCCUAUGCCUCAGUCAUAGGUUCUAUAAAGUAUGCCAUGCUGUGUACCAGAUCUAUUGUAUACCCUGCACUGAGUUUGGCAAGGGAGUACAAUAGUGAUCUAGGAGUAGAUCACUAGACAGCGGUCAAAAUUGUCCUUAGUGGAAUAAGGAUAUGUUUCUCUAUUAUGGAAGUGAAAAAAGGUUCGUCGUAAAGGGUUACGCCGAUGCAAGUUUGACACUAAUCUAGAUGACUCUAAGUCUCGAUCUAGAUACAUAUUGAAAGUGGGAGCAAUUAGCUAGAGUAGCUCCAUGCAGAGCAUUGUUGACAUAGAAAUUUGCAAAAUACAUGAGGAUCUGAAUGUGGCAGACCCGUUGACUAAGAUUCUCUCACAAGCAAAACAUGAUCACACCUUAGUACUCCUUGGGUGUUAAUCACAUAGCGAUGUGAACUAGAUUACUGAAUCUAGUAAACCCUUUGGGUGUUGGUCACAUAGCGAUGUGAACUAUGGGUGUUAAUCACAUGGUGAUGUGAACUAUUGCUGUUAAAUCACAUGGCGAUGUGAACUAGAUUAUUGACUCUAGUGCAAGUGGGAGACUGAAGGAAAUAUGCCCUAGAGGCAAUAAUAAAGUUAUUAUUUAUUUCCUUAUAUCAUGAUAAAUGUUUAUUAUUCAUGCUAGAAUUGUAUUAACCGGAAACAUAAUACAUGUGUGAAUACAUAGACAAACAGAGUGUCACUAGUAUGCCUCUACUCGACUAGCUCGUUAAUCAAAGAUGGUUAUGUUUCCUAACCAUAGACAAAAGAGUUGUUAUUUGAGUAACGAGGUCACAUCAUUAGUUGAAUGAUCUGAUUGACAUGACCCAUUCCAUUAGCUUAGCACCUGAUCGUUUAGUAUGUUGCUAUUGCUUUCUUCAUGACUUAUACAUGUUCCUAUAACUAUGAGAUUAUGCAACUCCCGUUUGCCGGAGGAACACCUUGGGUGCUACCAAACGUCACAACGUAACUGGGUGAUUAUAAAGGAGCAUUACAGGUGUCUCCAAAAGUAGAUGUUGGGUUGGCGUAUUUCGAGAUUAGGAUUUGUCACUCCGAUUGUCGGAGAGGUAUCUCUGGGCCCUCUCGGUAAUGCACAUCACAUAAGCCUUGCAAGCACUGCAACUAAUAUGUUAGUUGUGAGAUGAUGUAUUACGGAACGAGUAAAGAGACUUGCCAGUAACGAGAUUGAACUAGGUAUUGGAUACCGACGAUCGAAUCUCGGGCAAGUAACAUACCGAUGACAAAGGGAACAACGUAUGUUGUUAUGCGGUCUGACCGAUAAAGAUCUUCGUAGAAUAUGUAGGAGCCAAUAUGGGCAUCCAGGUCCUGCUAUUGGUUAUUGACCGGAGACGUGUCUCGGUCAUGUCUACAUUGUACUCGAACCCGUAGGGUCCGCACGCUUAAGGUUACGAUGACAGUUAUAUUAUGAGUUUACAUGUUUUGAUGUACCGAAGGAGUUCGGAGUCCCGGAUGAGAUUGGGGACAUGACGAGGAGUCUCGAAAUGGUCGAGACGUAAAGAUUCAUAUAUUGGAUGAUAUGGUUAGGCCAAGGGGUCAAGCCCAUGAGGCUUUAGAUCGGUGCAAAAGGAGUUUUGCGGAGUCCAGGGGGCCAAACGCCGGAGACCCUGGCGUCUGGCCCUGGGCCAGACGCCGAGGCCCAUGGCGUCUGGGCCAGACGCCAAGGAUUGUGGCGUUUGGUCCUGGAGUCCGAGUGGGACUCUUGCCUUUCAGGAAAAACCGACUUUGAGGAGGCUUUUGCUCCAAGUUUCGACCCCGGGGCUCAACAUAUAAAUAGAGGGGCAGGGCUAGCACCAAAGACACAACAAUUGAUCCCUUGGAUCUCUUAGCCGUGUGCGGUGCCCCCCUCCACCAUAGUCCACCUCGAUAAUAUCGUAGCGGUGCUUAGGCGAAGCCCUGCGACGGUAGAACAUCAAGAUCGUCACCACGCCGUCGUGCUAACGGAACUCUCCCUCGACACUCGGCUAGAUCGGAGUUCGAUGGACGUCAUCGAGCUGAACGUGUGGUAGAACUUGGAGGUGCCGUAGUUUCGGUGCUUGAUCGGUCGGGCCGUGAAGACGUACGACUACAUCAACCGCGUUGUGCUAACGCUUCCGCUUACGGUCUACAAGGGUAUGUAGACAAUACUCUCCCCUCUCGUUGCUAUAUAUCACCAUGAUCUUGUGUGUGCGUAGGAAAUUUUUUGAAAUUACUACGAAACCCUACAGUUACCUUAUCAACCGACUACCUAGCCGCGUCAUUGGCAAUAUGAGUCCCAUGGAAAAACUGUUUUCCACCAAGCCUGACUACGUAUCUCUUCGCACGUUCGGGAGUGCAUGUUGGCCUAACUUGCGCCCGUAUUGUUGGGGAACGUUGCAGAAAAUUAAAAUUUUUCCCACGGUUUCACCAAGAUCCAUCUAUGAGUUCAUCUAGCAACGAGUCAUGGGAGAGUGAUUGUAUCUACAUACCACUUGUAGAUCGCGUGCGGAAGCGUUCAAGUGAACAGGGUUGAUGGAGUCGUACUCGUCGUGAUUCAAAUCACCGAUGACCUAGUGCCGAACGGACAGCACCUCCGCGUUCAACACACGUACGGAGCGGAUGACGUCUCCUCCUUCUUGAUCCAGCAAGGGGGAAGGAGAGGUUGAUGAUGAUCCAGCAGCACGACGGCGUGGUGGUGGAUGCAGCAGAACUCCGGUAGGGCUUCGCUAAGCGACUACGGGAGGAGGAGGAGGUGUAGCAGGAAGGGGAGGCGCCAAGGGCUUCAGGGUGCGGCCACCCCUCCCUCCCCUCCCUUUAUAUAGGUGCAAGAGAGGGGGGAGGGCGCAGCCUUGCCCCUUCCUCCAAGGAAGGGGUGCGGCCAGGAGGGGGGAGGAGUCCAUCCUCCCCAAGGCACCUCGGAGGUGCCUUCCCCUCUUAGGACUCUCCCCUCCCCUAGUCUCCUUGGCGCAUGGGCCUCUUGGGGCUGGUGCCCUUGGCCCAUAUAGGCCAAGGCGCACCCCCACAGCCCAUGUGGCCCCCCCCGGGGCAGGUGGACCCCCCCGGUGGACCCUCGGACCCCUUACGGCACUCCCGGUACAAUACCGAUAAAGUGCGAAACUUCUCCGGCGAUCAAAAUAAGACUUCAUAUAUAUAAAUCUUUACCUCCGGACCAUUCCGGAACUCCUCGUGACAUCCGAGAUCUCAUCCGGGACUCCGAACAACAUUCGGUUUGCUGCAUACUCAUAUUCAUACAACCCUAGCGUCACCGAACCUUAAGUGUGUAGACCCUACGGGUUCGGGAGACAUGCAGACAUGACCGAGACGUUCUCCGGUCAAUAACCAACAGCGGGAUCUGGAUACCCAUGUUGGCUCCCACAUGUUCCACGAUGAUCUCACCGGAUGAACCACGAUGUCAAGGACUCAAUCAAUCCCGUGUACAAUUCCCUUUGUCUAACGGUAUUGUACUUGCCCGAGAUUCGAUCGUCGGUAUACCGAUACCUUGUUCAAUCUCGUUACCGGCAAGUCUCUUUACUCGUUCCGUAACACAUCAUCCCGUGAUCAACCCCUUGGUCACAUUGUGCACAUUAUGAUGAUGUCCUACCGAGUGGGCCCAGAGAUACCUCUCCGUUUACACGGAGUGACAAAUCCCAGUCUCGAUUCGUUCCAACCCAACAGACACUUUCGGAGAUACCUGUAAUGCACCUUUAUAGCCACCCAGUUACAUUGUGAUGUUUGGUACACCCAGAGCAUUCCUACGGUAUCCGGGAGUUGCACAAUCUCAUGGUCUAAGGAAAAGAUACUUCACAUUAGAAAAGCUUUAGCAUACGAACUACGAUCUUUGUGCUAGGCUUAGGAUUGGGUCUUGUCCAUCACAUCAUUCUGCUAAUGAUGUGAUCCCGUUAUCAACGACAUCCAAUGUCCAUGGUUAGGAAACCGUAACCAUCUAUUGAUCAACGAGCUAGUCAACAGAGGCUUACUAGGGACAUGGUGUUGUCUAUAUAUCCACACAUGUAUCUGAGUUUCCUAUCAAUACAAUUAUAGCAUGGAUAAUAAACGAUUAUCAUGAACAAGGAAAUAUAAUAAUAACAACCAAUUUAUUAUUGCCUCUAGGGCAUAUUUCCAACACGUAUAACACUCAGAAACUUGCGUUUAGAUCACAAUAGUGUGUGUUUGUCGGGUACAUCAUUCGUCACAAAGGAUAUAAAUGUCUUCACGUACCUACCGCUCGUGUAUAUAUAUAUCACGAGAUCUUAUCUUUGAUGAACAUUUUUUUCCUUUUACCAAUGGCCAACCCUCUCCAAUACCACCUCACGUUGCUGAACAUGCAAUCCUUUUAUUUCCACAUGACCACAUGAACUAUGGCGCAUCUGUUUCUCGAACUAAUCUGGAUGCAGGUACCGAUUCAGUGCAGAAAAUCCCAUCUCCAGACUCCCUGACAGAUCCUGUGUCCCAAUCCGCCGCCGCAUCAGCCUAGGAUCACGCGCCGCCUGGAGACAACGACGUGGAGGCAGCUGACCACGUGACGAUAGGUGACAGCGCACUAGGUGACCGCGCUGGGCCCGGGUCUCCGCCACCCACCAAUCCCGUAUCCCCUGAGGGCGAGUGGACCAGGGCGUCUCUCGCGUCGGCUCCUGCAUGUGCGCGUCCGACCCACAUUGUGGCGGGGCCCACCCCUGCGCGGGCCGCUGUGUCUCCCGAUUUGCCCCAGGCCGCUGUCCACCUGGCGCCCGCGGAGCGGGCCGUUGCUGCUGGCGGCGCUGGAUCCUAGAUGGAUCUGGCGGCUGCGUCGUCUUCCUCGCCCGACACGGGAUCCCACGGGGAUUCGCCGGCGCGCUUGUCUGCAUGCGUCCCGCCCGGAUCCUCUAUGGCCACCGGAUCUUCUACUCCGCCUGUGCAUACAAUGACGAUGCGCACACGUGAUCACACUCACAAACCGCUGUAGCGCACUGAUGGUACUGUCACGUACGAUCCGUCCCGUCGUGCAUUCUUGGCACUGCGGGAAUCGUGAAGCGGUCUCUUCUCCAGAGUGGCGUCUGGCAAUGCAACUUGAGCUCGAUGCUCUCCGACAGAAUGGUACCUGGACUUUGGUACCUCCUCCUCCUUGUGUCAACGUCAUUGAUUGCAAAUCAGUGUUCAAGAUCAAACACAAACCUAAUGGAACUGUUGAUCGUUACAAGGCACGUCUGGUCGCAAAGGGGUUCAAACAACGCUAUGGCUUGGACUAUGACGAUAUGUUCAGUCCGGUCGUUAAACCUGUCACUGUGCGACUGGUUCUCUCCAUUACAGUUUCUCGUGGAUGGUGUUUGCGACAGUUGGAUGUUCAAAAUGCUUUCCUUCAUGGCAUUCUCCAAGAAGAAGUAUACAUGCGCCAACCUCCUGGUUUUGUGAACCCCUCGGUGCCUCAUCAUUUGUGCAAACUUCGCAAGGCUCUCUAUGGGCUUAAAUAGGCUCCUCGAGUGUGGUAUUAUCGGCUGAGUUCUAGGCUCCAACAACUUGGUUUUAUAGCAUCCAAAGCUGACAGGUCCCUCUUUGUCUACAACCGGUGUGGUGUUACUAUUUUCAUGCUUGUGUAUGUAGACGACAUUAUUGUCUCCAGCUCCUCUCCCGCUACUACUACCAAGUUACUUGCUGAUCUCCAAGCCUCCUUUGCUCUCAAGGAUCUCGGCUCUCUGCAUUAUUUUCUUGGAGUCCAUGUGGAGUCAUCGCCAGGGGGAAUUGUUCUAUCUCAGCAGAAGUAUAUCAGCGAUAUUCUUCGUCAUGCCAACAUGGAGAAUUGCAAAGUCUCUACCACGCCGAUGUCCUCCAGUGAGAAAAUUAGCAAGGAUAGUGGAACACCACUUUCUCAGGAUGAUAGCACCAAAUAUCGCAGCUUGGUUGGAGCUCUCCAGUAUCUGACACUCACGAGGCCAGACAUUUCUUUUGCAGUUAACCGUGUUUGUCAGUUCCUUCAUGCACCUACGACUGCACACUUUUCAGCUGCAAAGAGGAUUUUGAGAUACUUGAAGUAUACUCACAAUAUGGGCUUGUCUAUUCGAAAGUCACCCUCCAUGUUGUUAAGCUGUUUUCCAGAUGCAGACUGGGCUGGAUGCAGUGAUGAUCGCCGAUCCGCAGGUGGCUUUGCAGUUUUUCUUGGACCUAACCUUGUCUCGUGGAGUUCAAGAAAGCAAGCUACGGUGUCUAGGUCAAGCAUGGAGUCUGAAUAUAAGGCACUUGCGAAUGGAUUAGCUGAGGUCAUAUGGAUACAGUCGGUCCUUCGUGAACUUGGGGUCUUCCUCUCUCGACCUCCUGUUAUGUAGUGUGACAAUCUAGGAGCCACUUAUUUAUCUGCGAAUCCGGUAUUCCAUGCCAGAACCAAGCACAUAGAAGUGGACUUCCACUUUGUUCGUGAACGAGUUGCAGCCAAGGAGCAAGUUGCAGAUAUAUAUCUUCCAAGGAGAAAGUUGCAGAUAUAUUCAAAAAGCCUCUAGCUGAGGUGCCGUUUGUUUUAAAUAGGCACAAUAUGAAUCUUUGGGUAGGAAGUUCAGAUUGAGGGGGAAUGUUAAACUGUAUAGUUAUCAGAUAUGGUUAGUAUCUAGGAUUGUAGUUAUCAUUGUAUAACAACUUGUACUUAUCCUCCUGUAAACCCUAGCGGCAUCCCUAGAGGCGCCCUAUAUAAUGAUCCUGAGACCACCGCAUUAGGUGUGUCGAUCCAAUCUCUUCUCUCUUUGUUUCACAAUGUGUCCGUGGGUUGUAUGAAAUAAAACCAUAAAUUUACACACUAUUGUAUCGAUUGAGAACUCAAGAGCAAGGCCCGUUUCCAACCUCGUCUCGGCAAACGUGGUUUCUUCCUCAUCAUGCUUCUCUCACCAACGACCACCAUGAAGCCAUUGCUUUUCUCUCUCCAUGAUCUUUGGUCCUUCUCCACCAGCAAUGUGAAAAAAGGCAAUAUGCCAGCUUCAUACUCCAUGGUCUUUCUUUUGAGCUUCAAGGUAGUAUGAUAGUAUAAUCAGUGUACAGUACUGUCCAAGACCGAACCAAACUGGUUCAUAUAGCUGUAAAAAUCUCUUGUGAUCAACAACAAAACUAAUGCUAAUAUUCAGGAUUUCAAACUUCAAGCAUUUGGAGAUAAACCAACAAAAAGAAAAACUGAGCGGCGGUGUCAAAAGUAAUUGUUGACCUUUGUCAAAUUGACUGCAUGCUUUUAAAUCAAGAUCAUGCAACUAAGACUUGCAUCUCAAUAAAACCAUAUCAGUUGCACAUGCAGAUGAGAAAAAUAGGAAAUACUCUAUUCCAUUCAAGGGUUGUAUGUCAAUUAUUAAAACGCAAGCACAUUAUAAGUCACAAACCUCCAACGCGCAGAUAAUUUCGGAAAUGCCUAAACCUUAGAUAAUUUGGGAAAGGAGGGUGGCUACAGUCCCCUUGGCUGAUAUACAUAGGUCUAGCUGUAACAUCUUUGGGCAAAGCAUCAUUUGCAACUGGUAACCACAGAAUAUGUAUUUAGCGCUCCUACAGAAGAAAAGAAAAGAAAAGGAUUAAAAAGGGAAUGCCGCCUUCAUAGGUCACAAACCUCGAAUUGUCAAUAUCUUCUUGUGAAUGUACACAUAUUUGAAAUACUUGAAGCGGCUAGGAUAAUGUUCUUAAAAAUGGGUUGCUUCAGAGAUAAGAAACUAAUACUGCAGUCAGACCAAAAGGAAAUUCAAGGGCACAAAAUACUUCCAGCAGGCCUUUGCAAAUUGGCAAUUAAUUAAGAAAAGGUGAUGUAUUGACUCAGGAGCCUGGAAUCCACACAUGACGCAGAAGUUUAAUUCAAGGACGGGGAAGUAAGAAUAAGACCACGUACGUACUAACAAAAGAGGGGAUCAAGGAGGAGCUGUAAAAUCCAAAUGAAAAUAUCAAUACAUAAUGAACAGCACCAUUGCGUUGAAAUACCACAAGUCGCUGCUAGUAAGAUUACAUAUGCCGGCUCUCUUGGACAACAAAACCUAAGUCAGGAUUCGACUACGCACGAUUAAUUUGUUGUGUUUGACGUUCCUCUUCCUCUCUUUUUUUUAUGAAGAAUCACAGAGUGUUUUAUUCCAGGAUGAUAGAGUUACAAUCUUCAGCGACUAAUUUGCUAAUGCAUGGGGUGGAUGGCCCAGCCAACCUGCUGUGCUAUCACCGACACUAUGAAAUCAAUCUUCCAAACUGCAGAAUUGUAAAGUACAGCUCAGACCUACAGGGCAGGACCGGCUAGCUAAACGGCCACGCUGGAUGAUAUGUUAUCACGUUCCCCGCGGCCGCGCCAUGAACUCCAAAUCUGGCGAAACCACCUACCGUCGCACAAGGCGCCGUCGGUCGUGGAACACGCGGUCUGCAGGUCACAUCGGUCCAGGCCUUGUUGGGUUCACGCGGUCCAGAUGACAUGCACGCCCGCCAAGCAAUUGAGAAAGAGAGAGCCAUGCACGCACGCGAAGCACGCUGCCCUGUGACAACGAGGAUGAUCAUGCAUGCAUGUCAGAGAGCAGAGAGCAGAGACGUCUGUCACUUGUGUAGAUGGUAGGUUCUGCUGGUUGGCGGUCACGCUAUGCAGACCGCGUGUUCCACGACCGGGCCAAAUUUCGUGUUCUGACCCUUUUUCAAUACAAAUUUAGGAUCUGACCCCGGUUCCAAAAAAUUUCGAGAUCUGACCAUUCCGCUACCGCUAUGGGCUCUGACAGUAUGGUUAGACAUACUACCGCCAGGGUCCAUGGCGGUAGGGUGCGACGGAGGGCGACGGAGGGCAACGGCCGCCGUUUGCUCGAGCUGACGUGGACAAGUAGCCUACCGCCAGGGACCAUGGCGGUAGCAUGUUAGACCUUACCGCCUGACCGCUUGGCGGUAAGGUGUGGCUGGGGUUUUGCCUCCCAAGUUUCUGUAACGAAAUAUCGAGGUGCCCUGACGGUAGGUACGUUCGUCCUACCGUCAGGGUCCUUGGCGGUAGGGUCCUGUGUUCUAUGGUUUAUAAGUUUAUUUUUGCUUCUUUUCAGAAACAAUAUAGGCCCUAAAAUAUGAGCUCGCAUUUUUUUAGUGAUUGUUUAUUUUGUAAAAUAUGAGCUCACAAAGAAAGCCAACAAACGGUUUCACAUAGUUUGUUUUGUUACAAGUUUCACAUCACAAAUAGUAAAAUAUGAGCUCACAUAAUGAUGAUGGUUCCACAUAGCAAUUAUCAAACAGUUUACAGAUAAUAGAUUCAUAAGUAGGGAAUAGCAAAUAGCAAACUUGUCCACAUAGUUUGACAAACCCUACAAAAACAGAGAUAUAUAUUCAAUCGACAUGUUUAUGGGGCNNNNNNNNNNNNNNNNNNNNNNNNNNNNNNNNNNNNNNNNNNNNNNNNNNNNNNNNNNNNNNNNNNNNNNNNNNNNNNNNNNNNNNNNNNNNNNNNNNNNNNNNNNNNNNNAUGGCCGUGGAGACAGAUACGGCAGCGGAUCCACCGGUUCAGGCGGAGGCGAAACGCUGGUCGGCAUCCGACCAUUCAAGCAGUCCCACCUUGGCUUGCCCGCUGGAGUUUUCGCCUCAGCCCUUGGCCAGUUGAUGAUAUCGAAGCCGAUGCACUUGGGGGCGCAUCCUGGCUCUCUCCUCCUCAUUGCUCUCGAAAUAGAUCCUCCGGCCCAAAUUGCGCAGCUCGACACUACUAGGAAAAGGCAUGCUAGUGAUGCACCAGUUUUGCCUACUAAUGGCGCACUACUGGUGCGCCACUAGCAUCACGCCAUUAGAAUUAAAUUCUAAUGGCGCACCACUGGUGUGCCAUUAGUAUCUGGUGUUCUAAUGGCGCACCAAUCAGUGCGCCAUUAGUAUAGCCCACAGUGCGCCAUUAGAAUGCCUCCCAGGGGGUCGUAUGUACCCAUGUGCUUUGGCUUACUAAUGGCGCACCAGUGGGUGAUGCGCCAUUAGUGUGAUUAUCACAGUGCGCCAUUAGUGUCUUGUGUGGUGCGCCAUUAGUAUUAAUAUUAGAUUUUUUUUUGUUUUUUUCUAAUUUUUUCACAGGUUACAAAAUAUAUUAUUUGACAGAAUAUAGACAACACCACACAGCAACAGCAGAUUCAUCGAAUACAAUAGAAGGUAAGUCUCCGAAUAUAAUUCAUCAUAUUAGUCUCCGAAUACAAAAGACCGAACGAAGAUAGAACAUUACAAGUCUCGUAGACCGCGAGUAGCGAGUUUGUCUUCACAUUACAAGUCGAUAUCGAUCAUCUAAACUACCAUCACAUAGAAGAGAGCUGCGGUCAUCACGAUGAGCAUCAUCGCGAUGAAACUGGUCUUCACCCGGUUCCCCCAACGCUCCCUCCUCUCUCCCGCUAGAUAGCGGGCGUAUCUAGAUUCCGUCUCCGCCCUAGUGGUGUAUCCUUUGUAACUGUUACCGCUGAAACGGUGAACCUGUCUCCGACACUCCUCCCAGUCGUCGUAGACUCCGGGAACCUUACCCUUGUAUACGACAUACGAAGGCAUCUCUAUGCACAAGCCAAACAACAUACAAUACAUCAGCAAUAUAUAAGUAUGCAACAAAAGGAUCGGAAGAGAAAAGCAAGACACUAAUAACACGAUUCAUGGUCCUACUAAUAAAUAGCAUCGAUUACAUCUAAGUUGAACGACUGUCCAAACCGAAGAGACAUACAAGUUCAUUAAAGUUUAAUUACAACAUGAGCUAAUCGAUGUUUCAGAACUACAAAUAGCAUCACUACUUUCGACUUGACUCAUGGGACCGGAGCGUGGAUGAAGCCGCCAUCUUUCGUGAUGGUCAUGAAGUCGCGGGCGUUGUCAGCCUGCAUUUGAAGUGUUGUGUCUAUCUCACUGUUGGGCGGUUGCUCUCUGAGGUAGAACUGCCCCGAGGUACGAAGGACAUCUUGAUGGAUGAUUUCUGCAAACUCCGACUGGAUGCGAAAGAAUUCUUGUCGGAGGUCCGCGUCCUGGAUUGCCGCCAAGCUUGCGGCCCAAUCUUUGACAUUAUUUGGUAACAGAAGGUGAUUAUGGUCCCGUACGAUCGCCCUCAUGUGAUGGAGGGCGUAGUAGGCAUCCUUCUGACCGCCAGGCGGCUGCUUGACGCAGGGGAACGUCGUACUGUGGGUGAACACGUGUUUGCCAUACCUACGAUCUGGCCUCUUAAAGGUGCCUCCAGAUGUGGCAUAGCCAGGGAGAGCAUCAUCAAGAACUUUCUUGAUAUUUGUAUAGUCUAUCUUGGAGUCACGGUCCGAGUCGAAAUACGUGGUCGUGGAAUAUUUCGGGCUUAAGAGGAUGAGUUUGCAAUGUGUGUCACUGCACAAAACACGGAAUGUUAGAAAAAAAAGAACGAUCGAAAGCUAAGAAAUCAUAUUUUACGGGGCGGUGAGGGGAUGACUUACUCGGGAAAGUAAGGGACGAGGAAGUUAUCCUUAUCUGGGUUUGCCAGAAUGACGCCUUCGAGGUGUGAACUCGCGACUUGCCGGUCCCCAGCGCUGCCCAAGAUCUUGGCACGCAUGUAGAAGGGGUCGACUAUCACGAUGUCCGGGGUCUUGUCUCGAAUGAUCCGCAUCUCCAUACUCAGCGAAAACAGCCGAACGAAGGUGUAGUGCAGCGGAUGAAGAUUAAACAUAGCAAAGAUGCCAUCAAACCGCAGGACGAUCGUACCCCCAAUGGCCAUCCACAAAGCCCUUGCCCUCUGGCACCUUGGCCAUGAAAACCGGGUAUGCCACAUCAUUCUGGGAGAGACACAUCUUCUCCAAAGAAAGAACACUGUCAUGCGGACUCCGCAUAGCACCGGUUGCAGCAUUGAGCAUAUUUGUCGGUAGCAUCGCCCUACCCGCCACAUGCACCCUCCUCGAGAUAUCCUGAGGUGAAGGUGGCCCGUCCUGAGCACGGAUCGUACUCGGUGCCGGCUAGCUCGCAUCGGCGCCCUUGGCAGUCUUUCGUUUCUGUCCCUUCUUCUUGAUCUGCUGUAAUGGGACCGAUUUCUGAUCACAGACCGCCUUCUUGAGCGUGUUGGGGCUGAUAAUAUUUCGCACCUCAGCUAUCUGAGGCUCGGUGAAGGCAGGAGCUGGAGGCGUCUCCUGAGAACUGAACGCCAGACGACGCCUGUUGCAAUUGGAUUUCUCAGCCGUACCAGCUAGAUCGCGGUCGUCUUGGCUGGGUUCUUGAGAAGGAGGCCCACCGAACUCGUCACCGUACCCAUGUUCGGCAAAGUACUUAUCAUCGUUGGUAAAUGUACCAUCGUCGUUGUCAUCGUCGUCCGGAUCCUGUGCCAUAUGCAUGUCCAGAUCCUGUGCCAUAGGGAUGUCUGGCAUGCCCGGUAGCGUUGCGGCGUUCUUGCCAUGGCGCGGCGCUAGCACGACUAGCGGUCUUGUCUGUGGGGUGGUGUCCCCCGCCCCCAAACGAAUCUGGCUCUUCGGCCAAAGCAAGGGCCAGCUUAGGCAGGUGCUGAUGGUCAUCAGAUCUUCUUCAUCGGCCCCGGCGGGUUGAAUCAGAGGUAACAACUCGUCGCAGCCUGGCAGCACCCGAACCAGUUGAAUCCUAUACACGGUGGGUGGCAUCGGUUUACCGUGGAACACGGGGUUGCCCGGUUGAACGAUUUUGCCCUUGGCGACAUCGACCAACUCGUCAUUCACGAAGUGCAGGAGAGUGCACGGAACGUCGGCGGUGCCCUGCGAAAACAUGUAGGGCGUCAGGGAUGCCCAGUCAAAGGCAAAAGGAGAUGAAGUCCUCGACCGAGAGGCUUAAUUAGUUACCGUGAUGAUGGCGUCGAGCUCGGCUAAUGUCGAGGCACCGCCAACGGCGGGCGUGCAAAUGACGGAGGGGCCACUUGCUGGCAAGGUGCCGGCCGGCGUAAACCCGGGUGUAUUAAGCUCCAAUGCCCGUGCCGGCGCCAGAGACACCAAUACCGCCGCCGCCGAUGACACCAAUGGCGCCGCCGGAGACACUAAUGGCGCCGCUUGCGUGUUGUGCGAGUUGCUGGCUGUGAAGCUGGGAAUCGGGGGCGGCCCCUGUUGGCCACCCGCAAUCCACGUUGUCAGCCCAUGAAUCAAGGUAGGCAUAAUGCCGGUGAGCGUCGUUCCCAGUUGUUGUUGCACUUGCUCUUGGAUAAUCUCCGGAAUCCGCACCACUUGUGCCUUGAGUUCUUCAACCUCGCGCGACUGGCUUUCUGGGCUGGUCUUUUUCUCCUUUCGCCCACCAGCAGUAUAGUAUGAGGACCAUUUUGUGAACAAGCCUUUGUCGGCCACACGACCAGCUGACGACGGCUUACUGAGCUUAUCCUUAUUUUUCAUUACGUUCAACGCCCUAUUUAGAGUGAUGUCCCAAGCAGGGGUGCUCUGAGACGACCCCGCGCUGCUGCUUUUAGUCUCCUUCGCCAGAACAAGCUCAAGCGUACUGGUCUUCGGAUCCGUGGUAAGAUCCUUUGUUAUCGGGUCCUCCUUGCAUCGGGCCCUGACAAAGUUCCUGGUCUGCAUGUCACUGCUGUAUUUCUUGAAGCGGGACGGUAGGCCUUGCUCGGCACGCUCCGCGUCCUCCUUGUCCCAUAUAGGUUCCACCACUCUAUAACCGCCGGGACCAAGUUUGUGUUCCCCUAAGUUCAACUCCCGCAUUUCUUUCCCCCACUGACUUGAUUCGGAGGUUUCACUGCUCUCGCACUUGAUCUUGAACUCCUUGUAGUCAUCUUCGCUGAUCGAAGGAUUUUCUGCCUUGAUCUUCUCAUAACUAUCACCUUUCUCAAUCAUUCUCUUCACCGCGUUUCUCCAAGUAGACAGGGUCGUGCUCAUGCUCGUGAGGGCGGCACUGUUCACUUUAUUCCAUGAGAGGCGUGUGUUUUCAAAUUUAGCGGGGAACUUGUAUCGUUCGUGCAGCUUCGUGAAGUGGAGGUUGCGCAAAUUCCCUCGGUCCUUAUGCCUAAGUUUCUCGGUGUUGAUCGAGACGGUGCUCCAGAGAAUGCACCCGAGAUGAACCGAGUACCCCUUGACUAUAUGUUUGGGCUCCGUUGAAUUCCCGUCAGAGUCCACUUGAGUAAGUUCCUCCUUGACGGUGCGGAGCUCAUUCGGGCAUCGGUUCUUCCGUUGCUUCUUCGGUUGGCUGCCAUCUAUGCGUGCGCAGCCAUCAUCAGUGGUGGCAUCCUCGGUGGCACCAUCAUUGGUGUCAUCCCCGAUGCCACUAGGGGUUGUGUAGUCAGGAUCGGUGUCUUCCGCGGUGUCCUCAUAGCGGUGAUAGGAUCGGUGUCAAGAUCCCAUGUUUCGUUCUAAGUAGGAAAAAAGUUUGGUCAAAAAGUUGGUUAUUGUCAAGGAACAAGAUCAUGGUCUGAUCAUUUAGGGUUUGUCGACACUGAGGCAUCCUAAAAGCUAAGCUUUUAUCAUUUAGGUUUUGUCGACGCCGAGGCACCCUAAAAGCCUAAGCGUACAUCAUUUAGGUUCUCAUCGACACCGAGGCACCCUAUAGAAACCAAGGUUUCAUCAUUUAGGGUUUGUCGACGCCGAGUCACCCUAAAUGCUAAGUUAAGUUUUCAUCAUUUAGGGUUUAUCGAUGCCGAGGCACCCUAGGUUGGGCCUAAUCACUUGGCACUAAUCACUUGGCUCUAUUGCCACCUAUGUUGGGUUUAUCAUCUAGGGUUUAUCGAUGCUAAGGAGAAUUCUAAGUUGGGCCUAAUCACUUGGCUCUAUUGCCACCUAUGGUUUAAUGCAGCAAGAAUGGCGGGGCAGUUGAUCCUACUUAACUAAGUACUAAUAUACCCCGGCCCAUGCAUUAGUCGCAAGUACCCCAUAUGUCCUAUUUUUAGCAAAGUCAUGCUAAAAUUCACGGAAAAUUUCAGCAUGACCUUUGCUGAAAAUAGGACAUAUGGAGUACCCGAAUUUGCUGGAACGAAAGUUAAUCGACAUUCCGGCAAACUCAAGGGCCUCUCGAGGUACCUGCAAAUUCAUCACAACACAAUGGUCGGAGAUAAAACCCAGCAACUUUACAAGUCUUUCACAGAUUUGUUUGCAAGUUCUGAUAUGUAAUAAAGAUGAGCCUCCAAUGCUGAUUUGUUUGCCUCAAGACAAGAUGAACCUCCAAUGCAACAAGUAAUAAAAUGUUCAACAAUGUAUCAGAUUCGGCAACAGUUUAACAUCUACUCCAGUAAUUAUACAACACCAUGACCAACAUUUCUCCUCUCCAGAAAUUAGAAACAAAAUAAAGGAACAUUACAUAGUAGCCAUCAAAUUAAAAUAACAUAUACAGUACAUACAGGUAGGUAAUACUAAAGUGUGUUCAUAUUAGCUAGUGACCAUUAUAUUGCUUUAGGUUAGGGCCCUUACAUUAUUCUCUCUCUAUCCCUUUCUUUAGCUGCACUGCAUCACAAGGCAAAUAUGGUUCAAAAUAAAAUACUGCUCAAUAAGGACCUAGCAGAAUAGUAAAAUAAGCUUAAAAAAAGCAUACAACUUGACAUACAAACACAGACAGUUAUGCAAGUGCUAGAGGUAUGCAUAUAUNNNNNNNNNNNNNNNNNNNNNNNNNNNNNNNNNNNNNNNNNNNNNNNNNNNNNNNNNNNNNNNNNNNNNNNNNNNNNNNNNNNNNNNNNNNNNNNNNNNNNNNNNNNNNNNNNNNNNNNNNNNNNNNNNNNNNNNNNNNNNNNNNNNNNNNNNNNNNNNNNNNNNNNNNNNNNNNNNNNNNNNNNNNNNNNNNNNNNNNNNNNNNNNNNNNNNNNNNNNNNNNNNNNNNNNNNNNNNNNNNNNNNNNNNNNNNNNNNNNNNNNNNNNNNNNNNNNNNNNNNNNNNNNNNNNNNNNNNNNNNNNNNNNNNNNNNUGUGAACUUGAUCCUGAACUAGAGGUACACAUGUUUGCAUACUCAUCUCUGCAAUUAGUCGUGCUUAUUUGCAUUGUGCUAUAUAUGAAUCCACACUGACUCGAGCCUGAAUCAAUCAAUCAAUGCUGCUCACAAAUACUCCCACACUCCUAUAAUAGUACUAAUAUAAGAGCAUUUAUAUUAUUGGAAUGAAGGGAUAAUUUUUUUUCUUUCAAGAAAACACAAACCCUAACAACACAUUACGAGCACCUUCAAGAGAUUGAACCAACCCAACAUCCACAAACACCUCCUACUCAACACACAGACACAGACCAAGGAAGAAACAUAACCAUUCUUCUUUUUUCUUUCUUUGUUGUUAAUAAUAAAAGAAACUACAAGAGCAAGGAAGGAACAAGUCUUCUUUUGUACUGCCACACAAGAAACCCUCUUUCUUUCUUUCUUCCCUUCUUGUUAAUUUAAUUUUACUGCACCAUCUACUAACCUCCUCCAACUUUACUACCACUACAUCCCUCUCAAGGACAUCUAUGUACUGCUUAUAAAGCAUCACAUGCUGAUGCUAUGUUUCAUUUGCCCCAUCUCCCAUCUCUGCUCUUAUUUUAAGUAAAUGCCCAGAUGCCUUACAUUUAUCUCUGCGGGACUUUUUCUUUUCUAAUGAUAUCAUCUAUACAUGUUACUUAGUUACUAAACCUAUGUAACUUAGGAUCAAAUUGAUAAAUUGCUAGAAGUAUCCGCAUAUUUUCGUGGAGAUCAUAUGGGGGAGGAUCAGACAAUGUGGCAACAGACAGCAAGGUGUGUUCUUUCAAAGAAUCUUUGCAUCGAGUCAAUGAACAUCAUAUUUGAAGUGCAGUUUAACUUAGUCACUUAAAACUAUCUGAUCCACAACUAACAACCAAAGUCAUGUUCAGUUAUAGUGCUUAAAUAUGAUUUUGGUGUGUGUGAAAACAAUACAGUAUUAUAUUUGUACUGAAUGCAUGAGUAUGAUGUAUCACACAUCUACAUGUGUAGGCUUUUUCAGUUUUUUUCUAGAUGGAAACCAGAAGCAUCACUGUCCUUGACUAGAAUCACCAUGGCCAGAUUAAAGACUGCAAGCUGGCAAGUUCUUCCUUUCGAUUUCUCAAUCUUAGCUAGCGGAGGAGGAAGAGAGGUAGAGAGAGGAGGGUUACCUGGCGGCGGUGGGCCGUUGAAGACCUGACGGCGAGGUUCGUCCUCUCGGUGGCGGCGGGGCUCCUCCCCUCGGUGGCGGCGGUGGCCUCUUCCCCUCGGUGGCGGCGGGUGUGCUCCUCCUCUCCUUAUGGAGGCGGGGCGUUGAUCUGGCGGCGGCCCUGGAACCCUAGCACUGGCCCUGCUCGUCGGAGCGGGCGCGACGGUCGUUGGAGCGGGGGAGGCGGCGGGGGUGCGGGGGCGCGGGGGCAGCGGCAGCGGGGGUGGAGUCCUGCGGGGGUCGGGGCAGCGGCGUUGGGGCAGCGCAAGACCACAGCGGCGGCGGCGGCGCCGACGGCGUGCAUGCGCGGCGGUACCGUGCAUUGCCCUUUCUCACCUCGAGAGUUGGUGCAAACUUCACCGGUGCAUCCAAACCCCGUGAUAUGAUACGCUCUAUCACACAUAAGCCUCAUUAUAUAUUCCUCAAAAUAGCCACUAUACCUACCUAUCAUGGCAUUUCCAUAGCCAUUCCGAGAUAUAUUGCCAUGCAACUUCCAUCAUCAUCACAUACAUGACUUGAGCAUUUAUUGUCAUAUUACUUUGCACGAUCGUAAGAUAGCUAGCAUGAUAUUUUUAUGGCUUGUCCGUUUUUUGAUGUCAUUGCUACGCUAGAUCAUUGCACAUCCCAGUACACCCAAAAAGGGGGCCAAAGAAGCACACCCAAAAAGAAAAAAAAGAAAAAAGAAAAAUAAAAGGGGCAAUGUUACUAUCCUUUUACCACACUUGUGCUUCAGAGUAGCACCAUGUUCUUCAUAUAGAGAGUCUCAUAUGUUGUGACUUCCAUUUACUAGGGGGAAUUUUCAUUAUAGAACUUGGCUUGUAUAUUCCAAUGAUGGGCUUCCUCAAAUGCCAUAGGUCUUCAUGAGCAAGCAAGUUGGAUGCACACCCACUUAGCUUUCAGUUUGAGCUUUCAUACACUUAUAGCUCCUAGUGCAUCCGUUGCAUGGCAAUCCCUACUCCUCGCAUUGACAUCAAUUGAUGGGCAUCUCCAUAGCCCGUUGACUAUCCGCGUCGAUGUGAGACUUUCUCCCCUUUUGUCUUCUCCAUAUAAACCUCCACCAUUAUAUUCUAUUACACCUAUAGUGCUAUAUCCAUGGCAUGCGCUCAUGUAUUGAGCGAGGGUUGAAAAAGUUGAAGCGCGUUAAAAAGUAUGAACCAAUUGCUUGGCUUUUCAUCGGGGUUGUGCAUGAUGGGAGCAUUUUGUGUGACGAAAAUGAAGCAUGGCCAAACUAUAUGAUUUUGUAGGGAUAAGCUUGCUUUGGCCUUGUUGUUUUGAAAAGACAUGAUUGCUUUAUUAGUACGCUCGAAGCAUUAUUGUUUUUUAUGUCAAAUGAUAGACUAUUGCUUUGAAUCACUCGUAUCUUAAUAUUCAUGCCAUGAUUAGACAUAUGAUCAAGAUUAUGCUAGGUAGCAUUCCACAUCAAAAAUUAUCUUUUUUAUCAUUUACCUACUCGAGGACGAGCAGGAAUUAAGCUUGGGGAUCUUUAUACGUCUCCGUCGUAUCUAUAAUUUUUGAUUGUUCCAUGCUAAUAUUCUUGAACUUUCAUAUACUUUUGGCAACUUUUUAUACUAUUUUUGGGACUAACAUAUUGAUCCAGUGCCCAGUGCCAGUUCCUGUUUGUUGCAUGUUUUAUGUUUCACAUAAAACCAAUAUCAAAUGGAGUCCAAACGGGAUAAAAAAGGACGGAGAAUUAUUUUGGAAUAUUUGGGAUUUUCCGGAGGAAGAAUCAACACGAAACAGUGUCCGAGGUGGCCAGGAUAUAGGGGGCGCGCCCUCCCCCUUGGGUGCGCCUGGCACUCUCUUGGGCCACCCGUAAGGCGGUUGACGCUCUUCUUUUGCUGCAAGAAAGCUAAUUUUAUGAGAAAAAUCUGGCCGAAAGAUUCACCCCAAUCGGAGUUACGGAUCUUAAGAUAUAAAAGAAACGGUGAAGGGGCAGAAUCUGAGAACGCAGAAAUAGAGAGAUAGAUCCAAUCUCGGAGGGGCUCUCGCCCCUCCCAAGCCAUGGGAUCCAAGGACCAGAGGGGAAACCCUUCUCCCAUCUAGGGAGGAGGUCAAGGAAGAAGAAGAAGAAGGGGGGCUCUCUCCCCCUUGCUUCCGGUGGCGCUGGAACGCCCCAGGGGCCAUCAUCAUCACCGCGAUCUUCACCAACGCCUCCGCCAUCUUCAUCGACAUCUCCAUCACCUUCCCCCAUCUAUAUUCAGCGGUCCACACUCCCGCAACCCACUGUACGCUCUACUUGAACAUGGUGCUUUAUGCUUCAUAUUAUUAUCCAAUGAUGUGUUGCCAUCCUAUGAUGUCUAAGUAGAUUUCCAUUGUCCUAUCGGUGAUUGAUGAAUUGCUAUGAUUGGUUUGAGUUGCAUGCUUUAUUAUUGGUGUUGUUCUAUGGAGCUCUCUGUGUCGCGCAAGCGUGAGGGAUCCCUUCUGUAGGGUUUGCAAUAUGUUCAUGAUUUGCUUAUGGUGGAUGGCGUGAGUGACAGAAGCACAGACCCGAGUAAGUAGGUUGUUUGCAUAUGGGAUAAAGGGGACUUGAUACUUUAAUGCUAUGGUUGGGUUUUACCUUAAUGAUCUUUAGUAGUUGCGGAUGCUUGCUAGAGUUCCAAUCAUAAGUGCAUAUGAUCCAAGUAGAUAAAGUAUGUUAUCUUAUGCCUCUCCCUCAAAUAGAAUUGCAAUAGUGAUUACCGGUCUAGUAACAUAGUCAAAUGCUUUGGGACAAUUCCACAACUCCUACCACCACUUUUCCACAAUCGCUAUAUUUACUUUAUUGCUUCUUUAUCUAAACAUCCCCUAAUUUUUAUUUAUGUGUUCUUUAUUAUCUUGCAAACAUAUCCCAACAACACCUACAAAGUACUUCUAGUUUCAUACUUGUUCUAGGUAAAGCGAACACUAAGCAUGCGUAGAGUCGUAUCAGUGGCAGAUAGGGCUUGAGAGAGUAUUUAUUCUACCUUUAUCCCCUCGUUGGGUUCGACACUCUUACUUAUCGAAAGAGGCUACAAUUAUCCCGUAUACUUGCGGAUCAUCACCUAGCGGUGUGAAAUAAAUGGGAAACUUGUAAGUUCAUGGAGUUUGUAUAUGAGUUAGAGAAACGCCUGGGCGGCCAACCCGAGCCAUGCAUAAUUCAUGGUGGAAAUUUACAACAUAACCAUAGUGAGCAUUCUAUGGAGCAUCUUCAAUAAAAAAAACUAUGCCCAUGGUAAUAAAAGGAUUGCUGAGAUGCUCAUUGUCUGUUGCCUUGUCAUUUUGGUAUGGGAUAGCUCUUGUGUCAUGGGGCAAGGGGUACACCGUUGGCGGUUCUCUAUGAUGCAUGUACACUUACAAUGACAAGAACUUAUUUGGGACCUAAGUUGAGUAGCAUGAGGUUUAGGUACUCGUAUUCAAGGGGCAUGAGGCUUUCAAUUUGUGAUUUGUCAAGCAUACAACUCAUAUUUGCCCUCACUUUAACCUUAACCAUUCAAGAUGCGUAUGAUAGGGGCAAUGAGAGCUGAAAUCUAAUGAGGACCAUAACUUUUGGAAGCUUUAUCAAACUUAUUAAUCCCUACUUACCUCUACGAAGGGCCUUUCUUUUACUUUUUUGUUGAGUCUUCAUCUUCUAUCUUUAUGCACCAACUAAGAUAGCAUAGUUGUCAUUCUGAGUAUAAUGUGCAUUGUCCCAAAACUUGUUGAUUGAUUCAUGAUUAUGGUAUUGCUUAUUCUCAAAUUAUUUGUAUCUAGUCACCCUUUUGAACUUUGAAGGUGUCCUAUGCAUUUAUGUUUUGCUACUCCAAGAAGGACAAGCUGAAUACCACUUUGCUAUGUUUUCUCUAUGUGCGAAACAAACAAAUGUCUUUCAAAGCAUUAUUCAUGAUCUUUUGUUUAUGUUACCUUGCAUGUUGUAAUAUAGUUGCUAUGUUCUAUUGUUAGAAAUAUAUCUUUCAUACCUAUGUUUAGAGUACUUUGAUCCCAUCUUACAAUGUUUUACAAUGAUGAUGAUCAAGAUUGUAUUGGCUGCAUGUCACCUCAAAAAUUAUUUUUGUUAUCACUCCCCUACUCGAGGACGAGCAGGAGUUAAGCUUGGGGAUGAUGAUAUGUUGCAAACGUAUCUAUAAUUUUUGAUGCUCCAUGCUUGUUAUACACCAAUUACUUUAUGUUUUGUUUACACUUUGUGGCAUUUUUAUGUAUUUUCUGGAACUAGCCUAUUGAUAAGAUGCCACAAUGCCAGUUCCCUGUUUUCUGCUGUUUUUGUGUUUUGGAGAAAUUUAUUCUCGGAAUUGGACGAAACAAACGCCAAAGUUCCUAUUUUUCUCGACACGACACGGAGUCCAAAGCAGAGACGGAUGAGCGCACUGAGGUGACCACACCAUAGCCAGGCGUGGGCCCACCUCUGGCUGCACGGCCCUAGGGUGUGGGCCCCUCGGGCGUCCACCGACAUUGCCCUUCCACCUAUAUAAUGCCCCCGAGGUGAAAACUCUAAAUAAUGAAGCCUCCGUCCAUGACAAAUUCCGCAGCGCCGCCACCAUCAAAGACGAGAUUCAGGGGAUAGAAGUCUCUAUUUCGGCACCCUACCGGGAUGGGGAAUUGCCCCCGGAGCCAUCUCCAUCGACUCCACCGCCAUCUUCAUCGCCAUUGCUAACGCCUAUGAUGAUGAGGGAGUAGUUCUCCUCCGAGGCUGAGGGCUUUACCGGUCGCUAUGUGGUUUAUCUCUCUCUCCCAAGGUGUGAUCUUUAUGUGAUCAUGAGCUUUGUAAUCUGGUUGAUUUAGUAGAUGUUACUCUCAUCUAUUAUGCUACUCAAGUGCUUUUAUUAAUGUGAUCUCCGGAGACACCUUGUCCCAUGGUGUGAAGGUGACAGUGUGCGCACCGUGUGUGGCUCUUAGGCUAAAGAUUACAGAAAUACUUAUCAUGAGUUAUAAUUUGAGUUGGAUGUCUCUAUGAAAUUGUGGUGUUUGUUUGGAACCAUCUAGCGCUCAAGGUGACAGUGUGGAGUUACCUAGAUGGGGAAUGCGAACUUUAAGUUGUGCUUUUAUAGCCCUACGUGGUGAAUUGGUGUUCGUUAUCCAACCGGAGAGUAGUUCAGAGUAGCAUAGUGAUGAGAAGAUGUUUAUGUGUUCAAUUAUGAUAUCAUUGUUGAGAGUGUCCACUAGUAAAAGUAUGAUCCCUACGUUUUGUUUCAAAGCAUUGAAACAUCGUUUACAACCAGUUCUGCUACAUGUUUGCUUGCGGGCAUUUUUAUUUCAGAUUGCAAUUACCACUUGUAAUCAUCCAUAUUACUUGUAUUUCACUAUCUCUUCACCGAACUAGUGCACCUAUACACCUGACAAGUGUAUUGGGUGUGUUGGGGACACAAGAGACUUCUUGUAUCUUAAUUGCAGGGUUGCUUGAGAGGGAUAUCUUUGACCUCUUCCUCACUGAGUUCGAUAAACCUUGGGUGAUUCACUUAAGGGAAACUUGCUACUGUUCUACAAACCUGUACACUUGGAGGCCCAACACUGUCUAUAAGAAUAGAAGCGUGCGUAGACAUCAAGCUUUUUCUGGCGCCGUUGCCGGGAGGUAAGGUAAAAGGUACUCACAUCCUCUGGCUACUAAGCUAUCUUCUAGUACUGUUGCUGGUGUGUGAGUGCUCAAAGUUAUUUCCUUUAUAUUCUGCAAUUAUAUCUUUUUGUUUCUUGUUUUUAUUUUCACUAGUUAGGCUUAAGGGAAAACAACAACAAAAUUAGAGAGCUUUAUAGUAUUUUUCCUGGGUUAGGACAUGAAGUGUUUGAAGAGAAAAUUAAAAAACCUAUGGAACUUUAUUUGCAUGCUAAUAGAAAUGUUAUUAGUAUGAACUAUUUGAACACCAUUAUUGCUAAUGCUAUGGAAAAGUCUAAGCUUGGGGAAGCUGUUUUUUAUGAAAAUGGUCCUUUAGUUCCCCAGCUUUAGAGGAGAAAUUUUUAAUGAAAAUGGUCUUUUUAUGAAAUGGUCUUUUUAGCUACCCAGCUUUAGAGGAGAAAUUGAACGAUUUUAGAUUCCAAACGAUUUUUAAAUUUGAAGAUUUUCAAAUUUGAACAAUUUUCAAAAUUUGAAACAUUUUCAUAAUCUGAACGUUUUCAACAAUCUGAACAUUUUUAAAAUUCAAACAUCUUUAGAAUCUAAACAGAAAAAGCAGGAAAAAAGGACCAGAUCCGAUGUAGCCGCCAAAAUCCUCCUCCUCUCGGGCAGAGCUGUUCUCCCUUGCCUGCUGCCUUUGACUCUGCACUCCAUCUUCCUUGGUAUUGAUAUUACUCCCCUUCUCACCCGAUCCCUCCAGUACUUCUGAUAUGUUCUUCUCCAUCUUCCCAAACCCUAAUUCCGCCGCCCUCUCAUCCCCCUUCCCCCCGAUCUCCUUGUGAGUUGGAUCCGCCAUGCACGAAGAUGCACGUGACGGGUAGUGGUAGAUCCCACCGGCGGCCAGAAAGAUCCGGCAAUUGGUGAGAUUUUACGUGGACGCUAGCAUGAAUGCUAGAGGAAAGUUGGAACCCUAGCGGCAGAGCCAGGGGGAGACACGAGAAUUCCUAUGGUCCACCCAACGCGUGCACUAAAAGAGCAUGCUCACGCGGGCACUCUUGGUGGCCCGGUCCAUAAGCGGGAAGACUUUUUUUCAGUUUUUCUUAAUUUCUUUUUCUUCUUUUUAUUUUGUGCUUCUCUUUUCUUCUUUUUUAAAUUUUGGUUUCCCUUUUUCUCGUUUCUGUUGCUUUUUUAUUUUUCAAAGUUUGCAUUUUUUUCAAUUUUGUUUUUUUGAUUUGAAUAUUUUUUAACUUGAACUUUUCCAAAGUGGGACGUUUUUUAAUAUGAACAAAUUUAAACAUUUCUCAAAAUUGAACAACUUUCCAAUUGGAACAAAUUUUAAGUUUUAACAAAUUUCAAAUUUGAACAUUUUCUAUUUUUAAACUUUUUCGAAUUUGAACUUUUUUUAGAUCUCGUAUUUUUUUAAUAUUUUAUGAAUUACAAAAACAAUAAAACAAAAAAAUCAAAUGACUGGAAAAAGAAAUUAAAUUUAUAAAUUUUUAUUUGGCCGCGUUCGAGGCGGCCCAUCAGGAGGCUCUGCGUGCAUGGUGGUUUAGGCCACGUUUGAGCGGCACAUAGGGUUUGCCCCAUCGAUCAUGAGCGAUGAGGAGCCAGCCAGCGACCACGUUGGAUCUUAUUUUUAAAUAAGAAUUUUUCUAAAUUACAAAUAAAUUUGAUAAUCUAAACACCAUUCAAAUUCGAAACAUUUUGAAAAAUCUAAAUACUAUUUUUCCUUUGCUUUUUUCCAGUGUUUUCAAAAUCAGAACAGUUUUAAAAUUUGAAUGAUUUAAAAUUGAACAAGUUUAAAAUUUGAACAAAUUUCUAUAUUCAUAUUGUUAAUAAUCUGAAAAUUUAUGAAAUCUGGAUAAUUUGAGAAACUCUAAAAUUGAACGAUUUUAAAUUCUGAACGAUUUUUAAAUUUGAACCAUUUUCAAAUUUGAACGAUUUUCAUAUUUGAACAAUUUUCACAAUUUGAAACAUUUUCAUAAUCUGAACGUUUUCAACAAUCUGAACAUUUUUUAAAUUUGAACGUCUUUAGAAUCUAAACAGAAAAAGCAGGAAAAAGGAAAAAUAAAAGAAACAUAGCGAAAACCAAUCGAAAAACCGCAGCAAAAAAGUGAAAGAACCGUGCAGAGAAACCCGAAAAAACCAGCCCCGGAUUUUCUGUUGAUUUACCUAUAUGGGUUGGCCAAAUAGCGCAAGGUUGCCUGUCGCAGCUAUAUAUCACAACGAGCGAUGUAUAAGGAUCGCUGAUACUACCGUAGCGAAUCGAGCAUAUCAUCACUAUCGAGACGUUGACGCUCCAAAAAAUACAUUUUAUUUCCAUCAUUGCCUUUUAAUGUUGUUUCUACCUAGUACAGAAGAUAUCUUUUUUUAUAGACAAUACCAUGAUAUAUUAUAGUAGGAAACAGUAUAUGGUACACAUACAUAAGCUGUCUCCAGCGAUUAUAAAAUAAGCAAGCUCACAUCAACAAACAAGAUAACUCUUUUAUACGUGAUAAGCAACCUCAAACCAAUAAACACUACAUCUAUUUCAUUCAGUACAACGGCGUAAGAUCUUUUAUUCUUAACAGGUUUUACGAAUUUAGUGCUCAUAUGCAGGAGUAAUUAUUCCUGGGAGCCAAAACACAAUGUCAUGCAACCUCCACAAUGCAUGAAAUUUCUAUCUUCUUGUGGUGACGUAAUUUACUCCACCCAAGAUUCUUAUUAACAAUCGAUACCACAUAUAUUUAAAAUAGUUCAUGGUCACUACAGGAAACGGGCGAUAGGCCGACGGCCCGACGCUGUCGGCAUAGGCCAAAUAACCCUCGGAACAGGCUAUAGCCGGGAGCGGCCCUGGGCGUAUCACCCUUGGGUCCUUCAGGUAUCUGCGUACAGGUAUUUGUCAUCGGCGUAGAGGAUGCCCUCGAUGUAGACUUGGCGGGCCCAUCGCUAACAGAUGACGGCCGUUAGACGUCGAACAUGCUACACCGACGGCUUUGCCCUCGGGCUAGAUUUUCGAUUUUGUUUCCAACUUUUUUUCCAAAAAAAAUUCAAUUUUUUUCAGACUUGUUAAUUUCACAACGGACAUUUUUAACUCUCAACACGUUUAAUGUAAAAUCAAAUUGCACUUGUGGUCAAACUUCCCGCUCGACCACCCAUCCUCACACUACUCCAACCCCAGCACGCUUAACUUCUCCGUUCCUUCCGGAUGAGCUAUCAAGAAAGAAAUCAUAUCUUAGUGAUAAUAGUACUAUAUCAAUCAUAUUAACUCUUGGACUAUGGUGUCACACCUUUUUAUUUUUGAAUUCCAUACAAAUAUUUAAAUACACAACAAUUAAUAAGUAAUAAUAAUAAUAAUUUUCAAUUCAAAUAAAAUAAAUAAUUAAUAUUUUUUCUUUUUUCUAUUUAAUAUGGAAUAUUUAAUAUCUUUAAAUCCUUAAAUCUGAAUUUGACAAAUAAUAUGUCUAAACCUAUCAAAAAAUGAGGAGAAUCCAAAUAUAACAUCCAUAUCGUCUUGUGAACCUAAAAAAUUGAUAUUUCCAAAAAGAAUCAUGGGCAUUAGAUCAUGUAUGUGUAGUUCAAAUUGACCAUAGUUCAAAUCGAGCAUUACGUACAUGUAUUUUUUUAAAUAUAUGUACACCAUGUAUAUCGACUUGAAUCGUUAGUAUGUGACAUAAGAAGAUUAUGUGGGCAGGUUUUUCAUAUUUUUCCUAUUUUUUGAAUUUUUUAUGCUCAUUUCAAAUUUUUUUGAAAUGUGUAAUAUUUAAGUGUAUAUAGAGAGAUCUUAUUCUUCUGCAAAUUUGAUAUAUUAUUUGUAUUUAUCUGAAUUAUAAUGAUUCAGUUAUGAUUUUUCUAAAAUUAAUAUGAUAAAAUGGAAAAUAGUUAUGCCGACGGUGUAGCUUCAAAACCAAUGCCGAGGGCUUUGCCCUCGGCGUAGACCCUCCGCCGUGACGCGGUCGUAACACUGUUAGCCUGGGCUGGCCUACACCGAGGCUGGCAUAUACCCUGAGGGCAGCUGUUGGCCCAGACAUGGGUUCACCGAGGGCCGAUCCUACGCCAAGGGCCGAGCGGGCGGGCGGGCAGGAUUGCUAGCCCUCUACGCCGACGGCCCUGAUGUUUUGCCGUCGGCAUAGAGGCUGGCCGUCGGCUCCAGACAUCAGUCCUAUAGUGGGUGAAGAUACACAAGCUGUUUUCAGCGAUUAUAAAAUAAAGUACAUAUAAGAAAAUGAGCAAAUCGCCGAGGUCUUUAAACUCUUAUUUUGCAUCACAGGCAGCCAAAUUGACAUGACAUAAAUACCAAACGAUAGGCUCGUAAAUACCGACGAUGGUUCUCCCAUAUUUUUAAAUCUGAGCCGCAAUGCCAAGGCUACGUGCAUGCGCGCAACCAUUAAACUAAUCACCCGACAUCAGCGAGAGCAACAACACCAGUAUUCCAGGGAAAAAGAUACCGAACAGCCUGGUCGACAUCGCUAGAGAGCCGGAAGUACGAAUCACCAUUGUCGAUGGUGUAGCAUCCGGAUAAAUAUUACGAGGACUAGUUGAAUGCCUGUGUGUUGCAACGGCCUCUAAAAUAUUUUAUUUCUGCACAUGUAAGCAUAAUACAUCUUAAUAUUUUGUCGCAUAUAGAAAGAUAGAGAAAUAUAUUAUUCAAGAAACUAUAGAAUUAUACAUUUUGAUAUGAUUGGACAAAAAGUUAUAGUUUGAUUUCUAUGCAUAGUAAUAGAAAACCCAUCUACUCAUCUUAUUCUUAGUUAGGUGUGUUAAACUGUAUAGUUAUCAGAUACAGUUAGUAUCUAGGAUUGUAGUUAUCUUGUAUAACAACCUGUACUUAUCCUCCUGUAAACCCUAGCGGCAGCCCUAGAGGCGCCCUAUAUAAUGAUCCUGAGACCACCGCAUUAGGUGUGUUGAUCCAAUCUCUUCUCUCUUUGUUUCACAAGGUAUCAGGCCAUCUCGCAUAACUGCUCGAUGGGUUCUCCUUCCUCCGGCGCCAUGACUUCCUCGACCCUGGCUUCUCUGCCCAUGCCCUCUGGGCUCUCAGCGCCGACAUCUUCCGCUGUUCCCCAACCCUUUGCUAGCCUCAUUAUCGCCAAGCUUACCUCCUCCAACUUCCUCCUCUGGAAAGCACAGAUCCUUCCUCCCCUUCGCAUCACCGGUGUCACUUGGCUAUGUCGACGGCACCGUCCCUACUCCUCCUCGCAUCCUCCCAGCUGAUGACAAGGGGGGCGCGCUCCUAACCCGGAGUAUGCUGCCUGGUCCCGUCAGGAUCAGAUCAUCCUGAGCUAUCUUCUUGCUCACUCACCGAUGAUGUGCUUCAGCAGGUCCAUCUCUUCGACACCGCCCGCGCCAUCUGGGUGCACCUCGAGGAGAUGUAUGUUACCCACUGUCGUGCCAGUGUGGUGCAGAUCAAGAUGGACAUGAUGAACUUCCGCAAGGGCAACCUCUCCAUGGUGGACUACUUCGCCAAGAUCCUCUCCAAUGCAGAUCAACUCUUCGCCGUUGGCCGUCCCAUGUGCUAGGAGGACAUCAUCACCGCCUUCAUCACCGGGCUCGACAGUGAGUACGGGCCCCUCAUCACUGCCAUCUCCUUCGAACGCCGCCGCGAGUACCACGCGGCUCGUCUUCAACUUCAUACGGGCGGAUCCUCUGUCAAGUAUGUCGCCCGCGACAACAACUGCAACACCAACAACCGUGGCAAGGGCAACUACCGCGACAAGGGUCGCGGCAACUCUGGUGACCGUGGUGACUACAACAACAACAACAACAACCGCAGCGGGUACCGUGGUGACUGUGGUGGUGGUGGCAAUCGUCGGAACGGUAACCGUGGUGGUGACCGCGGUGACCAUGGCGGUGGCGGGGAUGCACGUCUGCAGUGCCAGCUCUGUCAAGGCCCUGGGCACUAUGCAUGGGAGUGCUCUUAGCGCUAGAACCACACCUUCCAACCUCAACACUCCAAGAUGGCGGGUCUCGCUGCCGCUUCACCAGCAUCCAUCCUCGGCGACCCUAACUGGUCCACUGACACGGGGGCUACUGAUCAUAUCACGUCGCAUCUGGACCGUCUCAUUGUGAGGGAAAAGUACCCUGGACGGGACCACAUCCACACUGUCGACGGAUCAGGUUUGCACAUAGCUCAUCGUGGUCAUGCCCUUCUUCCUACACCGUCUGUCAAUCUUAAACUUCGCAACCUAUUACAUGUUCCCAAUGCCGACAAGAACCUUCUUUCUGUUAGUCGUCUUGCCGUUGACAAACAUGCUUAUCUAAAAUAUUAUCCUACUCAUUUUCUUAUGAAGGAUUUGACAACCAAGAAGGUUCUUCUUCACGGCAGAUGUGAAAAUGGGCUCUAUCCCAUUCGGCCUUCACGUUCUCAUGUCUUGUCUUCAGUUAGGCUCUCUGCUGAAGAUUGACAUGCUAGACUCGGCCACCCGUCCACACAAGUUGUUCAGCAUGUUUUGGCGUCCAAUAAAUUAGCAUCAUCGAGUCGGGCUUUGACCCAUGUGUGUAAUGCUUGUCAACAUGGCAAAGCACAUCAGCUGCCUUUUCCUAUAUCUUCGAAUGUUUCCUCGUUUUUGUUGGAACUUAUUUUCUCAGAUGUGUGGGGAGCUGCCAAAACCUCCUCUGGUGGGUUCCAACACUAUGUUUCAUUUAUUGAUGAUUAUAGUAAAUUUGUGUGGAUUUAUCUUCUCAAACGAACAUGUGAUGUGUUUGAUGUCUUUCGUGAUUUUCUUGCCCAUGUUGAACGCCUCCUAUCUCCUAAAAUCCUGUGUGUUUAAUCAGACUGGGUGGGGAAUACGAAAAACUUAGCAACACAUUUUUUUCGGCAACUUGGCAUUGCUCACCACGUCUCUUGUCCACACACACACCAACAGAAUGGCUUGGCCGAAAGGAAGCACCGUCACAUUGUUGACAUGGGUCUCUCCUUAUUAUAGCAUGCGUCUAUGCCCCUCCGUUUUAGGGACGAGGCGUACUUGUCCGCAUGCUACCUUAUCAACCGACUACCUAGCCGCGUCAAUAUGAGUCCCAUGGAAAAACUGUUUUCAACCAAGCCUGACUACGUAUCUCUUCGCAUGUUCUGGAGUGCAUGUUGGCCUAACUUGCGCUAGUAUAACACUCAGAAACUUGCGUUUAGAUCACAAUAGUGUGUGUUUGUCGGGUACAUCAUUCGUCACAAAGGAUAUAAAUGUCUUCACAUACCUACCGCUCGUAUAUAUAUAUAUCACGAGAUGUUAUCUUUGAUGAACAUUUUUUUCCUUUUACCAAUGACCAACCCUCUCCAAUACCACCUCGCGUUGCUGAACAUGCAAUCUUUUUAUUUCCACAUGACCACAUGAACUAUGGCGCAUCUGUUUCUCGAACUAAUCUGGAUGCAGGUACCGAUUUGGUGCAGAAAAUCCCAUCUCCGGACUCCCAGGCAGAUCAUGUCUCUCAAUCCGCCGCCGCAUCAUCCUAGGAUCACGCGCCGCCUGGAGACAGCGACGUGGAGGCAGCUGACCACGUGACGAUAGGUGACAGCGCGCCAGGUGACCGCGCUGGGCCCGGGUCUCCGCCACCCACCAAUCCCGUGUCCCCUGAGGGCGAGCGGACCGGGGCGUCUCCCGCGUCGGCUCCUGCAUGUGCGCGUCCGACCCACGUUGUGGUGGGGCCCACCCUUGCUCGGGCCGCUGUGUCUCCCGAUUCGCCCCAGGCUGUUGUCUACCUGGCGCCCGUAGAGCGGGCCGUUGCUGGUGUCGGCGCUGGAUCCCAGAUGGAUCUGGCGGCCGCGUCGUCUUCCUCGCCCGACACCGGAUCCAGGGGGAUUCGCUCGCGUGCUUGUCUGCAUGCGUCCCGCCCGUAUCCUCUAUGGCCACCGGAUCUUCUGCUCCGCCUAUGCAUGCAAUGACGACGCGCACACAUGAUCACACUCACAAACCGCUGUAGCACACUGAUGGUACUGUCACGUAUGAUCCGUCCCGUCGUGCAUUCUUGGCCAUGCGGGAACCGUCUGAUCAUCGUGAAGCGGUCUCAUCUCCAGAGUGGCGUCUGGCGAUGCAACUUGAGCUCGAUACUCUCCGACAGAAUGGUACCUGGACUUUGGUACCUCCUCCUCCUUGUGUCAACGUCAUUGAUUGCAAAUGGGUGUUCAAGAUCAAACUCAAACUAGAUGGAACUGUUGAUCAUUACAAGGCACGUUUGGUCGCAAAGGGGUUCAAAUAACGCUAUGGCUUGGACUAUGACGAUAUGUUCAGUCCGGUCGUUAAACCUGUCACUGUGCGACUGGUUCUCUCUAUUACAGUUUCUCGUGGAUGGUGUUUGCGAGAGUUGGAUGUUCAAAAUGCUUUCCUUCAUGGCAUUCUCCAAGAAGAAGUAUACAUGCGCCAACCUCCUGGUUUUGUGAACCCCUCGGUGCCUCAUCAUUUGUGCAAACUUCGCAAGGCUCUCUAUGGGCUCAAAUAGGCUCCUCGAGCGUGGUAUUCUCGGCUGAGUUCUAGGCUCCAACAACUUGGUUUUAUAGCAUCCAAAGCUGACAGGUCCCUCUUUGUCUACAACUGGAGUGGUGUUACUAUUUUCAUGCUUGUGUAUGUAGACGACAUUAUUGUGGCCAGCUCCUCUCCUGCUGCUACUACCAAGUUACUUGCUGAUCUCCAAGCCUCCUUUGCACUCAAGGAUCUCGGUUAUCUGCAUUAUUUUCUUGGAGUUCAUGUGGAGUCAUCGCCAGGGGGAAUUGUUCUAUCUCAGCAGAAGUAUAUCAGCGAUAUUCUUCAUCGUGCGAACAUGGAGAAUUGCAAAGUCUCUACCAUGCUGAUGUCCUCAAGUGAGAAAAUUAGCAAGGAUAGUGGAACACCACUUUCUCAGGAUGAUAGCACCAAGUAUCGCAGCUUGGUUGGAGCUCUCCAGUAUCUGACACUCACGAGGCCAGACAUUUCUUUUGCAGUUAACCGUGUUUGUCAGUUCCUUCAUGCACCUACGACUGCACACUUUUCAGCUGCAAAGAGGAUUUUGAGAUACUUGAAGUAUACUCACAAUAUGGUAUUGUCUAUUCGAAAGUCACCCUCCAUGCUGUUAAGCUGUUUUUCAGAUGCAGACUGGGCUGGAUGUAGUGAUGAUCGCCGAUCCACAGGUGGCUUUGCAGUUUUUCUUGGACCUAACCUAAUCUAGGUCAAGAAUGGAGUCUGAAUAUAAGACACUUGCGAAUGGAACAGCUGAGGUCAUAUGGUCCUGUUUUGUGGUGUGACAAUCUAGGAGCCACUUAUUUAUCUGCGAAUCCGGUAUUCCAUGCCAGAACCAAGCACAUAGAAGUGGACUUCCACUUUGUUCGUGAACGAGUUGCAGCCAAGGCACUUGAUGUUCGAUUCAUAUCUUCCAAGGAGCAAGUUGCAGAUAUAUUCACAAAGCCUCUAGCUGAGGUGCCGUUUGUUUUAAAUAGGCACAAUCUGAAUCUUUGUGUAGGAAGUUCAGAUUGAGGGGGAAUGUUAAACUGUAUAGUUAUCAGAUACGGUUAGUAUCUAGGAUUGUAGUUAUCAUUGUAUAACAACCUGUACUUAUCCUCCUGUAAACCCUAGCGGCAGCCCUAGAGGCGCCCUAUAUAAUGAUCCUGAGACCACCACAUUAGGUGUGUCGAUCCAAUCUCUUCUCUCAUUGUUUCACAAGGUGUCCGUGGGUUGUAUGAAAUAAAACCAUAAAUUUACACAUUAUUGUAUCGAUUGAGAACUCAAGAGCAAAGCCCGUUUCCAACCUCGUCUCGGCAAACGUGGUUUGUUCCUCAUCAUGCUUCUCUCACCAACGACCACCAUGAAGCCAUUGCCUUUCUCUCUCCAUGAUCUUUGGUCCUUCUCCACCAGCAAUGUGAAAAAAGGCAAUAUGCCAGCUUCAUACUCCAUGGUCUUUCUUUUGAGCUUCAAGGUAGUAUGAUAGUAUAAUCAGUGUACAGUAUUGUCCAAGACCGAACCAAACUUGUUCAUAUAGCUGUAAAAAUCUCUUGUGAUCAACAACAAAACUAAUGCUAAUAUUCAGGAUUUCAAACUUGAAGCAUUUGGAGAUCGACCAACAAAAAAAAAACUGAGCGGCGGUGUCAAAAGUAAUUGUUGACCUUUGUCAAAUUGACUGCAUGCUUUUAAAUCAAGAUCAUGCAACUUUACAAGACUUGCAUCUCAAUAAAACCAUAUCAGCUGCACAUGCAGAUGAGAGAAAUGGGAAAUACUCUAUUCCAUUCAAGGGUUGUAUGUCAAUUAUUAAAACACAAGCACAUUAUAAGUCACAAACCUCCAACGCACAGAUAAUUUCGGAAAUGCCUAAACCUCAGAUAAUUUGGGAAAGGAGGGUGGCUACAGUCCCCUUGGCUGAUAUACAUAGGUCUAGCUGUAACAUCUUUGGGCAAAGCAUCAUUUGCAACUGGUAACCACAGAAUAUGUAUUUAGCGCUACUACAGAAGAAAAGAAAAGAAAAGGAUUAAAAAGGGAAUGCCGCCUUCAUAGGUCACAAACCUCGGAUUGUCAACAUCUUCUUGUGAAUGUACACAAAUUUGAAAUACUUGAAGCGGCUAGGAUAAUGUUCUUAAAAAUGGGUUGCUUCGGAGAUAAGAAACUAGUAAUGCAGUCAGACCAAAAGGAAAUUCAAGGGCACAAAAUACUUCCAGCAGGCCUUUGCAAAUUGGCAAUUAAUUAAGAAAAGGUGAUGUAUUGGCUCAAGAGCCUGGACUCCACACAUGACGCAGAAGUUUAAUUCAAGGACGGGGAAGUAAGAAUAAGACCACGUACGUACUAACAAAAGAGGGGAUCAAGGAGGAGCUGUAAAAUCCAAAUGAAAAUAUCAAUACAUAAUGAACAGCACCAUUCCGUUGAAAUACCACAAGUCGCUGCUAGUAAGAUUACAUAUGCCGGCUCUCUUGGACAACAAAACCUAAGUCAGGAUUCGACUAGGCACGAUUAAUUUGUUGUGUUUGACGUUCCUCGUUCUCUCUCUUUUUUUUUGCGAAGAAUCACAGAGUGUUUUAUUCCAGGAUGAUAGAGUUACAAUCUUCAGCGACUAAUUUGCUAAUGCAUGGGGUGGAUGGCCCAUCCAACAUGAUGUGCUAUCAACGACACUAUGAAAUCAAUCUUCCAAACUGCAGAAUUGUAAAGUACAGCUCAGACCUACAGGGCAGGACCGGCUAGCUAAACGGCCACGCUGGAUGAUAUGUUAUCACGUUCCCCGCGGCCGCGCCAUGAACUCCAAAUCUGGCGAAACCACCUACCGUCGCACAAGGCGCCGUCGGUCGUGGAACACGCGGUCUGCAGGUCACAUCGGUCCAGGCCUUGUUGGGUUCACGCGGUCCAGAUGACAUGCACGCCCGCCAAGCAAUUGAGAAAGAGAGAGCCAUGCACGCACGCGAAGCACGCUGCCCUGUGACAACGAGGAUGAUCAUGCAUGCAUGUCAGAGAGCAGAGAGCAGAGACGUCUGUCACUUGUGUAGAUGGUAGGUUCUGCUGGUUGGCGGUCACGCUACGCAGACCGCGUGUUCCACGACCGGGCCAAAUUUCGUGUUCGGACCCUUUUUUGAUACAAACUCAAGAUCUGACCCCGGUUUCAAAAAAUUUCGAAAUGUGACCCUUUCGCUACCGUCAUGGGCUCUGACAGUAUGGUUAGACAUACUACCGCCAGGGUCCAUGGCGGUAGCGUGCGACGGAGGGCAACGGCCGCCGUUUGCUCGAGCUGACGUGGACAAGUAGCCUACCGCCAGGGACCAUGGCGGUAGCAUGUUAGACUUUACCGCCUGACCCCUUGGCGGUAAGGUGUGGCUGGGGUUUUGCCUCCCAAGUUUCCGUAACGAAAUAUCGAGGUGCCCUGGAGGUAGGUACGUUCGUCCUACCGUUAGAGUCCUUGGCGGUAGGGUCCUGUGUUCUAUGGUUUAUAAGUUUAUUUUUUGCUUCUUUUCAAAAACAAUAUAGGCCCUAAAAUAUGAGCUCACAGUUUUUUAGUGAUUGUUUCUUUUGUAAAAUAUGAAUCACAAAGAAAGCCAACAAACGGUUUCACAUAGUUUGUUUUGUUACAAGUUUCACAUCACAAAUAGUAAAAUAUGAGCUCACAUAAUGAUGAUGGUUCCACAUAGCAAUUAUCAAACAGUUUACAGAUAAUAGAUUCAUAAGUAGGGAAUAGCAAAUAGCAAACUUGUCCACAUAGUUUGACAAGCCCUACAAAAACAGAGAUAUAUAUUCAAUCGACAUGUUUAUGGGGCGGACAAAUCUCCCCUNNNNNNNNNNNNNNNNNNNNNNNNNNNNNNNNNNNNNNNNNNNNNNNNNNNNNNNNNNNNNNNNNNNNNNNNNNNNNNNNNNNNNNNNNNNNNNNNNNNNNNNNNNNNNNNNNNNNNNNNNNNNNNNNNNNNNNNNNNNNNNNNNNNNNNNNNNNNNNNNNNNNNNNNNNNNNNNNNNNNNNNNNNNNNNNNNNNNNNNNNNNNNNNNNNNNNNNNNNNNNCCUCGUAUAUUAGGCAUGGCCGUGGAGACAGAUACGGCAGCGGAUCCACCGGUUCAGGCGGAGGUGGAACGCUGGUCGGCAUCCGACUGUUCAAGCAGUCCCACCUUGGCUUGCCCGCUGGAGGUUUCGCCUCAGCCCUUGCCCAGUUGAUGAUAUCGUAGCCGAUGCACUUGGGGGCGGCAUCCUGGCUCUCUCCUCCUCAUUGCUCUCGUAGUAGAUCCUCCGGCCCAAAUUGCGCAGCUCGACACUACUAGGAAAAGGCAUGCUAGUGGCACACCAGUUUUGCCUACUAAUGGCGCACUACUGGUGCGCCACUAGCAUCACGCCACUAGAAUUAAAUUCUAAUGACGCACCACUGGUGCGCCAUUAGUAUAGCCCACAGUGCGCCAUUAGAAUGCCUCCCGGGGGGCCAUAUGUACCCAUGUGCUUUGGCUUACUAAUGGCGCACCAGUGGGUGAUGUGCCAUUAGUGUGAUUAUCACAGUGCGCCAUUAAUGUCUUGUGUGGUGCGCCAUUAGUAUUAAUAUUAGGUUUUUUUUGGGUUUUUUCUGAUUUUUUCACAGGUUACAAAAUAUAUUAUUUGACAGAAUAUAGAAAGCACCACACAGCAACAGCAGAUUCAUCGAAUACAAUAGAAGGCAAGUCUCCGAAUACAAUUCAUCAUAUUAGUCUCCGAAUACAAAAGACCAAACGAACAUAGAACAUUACAAGUCUCGUAGACCGCGAGUAGCGAGUUUGUCUUCACAUUACAAGUCGAUAUCGAUCAUCUAAACUACCAUCACAUAGAAGAGAGCUGCGGUCAUCACGAUGAGCAUCAUCGCGAUGAAACUGGUCUUCACCCGGUUCCUCCAACGCUCCCUCCUCUCUCCCGUUAGAUAGCAGGCGUAUCUAGAUUCCGCCUCUACCCUAGUGGUUUACCCUUUGUAACUGUUACCGCUGAAACGGUGAACCUGUCUCCGACACUCCUCCCAGUCGGCGUAGACUCCGGGAACCUUACCCUUGUACACGACAUACGACGGCAUCUCUAUGCACAAGCCAAACAACAGACAAUACAUAAGCAAUAUAUAAGUAUGCAACAAAAGGAUCGAAAGAGAAAAGCAAAACAUUAAUAGCACGAUUCAUGGUCUUACUAAUAAAUAGCAUCAAUUACAUCUAAGUUAAACGACUGUCCAAACCAAAGAGACAUACAAGUUCAUUAAAGUUUAAUUACAACAUGAGCUAAUUGAUGUUUCAGAACUACAAAUAACAUCACUACUUUCGACUCGACUCAUGGGACCGGAGCGUGGAUGAAGCCGCCAUCUUUCGUGAUGGUCAUGAAGUCGUGGGCGUUGUGAGCCUGCAUUUGAAGUGUUGUGUCUAUCUCACUGUUGGACGGUUGCUCUCUGAGGUAGAACUGUCCCGAGGUACGAAGGACAUCUUGAUGGAUGAUUUCUGCAAACUCCGACGGGAUGCGAAAGAAUUCUUGUCGGAGGUCUGCGUCCUGGAUUGCCGCCAAGCUUGCGGCCCAAUCUUUGACAUUAUUUGGUAGCAAAAGGUGAUUAUGGUCCCGUACGAUUGCCCUCGUGUGAUGGAGGGCGUAGUAGGCAUCCUUCUGACCGCCAGGCGGCUGCUUGACGCAGGGGAACAUCGUAUUGUGGGUGAACACGUGCCUGCCGUACCUACGAACUUUCCUCUUAAAGGUGCCUCCAGAUGUGGUGUAGCCGGGGAGAGCAUCAUCAAGAACUUUCUUGAUAUUUGUGUAGUGUAUUUUGGAGUCACGGUCCGCGUCGAAAUACGUGACCGUGGAAUAUUUCGGGCUUAAGAGGAUGAGUGUGCAAUGUGUGUCACUGCACAGAACACGGAAUGUUAGAAAAAAAAAGAACGAUCGAAAUCUAAGAAAUCAUAUGUUACGGGGCGGUGAGGGGAUGACUUACUCGGGAAAGUAAGGGACGAGGAAGUUAUCCUUAUCUGGGUUUGCCAGAAUGACGCCUUCGAGGUGUGAACUCGCGACUUGCCGGUCCCCAGCGCUGCCCAAGAUCUUGGCACGCAUGUAGAAGGGGUCGACUAUCACGAUGUCCGGUGUCUUGUCUCGAAUGAUCCGCAUCUCCAUACUCAGCGAAAACAGCCGAACGAAGGUGUAGUGCAGCGGAUGAAGAUUAAACAUAGCAAAGAUGUCAUCAAACCGCAGGAAGAUCGUACCCCCGGUGGCGCCAUCCACAAAGCCCUUGCCCUCUGGCACCUUGGCCACAAAAACCGGGUAUGCCACAUCAUUCUGGGAGAGACGCAUCUUCUCCAAAGAAAGAACACUGUCAUGCGGACUCCGCAUAGCACCGGGUGCAGCAUUGAGCAUAUUUGUCGGUAGCAUCGCCCUACCCGCCACAUGCACCCUCCUCGAGAUAUCCUGAGGUGAAGGUGGCCCGUCCUGAGCACGGAUCGUACUCGGUGCCGGCUAGCUCGCACCGGCGCCCUUGGCAGUCUUUCGUUUCCGUCCCUUCUUCUUGAUCUGCUGUAAUGGGACCGAUUUCUGCUCACAGGCCGCCUUCUUGAGCAUGUUGGGGCUGAUAAUAUUUCGCACCUCAGCUAUCUGAGGCUCGGUGAAGGCGGGAGCUGGAGGCGUCUCCUGAGAACUGAAAGCCAGACGACGCCUGUUGCAAUUGGAUUUCUCCAUCGUACCAGCUAGAUCGCGGUCGUAUUGGUUGGGUUCUUGAGAAGGAGGCCCGCCGAACUCGUCACCGUACCCUUGUUCGGCAAAGUACUUAUCGAUGUUGGUAAAUGUACCGUCGUCGUUGUCGUCGUCGUCCGAAUCCUGUGCCAUAUGCAUGUCCGGAUCCUGUGCCAUAGGGAUGUCCGGCAUGUCCGGUAGUGUUGCGGUGUUCUUGCCAUGGCGCGGCGCCGGCAUGACCUGCGGUCUUGUUUGUGGGGUGGUGUCCCCCGCCCCCAAACGAAUCUGGCUCUUCGGCCAAAGCAGGGGCCAACUUAGGCAGGUGCUGAGGGUCAUCAGAUCUUCUUCGUUGGCCCCAGCGGGUUGAAUCGGAGGUAACAACUCGUCGCAGCCUGGCAGCACCCGAACGAGUUGAACCCUAUACACGAUGGGUGGCAUCGGUUUACCGUGGAACACGGGGUUGCCCGGUUGAACGAUUUUGCCCUUGGAGACAUCGACCAACUCGUCGUUCACGAAGUGCAGGAGAGUGCACGGAACAUCGGCGGCGCCCUGCGAAAACAUGUAGGGCGUCAGGGAUGCCCAGUCAAAGGCAAAAGGAGAUGAAGUCCUCGACCGAGAGGCUUAAUUAGUUACCGUGAUGAUGGCUUCGAGCUUGGCUAAUGUCGAGGCACUGCCAAUGGCGGGCGUGCAACGGACGGAGGGGCCGCUUGCUGGCGAGGUGCCGGCCGGCGUACACCCGGGUGCAUUAAGCUCCAAUGCCCGUGCCGGCACCGGAGACACCAAUACCGCCACCGCCGAUGACACCAAUGGCGCCGCCGGAGACACCAAUGGCGCCGCUUGCACAUUGUGCGAGUUGCUGGCCGUGAAGCUGGGAAUCAGGGGCGGCCCCUGUUGGCCACCUGCAAUCCACGUCGUCAGCCCAUGAAUCAAGGUAGGCAUAAUGCCGGUGAGCGUCGUUCCCAGUUGUUGUUGCACUUGCUCUUGGAUAAUCUUCGGAAUCCGCGCCACUUGUGCCUUGAGUUCUUCAACCUCGCGCGACUGGUUUUCUGAGCUGGUCUUUUUCUCCUUUCACCCACCAGCGGUAUAGUAUGAGGACCAUUUUGUGGACAAGCCUUUGCCGGCCACACGACCAGCUGACGACGGCUUACUGAGCUUAUCCUUGUUUUUCAUUACAUUCAACGCCCUAUUUAGAGUGUUGUCCCAAGCAGGGGUGCUCUGAGACGACCCCGCGCUACUGCUUUCAGUCUCCUUCACCAGAACAAGCUCAAGCGCCCUGGUCUUUGGAUCCGUGGUAAGCUCCUUUGUUAUCGGGUCCUCCUUGUACCGGGCCCUGACAAAGUUCCUGGCCUGCUUGUCACUGCUGUAUUUCUCGAAGCGGGGCGGUAGGCCAUGCUCGGCAUGCUCCGCGUCCUCCUUGUCCCAUAUAGGCUCCGCCACUCUGUAACCGCCGGGACCAAGUUUGUGUUCCCCUAAGUUCAACUCCUGCAUUUCUUUCCCCCACUGACUUGAUUCGGAGGUUGCACUGCUCUCACACUUGAUCUUGAACUCCUUAUAGUCAUCUUCGCUGAUCGAAGAAUUUUUUGCCUUGAUCUUCUCAUAACUGUCACCUUUCUCAAUCAUUCUCUUCACCUCGCUUCUCCAAGUAGACAGGGCCGUGCUCAUCCUCGUGAGGGCGGCACUGUUCACUUUAUUCCCUGAGAGGCGUGUGUUUUCAAAUUUAGCGGGGAACUUGUAUCAUUUGUGCAGCUUCAUGAAGAGGAGGUUGCGCAAAUUCCCUCUGUACUUAUUCCUAAGGUUCUCGGUGUUGAUCGAGACAGUGCUCCGGAGAAUGCACCCGAGCUGAACCGAGUACCCCUUGACUAUAUGUUUGGGCUCCGUUGGAUGCCCGUCGGAGUCCACUUGAGUAAAUUCCUCCUUGACGGUGUGGAGCAUAUUCGGGCGCCGGUCCUUCCGUUGCUCUUCAGUUGGCUGCCAUCUGUGUGUGCGCUGCCAUCAUCAGUGGUGGCAUCCUCGGCGGCACCAUCAGUGGUGUCAUCCCCGACGCCACUAGGGGUUGUGUAGUCAGGAUCGGUGUCUUCCGCGGCGUCCUCAUAGCGGUGAGGUUGUUCCUCCAUCUCCUAGAACAGCUCCCAGAAUUGCUUGCCGCCCGAACCGCCGGCCUCAUCGUUGUUGGCCAUGUUUCGCUAAAUAGGAAAAAAGUUUGGUCAAAAAGUUGGUUAUUGUCAAGGAACAAGAUCAUGGUCUCAUCAUUUAGGGUUUGUCGACACUGAGGCAUCCUAAAAGCUAAGCUUUUAUCAUUUAGGUUUUGUCGACGUCGAGGCACCCUAAAAGCAUAAGCGUACAUCAUUUAGGUUCUCAUCGACACCGAGGCACCCUAUAGAAGCCAAGGUUUCAUCAUUUAGGGUUUGUCGACGCCGAGGCACCCUAAAUGCUAAGUUAAGUUUUCAUCAUUUAGGGUUUAUCGAUGCCGAGGCACCCUAGGUUGGGCCUAAUCACUUGGCACUAAUCACUUGGCUCUAUUGCCACCUAUGUUGGGUUUAUCAUCUAGGGUUUAUCGAUGCUAAGGAGAAUUCUAAGUUGGGCCUAAUCACAUGGCUCUAUUGCCACCUAUGAUUUAAUGCAGCAAGAAUGGCGGGGCAGUUGAUCCUACUUAACUAAGUACUAAGAUACCCCGGCCCAUGCAUUAGUCGCAAGUACCCCAUAUGUCCUAUUUUUAGCAAAGUCAUGCUAAACUUCACGGAAAAUUUCAGCAUGACCUUUGCUGAAAGUAGGACAUAUGGAGUACCCGAAUUUGCCGGAACGGAAGUUAAUUGACAUUCCGGCAAACUCAAGGGCCUCUCGGGGUACCUGCAAAUUCAUCACAACACAAUGGUCGGAGAUAAAACCCAGCAACUUUACAAGUCUUUCACAGAUUUGUUUGCAAGUUCUGAUAUGUAAUAAAGAUGAGUCUCAAAGAUGAGCCUCCAAUGCUGAUUUGUUUGCCUCAAGACAAGAUGAACCUCCAAUGCAACAAGUAAUAAAAUGUUCAACAAUGUAUCAGAUUCGGCAACAGUUUAACAUCUACUCUAGUAAUUAUACAACACCAUGACCAACAUUUCUCCUCUCCAGAAAUUAGAAACAAAAUAAAGGAACAUUACACAGUAGCCAUCAAAUUAAAAUAACACAUACAGUACAUACAGGUAGGUAAUACUAAAGCAUGUUCAUAUUAGCUAGUUACCAUUAUAUUGCUUUAGGUUAGGGCCCUUACAUUAUUUUCUCUCUAUCCCUUUCUUUAGCUGCACUGCAUCACAAGGCAAAUAUAGUUCAAAAUAAAAUACUGCUGAAUAAGCACCUAGCAGAAUAGUAAAAUAAGCUUAAAAAAUGCAUACAUCUUGACAUACAAACACAGACAGUUAUGCAAGUGCUAGAGGUAUGCAUAUAUAUAUAUAUAUAUAUAUAUAUAUAUAUAUAUAUAUAUAUAUAUAUAUAUAUGUGUGAACUUGAUCCUGAACUAGAGGUACACAUGUUUGCAUACUCAUCUCUGCAAUUAGUCGUGCUUAUUUGCAUUGUGCUAUAUAUGAAUCCACACUGACUCGAGCCUGAAUCAAUCAAUCAAUGUUGCUCACAUAUACUCCCACACUCCCAUAAUAGUACUAAUAUAAGAGCAUUUAUAUUAUUGGAAUGAAGGGAUAAUUUUUUUUCUUUCAAGAAAACACAAACCCUAACAACACAUUACGAGCACCUUCAAGAGAUUGAACCAACCCGACAUCCACAAACACCUCCUACUCAACACACAGACACAGACCAAGGAAGAAACAUAACCAUUCUUCUUUUUUCUUUCUUUGUUGUUAAUAAUAAAAGAAACUACAAGAGCAAGGAAGGAACAAGUCUUCUUUUGUACUGCAACACAAGAAACCCUCUUUCUUUCUUUCUUCCCUUCGUGUUAAUUUAAUUUUACUGCACCAUCUACUAACCUCCUCCAACUUUACUACCACUACAUCCCUCUCAAGGACAUCUAUGUACUGCUUAUAAAGCAUCACAUGCUGAUGCUAUGUUUCAUUUGCCCCAUCUCCCAUCUCUGCUCUUAUUUUAAGUAAAUGCCCAGAUGCCUUACAUUUAUCUCUGCGGGACUUUUUCUUUUCUAAUGAUAUCAUCUAUACAUGUUACUUAGUUACUAAACCUAUGUAACUUAGGAUCAAAUUGAUAAAUUGCUUGAAGUAUCCGCAUAUUUUCGUGGAGAUCAUACGGGGGAGGAUCAGACAAUGUGGCAACAGACAGCAAGGUGUGUUCUUUCAAAGAAUCUUUGCAUCAAGUCAAUGAACAUCAUAUUUGAAGUGCAGUUUAACUUAGUCACUUAAAACUAUCUGAUCCACAACUAACAACCAAAGUCAUGUUCAGUUAUAGUGCUUAAAUAUGAUUUUGGUGUGUGUGAAAACAAUACAGUAUUAUAUUUCUACUGAAUGCAUGAGUAUGAUGUAUCACACAUCUACAUGUCUAGGCUUUUUCAAUUUUUUUCCGGAUGGAAACCAGAAGCAUCACUGUCCUUGACUAGAAUCACCAUGGCCAGAUUAAACACUGCAAGCUGGCAAGUUCUUCCUUUCAAUUUCUCAAUCUUAGCUAGCGGAGGAUGAAUAGAGGAGAAGAGAGGCAGAGGGAGGAGGGUUACCUGGCGGCGGUGGGGCGUUGAAGACCUGGCGGCGAGGUUCCUCCUCUCGGUGGCGGCGGGGCUCCUCCCCUCGGUGGGGGCGGUGGCCUCUUCCCCUCGGUGGCGGUGGCGGGGCUCCUCCUCUCCUUGUGGAGGCGGGGCGUUGAUCCGGCGANNNNNNNNNNNNNNNNNNNNNNNNNNNNNNNNNNNNNNNNNNNNNNNNNNNNNNNNNNNNNNNNNNNNNNNNNNNNNNNNNNNNNNNNNNNNNNNNNNNNNNNNNNNNNNNNNNNNNNNNNNNNNNNNNNNNNNNNNNNNNNNNNNNNNNNNNNNNNNNNNNNNNNNNNNNNNNNNNNNNNNNNGCCCGAGCGGGAGCGGCGGUCAUCGGAGCGGGGGAGGCGGCGGGGGUGCGGGGGCGCGGGGGCGGCGGUGGCGGGGGUGGAGUACCGCGGGGGUCGGGGCAGCGGCGUCGGGGCGGCGCAAGACCACAGCAGCGGACGGAGGGGGCGGAGCAAGGGGGCGGCGGCGUACGGUUGUUGAGUGGGGGAUCUGGCGAGGGAGGGAGGGAGGCCACAGUGUGAGGAGAAUAGGUGGAGUGGGGGAGGAUUCUAAUGGCGCACCUCCCCCUAGUGUGCCAUAAGUACGACGAUUCUAAUGGCGCACAUCCCCCUGGUGCGCCAUUAGAAUUUUGUUUUAAUUAGCCUGACUGGUCAGGUUAUAUUCCACCUAACACUAUCUUCAUCAGAACACGCCCACUAGCCCGACUGGUCAGCACGCAGCACACACACUAGGAGGUCCUGGGUUCGAUUCCCACGCUCCCCAAUUUUUGUUUUUAUGCAUUUAAAAUGAUGUUUGAUAUUUAUUCGUGCUUAAAUAUGUUCAAACUUGUUCAAAUCAUAACAGUAAUAUUUUUUAAUAAAAACAGUAAUAUUUUUUUAAAAAAUAUCAUCAAAUUUGUUAUUUGAAAAUAUUUAUGAAUAUGAAAAAAUAUCAUAAAAAUUAUUAUUUGAAAAUAUCAUCAAAUUUGUUAUUUGAAAAUAUAAUCAAAUUUGUUUUUUUACAAUUUUAGUUGCAUUCAUUUGCGACGGUGGAGCGGGCCGGGAAGGGUGCGGGGGGUCGGCGGCGGCGGUGGAGUGGGGGAGGGUGCGGGGGGUCAGCGGCGGCGGCCGGUGGAGCUGGGGAGAUGGUGCGGGGGGUGCUCGGCGGUGAGGGGGGCCGGAUCUGGCGAGGUGGGAUAGCGAUCGAGAUGGAGGGGGAUCGAGAUCGAGUGUCCAUGAAAUUUAAAAACAUUCAUGAGUUCAAAAAGUGCCCAUGAAAUACAAUCGAGAAAUGAAGGCUACAAUUUAAAUACAAUCGAUCUUAGCUAGCUAUCUAUUCACAAUCUUCUUGCCCUUAUUUUUCAUAAAUGGAGUUCUUCUCUUGAACGGACGUCCUUUAGGUAGGGUGGUCCUGCUUCUUCUUGUGGUGUAUGCUGAUACUUCAUCGUCGUCCUCAUGUUCCAUCUUCAGGUCGCCGUACUUGUCGAAGUCUUGCUCAUUGGCGACUCCAUCCAUUCCGAUGAUCUUCCUUUUGCCUCUUCCCACGACAACAUGAGUGGGCUUUGGCGGGUCGGUAAUGAAGAAGCAUUGGUCCACUUGGGAAGCCAGUACCCAUGGCUCAUUUUUUGCGGUGACGUUUGUGCCCGCGGUCUUGGAUUUGGCUUCGGGUAUAACCAUGGUGGUGAAAUACCGGUUUUCUUUUAUGAUGCUCUUGGCCCAUAUGACAUGGAACAUCGGGACCUUCUCUCCAGAGUAGCUCAGCUCCCACAUCUCCUAGAUCCUUCCGUAGUAUCUGUCCUUGUCGUUACUGGUGUAGUAUUCCAUCGUUACCCCGGAGUUCUAAUAACCAUCGCUCUUCAUGUCCUUGUCCUUGGUGUAGAAUGUGUAGCCGUUGAUAUCGUACGCCUCAUAGGUCAUCAGGUUGUGCUCGGCGCCCUGUGACAAGGCGAACAUGAGUUGUUCUUCCGCGGAAGAAUCCUCAUGUAAUGGGUACGACAGAAGCUUCUGCUUGAACCAACACGUGAAACAUGAGUUGUGCUCUUUGAUUAUAUCUCCGUCCGUCCUCUGUUGGCCUCGGUCAUUGUACGUCUUCUCAAUAAAGGUUUUGUGCUCUACCACCCAAGGAUCGACCACGUCUAUGUGUUCUAGCGCGACUAGGUUUGCUCUUUCAAAGUCGGCGAGUCGACCCUCGAAGUUGACAUGCAUUUCACGGCGACCCUCACGGUGACCCCAUCCAGCGAGCCUGCCGAGGUGCCUGUUGACGGGCAGACCAACGGGGUCCUCGAUGCCUAGAUAAUUCGUGCAGUAGGAGAUGCACUCUUCGAUCAGAAAGCCCCUGGCUAUGCUUCCCUCUGGACGUGACAUGUUGCGAACGUAUCCUUUGAUAAAACAUUCAUCCUUUCAAACGGCAUCAUGCUGUGCAGGAACGUUGGCCCGAGUUGGAUGAUAUCCUCCAUGAUAUGGACCAGCAGAUGCACCAUAAUGUCGAACAAUUCGGGCGGGAAGUACAUCUCAAGCUCGCAUAGUAUCACCACGAUCUCUUCCUGUAGCCUUCUGAGUUGCCUCACGCCAACCGACUUCCGAGAGAUGACGUCAAAAAAGUUGCAUAGGCCAAAUAGCAUUUCACGGACGUGCGUGUCCAUGAUCCCACGGAUUGCAACUGGAAGUAUCUGCAUCAUCAGCACGUGACAGUCGUGAGACUUCAUCCCGCUGAACUUCUCCUUCGCUGGGUCUAGGUAUCUGCUUAUCUUCCCCGCGUAACCGUAAGGAAGUUUUACUCCUAUGAGGCAGGUGAAAAACUGAUUGAUCUCCUCCUGACUGAGAGUAAAGCACGCGGGAGGGUAGUCAUUUCCGCUCUUCUUGACCUUUUUGCCUUUGCGACGACUUUUCGUGUCCUGCUUCGCCUCAUCAUCAUCAUCAUUAGCGUGAAGCUCCUCCCUGAUGCCCAUUGAUUUCAAGUCUACCCUUGCUUUUGGCCCAUCUUUGGUCCUCUCUAACAUGUUGAGUAGGGUACCAAGCAGACUCUCGCACACAUUCUUCGUGAUAUGCAUGACAUCAAGGCUGUGAGGCACACAGUGGAUCUUCCAGUAUGGCAAGUCCCAGAAAACAGACCUCGUUUUUCAUACCUUCAGCAGCGGCUCUGGUGCCUUUCGCUUCUUUCCCGGCUCUGGCGACUUUUGCUUCUCUCCCAGCAGUGGGCAAUCUUUCCAAUUUUUCAACAGCUCGUCUAUUUCCUCGCCGCGCCUCGUACGCGGGCGUCUUCGGGGUUCGGUUUCACCAUCGAACAGAUCCUUGUGUUUCCUCCACGGGUCAUCGUCACGAAGCCACCUUCGAUGUCCCAUGAACACGGUUUUCGAAGACCCGGGAUCUCUAUCUAGUUGGCGACACGUUGUGUCCCAUGCACCUAACGCAUCCAGAAAAUCCGUGGACCACCUGCCCCGCGACAUAUCCGUAACCAAGAUAGUCGUGCACCGUCGUGAGCGGUACGGCUCUCAUAGGGAAAUAUUCUUUCUCUGCGGCGUCCCACGUAUUGGCUGGCGUUUUCCACAGCGUGUCUAGCUCCUCUUUCAGCAGCCCUAGAUACAGAUUGAUGUCGUUCCCUGGUUGUUGCGGCCCUUCAAUUAGCAUACUCAUGUGAAUGUACUUCCUCUUCAUGCACAACCAGGGGGAAGGUUGUACAUCCACACAAACACAGGCCAGGUGCUAUGUGUGCUUCUCUGGCUGCCAAACGGAUUGACUCCAUCGAUGCUCGCGCCCAGCAUGAUGUUCCUUGGAUCCGUCCCAAAUUCUGGGUGUUCGAAGUUCAACGCUUGCCACUAGCUCCCGUCCCUAGGGUGACUUAGCAUCUUGUAUUUUUUAUUUAUCUCCAGAUCAUUUGCGUCAUCUUCUUGCUUCUUCUCCUCCCUAUCCGCGUGCCAACGCAGGAGCUUUGCUACCUUAGGGUCCGCAAAAUACCGCUGCAGACGAGGAGUGAUCGGAAAGUACCACACCACUUUUUGAGGAGCUUUCUUCCUCUUCUUGUAUCGAGUGACGCCGCACACCAGACAUAUGGUAGACUCCGCGUGCUCGUCCUGAUAAAUGAUGCAAUUGUUCAUGCACACAUGGUAUUUCACGUGCGGUAAAUUCAGAGGACACACGAUUUUCUUCGCCUCCUCAAAACUGGUCGGGCACUUGUUCCCCUUGGGAAGAUGUUCACGCCAGAAUGACAUGUUCUCGUCGAAGCAUGCGUCAGUCAUUUUAUGUUUUACCUUCAUCUCUAGAGCCAUGAGCGUUACUUUCAGGCGGGUAUCCUCGGGCGUGCAUCCUUCAUACAAUGGAGUAACCGCGUCUAUCUCUAGUUGACCCAGCUUGGCUUUCUCUCGGGUGGCAGCUCUUGCGCUAUCCGUCUGCUUCAGAAGCAGCUCUUGAACAUGAGGGUCCUGCACCCAGCCCAUCGAUGGUCCAUCGUCGCCUGCUCUGCCGACAUCUUCAUCUUAAUGAUCAUGCCCUUCGUCUGCUCCGGCAUCUUCCUCAUCAUCAUGUCCUGCAUCUUCUACAUGAUGACUAUGUACAACAUCACCGUCGUGAUCAUGUCCUGGAGAUUCUUCGUCUUCUCGCCCGCCCGAGCCGUGGUGGUUGUCUUGUUGCCCUUCCUCACUUCUUGCCCGGCCCCCAUGGACGACUUCAUAGACAUCUUCAUACCUUGCCACCGAUAGCCAUCCAUGAAACCAUGCAAGAGCAGUUGGUCCCGCACCUGCCUGGAAUUCGGGUCCGCAAUAAGGCUCUUCAGCUUGCAUCUUCGACACGGACAUCUUAUCUCCGUCUCGUUCUUUUCAAGCAUCUCGGCCUUCGUGGAGCUCAAAAACCUAUUCACGAUGCCUUUGGUCAUCGUGCGGACCAUGGUCGCCUGCGGGGUAGAGCAAAACGAUAUUUUAGAACCAAGAAAAAAUUUGGCAUGACUUUCCCUAAAAAUAGGACCAAAAAGAAUGCAUAGUGCCAAAAUUCUCACCGAAACGGAAAUGAAUCAACAUUCCGGCAAAAUAUUGGCAACUAUCGCAUUUCAAAUACCGGUACCUGCAAACACAAACAAAUAUGCAACACCACAAACAUAUGCAACACCACGAACCUACAUAGAUCUAGCUAGGUCAUAAAAAGUGCAUGUGCAUGUUGUUGGAGAGGGAGAACAACAUAAAGAUAUCUUCCAACCUACUUACCAAUCAAAAAAAGGUAAUUUAACCACUUAAUUUGGAUGAAUCUAUGGUGCAAAUGAGGUGAGGAGGAGGAGGCAGCCGAGACAAGCUUGGAGGAGGAGGUGGAGAGAAUGAAGUGGGGAAAGUGAGUGGGUAGGUGGGCUGUCCAAAAUAUCUUAUUGGUCCCAGGUUACUAAUGGCGCCCAACCUGCAAAUGCGCCAUUAGUAACCCUGGUUACUAAUGACGCACCUGCUGCUGGUGCGCCAUUAGAAGUUUUGCAAAAAAAUAAAAAAUAAAGUAUAUAUUCUAAUGGUGCACCAUGGCACAGUGUACCAUUACUAGUUUAAACUAGUAAUGGCGCACUAGGCUAGGGUGCGCCAUUAGUAGUUUUGCAAAAAAAAGAAUAAAAAAACAACAGUAGUGGCGCACUAUGUGGCCGGUGCGCCAUUACUAGUUAGCACUAGUAAUGGUGCACCUUGCCAUGACGCGCCAUUAGUAUGUUUGGAAAAAUAAGAAAAAAAAUUACUAGUGGCGCACCGUGUGCCUGGUGCGCCAUUAGUGUCUUCCACACUAAUGGCGCACCUGCACAUGAUGCACCACUGCUAUAUAGUAGUGGCGCACCACAUGACAGGUGCGCCAUUAGUGGCCAUUUCAUCUAUAACCCUUUUCCUAGUAGUAUCCCGGUCGGAGCGCUGCUUGGUAGCUUCAAUGUCCCAUUCCCGGCGUUCUCAGGAGAUAGUUGGAUCUCCCUCCAUCUCUGCAAUCACUCUCUUCCACUCCUUCGCACGCUCUGCCCAACACUUUUGAUCAUCGUAGAUCCGUUCCGCCCUCUCGUGCCACCGCACUGCCCUCGUCUCCUGUAGGAACUCGUCUGAAAAAGCGGUCACCGGCAGCAAAAGCUCGGGGCAGGCCUCGUACACGUACGGAAGUGGCAAGCCGGACAGGUCGUGUUGGAGAUGAAGGGGCGAUGGUUGCGCAACUGUUGCAGACCUAAACAUAUGGAUGAAAUAAAUAAAAUAUAUAUAUCAAGAUGUGUCAAAUGCAAAAUCGUAUCAUAUCAUAUUUACUCCAACCAAAUCCAGUACUUGCAUCAUAUUCACAUGCUUACUAAAAAACUAAGAACUAAGAACUAAGAACUACAACUACAAUCACACAUCCUAAAUACAAUACAAUACAUAUCAAAGAAUUGCAUAAGCAUAUCAAAAGAAUUGCAUAAGCAUAUCAAAAGAUAUCGAUGCAUAACAAAGGUUCAUCACAUCCAAAAAAACCUAUGAGUUCAAUCUUUGAAUAAUCAUAUAUCUAGAUUAUUAUGAACAUGAACUAAAUAAAAUACAUAUAUCAAAAACAAAAACCAUGAACUAGGGUUCAUCUUGAGGGAUUAACCAUGUUUACUUCAACAAAAUCCACUACUUGCAUCAUAUAAGAUCCACAUGCAUCCUAUAUCAAAACAAAUAUUUCCAAUAUUCAUCAUAUAUAAAAAAUUAACACAAAAAAUUAUGAACUAGGUUCAUCUUGAGGGUUCAACAUUUGUUCUCCAACUAUAUCCACUACUUGCAUCAUAGCAUAUCAACAUGCAUCAUCAUAUCACAAUAUAUUCCUCCAACAUGCAUCAUAUAAAAAAAAUUCCUCCAAAAAUAAUAUGAACUAGGGUUCAUCUUCACAUAAUCAUACCAACUAGUGACUAGAGUUCGUAUCUAACACAUUAUAACAUCGAUAAUCAACCUAAAUCAAUCCUAGGAUUCAAAAUAUUUAAAUCUAGUUCAAGAAGGGGGGUGAUUUGAAUCAAAUAAUGCGACGAAUCGGAAGCUAUUUGACUAAAACUAAUUGGAGGGAUUGAAGGAGCUUACUUUUCUUUCUUCGGGGCCAUCUCGAUCCGCAAAAAUGAUGAAGAAACGACGAAGAUCUGAGGGGGGAGUGGAGGAAAGAGAGAGGGGCGAGAGGAGGAAGAACUCCUCUAUUCUUGGGCGGGUGGUUGGGGAGAAGGGGAGGGGUGGGGCGGCCGAUGGAUUAUAACUGCCUGCACCCUACCGCCAGGUAUCCCGGCGGUAGGAUCAGACAGGCUACCGCCAUGACCGGCAGCGGUAGGGUGGGACGGAGGCCGUUAAUGUUGCUGACGUGGAUAAGUUUCCUACCGCCGCAGUGUCUGGCGGUAGCCUAGGUAAUCCUACCGUCGGGCGUCCUGGCGGUAGCAAAAAGGGUCAAAUGUCGAUUUUUUUCAAAGUGGGGUCAAACCCCGAUUUUGUUUGACAAAAGGGUCAAAACACGAAAAUUGGCCCCACGACCGGGGGAGCUCAUAUCAUUGGCGUGAGCUCAUAUCAUUGGCGUGUCAGUAUGAUCCUCUUGUCGGAUACUACGGCUUUACCGCGUACGUACUCCUACCGUGGAGAGCUGGCUGGUUGUGGACCCCUCUGGAACGAACAGGUCGACAGGUCCCUCUCCCUUGGUAGUAGGCCCAAAUUAUAGGCACGUGCCGUUGUUGGUCUAGUCCCGGCCACACCGUCAAUGUAUCAGUUAGCGUGAUCGCGUCGCGUCGGAAUAAGUUUUUUCGGGCUCCGUUCGCGGCUAGAUGAGGCUUUUGCCUUCGUCUAGGAGCCAGCGGGGUGGGGAUCCCCGGAUCUCGUUGAGCUCGCGGGCUAUAGUGACUGGAGGUUCAUCAGCACUGGCCGUUUGGGUCCUCAGAUAGGCGUUGGAUGCAGGGAGACUGUUGAGUAACGUGAUUGUAGUUGGAAACAUAGGUUAGACUAGGAAAUAUUCUUGCUUUCCUUGUACUCCAAGUAGAUCAUGUACUCCUAUAUAUGUGCCCACGAGGCUCAAGCAAUACAUUGAACUAUUCCACCAACCCUCUCUCUCCCUUCAACAUGGUAUCUAUUGCAAGUCGAUCCUAAACCCUAGCCACCGCUGCUUCCGCACCUGCUCGCCGCCCUCGGGGCUGUCAGCCUCCAUGACCGCCGCUGGGGGCUCCGCCGCCCGUACCUAGGGUUCGUCCACCGGUCGUGUUGACCGGCUGCCCUAGAGAGUCUUUUCCCCGAGCCCUUGCUCCAGAUUUUUUCGCUCUCUUGCCGGUCGUUUUGAUCGGUGUUUUUCUUUUUGGUUUUCUGAUCUAUGCUUGAUCGGUUUGCGUCGCCCGCCGCCGCCGUCGACACCGAGCGCCUCUACUUUGACCCCGACGCGACAAGCCGGCCUCUCCUCCGACCCGGCAGCCACGCGUGCCGAGGCGGCCCGUCAGGGCCAGCCGUCGUCCGCGCGUCGGUCCGCCCGUCACCGCCCUGCUCCGACCGGGACACUUGCAUCGCCCCGACCCAGCGGCCACGCGCCAUGUGAUGGCCAAUCAUAAUCGUCGCUCGUGUGCCGGCCCCCAUCGAUCCAGAUCACCCGCCUCCGCCGCGUCUUCACGGCGGCCCGACGGUCUACCUCGCCGGCCUCGUCCUCGGUUGCGUCGGGACGGCUGCGUCAGGCUUGUCGGCUGCCUCAACUCGGGCGCCGCUGCUCCGUUGGUCGCUCGGGCCUCACUGCCCGGGCGCGCAUGUUGCUUUGGCAGCUCGGGUGCCGGUGCUGACAAGUUCGUCCGCACGACGUCUCACGCCGGCUGUCGUCGCCGACUUCAUCUCAGACUCCGCCGCCACCACACCUCCACCGAGCGGCGUCCCGACCUCGCGUGCGAUCGGCUUGAUCACCCGCUCGCCGCGGCGAUCCGCCUCAUCUACGCCGCGCAACCGACCUGGCCCGUCGGUUACGCGCGCCUCCGCAGGUCCCGUGAAGAUCGUCCCCGAGUUCAGCGCGCCUCUCCACCGAUCGAGCAUUGGGCUGCCACCGUGUCGCCUCAUCAGGCCGCAACGCCGCCGCCCCGUGGUUCUCCUCGCGGCUGCAUCGACCCGUGCAUCGCCGCUGCGUCGCCCCUUCGGGCUGUAGUGUCGCGAUACGCGGUCCCCGCCGCCGCCCCGAGGCCAUCCCCGCGGCUGCACCGACUCGCGAACCGCCGUUGUGUCGCCCCUUCGGGCCGCAACAUUGCGGACCACGGUCCCCGCUGCCGCCCCGAGGUCUUCCCACCGUCGCCCCGACCCUCCUGCCGCCGCUACGUCACCCCUUCGGGUUGUAGCGCCGCGGCCCGCGAUCCACUCUGUCGUCACCGCGCGUCGACCUCCUAUGGUAUGCGCCACGCCGUCUUCCUUGGCGCGGAAACGCCACCGUCCGCGCCGGUCUUCGUCACGCUGUCAGGGUUCUUCGCCUACUUCGAGCACCGCCGCCGCUCUCCUAACCUAGCUGUCGCCGCUGCCGUCAGGCCGCCGCCGCCGCUACCUUCAUAGCCGCCGCGCCGCCCGUCCACCCCCUUCGGUCUUCGUCCAAGCACCAGCCCGUUGCCAGCGUCACCGUCAUCUAACCCGACCACUUUGUCUACUUCGACCACCGUUGGUGACAUCGGCCCCGCGCCGAUGGGCACCGCAAUCAUCGUCGAGUUUUUCUCUGCUGGCCCUCCGACUUCUCCGACAUGGCAUACAGCUCGUGCAGGUCCCUCGUCUACGCAUGCCCGGUGCUGGCAACACCAAUGCGUACCUUCAUCCACGACGUGUCCCCGGGCCUGGCAAGCCUGGUCGGCACUUCGUCAACUUCGUCUUCGUCCGUCUACGCAUGCCCGGUGCUGGCAACACCGGUGCUGGCAACACCGGUGCGUGCCUUCAUCCAUGAUGUGUCCUCGGGCUUGGCAAACCCGCCGCGACGCGUCGUCAACACCAUCAUCCUUCCGGCGCACCACUACCUCGUCACCACUGCGCCCAUGACUAACUCGGCGCCCUCUUGCGCCCGCGGCUCCACGGCGACUUCCUCGACACCGGGCCUGGCAAGCCUGGUCGAUGCACCCAGACUCGACAUCGACCACGGCAUUCUCCGAACGGCUACCUCGACCAUGGCUCCACCACCCACGCUCUUGGCUACAUCGACAAACGGCACAAAGGGCUACGGUCUGCUUGAGCAACCUCGUUGGUUUCCACUCCAGCCACGACUCCGCGAUGCGUCGACCGUUACGACUGUGGGGGGGGGGGGUGUCCGUCGGCUUGGCUUCGGAUUCUUCUCCAGUCUCACCGUCUGCGUCGCUACCGUUGUGACUGCAGGGGGAUGUUGAGUAACGUGAUUGUAUUAGGAAACAUAGGUUAGACUAGGAAAUAUUCUGGAUUGCCUUGUACUCCAAGUAGAUCAUCUACUCCUAUAUAUAUGCCCACGAGGCUCAAGCAAUACAUUGAACUAUUCCACCAACCCUCUCUCUCCCUUCAACAGAGACGAAGACCCUUCUUCUUCCUUGUCGGUAUGAUUUGUUGCGGCUGUUCUUCUCCUUCCUCUGCGCUGAUGCUGGAGGGAGAUUCUGCUUUGCCCGGGUGGAUGGCCCGGCCGCGGUGCUGGACCGGUCGGAUGACUCGAAUUCUCUUCCAUCAGGAAGGGACAUUUUUCGCGGUACUCAAAGCCAAAGCUGGCGACGGCUGUUGCAGGUGUGUUGGAUUGAUGCCCAUGCCCUCUCAGCGCUGGUGUCAAGAAAGGAGAAAGUAGCGUGGCGGCAAUUGUACCGUGGUCGAAGAUGAUGACCUGCUUGCGCCUGGUUGCGGAUCCUUCUGCUUGAGGGGUCUUCUCUCAAGAUUCAGGGAUGAUGUCAAAAGGCUCCACAGCUCUUCUUGUGUUAUGUUUGGCUUAGGGUACUCUAAUUGUUCAUCGUCCUUUGUGUUUACGUUUCAAUGUGCUUGUAAGGAUCAACUACUUUGUACUGUUUCGUGAUUUGAAUGAAAAAAUUCACAAAAAAAAAAACAAAUGCACCGUGGCCAGAUCUAUUUGCCGACUAUAGACUACUUUUGGUUUCUUCUCGUAAGGACUACUUUUGCGAAACCCAAUACUACAACACAUACGUUCACAAAUACGCACACGUAAGGAAUAAUAAUAUGCUAAAACAGCGCUAGUAGUAUGGUCUUUGCAUGCUUGGUGCUGCUGCAUGUGGGCUGUGGAGGUUUUUGAGCCUACUGUCUGCAUGCAUCUCGAUAAUAAUAAUCCAAUUCAAUCCAAUCCAAUCCAAUCCAAUCCAAUCCUAUGGUCUUUGCAUGCUUGAUACAGUGCCUACCAAUCCAAUCCGAAACUGGUCAAACUUUGCGUGCGCCGUAGUGGUUGGCUAUGCUGGCAUGAAAAAUAAUAAUGGUCCUUUACUUCCUUUCUCUCUGCACGGUGCAGUUUAGGAUAGUCGUAAUGAAAGUAUUAUAAGCGGUAUCAUGCAUGUCAAAUAGAUUUUUUGGAUCAUGUGGCAGAGAAUUAAAUGAGGAAAGAAAGGAUGUGGCAUCAUAUUAUGAUACCGUAUCAUAUUAAAUAUAGUACUACUUUGUGUCAUGCAUAACAAUUAAUGAGGCAAACUAAGAUGCUAGGUUACGAUACUAUGCAUUACGGAAAUAGUAUCAUACACGAGUAUCAUAUGCAUGAUACUAGUAUAUGAUACUCUCCAUUACGACCUGUCUUACUACUGUAGCGUCCUGUGGGUCACGAGGAGCUGACCGCGUGUUCCACGAAAAAAAACGAUACGGGCCCUCGUGGAACACGGUGCCCUGUCUACCUCCGUACCAAAAGAUAAUUUUUUUACUGUUUUAUUACAAAGAUUUAUUUUAAAUAUAUAUAAAAUGUUAGUGUAAAAUUAGUAUUAUGAGAGGGUGUGUUUCAAUAGUAAACCAACGAUACUGAUUUUCCACUAUAGGAAUUAAGUUUUAGUUGCUUUAUUUAUUCGGUCCAACUUGUAUAGUUUAACGUAGAUAGAUAAGAAAGGAAUAAAUUGUGAAAACCAUCAAGACUCUGGCUCUAAUACUAUGUUAAGCUUCAUUCUCUAGGCAAUUAUUGCAAUAAUAGACCGAUCUAACGGAAAGAGCUAAGCAACCGAGUUAAUUAUACAAUUAGUUAGUUUAACAGUAACACUUAACUGGCAGCAGGUGUUACAUUGCAGCCAGCGAGAGCGAGAGCCUUCCCCCUUCCCCGCCAUGCGCUACUCCGGUGCUGGCGUCCACCGCGCCUCUGCGCCCCCGGGCCGUGCCAGCCACCCAGGCUCCUGGCCGUGCCACUAAGGCCGUCCCGGCCACCCAGAUCUGUUCCCCCGCCCCCCGCUGCUUCCUCGCGCAACCAGGGCUGUCAGCCCCAGAUCCGUCUCCUCCCAGGUCAGGCCGGCGGGGGAGAGGCCGGUGGUCUCUGGGCUGGGGCUUUCGGAGGGCUUGGCUGAGUCGGACCCGCAGCCGGCGGUGGACUCCGCGCCUCGCCUGGAGGCUCCUGCUGCGGGCUGGGAGCGGCCUUCUCCCACCAAGAAGGAGCUCUGGCGCCUCCGUCAUGGACAGGGCGGCCAGGGCGGAGAUGUUGCGGCUGGGCGGCACGUGCCUUCGCCGCCGCCGGCGGAGAUGAUCCCGGAGAUGCGAGACAAGUGCUUCAGGUGCCUCGAGAAGGACCACUUCCGGUGGGACUGCACCAACCAGGAGGUCUAUAUCAGGUGCGGUUGGUCGGGUCAUGGCUCCCGCGAUUGCAAGAGGCCGCAGAGCCCCUCUUCGGCUGAUGAGCUCCAACGCGAGGCGAUCGCCAAGGUGGCACGCCACUCGUCUCCCCGGGUCAGUCCAGACCACACGGCGCCUCAUGCGGCCUUCCCACCCCCACCGCCUCCGCCGCUGCACCCCCCCUCGCUUUGUGCUGCCGCCGAGGCGGCCUGGCCGCGUCUUGCACCCCCGCGGCUCCAGGUCGCGCUGGAUGCGGGGGAAGGUGCGUAUGAGCUUUGUGUGGUGCGGCGCUCGCAGUCCAUGGAGGACUUGGAGCGCCGGCUACGCUUCGCCAUGGUCACCUACGUGGGUGGUGCCCGGAGACGCCUCUCGCCGCAGCGGGUGCUGGAGAUCUUGGCGGGGUGGCUCGACAUCUCGGCGGAUCAUGUCUCGGUGCACUCUUACCGGUCGGAGGAUUUUCUGGUCGUUUUUGCAUCGGCUGAGCUUCGGAACAGGGUGGCGUCGUACCCGGCGGUGUAGUGGGAGGGCUAUAGGCUGUUCUUCAGGCCAUGGAACCGGCAGUCGCAGGCAGUCUUCUCGACCAUGGGCUUCAAGGUCUGGAUUGUCAUGGAGGGGAUACCACCACACGCUUGGGAUCGGAAGACAGCAGAGGAGUUGUUGGGGACGGCGUGCAAGGUGGACUCGGUUGCGCCGGAGUCAAGUUCAAGAGCUGAUCUUUCUACGUUCAGGCUCACUGCAUGGACUGCAAACCGGAGGAGAUACCUUCGCUGCGCUGGCUGGCCAUCUCGGAGCCAAGCUCAGAGAUCCUACCACCAUUGUUGCAGUACAAGAUCCUCAUCCAUAUCGACGCAGUGGCGAACUUCCGUGAAGCAGGGGAGCCGUGGUUCGUGGGAAGUUCAUCCGACAGUGGGCAGAGUGGCUUGCUAGACUCUCCGGACGGUUUCCAUGAUGGAGGUGGUGGUCAGAGGUCACAAUGGCGAGUUUGGCAGUUCGGUGUCAGAGAUGUGCGCGGCGGUGAGCAGGGCUAGGCUUCCGGCGGUGGCGGUGGCGGCCAUGGCGCGGCAGGGAGGGCAAACGAGGGGCUGGAUUGGCGCCUACCUCCCAUGCCCCCGCCCCGAACGUUCUGCAUGUGGGGCCACCAGAACGCCUUCUGGAUAGGGUUGCCGUCAGGGUGUCUGCUUUUGACCGCCUUUUGGGUCAGCAGGCACAUGGAGAGGGGAGCGGGACGGUUCUAGAGCCAAAUUCAAACCUGACUGGCGCGGACAAGUGGCUGGGACGGACGGGCGCACUUUGACGGCGGGACCCCGGACGGAGGAGACGGAGCAGCAUCCAAUGGAAAUGGUCAUUGUGCCGUUGGGGCAGGGACGGCGCCUGAGCUUGUCAUCGGAUCGGGCGGUCGAAGUGGUGGUUGGCGCGCGCAGCCCGAGUGAUUCCCGUAGUGCCCCACGGGCGAAUGAUGACAUGGACAUGGUGGUUCUCGCGGAUCUAGGGAGACUGGACCCCCCGGUGCGGGAAAGGCUGAACCCGCCAGCUGGCGUGCCUGCAGGCUCCGUGCCGGGGGAUGGGAUACCGGACGGGUCCCAGGAGGUGGGGCUGGCUGAGGAUCCCAAUGCAGUUGGGGCCGUGUGCAACAUGGCGGGCCCCGUGCUCGGAUCGAAUGCAGAGAUGGCUACUGGUGGGUUGGGUGAAGGAAAUCGCGUGGUAUUGACUACUGGUGGGGCCGGUUAUCGAAUGCAGAGAUGGCUACUGGAGGGUUGGGUGAAAAAAAAGUUAGUUUAACAGUAACUGUGAUGCCAAGACAAAUCAUUGGGGUCAAAAUUACCGAAAUAUUUAUUUACUCCGGUUGUACACGGGUCGGCUUGUACACGCGCAUGAGCUGCCACGGAGCCACACUGUGGCCGGCCUACUGGGGAGCCCGAGUCAGCGAGGCUGCUUGAGAACCAAGCUGCAUGUCCUCGUGUUUGGAGAGGCGAACGACGAGUUCGCUAGAGACUUCGUCGGAGAAGGGGCGGUGGUCAAAGGGAUGUGAGAGAGGUGAUUUUUUUUAUUGGGCUGUAAGGUGGGUCCUUGUCCACAUCAGCUGGGUAUUAAUUCGUGGCCAACACGUUGAAAAAUCCACCGAAUAGUCAUCACAUUUUAUCAUGCAAUCAGAAAGCCGUGGUGUUCACAACAUUUUGGACAAGUGGGAUAGUUAUUUCAUGCUAACAACUCAUUGAGACCGGACUAUGUACUUGCAGAGUAAAGACUCUAUAGCUACGACAAAUAAUUUGGAUCAGCGGGAGUAGAACAAAUACACGUGUAAAUAUUUGGUAACUGCAGAAGAAAUGUUAAUGUAUGUAAAGAAAAGAACAAUUUAUGUAGAUUACAUAGGUGCGGUACAAUGGGCGGAAAAAAUGAAAUAAACUAAAGAGAAGCAAAUUUGAAAAAUCUAUAAACAAAAAGUAAAACUUAAAUGCAAUAAUACAGGUGACAUUUAUUACAAAUCAAAUGACGAGCAGAAUAAAUACUCCUUCCUUUCCAGUUUAUAAGUCUUCCACGUGUAUCUUGGCUGCUAAUUUACCAAGUUGAUUACACGUGCAAGACUAAUAAACACGUAAGGACGGAAGGAGAUAGUAUCUCCGAAGUGGAAGUAUAUAAGAACAUUUAAGGGUAUACUUCGAUAAUUGAUCGAAUCCCAUUGGUUGGAGUGAUCUUGUAGUCGCUGAACCCGGCUUCGGAGAAAAUCAAGCUCCACUCGUUUUCCUCUCGCUCCAUUCCAUCGGAGCCCAUCAUGUAGAUAUCUAACAAAACCUGCGCCUCUAUGGAAUCGUUGGGCUGAGUCACCGGAUAUCCCACCACCAUAUCGAUAAUUAUCACCUUUCCUCCGGCUUCUUUCGCUGGGAUCGCUUCCUUGCACCGGCGCAUUAUCUUGACGCAAUCUUCGUGUUUCCAGUCAUGCAAAAUCCACUGGAACCAAACAUAUUAUUAUAUCCCAUUAGCAUAUAUAGUAGACCAGCAGAAAAAAGAAGAACAUAUCCAAAAAUAAAAAUAAAAAUAAAAAAUUACCUUGAGUAGAACAGCAUCCGCAGGUGGGACAUACUCGAACAUAUUUCCGGCGACGAAGGUCAAAAUGUCGCUGGCGGGAGCCGCGGCGACAACGUGUGCGAGGUCCAGAACGGUGCACUUGAGGUGCGGGAACGCUCUCGCCACGGCCGACGCGGUAGCGCCAUGGUUGCCGCCGAUGUCCACCAGCGAGCUUUUCACUUCCCCGAACGCUCCGCCGU